AUUGAGAUAGUCUCUUAAACUUUAAAGAUUAUUAUUCCUUAAUUUUAUUUCUAAUCCCCUUAACAAAACUAGCAGUUCAACUUAUCGGAAGAUUCAGUACGUAGUCAUGUCAGGAUCUGACUGCUUGUGUCUACAUUCACAAUAAAAUGUUUGGUUUUAUUGAGUUUCGACUACUAAAUGAUGUCUUAGAAGAUGUAAGUACCUGUGGUAAUAACUCACAGAGCCAAGAUAGAGCAUACAGCCUGUAUGAAAGUGAGAAGGAGAAGAAGCAGAGCAGCCAAAACAGAAGCAACUGACCAAGGAUUGUGGAAAUAGUCGUGUCUCAGAAUCGCCUUCCACCUGUUCCAUGGUGUGUUGCAGUAAGAUUGUAAGUUCUCAGAGAGGCUCUGAAAGUAAAACUUUCUGCCAAAGAUAACCUCUGUGCAGAUGCUAUCGAACACAUCUGAAAUAUCUUCUGCGACUCCAAGACUGUUCAAAAAGAUCCCACUGCGGAUGAGCAAGUCAGCAUCCGUAGGGGAUCUAAUGAAGCAACUGAGAAGCCUGAUGUAGUGGAGGAAGAUCUUUUCUGAGCAAUGACAUUGUUCAAAAACGAUGAUAUUCCUGAAGAGGGAUUCCGUGAGAUCAUCGACCAUAAUAGUAGGAAUCUCCAGCACUCCAUCAGCAAAUUUAAGAUCAAGUAAACAACUACUGGUCUCUGAUGGCUUGAACUUAACACCAGCAUUGUGUAGCUCUGUUGCUUUCGGCGCGUUGUAAACCGUAGAUAUGCCUUCUUCCAAUAUGAUUGGAGCUAGCGGCAGAUAACAAGACCUCAGAAGAUCAACAAAAUGCUCUGGCUCUGAAGAUUCAAACAUUUUAUCAUCAAUGUUGCUCAAGAAACAACUGAAGUGGCUUUUAACCAUCUCCAGUAUUGAAGGUGUUCCUUGUUGGUAGUAAGGAGUCAAGAGAUUGAAAAAACCCUUCACAAUGAAAAACGGUAACUGGUUUUCUAUCAGAAUCAUGUCACGACACACGUCAGUGAUCAUUCACGGCUUCCCAAAUAUGCGAUCGUUCUCGGUUACCAGAUGAGGAUAACGAGAUCUCAGAAUAAGUUCAACCAAGAAGCUUCCAUCCACAACUAACAUUUUCACAAAUUCGUAGCUGUUGAGUUUCACAUCUUCUGCGUAACAACUUCGAGCAUCCUCUUCCCACGUUCUUGCUACUCUAACAAGAUCCUCUAAACUAAAGGUUACUCUAGGGAGAAAGCUCUGCAAGUACCUGUAUUUAUGCUCUUCCAUGGCUUGAAGAUCUUCUUUACCCCGAUGAAACGGGCCGAAGGAUACAAGCCGAGGCGAGUAGACAUCAGGGUUGAGCCUGCGGAGCGUAUUGGGUACCUUGUAGAUACAACACUGGUUUGAAAGAGAAGACAAGGAUUCUAACUUUGCUUUGAUGGAAUCUGCCAGGGAUUUACCUUGGCUCAUAUCCAUACCUCGGUUCAGUGUUACUCAAACAUCACUGUUUCAUGAAAGAAACGAGAACACAUGUAGAAAGAAAGAGAUUGAAGAAACUUCGUAGGAGGAAAACUUUGAGAAGUUGGCUUUGUCUUCUUUGAACACAGUGGUAGACUUUUCAGAAAUCAGCGUUUCACAUGUACUCGCUUGGAUGAAGAGAAUCAGAAACGGACGCUUGACGAGAUUUCAACAAAAGAAUUAUUGACACAUCACCUUCUGACAAAAUGUUAAAUUAAACUUGAAAAAUCUUAUGAAAUGUUUUGUUUGUAUAUGUUUUGAUGGGUAGUGUUAUCAAUAAAUCAGUUUGCUAAUAAUGCAUCUUAGAAAAAUAAUUUAAAGUUAUCCAUCCUGAGAACAAAGAAAUUUCUUUUUUUGCUUUCUGAAUUUUUUGAUAAAUAUAACUAAAUAAUAUCAACAAUUUCAGUUUAUGUUAAGAAAGUUUAUAGUUUAAAAUUUAUACUAGACGGGUAUAUUUUUUGUUUUAUAUUUUUUUUUAAAAAUUAAUUUUUAUAUUUAUGUUUUAUUAAUAUUUGUGUUUUACUUUGUAUAAUAUAUUUAUUAUAUGAUUAAUAAGAAGUUUUAAUAAUUGUACCACACUUAUGUCAAUAGAUCUUGAUGUUGUUUUAAUAUAAUAGAUUAAAAUAAAAUAUAUCAAUUAUAACCCAUUUUGAUUAAAAUCAUUUUUAUGCUUUAAAACUUUUUGAUACAAUUUGUUAAAUUUACUUAUAUAAUUUGAUUCUGUUAUUUAAACUGGAAUUAAUAUUUAUAAAUAUAUAAUAUGAAUAGGGAAUAUAAUAUGAUUAUUCAGUUGUAGUCGUUACAAAGUUGAGUGAAAUGCAAAAGUUGAUUUUAAUAUUAAAAGGUUGUCUACAGUUUUUUAGUACGCUAGGAAGAAGUGGGUUCCUAUUAAUUUGGAAUCAAAGAAGUGGUUAUAAAAUAUGUAUAAGAUAGUUAUUGUUGGACUAAACUUCACUCAAUUGGUCAUGAUUCUGAUUUAAUAGUAUUGAUUUACAUAGUUAGUUUGAUUACUCACCCUAUUAUUUAUUUUGUUUAUGGUUUUAGUUAAGACUUUUUAAUGUUAAAACUCUUCAACUGUGAACAUUUAAAGAAUUGUGAGACAAUCUAUUGAGUGUUUUCUUUUUUUUGUCAUUGAAAUAACUUCCAAAAGUUUGAUCUCCAAAGCCAAUGCUCUGAGCGAAACAAAGAGAAAAAAAAUAUAAAACAUACACUAGUAGGUGUUUAAACGAAAGAAGAAAAAAAAUCCUACAGAGGGAAAUGAUUUUUUGAAGAUAUAAAUGGCUUCAUACUCCAUUAGGUGAAGCCAUUGCAGGCUCAUCUUGAGUAUGUAGACGGAGAGGAGACAGCAUCAACAAGAAUGAUAUCAUGAGUAAGCCAACUUGGACCUCCACGAGCUACAUAGGAUUGAACUUGGCCAUUCUUACACUACAGCGAUCUCAAUUGAUACUCUAUUUGCAGCCACGGUCACUACUUCAUCACAGCAGUGUUGGAAGCAGUUAAGUGCUUUCCAAGUACGCUUAAUAGUAUUUGACAGCCCUAGGAGCCAAUGCAGAUUGUUCAGGACAGCCCACCGAACCGUUUACCAUGAAAGUAUGGACGAACACAAUAGAUUAGAAACUAAAGAUUCCACACACACCAAUAGGGGCAAUGGUAAAUAUACAUUUCCAAAGAAAAUAAGCACACCAAUAAGAACACCGUCGAUCUUCCGCUCCGGUAUAAGUUUAACCACGCACCUGACCGUUGAACUUCCAAUCCGGAACACAACCAGAUCCGUUGCAAAACACACACACCAAAAAAUCACUGAAAAGGAGGUUGAGUUCACACAACAACCACAACUAAUACCACUCCUGUAACUGUUAUCACCACCACCACUGCUCCUUUAUAUGAAGUGCAACUCCAAUACAGAAACGUAUGGGAGAGUGAAUAAGAGCCACCGGAACCAUCAAAAACCCACGGUAGAACAACUCGUCACAACUGACGAAAAGAUCUAAAAAACCCAUAAAACUAAGCGACAAAAAAGAGCAAAUUGAUGAAAAAGCUGAAAGAGAAAAGAGAGAUCUCCCCCGGCAUAAGCGACAAGCGCCACCGGGGGAAAAAACGAAGAUCAGAUCAGAGGGAUUUGGGUGUGACGGCUGGAGAGAAUUGGUAAAUUAGAGCUGAAAGAGAAAAGAGAGAUCUAUUGAGUGUUUAUAGAAUCAUUUCUAACAUCAGAAAAAUCAUUGAGGUGAAGAAAGCACUGAACAACCUUCAACAUAAGGUGUGGUUAUUCAAGAAUUUCUUUGGAGAGUUUAUGAGUCUAUGGGCAGAACUGGAGCGGUUCAGACCACCAACAACUGAUGUGAAGGAUCUGAAUGAGAAGCGUGAGCAAGAUCAAGUGUUUGGAUUGCUGCUUUCUCUCAAUGGAUCACAGAAAUGAUUCAUCGUAUCUUAAGUUUUGACAAGUUUCCUAGUAUUAAUAAAGUUUAUUUGUUGAUCCAGAAGGAGGAGGGUUCAAGAAGUCUCUUCCAUGGUACCAAUCAGACUUGCCUAUGUGAGUAGAGGAAGCGCUUUUCAACCAACUGUAAGGAGAAACUACAAUAUGAUCUGUGACCAUUGCAAGCGCAUGGUACCUAGGAGAAGUGUUGAAUGUUUAGACCUGAAUUUAGACCACAAAAAGAGAUGAACUACCCAGUUAGGAACAAUACAACCACAUGGAAGAGAAGAUCUGGUGAGGAAGUCAGACUUGGAUGCUGAACCAAACCAAAAAACAAAAUAACCCAACUGAAACCAAACCAAACUUCGUAAAUACAUGAACGGUUCUUAAAUAUCUAGAACCAAAACACCAAAAAUCAAAAUAUCCAAUCCAAAAUCGAAUGCUGAAGACUAAUAGUGCAUCUACAUUUAAAUGGUUGGAAGAAAAUAUUAUAUUUUUACAAAUUAUUUAACUCUUUUUAGUGGGUACAUAUGUGGUUUAUAAACAAAUUAAGAUAUAAGCAGUGUUUUUGUAUCUGAUUCGGACCCACACGGUUGAAUCGGUAAACUUGGUUGCUAUAUAUAAUCCGGACUGGCUUUCUUCAUGUGACAUUCUACUGAGGUUCUAACAAUUGAUAUAUUUUCACAAAAUUCAGAUUUAAUGAAAACACUAAAUUUUGAAGGGCGGGUAUAUUUUAAUUUCAAUUUUUUUAGAAAUUUAAUUUUCAUAUUUAUGUUUUUUUUUAUAAUUAUAUUUGUGUUUUUCUUUGUAAUAAUAUAUGUGUAUAAAUCUUAAUCAAAAUCUAUUUUAUAAAAUACUGGUCAUUUAAAAGUUGACGGCAUACACUUAAUUUUUUGUAAUCUUAUUGUAUAUAUGCCCGUUUCUUUGUAAUCAUAUUUGUCGGUUAUAGAUCUUGAUCCGCAUGUAUAAUGUUGGUUUGUACUUUUUUAUCACGUCAGUUACCAAAGAAACAUUUAUGCCAAUAAAUGUUUUUUAAUAGUAAGUGACUAUAAAUCAAGAUACCAAAGAAACAAAAACAUUAAAAAAUCAUCUUUUUUUAAUUAAAUUUAUGCCAAUAUAUAUUGAAAUUCCAAACACUUAUUCCAAUAUAUAUUGACAUUCCAAACACAUAUCAAUUGUAACUAUAACUUUAUUUUUUUAAUGUAAAUAUGUAACAUUUUUAUAUGUUAAAGAAAUUUAAUUUAUAUGUUUGUGUAUAAUUUUUUAAAGAUUAUUAGUAAGAGUUUUUGAUAAUUGUAUUGAAUUUGUGAUGUUACAUAACUAUACAAUUGUGUCAUGGUCAUUUCACACAUUAAUUUUGUACUUUAUUUUUAAAGAAUGAUUAAUUUAGAAAAAUAACAAAGUUAUAGUUACAAUUGAUAUGUGUUUGGAAUGUCAAUAUAUAUUGGAAUAUGUGUUUGGAAUUUCAAUAUAUAUUGGCAUAAAUUUAAUUAAAACAAAAUUGAUUUUUCUAAUGUUUUUGUUUCUUUGGUAUCUUGAUUUAUAGUCACUUACUAUUAAAAAAAAAUAUAUUGGCAUAAAUGUUUCUUUGGUAACUGACGUGAUAUAUUAAUUGAUGUUUGUAUGAAUAACUGCAUCAAUGUAUUUGUUAAUCAAACUGGUCAUGGUGGUUAAUGUGGUGGUUACCCGAUUAUUAGGUAUGUGGUGGUUAGAUUCAGAAAUUAAAUUUAAUUUCAGUUAUAUUUAAAAGGUAUAUUUUGUUGAAAUAAUAGUUGGACACAACAUUUUAUCAAUAGGUCAUGUUUCUAAUUUAAUAGUAUUGAUAUAUUUAAAAUGUAUGUUUUGUUAAAUAAUAGUUGGACACAACUUUUUAACAAUAGGUCAUGUUUCUAAUUUAAUAGUAUUGACUAGAUUCUGACCCGCCCCUUGAAAGGGCAUGUAUUUUUUUUGUUUUAUUAUUUUUAAAAUCUAACUUUUAUAUUUGUGCUUUUUUUUGUAAUCAUAUUUGUGUUUAAUGUUAAUCUAAUUUAAUAUAAUUUUUGGUAACUAUAUUAAAUAUGCCAAGUUGCAUAACUAUACAUUUGUGUCAUACGCAUUUCAAAAAUUAUUUUUAAACUUUAUUCCUAAAAUUUGCAACAUAUCAUAUUUUUAAUAGAUACCUAACAUAAUUAGUAUAAAAUAUUUGUACCCCAAAAACUCGAUUCAGAAUCGACCCGAAAAUCAAAAUCUCAUACUCUUUUAGACAUGGUCUAUAUACUCAAACGGUUCUUAAAGUAUUAUAUCCGAAAGCCAAUAUCAAACCCAACCCGCACCAAAAACGAACAAAUUUUUUGAAAAAUAUUUGAAAAAAUAAAUUUAAUAUAUUCUGUAAAUAUAUAUAUGGGUUAAUAUGGUCUUCAUUAACUUUAAGUAAAAUCAAAUAAUCUAUUUAAAACCCGUUAAACUAAAUGAGUUUAUUUAAAACCCGUUAAACUAAUUGAAACUACUAUAAGUGUUUUAUUUUGUAUUUCGUAAAGAAUAUAAAGUGUCUAUAAUGUAAUAAUUACAUUUUAUACUCCUAAACCGAUAUUAUGAGGAAUAAUUAACAUAUCACUGUAGAAAGAUAUGUCAAUAAUGUAACUGUAUAUAUUAUUAUAUAAAAUAAUGUGUUAUAUUAAUCAAAUAAAAUGUUAAAUAUCUAAAAAGAAAAUGGUUGAGAUUAUUGAAUAACACAAAAAAAAUGUCGAUGGAAUACUGUCGAAAGGAGUAAACGUAAUUUUUGUAUAAACCCAGAAGGAAGAAAUAAAUGCUAUAUAAUAUAUAACUGUUGGCUAAUAUAAAUAUUAGAAAGAAGUGGCUACCGAUAAUUUUAAAUCAUAAUUGAAUUAAUAGUUAAUUGGUAAAUAUUUGUAUGUUCUUAUUAUAUAAAUCAUAAUUGAAUAAAUUGUUAGUUGGUAAAUAUUUUCAUGUUUUUGGUUCAAAAACUAUUGAUGGAACUUUUUAAUGAAAUUUUAAAUUUGUUACAAAAUAUCAGUGAUAUAACUUGUAUUAUAUUACGUUGAAGUAAUGUUAAUUUUCAACAUUUUUGGAUCUAUACUGGAAUAACCUGAGAAUUUUUCCAAAUUUAUUCAAAGGGUAUUUGUUAAUCUAAAUUUUAAAGAUGAGUAGUCUUUACAAAAAAAAAAACUGUAUAGUAAUAAAUUAAACUUAUAUCAAAUGUUUGGUAAGUAUUAUAAAUAACCUAUUUAAUAUGAUGAUAACGUAUUGAAAUUGGCAUUAGGAAUCUAAAUGUUUUCCAUUUAUAUUUUCUGAACUUAAACACAUUUAAUGAAACAUGUUAAAGUGAUCGCACUUUUUAAAACUUGUUUAUGAAAUUCUCACAUAAACCAUAUUAUCUGAUUCAUAGAGGUGAUUCAUUGAGAGGGAUGUAUUGAUAUAGUUAACAUUAUACUGUGAGUGAUAAUGCGAUGAAUUUUGUAUAUGAUAAAUGAUGACUUGAUGUUUGACCGUAACAACAAAAGUGUGGGUUCCGCAAAAAUUGUUUAAUGGGAUGUCAACCGUAACAUGCAGAAUAAUUAAUUGGUUACUAAAAUAUUGGACAUAACUUUAUCAAUUGGUCACACUAGUGUUUUAAUAGAAUAGAUAGUAAACCAAAACUUUCAACAAUGUAGUAUUAUGCGGGUAUUAAGAUUCAUCUCACUUUUAUUCACACCACAAUAGUUAAACAAUAAUAUUAUGGUUGAUGUUACUAUUGAGCACGUAAACAGCAAAAAGAGAAUAAAUGUCAUAUUGGGUUUAACAAAUUUAGAAAAUGCGGGUAUAAUAUAGUUAUAAAUGUAGUAUUACGUGGGUAUUAACCGUAAUAAAACUAUAUAUCAAUGUUUGGGAACGCGCUAGGCGCUAGUCGGGCGGCUAGAUUGGGCCUAGCGCUUAGAGGUUAGUCUUCAAUAAUGCUCUUAUUUUAAUACUAAACAAAAUAAGUUGGAAAAACUAAAUGUUAUUUUAUAAGUGUACUUCUGUUUUAAUAAAGUAGAUGAGCAUAAGGUUAGUCUCUAAUAAUGCUCUUAUUUUAAUACUAAGUGGAUUGUUUAUAUUCAAAUAUUGAAUUACUUUUAUUAGCUUUUGUCCUUUACAAAAAUUAUAACCUAAAAUGAUGUUAUUAGUAUUAUACAUCCUACAAACAAUAGUUAUUUCCUAUAAAAUAAUAUAAAUUCUAAUUCUAAUUUCUUUUCAUAGUAUAUAAAUCUUAAUUAAAAUACCAGUGAAAAAAAUUGUAUGAUAUAUUUUCUUUUAAUUAUUUAUUUAAGUUAAUAUAUAGUUAGUUUCAGUUUAGUUGAUUUAUGUUUACUGAAAUAUAUAUAUAUAUAUAUAUAAUUAAAAUUGUAACCAAAACAAUUUUUAGAGAAAUAAAAUUGUAACAAUUUAUACAUAGAAGGGAUAUUCUUAUAAAAAAUGUGCAUAACAUAUCAAAAAUAAUCAAUUAAGCAAUUAAGUGAAAGAGAAUUUUUAAACAGGGUGAAAGGUUAGGAUUUGAACCUUGAUAUGUUCAAUCAUCAACCAAAAUUUUCAUUUUGCUAUAUAUAAUAAGCUUAACAUGUAAUCAAUUUUUUUAAUAAGCUUGAUAUAAUAAGCUUAACAUGUAAUAAAUUACCAUUUACUGCAUACUCGGUCCUUUCCGGAUAAAUGCGUGAAAACUCUCCACCUGGAUAUCGAUUAAAAAUUAGGCUUCAAGUUGUUUUCAAAAACAAGUUAAAAACUCUUAUUAAAACAUCUUUUUUUAUAACGUUGAUUUAUUAUGAUAUUACACUUAUGAGAAAUAUUUCAUAGACGAUUCGACAACCAACAAUACUAUCUGUCUUAUGAAGAUCUACGCCUACCUGCAUCAUCUGAGCUGUCCUAUGAAGAUCUAUUUCUGACCAGAUUUACUUGCACCAUGUUGAAGAUUCCUUGUAAACCUUUCUUCUGUAACCUGCAUUAAUAAAUCGUUCUUUCCAGGACUUGAAACCUGGAUUUCCUGUAAUUUGCAAGAAAUUGCAUAGUCUGGAGUUCGAACCCCAGACCUAGGUGUAGAAGCCUUUAAACCUUAACCACUAGACUACAGUGCUUCUACUAUUAAAACAUCUUAAAAAGUUAAUUACGAUGACAACUGAUGCAUGAUUUAAGCACAAUUGCCAAUAGAUGGAAACAUAGCAAACCGGUAAUAACUUAGACUAAAACACGUUAACAAACACGUUAUAUAUUCAUGUGAACAAAAAUUAUGCUAAGCUACAAUUAAUGACUAAUGGAAAAGAGUGUAAUCUUUUUUAUAUUAAAAGAUAAGUAUUGUAAUAAAUGCAUUCACACUAUAAUAGAUACAUGACAGCCUCACAAUAAUUUGAUAAUAAGUAUGCUAACGCGUUUAUACAAUAUUCAUAAAUGUGUUCACACUAUGUACUUUGCAUUUUUUUUACUAUAAAACUUACAUACAUGAUUCUAAUAAAACUCUGGAUUUUUCUGUUCCAAUAAAAAUUGAUAACGAAUCAAAAGCCAAACUAUAUAUAUAUUAUUUUUAUUGUUUACGGAUAAAGUUGAGCAAAAUAUUCAUAAAUUUUGAUUCGAUUCGUUAUCCGUUUUGAUUGGAACCAAAAACUCUAGAUAUCCGCACUCUACGAAACAAAUCAAAUACUAAAAUACAAUAUCCAAAAAAGAAGCAAAUCACAAAUACCAAUAAUUUUAGAAACACAUAUCUAAUUUGACAUGUUAUAUGCAUAUAUAUACAUAUAUGUAAAAAAUUAUAUAUAUAUAUAUACAUUAUAUAUAUUAUACUUUAUAUCAGUUUCACAAUAUUUUUAUGAAUUAAAUUUUUUAUAUUAGAUACUAAAAUUUAAAAAGUUAAAUACUGUUUUAUUUUUGUAAUAAAAUUUUAUUAUUGCAAUUUUCAAUUAUUUUUAAAAUUUUAUUUUAUUUACGGAUCAAAUAGGAUAUUCUUUAAAAUUCUAAAACAUUUCAAAUAUCCGAGUCACCGAAUAUCUAGGUGGCUAAGGAUCGAAUCGACACGAAUGCUUCCAAAUAUCUAGAUAUUUGAUAUGUGUCCACCCUAUUUACGGAUACAAUUUUAUUUUAUUUAUAUGAAAAUUGACUAAUGUCAAAGCUUUUUUAUUUUAAAUUAAUUUUAAUUUUAUCUUUCAUGUAUUAUUUUGAACAAAAAUAUCAUUUAAUAUUAAUUAACAAUAUCUUUAUAUAUUUUUUAACUAUUUUUAUAUAAUUUUUACAUACACAUACAUGUGCACCUUGAUGUGAUCACCUUGUAACUAAGUAUUCACCACAACUGUAGUAUCUAAUUUGUUUUUAAAGUUGAAAUAUUUUUUCUUAAUGCGCCGACCAAAUAGUAGUGAAAUGAUUUGUCUUAAUAAUUUUCUUUUCUUUUUCUUAAACUAUUAUCUGUUUAGAAAUUAUAAUACGAAACUAUUGUUUCGACAUGACGACUAUCUAAAAUUUAUAACAGGAAAAUAAAUAAAUAAUAUUAAUUUUUGGUUUUUACCAGAAAAAAACCAAAAAAUCAAAUAUUUUAACCGAAUAAACUAAAAUGAAUAUUAAUUUAAAAUAAUAGUUAUAUUUUAGAAGAUUAAAAACCAAAAAAAAAACUUAAUACCGAACCAAUAUCCAGAUUAAAUAGAUUUAAUGUCUUUUUAUUAAAAAUAACGAAACUAAUAAUUACAUUCCGCGCAAGGUGCGGAUUAUUACCCAGUAAUUCUAGUAAAAAGAAUGCAAUUAAUUAGAGAGGGUGAGAAUGAAUAUAAUGACAUUCUCGUUAAUAAUACAUGAACAUAAGGUUAGUCUCCAAUAAUGCUCUUAUUUUAAAACUAAGUGGAUUGUUUAUAUUCAAAUAUUGAAUUAAUUUUAGUAGCUUUUGUCCUUUACAAAAAUUAUAACCUAAAAUGAUGUUAUUAGUAUUAUACAUCCUACAAACAAUAGUUAUUUCCUAUAAAUAAUAUAAAUUCUAAUUCUAAUUGCUUUUCAUAAUAUAUAAAUCUUAAUUAAAAUACCAGUGAAAAACAUUGUAUGAUAUAUUUUCUUUAAAUUAUUUAUUUACAUUAAUAUAUAGUUAGUUUCAGUUUAGUUGAUUUAUGUUUACUGAUAUAUAUAUAUAUAUAUAAUUAAAAUUGUAACCAAAACAAUUUUUAGAGAAAUAAAAUUGUAACAAUUUAUACAUAGAAGGGAUAUUCUUAUAAAAAAUGUGCAUAAUAUAUCAAAAAUAAUCAAUUAAGCAAUUAAGUGAAAGAGAAUUAUUAAACAGGGUGAAAGGUUAGGAUUUGAACCUUGAUAUGUUCAAUCAUCAACCAAAUUUUCCAUUUUGCUAUAUAUAAUAAGCUUAACAUGUAAUCAAAUUUUUUAAAAGUUAUGGGAUCACUAAUGUUAUGAUUUGCAAGUUAAUUUUGCACAACAUGAAACGUGCCAUACUGUUAGUACUUAGAUGUGACUAGUAAGGAUAAGUACAAGUUACAACAAGCUUGUAACAUGCCAUAUUUCUCGACUUACUAACUUUGUGUUAGCUAAUCUGUUAUUUAUUGUAGUUAAAUAAAAUGUUUUAAUACCAACAAAGUAGUCCUAACUUUUUCUUGUUUUGUCGGAAUCCUAAAGAAUAAAAAAAGACAGAGACCUCACAACUCGCAAUAUAUCCCCAAGCCCAAUGAAGGCUAGAAAAUAGAGUUAGAGUGUGAUAGUGAGAAAAGGCAAACUAAAACAUCACCUGCUCAGAUAAUAGAAAGAGAGAGAAGUUUUGUUCAAAAAAAAAAAAAAGAAAGAGAGAGAAGCUUAAAAUCAAACAAACUCUCAAUGGACGAGAGACCCGAGACAGAGUUAAUAUCAAUACCAGCAACGCCGCGAGUCUCCACUCCGGAGAUUCUAACUCCAUCCGGUCAAAGAUCUCCUCGUCCCGCCACCAAGCCGUCGUCGGCGGCAUGGACUCCGACCUCUUUCAUAUCGCCAAGGUUCUUGAGUCCUAUUGGGACGCCUAUGAAACGCGUUCUUGUCAACAUGAAAGGUUAUCUCGAAGAAAUGGGUCACCUCACCAAGCUCAACCCACAAGACGCUUGGCUUCCUAUCACCGAGUCUCGCAACGGAAAUGCUCACUACGCUGCGUUUCAUAACCUCAACGCCGGUGUUGGGUUUCAAGCCCUCGUUCUUCCCGUCGCGUUUGCAUUUCUUGGCUGGUGCGUUUGCGUUUUGCUCUGUUCUUUUUCUAUUUCCAAUAAUCGUUUUACUAUUUCCAAUAAUCUUUUUUUUCUUCUGUUCAAACCAUCUAUUGUUCAGAUCCACUUAUGAAUUUAAAAAAAAAAUCGUCAGAGAUAAAAAAAAUAUAUGUACUAUUUUACUUUUCAACUUUCGAAAUAAAUCAAUCUUUUUAGUAGAUAUUUUUUGAGAUUCACUUUAAUUUGUCAUGCUUCCAUCAUUACACUGGCCACUCUCAGACAUACUUUUGGGUUUAGUUUGGAUUAAGACAGGACCGUCUUUAUCGUCGAUUUUGUUUCUUGUUGAGUUCCAGCAAAAUAUACAUUUAUUUAUUUAAUAUAUUUAUAUAUUCUCCCUUUAUUUUGUAUAAUAACUAGUUUUUAUAUGAAAAAUAUAAAAUGUAAGAUCAAACAUUUGAAUCAUUUUAUAACUUGGGUUCGAGUAUUUGGGUAGUUAAUUGGCUUAGUAGUGGAUCAAUAUUUGUGAUUAAGAUUUUAGUGACAAUAGCCUAUUGUUGUUGUUAAGGAUAAACUAUAUUUGAAUUAUUGUUGUGUAGGAGUUGGGGGAUACUAUCAUUGACAAUAGCCUAUUGUUGGCAACUCUACACACUGUGGAUUUUAGUUCAGUUACACGAAGCUGUCCCAGGGAAACGUUACAAUCGAUAUGUCGAGCUUGCACAGGCUGCAUUUGGUAAUUGAAUUUAAGUUAUUUUCAAUGGAAAUUAACUUAAUUGGUGGAUCAUUAUUACUAAAAUCUUGGAUUCUUGAUUUUGAAACAGGAGAAAGAUUGGGAGUUUGGCUUGCGUUGUUUCCUACGGUUUACUUAUCAGCAGGAACAGCAACAGCUCUGAUUCUGAUCGGUGGAGAAACAAUGAAACUCUUCUUUCAGAUAGUUUGUGGUCCGUUAUGCACCUCGAACCCGUUAACUACGGUCGAGUGGUAUCUGGUGUUUACUUGUCUAUGUGUCGUUCUGUCUCAGCUUCCGAACCUCAACUCUAUUGCGGGACUUUCCUUGAUAGGAGCAGUCACUGCAAUAACUUACUCUACAAUGGUUUGGGUUCUCUCUGUGAGCCAACCAAGACCAGCUACAAUAUCCUACGAGCCGCUUUCUAUGCCUUCAGUUUCUGGUUCGCUUUUCUCUGUCUUGAAUGCUCUUGGCAUUGUAGCUUUUGCCUUCAGAGGUCACAACUUGGUUCUUGAAAUUCAGGUAAAGAAAAUGAAAAAUGUUUAUGUUUAUGUAAAUAAAUAAAUAAUGCAAUACUGGACUUGUGAACUACUGAGUAUUGAAAUAAUUUGCAGUCGACGAUGCCAUCAACGUUUAAGCAUCCAGCUCAUGUACCAAUGUGGAGAGGAGCCAAAGUUGCUUACUUCUUCAUUGCUCUCUGCAUCUUUCCAAUCUCCAUUGGAGGCUUUUGGGCUUAUGGGAAACUCGUAAGUUCCAUUUACUGUGGUUUAUCUUAUCAAAGCUAUGAUCUAUAUUUUUUCAUUGGUUGGGCUUCGGUUUAAACCGGUUUAUUCCUUUGAUGGCAUCGUCGACUGCAAAUUAUUAUCAAUGCUAAAAUACUGUAUAUUUUCUUUGGUCUAAUAGAUGCCUCCAGGAGGUAUGCUCGCUGCUCUAUAUGAAUUCCACAUUAACGACAUUCCGCGAGGCUUGUUAGCGACGGCAUUUCUCCUAGUAGUCUUCAACUGCCUGAGCAGCUUUCAGAUAUACUCCAUGCCUGCCUUUGACAGCUUUGAGGCUGGCUACACUAGCCGAACCAACAAACCAUGUUCGGUCUGGGUCAGAUCAGGUUUCAGAGUCUUUUUUGGUUUUGUCUCGUUUUUCAUCGGAGUUGCUCUCCCUUUCUUGUCUAGUCUCGCGGGUUUGCUAGGGGGACUCACGCUCCCGGUCACGUUUGCUUAUCCUUGCUUCAUGUGGGUUUUGAUCAAGAAACCGGCCAAGUGCAGUUUUAGUUGGUAUUUCCAUUGGGGGUUGGGUUGGUUAGGAGUUGCAUUCAGCUUGGCCUUCUCCAUUGGUGGGAUAUCGAGUAUGGUUACGCAAGGACUUAAGCUUAAGUUCUUCAGUCCUAACUAAGUAUUAUCCGAUGUAAGUCAGUGGUUUUUGUUUGGGUGAAUUUUUUUUUUUUAAAUUAUGUGUUGUCUGUGUUUUGAUUACGAGUGCCUUGUUUUUGAAUUGGAACAAAUGUAUUUUAACAAUAUUUAGCAUUUUGAAUUUUGAAGGUAAGUGUGGGUUGGCCAAAAUAAUGACACAAUAUUUAGUGAAUUUGUUGACAAUCCUUAGUUGAAAAUUGAAGUUCUCCCAACGUAGCUUUCCCUUUUUCAACUUAUUCUCAGAAAUACAUGUAAUCAUAUUUCUUUAGCAUUUAUUAUACCCCAAAUUAUUUAUGUAUAUCCAAAUAGUUAAACAUCAAAAAUAUGUAAAUUAAAAAUGCUGGAAUUAUAUUUUUAUUAAUUUAUAAAUAUUAAUUAAAUAAUAUUAAAAUAUUAAUAAAAUAUUUAAAAUGUUAAAAAUGUUGGAAUUAUGUAAAUACUAAUUUAUAAAAUAAUAAUUUUGUGUUAAUAAAAAUAUUAGUUUAAAAAUAAAAUUUAAAUAUUUAUAUAAUAAUAUUCAUGGUUCUUAUAUUAUUUAAACUUUAAAAUUAUGAUUUUAUUAGUUAUUUGUUAUAUAAGGAUAUUUUUAUAAUAUAAAUACAGUUUAAAUUUAUUACAAAAUAGUAUAAAAAUAUAUAAAAAUUAAGUUAAUUUUAUUUUAAAAGCAAAGAUUAUAUUAUUUAUGUUUUUAAAAGACAAUUUUAAAGUUUUAAAAUUUAUUACUAUAUCAAAUUAUAUUAUAUUUUGAAUUGAUCUAGCUUUUGAUAAAAUGUUAUUUUAAAAAACAUUAUUGAUUUAUCAAAUAUUAAGUUAUGGACUUUAUACGUUUUAACUUUCACAUAUGGACACCCAUAUUUAUAACUGAAAAUGAAAUUUUAUCCGAUAUCAGUUACUUAGGUAUUUUUAGAAAUAUGAAAAAUUGAAAAAAGACACUUUGAACUUUUGUAUGUCUCAUUAAGACUUUUGAUAUUUUUGGAAAUGUUUUAUUCUUUUAUAAUGAAAAAAUAGUAAAUAAAAUUUUUAAAAUAUAAAAAAUAUGAAAAUUUUUAGAAACAUUAGUAUGACUUUUUAUAUGUUUGAUUUUCUUAAAAAAGUAGUGAAAAUAUAUUUUAUUUUAUGUAAAAUACUCAUUCUGACCAUCUAGUUAAUCUAGAAAUCAGAUACUAAGUAUUAUACACAAAUCUAUCGUUGGUAUCUAACACAAACAAAGCUUUCUUUUAUAUUCUACAUUUGAUAUAAUCCGUUCGGUUUUAUUCUGGCAAGAUGUCAUUAAUCUACCAGAAGCUUGAUUACAAGUUAUAGAAUUAACUCUACGAUUUUUCUUAUCUUGUCUAUGUAUUUUAAUUUGUCCUACCUAUUACCUAAUGCUACGCUAAGGGAAGGACAUGUUUCCCAUUUACUAUGCAGUGUUCUGAUAAUUUUUGCCUGGAAAUAACUCUACUGAUGGUGGUUCAUCUCAUAAAAAUCUGGAGAUUUUUUCCUGACAAUUAUAGUUCCUAUACUAUUGGUUCAUCUCAUAAAAAUCUGGAGAAUUAACUUUCAUAUUUUCAUUUUAGUUGAGGAAAAAAAGAGAAUAAAAUUAAUAAUUGAUGUAGCGAGAAGCCGAGAGCAGUCACAAUACACAUGCUAAGAGGCAAUGAUGUGAGAAGCCACGAAUUAGGGAACGCCAUCAUACUUCUGUAAUUAUGGAUAUAUUUAAAAAAACGGUGGGUGGUUGAUCACACUACAUAUAGACAACUUUUGGAUCAAUAUAAACAUUCUUUUAAGGAUUUAUGUCUCUUUUUGUUUUUGCAAAUGAUUCAAAUCUUAUGAUGACAUCAAUUUUAUUUGACAGUUAAAGAUCAGUGACACCCACUUCCAGGGCCGGCCCUAGGGGACUAGGCGGGUUUUAAAAAAUUUCAGCUAAAUAUUUGUUUUGGUAAAUUUGGAGAUCUAAAAAAAAAAUUUUAGAAGCUUUUUUCUAUGUAAUUUUUUUAAAAAAUUGGGGUCUAAAGCCAAUGUUUCGUUAGGCUUUGCCAAGACCGGCCCUGUCCACUUCUUAAGUGUAUUAAACAUAUCUUCUUAGAAUAACUUCCUCGGAAACUAUAUAGUACUUAAUAUGCUUAACAUUUUAAAUUUUCUAAAGUUCUUAUGAUAGCAUGUUACAAGAUCCGUAAUAUAUGUUUUCGUAUACAAUAAUUAUUGAUCAUGAAUGCUUAAAAGGUAUGAGCAGUAAUUAGAGGAUUAAAAAUAAUAGUAUAUUACUUCAAGCAGUAAUUCUGCGGUUAGGCUAUUUUAUUACUUCUAGGCUUCUAGCAGUAAGUCGAAAACCAUUUUACUUCUAGCAGUAAGUCGAAAACUAUAUUACUUCUAGCAGUUAAAAUAAUAUAUAACUUCUAGCAGUAAGUCAAAAACCCAUUUUUAUAAACGACCUAGUUAAAUAGUAAUUAUAAAUAACAAUUAAAAUAAAACGUAUAUAAGAAAAUCUUCACAACCUUCUUGAGAAAGCAAGCUAGGUUUUACAGCAUUAUACAGAGAAAACAUGAAUACCAAUUAUUAUAAAUAUUUAUCUAUCUUAUUAAAACAGAAACACUGUGUUGGACCUAACUUUUAUUUUGUAAGUUUUUAAACUAAAUACACAUUUCUACUUUAUAGUUAUACUUACAUUAAAUCACUAAUAUUUUUUACUUUAUACUACUAUUCAUGUUUUCAAACGAUAUACUCAUUUCUUUAUACUACUAUCUAUGUUUCUAAACAACAUUAUAAUUAAUUUUGUGUCCAAACAAUAUAAAGUAUUAGAUCUCGUCUUUUUAGUAAUUUCUAGCAAUUAUAUUUUAAAAUAUUUAGAUAAAUUAAAUAAUUGAAAACUUCAAACAAUUUAUUAAACAACAAAAAUAAAUAAAACUUAAUUUUACAGGUUUAAAUACUACAAAACAUUUCAAUCAAUAAUAAAUCAAUUAAAUUAAAGGAUUAUUUUACUUAUAUUUCCUAAACAAUGGUUAUAUCAUUUAUUUAAGCAACAUAAUAAUUCAAUAAUAGCCAUUACAUAAAAUAUAUAUAAAUGUUAUACAUUGUAUAAUAAAUAUAAUAACAAAAAAAUUAUGGAAAAUGUUCAAAAUAUAUGUUAUCUAAAGAAAAAUGUUUAACACUAACUGUUAACAACACAUUUAAACCGGUUAUAAUAUAAACCAAAUUAUAACAAGAUAAAUUACACAAAAUAAUUAUAAUAAAAUUAAUUAAGAUAUGUAAAAGAGAGUAAUAUGAUCAAGACAUAUAUAUAUAUAUAUAUGUAUAUAGUUCUUAAUUAUUUUAUUAUAUCUAUCAUUUCUCUAUCAAAAUUUUGUGUAAAUGUCAUAAUUUCAUAAGAUAUCAAAACACUGACCUUUAAAAUUUGGAUUAAAAGGAGAUAAAUUAUGAAACUAAAACAAUUUAAAUCAAAUUAGAUUACAUAUAGAUCAUCCAUCGGUUCAAUCGGGUAGUCUCGGGUUUUAAUGAUUUUUAAAUAUGGAUAUUUUUAAAAAUCUAAUCAAAUUAUCAUAUCACCGGAUUAACCGGUUUGAUCACAGGUUUAUGUCGAAUUUAAAAGUACUGAUUUAAAUGCAAAAAUAUUUUAGAUGCACAAAAUACUUACAAAUUAACAAAAUAUUUGUUAAGUUUUUAAUAAAAAAAAUUCAUAAAAAUAUUGGCGUUUUGAAAACGCGGGUGAAGAUUUAGUUAAUAUGUUACAUAAGCCAGGCUAGCUAUUUCAUAUCGGGAGAAGUGAGACUACAUGCAAAGUUCGAACGUUACAUAAAAAACCCGCAUCAUGGGUGGUGUUGCAGUUUUGGCUAUUAUAUGAUUGUAUUUUUAAUCUUUGUAAACACAAAUUAACCUUUUUAAAAAGAAACAAGCCAGAAAGUAUCUUGGAGAGCAAGGGAGUAUAUUGGAGAAAAGGCAAGAGCAGGUCACCUAAGUCAUUAGUGAAGAUCCCGAAGGCAAGAGGAAAGAAAUGAAGAGAGAGUAGAGUAGGAAGCAACAGGAAGCAUAGUGGCUGAGUUUAUGCUUGAUCCUAAACAAUAUGGGCAUUGAAAAGUGAAGAUGAAAGCAAGCUUACAAAGUAUUGAUAUGGAUGUUUGGACAUCAGUGGAAGAUGGCUAUGAAGUUCCCAAAACAGUAGAUAAAGAUGGUGUUGUGGUCAACAAACCAUUAGCUAAAUGGACAAAGCGUGAGAAGGAGAUGUCAAGUUAUAAUGCAAAAUUUUAUGUGGUAUUUUUACAUCCAUCAAAAAUAAGCAUCUCGAUCUGAUUCAAGGAUGCAAGAAUGCAAAAUAGGCGUGGGAUAUUCUGCAAUUCCCCUUUGAAGGAACUGAGAAGGUUAAGAAUUCAAGCAUGGAUUUUUUUUAAAUUGAAAUUUGAGAACUUGAAGAUGGAAGAACAUGAAUAUGUAUCAGAUUUUAGUUCUCAACUCAGUGCGUUAGCACAAGAGACUCGUGUUCUGGGCAUGGAAUACAAGGACAAGAAACAUGUGAAGAAGUUUUUAAGGUGUCUACCAGAAAGAUUUAUAGCUUAUAAGACAACAACGUUUGUGUGUAUGCCAGAUAAAUUCAACUUUCACAAAGUAGUGGGUAUGUUAAAAGCUCAUGAGAUGGAGCUUGAUGGCGUGGGCAAUCAUACUGAAGUCAACCUGGCAGUUGCUGAAACGACAAGUCAAAAAUCAGAGAAUGAAGAUGAGAUGGUUAAGAUGAUUCGCGUGCUUCACCAAGUACUACGGAAAGUGAUACUGUGGCAAGGACAUGAGAAUGUUGAUGUGAGGAAACAAAGGCAAGAAACUGACAAGCCAUGCGAUAACAAAGAGGUGUAAUGUUAUAAAUGCAGAGGAUAUGGAAAUUUCAAAAGGGAGUGUUCAAUGGCCAAGAGAAGAAGAUUCAAAAGCUUAGGUGCAGAGAAAUUGGAGGCGAUGAGAUGCAGAAGAAAGAGAGAUCAUUCAUAAGGACAUAUGAAAAUGACAACAUACGACAUGUCAUGAAGUUCAGUUAUGAAUAAGUUUUGUUCUAAAGUUUAAACAAUAUUGUUCUUUUUUAAUUUAAAUAGAGUUUCUUAAAUUUAUGUAGUUGCUAGUUGUUAAUUUUAAUUUGUUUAUGUUUCAUUUUGUAUGAUUUUUUGUUCGUACAAGACUUUUGUUUGUCAUGACAUGUCGUAUGUUGUCAUGUAUAGUUAGUUUCGUAUGGUUGAUAGACGAGACUCCAUUUGAAGGACAACAAUAUGGUUUAAGGAAGUCACGUACACAAUUUCUUUUGAAAAGACUGGAAAUACAGAGUUUAAUCAAGUACAAAUCAUUAUUUUGGAACUGAUAACCCAAUUACUAUCCGUAACCGAAACUAUUUCGAAUUUAACAUGAUCUUAGACAUGUAACUAACCGCAAACCGAACCUGACUAAACCUGAACCAAAUCCGACCUGAACUAUUAUAAUAUUUGAAUGGGACUGAAAUUAAUUAUUCGAAAAAAACCAAAACCCAAACCGAAACUUGAUUGGGAUCCGAUUACCCAGCCCUAAUAGCAGCAGCAUCUAUUCUAUUAAAAGGGAAGCAGUCUUGAUAAAUCUAUUUAUAAAAGUUGUUUGGACCCUUUCAUUAGACUUAAUUUUUAUUGGUCUUACUUUAUAUAUUUGUACAAUAUAUUAGUCAAUACCAUAUAUUUAACCGAUUUUUAUUCCUUCCUCUAACAAGAUGCGUGAUAUUAAUUAUUAAUAUCAUUAGUUUGUUACCGAAAUUAGAGGGAAUCAAGUUAUGGAGAUUUUUCUAAAAUGUUAGAGUCAAAAGGAAUCGAAUUAUGAGAAUCAAAUUACUAUCGUGAGUUUGUUACACCCUUCUGUGCAUUCCCAUCUAUGCAGCAUGUCCAUAUGUGUUAUUUUAUUGUUUAUAAUUCUUGAUUAAAAUAAACUACAUAUUUAAUUUAGUACUAUAUAUAUACAGUAGAACUUCUAUAAACUAAAACUCGAUAGAUUAAUAAUUUUUAUAAAUUAAUAAAUUUCGUCGGUUCCAACUUGAAUCGGUUCAAAAUUUAACGUAAAUCGAUAAAAUAAUAAAAUAAUAUUUUUUUUGAAUAUUCUAUUUAAAUAUAAGAUCCCAUUUAAAUUAUAAAUUAAUAAUUUAUAUGUAUACAUAUUUUAUAUAAGUAAAACCCAAUUAUUAUAUUAUUUGUUUUAUAUUCACAAUGAAAUUAUCUUUAUAUUUUCUUAACACUUAAUAUAUUUUUGAUGAGAUUUAGUAAUAUUAUAUUUAAAAUCACAUUUAAGUUCUAUGCAAUAUAUAUUAUUAUACACACUAAAUAAUAUAAUAAAGUUAAUAUUUUUAUCUGUAACACAAUAAUAAAGUUAAUAUAAAUGUCAAAUUUCAAAAAACAAAAUUAAUGUCUAUACACUUAAAUCAAAUAUUUUUCUUUUCUUAGAAUAAAUAUAUCUUAAAAUAAAAAAUCUAAAUAAGAAAACAUUUAUAAAUUAAUAAAAUUUCAAAGUCCCAACAUUAUUAAUUUAUAGAGGUUUUACUGUUUAUAUAUAUAAUCUUUCCAUGAUGAGGAAAGAUGGACCUCUAAUAAUACAAUCAUCCAUCAACUAAAAACAUGGUUCAAAAUCUUAUUUUAAAAUUAUUAUUAUUAUUAUUAUUCGUUUUAUAUAAAACAGUUAUUCUAUAAAUUAACUUUAUGCUCAGGAUCUACAAUAUUUAUAUAUAUUGUAUCAUUAAACAUAUUGUACUAUAUCAUUUUACAUUAUAUAGUUUCAAAUAUUUACAAACUCAAAUUUAAUAAAAAUAGUUUGGCAAAUCAUAUGUUAAAACAAAAUUAUAUAUAUAUAUAUAUAUAUAUAUAUAUAUAUAUAAAUAGUUUGGCAAAUCAUAUAUUAAAACAAAAUUAUAUAUUACCUCAACUUAAUUUUUAUAAAAAUUAUUAUAAUAAAAAUAAUUAUUAAGAAAGUUUAAAAACUAUUGAAAACAUACAAAUAUGUUCUAUUGAAUUAGCUAAAAAAAUCUACUAAGUAAAUCUUAAUCCAUAUCAAUUUAACAAAUGUAACUCUUAUAAAAUAAAAAAGAUAUAGUGAGAGAGUAGGUCUGGAUAUUCAGAUAUUCGGGUCAACUGCUUUUUAUCUGGAUUCUUUGGAUCAUAAACAUUUAGACACAAUAAAUAUUUGAAUUCUUUUAAUUAGGGUUUAGGUUGGUUCCAUGUCCGGGUCGGUUCGGAAUAAUAAUUCAAAUACAUGUAACAUACAUUUAAUAUUUGGGUAUAUAUCAGAUUUAGGUUGGUUCAGAUAUUAAGAUCUGAAAAGAUUAGAAAUACCUGAAAACCUUAAAAUAAUCUGAAACUUGAAAAAUAACCAAAAACUCAACAAAUACCCAAAAUAUAUUCAGAUACUCGAAAAAGAUCUGAAAUGCUUUCCGAAGUAUAACCCAUAAAACCAAAAAUAUAUUUUAAAUUUUUACAUGAAAUCUGAAAGUAUAACUGAAAACUUAACUAAAAAAAAAGAAUAUCUGUAAUAUCGAAAACAUAUCCAAAAUACACAAAUAUACCUAAUAUACAUACAACAUUUCAUGUACGUUGGGUAUCAGACCGGGUUUUGGGUAGGAUCCGUCCAAACCAAGAUCCAGUGGUCCAAAAAAUAUCCAAUAUGUACAUUUUCCUGGACUCGGACACGAUCGUUUUUUUUUUAGAUUCGAGUAAAUGUCUAGGUUUAAGAAAGAUAAUUAUAUAAAAAUAUACAUAAAAAAAUCUCAAAUAAACUAAUUCAUAAAUUAUAUAAUUUUAAACAAAUUCACUUCUUCAAUAUUAUACAAUUUUGUUACAUAAUAAUGUACAACAGCCAUAAAAUAUUAAUUCAUGUCAAAUUUUGUCCAUAAUUAAAAAAAUCACGCUUCGAGUAUAAUUCAAAAAACUCCGCGUUUCGAAAGCGCGGGUCAAAAUCUAGUUAAACCAUUAUAAUCAGUUAAAUUUUCGUAAAUAAUAUUGCUAUUAGUGGGCUUACCGUAGUGCUUAUAGGGCCCAUAAAUGAAUGAACCAUUAAGAUAUCAAUUCAAUUUUGUGUCUUUCAGAUUGCAGCAAUACACCCACCAAAGCCUUCUUCCUCAGUUUUCAUAGCUUCACGUCUUCCUCUACAUUUGGUGGACGAUGACGCUUUUCCACUUCUUCAACUGUGCGAUUCUCACAUUUGGACCCCACGCCGUCUACUACUCCGCCACUCCCUUGUAUGCCUUCUUCCUCUUCUCGAAUCUGUGAUUUCAAACUUUGCUAUGGUUUUUGGUUUAGUCAUUGAUUGCAUCGGUUGCCUCGUGAUCUAGAAUAGUUGAUGAGAAAUCCCCAUUUUUCUUGAUAUGUGAAUCCGCAGAUCUGAAUAUGACACUCUUGGAACCUCCGUGAAGGCUGCUCUUGUCUACCUUGCCACAGCUUUGGUUAAGGUCAUUCUUGCUCAACUCUCUUGAUUUGUAUCUGAAACUCUUAGACAUGUCUUUUUUUUAGCUAAGCUCGUUGCUCGCUUUUUCAUCGCAGCUUAUUUGUUUGGCAACUUUGCUGCAAGUAUCUGAGACUCAAGUAUUCGACCCAUACCAGGUAUCUUCUUGAAGCUAAAGAUCACUCUUUAACCCACACUUGUUUUUAUUAUUCUAUACUUGAAAGGCGAUGCAAAUGAUGAACAAUGUUAGAUGUUUUGUAACUUAUCUUUUCUUGGUCACCUGUUGCAUUUCCUUCUUCUUCUUUUUUGACUCAUUAGUAUAGAUGGAUACUGUUGACUUUCUUUAUUUAUGCUAGUUCGUUUUGUUAUGUUAUGAUGGAUCCGAUCUCCCUUGUAUCAGGAAGCACUGAAAGCAAUGAUUGGCUUCAUCGAUGUUGCUGGUCUUUAUUUUGCUCUGGCUCAGCUAACACACAGGAACAUCUCCCAGAACCACAAGUUUCAAGCUGUUGGCCUUGGUAAGUGUAUCACUCUGCGGCUACAAAAAAUAUUGCUAGAUUUGAAAACGUGUUCCCUAUCUCCAGGAUAUAACUGUUGAUUUUUUUCUGUUAAUUAAAAAAAACUCCUUUUGGCGCUUUAACUGUGAUUUAAAAAUUUUGUUUUUUUUCUCAGGAUGGGCAUUUGCAGAUGCUGUUUUACACAGGUUGGCACCUCUUUGGGUUGGUGCUCGAGGACUGGAGUUCACUUGGGAUUAUGUUUUGCAAGGGCUUGAAGCCAAUGCGAAUUUGGUGUGUAUAUAUAUACAUACAAGUCUUUACUUCUAGAAAGAUCCAUCUGUAAUUGUUUCUUACUUCUGUCGGAACGUUUGUGUUCAGGUGUUCACGAUAUCUUUAGCUGCUCUAGGUUCGUUGAUGUGGCUACGCAAGAACAAGCCAAAGACAAUGAUCCCCAUCAUAUACACGUGUGCACUGAUCAUCGCCACUAUGCCUUCAAUCACAAGCUAUCUAAAGAGAGUCAUGGGAUGGCAUUUCCCAAAAAUUGUUGGGUUUGAGAUGUUAACUUCUCUGGUGAUGGCUUUCAUUAGUUGUCAGCUCUUCAUCCUCUGUCAGAGACGGUCUUUGUGAUUCCACACAUGGUCGAAAGACCAAACAAAUUUGGACUGCUCUUAGCCAUAGAACUUUUUGUUUAUGGGUAACUCUUGGGACGUACUAGCCUUGUUUUUAGUUCCUUGAAAAGUUGAUCUUUAAUUUGUAGAAGAAUACUGAACACUUUUGAAAAAAAAAGAAUAUUGAUCUGGUCAGUAGCGGUCCCACGAAGGAAGUAGGGAAAUUAUAUAAAUUGUAAGGAUAUUGCAGCAAUAUUAUCCAUGUGAUCAAGUGGCUAGAAGAUUAGUGAUGAAGUACGCUCCACCUUCCUCCUCAUGAUAUUGCAACGUCUCUGAAACAAGUUGAAACCUCCUCAUAAAUCUGAUAACUGAUAGCCGCUAGAACUUCCACUAAAUCUUUUUUUUACCUCCCACUAAAUCUAAUUUAAGUAUCCUCCAUCUCCUCUGUAAUCAAUUUUUCUCUGUACAUGGACUUUUGACAAUUUCCUUUAGGAAGGAGCAAGAAAGAUAAGAAGACAACAAUAAACCAAAUCUAGGCAUUUCUCACUAUUAUAGAUUUCUUUCUUUUCAGUUUCUGAGAGUUUUGUAUUUUUUGUUUAGAAUAUCUUUUCAACCCAGCUGUACAUUUCUUAUGGAUUUUGCUUCUUCUUUUUUUCCUUUCGUCUUUUUAUGAGCUGUAGUGGAUCAUAUCUUUAGUUUUGGCGAGCUAUUUUGAGCUUCAAUUCAAUAUAUCUGAGAAUAAAGAAAAUUAACAUUGCUUAAACUUUGGACAGAAUUGAGAGCUUCAUACACAGACCCUAAAUUGUUAUGUUACUUUUCCUGCAUUUGCUUAAGUUUAUGAAGAAUUUGAUAUGCCUAUCAAGUCUAAGUUGUUCAUCAGUUAUGCUUUUUUUGUAGGUUUCUAACUUGCUACAAUCAGGGAAAAUAUAGCUCAAGGAACUUAGUAACCAAAUUAAAAAACUCUUGAUCAUGUGAGAAAGCUAUAACCUAUCAUGUUUAUGUGUUUGAUUUUACUAUAAACUGAAAUGUUUAUACACUCACAUGAAUAUAAAAUUGUACACAUGAGGCAGAUACACAAUAACGUAUUUGGGAAAAUCGCAUAAAAAACCUUGAAAGUGUCACUUACUAGCACUUUAAACCUUGAAGUUUUUUCACUAACACUUUUAACCUUCAAAGUGACAUUUUUAUCAUAAAAAACUUCCAAAGAAGAAAAAUGACCUGCUGAACAGGUUAAAAACAUGUUUUUUUCAAAAAAUAAUUAUUUAAUUAAUAAAUAAACAAAAAUAAUAAUAAAAUCGAAAUUUUUUUUAAAAAACUCAUAAAUUAAAAAAAGUGAGAAAAAUAAAUAAAGAUUUAGAAAAUUAAAUAAAAAUAACUAAAAAUUAAAAAAUAAAUAAGAUCAAAUUAAAAUACAUAAAAAAUAAUAAUAAAUUUCAAAAAAUUGAAAAUUCAAAAAAAAAAAAUUUCAUUUUCAAAUAUAAUGUUGGAAAUUAUCAUUGGAGAUAUGUGUUGAUAAAAAAAAAAGACUAAGAUAACACCAAACCAAGUUUUUGUUCUCAAACUAGUAUUCAAGGCUCAAAGUCACAAAAACAAGUUUCAUUAAAGAGGUAAAUAUACACUUAUACCUCUUGCGUUAAUUAAUCCAAACUUUAGGGUUUAGAGUUAAGGGGUGAGGUUUUGGAAUUAGGGUUUAAAAUUAUAUAAAAUAAAAAAUAAAUACUAAAAAAUUUUAAAUAAAAAUUUAAAAAACAGUUUCAAAAAAUUUCACUUUUUUUAAAAAUUUAUGAUUUUUUUAUUUUUCUCCAUUUUAAUUUGAUCUUAUUUAUUUUUUUGAAUUUUUUGUUAUUUUUUAUUUAAUUUUUAAAUAUUUAUUUAUUUUUCUCAUUUUUUAAUUUGUGAGUUUUUUGUUAAAUUUUUCGAUUUUUAUUAAUUUUUUGUUUAUUUUAUUCAUUAAAUAAUUAUUUUUUAAAAAAAAACUGUUUUUAACCUGUUCAACCGGUCAUUUUUCUUGUUUGGAGGUUUUUUAUGAUAAAAUGUCACUUUGAAGGUUAAAAGUGCUAGCGAAAAAACUUCAAGGUUUAAAGUGCUAGUAAGUGACACUUUCAAGGUUUUUUAUGCGAUUUUCCCUAACAUAUUUGAUAAGAGAAAGCCCGUUUCAACUCAAAAAUGGGCCAUGUGCUAUAAAAGAAUUUGAAAUUUAUUUCCUCGUACAAAAAUAGCUUAUAAAAAGCUGGACCAUAAUCUAAGCUAAAAAAACCCAAAAUUUACAAUGGAUCAUGUGCAAAUGUACUUCCAGCAUAUGAUUAGAGCAUCAAGAAUUUGUGUUUUUGGUCGUUUUUUGUAAAUCAGAUAUAUCCAACACACAAAGAGCUAUAGCACUACAAAAUCCUUCCCAAAACAAAUGAUACACUGAGGUAUAUGCUCAUCAAAAAAAGAACUUUUAUGUAAAUUGAUAUCUGUAUUAGAGAUUUAUCUUAAACUAAAGUUUCUUUCGCUUCACAUGAAUUGCCUUCACUGAGAGGAUUUAAUUUUCAUUACCUUACUUUGAUGAUUCUCAGUAAAUGCAGUGGACACUAAAUUCCAACGUCACUGUGAUUUUCUCUUAUCAUUUGGUUUGUAAGGAAGGAUUUCUGAAACCAAGCCUAUGAAUUAUAUUGCUAGAUCAAGGACGAUUUUCUGGCUGCAGGAUUGAAUACAGUCAAGAACAGGGCUCAAGUUAACAAAUAUUUGGUAUGGAAAUGUAUCAUUUGCGCUACUAAACUAAGUUGAGCUCCUCUUGAUCGAUACAAAGGUACAUGCUCAUAUUAUAAGAUCCCACUUGCCUACCCUUAUUUUAAAACCUAGCUAACAUAUAUCACAUCUAAGUUCAACAUUUUUGAUAUUUGUAAACAGAUAUGUUAUGCAGUUCAAACAAGAGCAAGACAAGGUCGUCUCAUUAACGAAAACUAUAUAUCAGAGAUUAUGUAGUCAAGCAUCAUGUUUUCAUUCUCAUUUCUGAAGGCCCAAAGGGAUCUAGAGAGUAUUCGUGAAGUCUACACUCUGUUAAAGGUAAUGAUUUGAUUUUUGUAAAUAUAUGUAUUUAUCAUUUGUAGCUCUUUCUCUUCUUUAAAUCUCACUAGGUAGGGUAUAACUGCUAAUAAUAUUUGUACUCAUAUCUCAACUUAGCCAUCUGCAUUAUUUGGAUUUCUUCAUCCAUUUGUUAAAGAAACAUGUAUAAAUUCUUGGACAGGAGUUCUCUUUCUUUUACAUCAAAGCAAAUAAGUAUGGAUGCUUACAAGAUGCUCACUUUUGUUGUUGCAUAUACUUCUCAGUAUUCUGCUCAACUAUCCCCCGUAAGAAGAAUAAGAAAUAAAAAUGUUGGAGACAAUAAUAUCUUAUAAAAAUGCUGGAAGCCUAAAUGCUUUUUUAUUUCUCCAGAUUGACCUCUCAGCUUUUCUUUGAUAUCAACUUUUCCAAGCUGGUGUAUUGACUCUUUUCAGUCCCUUUGCAAGCAAAAUGUGGUACAUCUUCUGCAAUACUAUACGUUGACAACAAAUAUAAGAAAUUUAUAGCUUUGUGUUAACCAUUCGGAGAUAUGUAAGUUGUUUUUCUUGAAACCUUUCUCAUACUCACCUCCAGUCCCCUCACUAUGCAGCCAUUUAUCAUUUUGUGUAUGAACAGAGAAAUGGAGGUUCAUUUUGAGUGGAGAUCACAAAAGGGACAUAGUCUCAAAGGUUGUUGAGUUCUUCCUUGAGAUCAACACUGUGAGGAUUCACCAGAUCGAUAUUUAUGGCUCUUGCAGAGCUCCUAAAACUUUGGGGAUCAUCACAACCGUGUAUCUAAGAUGCCUUGCGCCAAGCUGAACUCACGGUGGGCGAAGGAGUUCUGAGAGGUUCUUGAGUAGAACAAGGCUCUCAGAGAAGUGAGGCGCUAAAUUAAUGGGCUAAAGACGAAGCAGUUAUGCAUGUUCCAGCUGGACUUUCAAGAACAAGAGCCAACAUAGUUUGUGUGUUGAUGGAAACCGGUUUGAGAGCAUUGUCGUAGAGGUUCCUUUGCCGGAUUGGAAAACCCAUCGGUGUAGACAUACUGCUGUCAUAUGGCUUCUUCGUUUCAUGGAAGAGAACAAGAAGUCACUCCAAGACAUCACCAACACACUAUCUUCUGGCGAGAAAUACACUAGCGAUUAAGACACAUAUGUUUUUAUGAUUUAAGUAACAUUAGAUCUCGAUCUGCGCAACCGGAUUUUAUUUUCAUUUAUUUUUAUAUAAACAUUUUGUUUUCAAUUCUAAAUUGGUAUAUAUUAUAAUAUAUAUUUCUAUCAAUUUUUUAAAAAUAAUAAGUUUACGGUAUAUUUUUUUCAUUGAAUAGAUUGUUUCAAACUUUCAUAUGUAUUUGUAUCUUUUUCUAUAUAUAUAUUUUCGGAUUAUUAUUUCAUCAUUAAAAUCGUAACUAUAUAUAUAAAGAUUAGUAAAAUGUAAAAUAUUGUUUUAUUUUCAUAUUCAAAAAUAUUGUAACAUUUCACAAAUUUGGAAAGUUUUUACAAAAUUAAACUUUUCGUUUCACAGAUUUAUAUUAUCGAGUAAAUAAUUAAACAUUUAGUUUUUGUUUAAUUUUUAAAAUAAACUAUAUAGUUUUAAAAAAAUUUCAUUGGUUUAAGGUAGUAAAGAUUAAUCUUUGUUAGAUAAUAUAAUUUUUGUUAUUUAAAAAAAAAUCUUCAUAAUUUUAAAAUUUAACAUCGACAAAUAUUUAAAUAAUUAACAUAUAGAGGUAUAGUAUUACAACAUUAAAUUAUAUCUAUUUAAUUUAUAAUAUCUAUAAAUCCAAUGGAUCAUCUAUUGUUUAAAUCAAAUUAUUGAUAUCCCAAUAAAAAUUUCUGGUAUGCCCAAAAUUUAAAUGGGAAAAUCGCAUUUUAAACCCUGAAGGUGACACAUUCUAGCAGUUUAAACACUCAACCUUUUUCACUAGCAUUUUAAUACCUCAAACUAGAAAAAUUGUCGAAACAAACCCUGAAGUCGUAUCUCCGCGUUUUUCUCGUGACCUUACUUGACGGCCCUGUUCACGACGUUUACUGUUUAAAACGCUGUGCCGUUUUGUUGAUUAAAAGACGGGAACCGUGAAAAGUGAAAGACGAUUCUUAUAAUACAAAUCGAAUUGGGGAUCUAGGGUUUCAUAAAUUUACGAAACUAGAAGAAGUGAAAGAAGAUUCUCUGCCUCGAUUCAGUCUCAACUCCAAAACAGUAAGUCGUUUCUGUAAUCUUGUAAAGUAUCUACAUUCUAGAACUUUUGAUUUCAUAAAUUCUUAAGAUGGCUCGAAGUGUGUUUGUGAAGCUAAUGUUAGCGGUAUUAGUUAGAGAUUCAUGUUUGUACUUGGUGUUAUAUAUCUUGUAGAUGACUCAAAGUUCAAGUUCCUCUACCAUUGACAAAAAAAAGGAAAAAGUUGUGGUUUGUAACUGUAACAUUGAAGCAAAGGUGCUUCAAGCUUGGACUGUUGACAACCCUGGAAGGAGGUUUUAUACCUGCGAAGGGCGUAGAGUUUCUAAUGGAUACCAAACCUGCAACUUCUUUCGAUGGUAUGAUGUUGAGAAGCCACACGGGUGGCAACAUACUGCGUUGUUGGGUGCUAGAGAUGUUAUGCGCCAACAGAGAGAAGAGAUUAGUAACCUGCAAAACCAAGUAAGAGAACUUAUCCUUGAGAAUGUAAGAAAUGGCGGAGCAGUUAGGCUUGAGAAUGAAAGCAGUGGCCAAACUCCACCUGAUUCAGACCUCAACUGUGAAGCAUGUGAAGCGCUUAGAGGAGAAAUAUUGGUUCUAAACGAGAGGAGCAUGGUGUAUCGUAAUGUUCUUAUCACGUUGGCAGUUGGAUUUACUGUGGUUGUUUGUGUGUUCAUGGGUAUCAUGAAGUGGUAGAAGACUAUUGUUGUUAUUGUUAAGACUGAUUAAGCUUCUUUCAUGUUGUUAAGACUUUAUGUAAGCUUGCUAAGACAGUUUAGGUUAUGUAUCUGAUAUUGUUAAGACUUUUCUAGUUUAUGUAUUGUCUAUGUAAGCUUCUUUCAUGUUUUCUUAUUAAGGAUUAAAACUAUUUAGCUUUGUCUCAUGAUCUAAUACCCAUAUAUGACACUGAAGAAUGCUAGAAAAACAAAAGACAAAGUUCAAAGGUGCUGAAGAAACUCCAAAUCAAAUUUUGAAACAACAAAAGACAAGACAAAAGACAAGCUCCAUAACGUUUUGAAGAAAUAAAGACAAACUACAACAAGUCAUUGAACCAACGAAAACAAAACAAAGACAUGAGAUCACUCUUGCGGAGGCUGUGGAUUAAGAUCAGACCUAUCAUACACUCGAUCUCCAAACACUUCAAAAGGACGAUUUGUGAAUGGAAUCCAUAAAGUCCCAACACCAUGAGGAAUGUUGGCUGUCUUCCUUACCUUCAAAGGUCCUCGUGAAGGUUUCUUAGCAUGAGGCUUGGGGUCAGAUGAGGAUCCAGUGGCUUCUACAGGAUGAGAUGAUGAUCCAGUGGCGUGAACAGGCUGAGAUGAUGAUCCAGUGGCGUGAACAGGCUGAGAAGAAGACCCAGUGGCGUGAACAGGCUGAGAAGAAGACCCAGUAUUUUGAGUUUUUCUUCUUCUUGUAGAUGGAGGCUUAGGAGUGCCCUGUGUAAAGAAAUGUGUUAGACACAAUUAAGAAAGAAACAUUGUAUAGUUAUAAUUCAAAAAUUACCUCUUCUAGAUUUUUACGAGGUCGACCACGCUUAUUUUUUGGUCCCUCGUAAACCACAGUUUGGUUUUUGCAUCCAGUUUUAAUGUGUCCAGACUGAUGACAGUUGCUACAUGUGGGUAUGCGUCCAUGUCUUGACGAUUUUCCAGCAGCUUCAAGCGCUUCAAAUGGCUCUUUCUUCCUCUCUCGUGUCCUUGGUCUCCCUCUUGGUUUCCUUAUCUCUGGUAUCCCAAUAGGUGGCUUGCCUGUCAUCUUCCACAAGUUUUCGCCAUUCACAGGUUUGAUGUUGUCAGAGUAAGUUCUUUUCAUCACAUGUGUGUAGUAAUAUUCUGCAGUAUACUUCACAGGAUCCUCCUGGUUGUCAUCAAGCACACACACAGCAUGUUUACAAGGAAUACCUGUGAGAUCCCAUCGCCUGCAAGCACACUGAUGUGUAGCCAUGUCCACCCUGUAACCACAGUCGAACUCAUUCACCUCGUACAAGCUGAAACCGCUGCGUAUAGUUGAACAAUGUUUUUUUGCACAUCUCGCUUUCUCCAACAAAGCCAUUGUAAUAGGUGUUACAAUGGUGUCCCACUUAUCUGCCAUAAAGAACCGCCUUGAUAUCCUUUUCAUUGCUUGUCUGCGUAUGUCCUCCAGCAUGUUGAUCACUGGUUUUGCCCUCGCCAUCUUUAUGGUUCUGUUGAAACUUUCUGAUAAAUUGUUGUGCACAUCAGGACAAUGAGACUCCACAUUGAAGAAUGCUCUACACCAGCGCUCUGGGUCUGUUUUGAGUAGUUCAUUGUGUGCCACGACAUCGUAAGCCUCUACCAAACGCAUCUUCUCUUUGUACUCUCCCUCGGUGUAGCUGUAUGCGACUCCCCAAAACAAUGACUUAAACUCUGACCUUGAGAAACCAAGCUUCUUCCAAUUAGCAUAAAUGUGCCUAGCACACAUGCGAUGUUCUGCCUCAGGAAGUUCUAACUCGAUAGCGUGAACAAGUCCUUUUUGCUUAUCCGAGAUUACAGUAAGAUCCUUCCCAAAUUCCAAGCCGAGAUCAUGCUUCAGAUUUCUCACAAACCAUCCCCAAGUAUCUUUGUUUUCUCCUCUCACAACUGCCCAAGCAAUAGGGUACAUCCUGUUAUCGGCAUCUCUCCCAACUGCUGCAAGCAAAUCUCCGUUUAAAUCCCACUUCAAAAAGCAUCCAUCAAGUCCGAUAACAGGUCUACAACAACUUUUCCAAGCAGUCCGCAAUUCUUUAAAGCAAAUGUAGAAGCAGUCAAACAUCUGAGCACCAUUAACCUCUCUUGUGCAUAAAUCAGUGCUUAUACCCUGGUUUGAUCUACGCAACUCUUCUUCAUAAUCCCAUAGCUUCCCAAACUGUGUUGUUUGAGCUUCGAGAAUCGUCCCCAAAGCAAUGUGUCUUCCUCUGUAGCACUUAGAUAUAGGUACAACAAUGUCAUACCUUACCUUUAUAGCAUCUUUGAUCGCUGAAGCUUGUAGGUUAACAUUUCUGCGUAAUUCUUCUCUAAAAAGGCCAGCAAUCACACCUUGCUUCAACAUUGAGAUCCUGCUUGAUUUACCAUGGUUGUGCUUCAUGUGACACACUUUCACCAUCAACUUGUUAAUCGGCUUCUCCACUGAACAAUAAACCCGGAAAGGACAUUUCGCUUUGCAACAAAUCACACCAAUCCUGAAUGACUCCGACCUUGCCAUCUUCACAUCAUAUUGAGUAUUCAUAGAAUACUUCAAGAGCUGAUCUUUAAACUCUAACCCACUGUUAAACUUUUGAAAUAACCAAAUGUAAGGUGGUUUUUCAUAGUCACCAUGGUAUUUAUCACUCCCUUUGACCUUUCCUUUUCCUUUACGCUCUCGAUUCCAUUCUUCCCAUUCAUCUUCUGACUCUACUGGUGUGUCUGGAUAUUCAACAUCUACUGGGGCCCUCUCAUCUUCACUGUCAUCGUCUUUGUCUUCUUCCUCUAUACCAUUUCCAUAUGCUUCUUUAUCUGGUAAAGCUUUUUCUCCUUCCUCAAAGACAGACUGAAACCUUACAUCGCUAGUACCAUCUGUUACAUCAGCGACAACUUCAUCACCACCAUCUUCAUUGUCUUCCUUUUCAGCCGGAUUCACAGUCGAGUUAUCUUCCUUUUCAGCCGGAUUCUCAUCUUCUGAUCCUUCUGGCUCAUCAUCUUCUUUAGGUCUAUCGACCUCAUCAUUCUCACUCUGUUCUUCGUCUUCAAUGUGUUCUCCAUCUGGAAGCUGAAUCACACCGGGUAUGUGUUCUGAGCACUCGUGUUCAACAAACACUUCUACAACAUCUAUCCCUAGCUUGCUGACAGAUCGUAGCAUCAACAUCUCCUCAUCGUACCUAUCAUAUACAUACCGCAGUUGCUUCAUCUCCUCUUUUUCUGAUUUAAACCAAAUCAAGCCAACGGGUGCUAUAAUUAGCGCUUCUUCUUUGCAAAAAUCGACAAACCUAUCCCACACUAUCUCAUCGAUCUUCCAUUCCACAUUUUUGCUCCCUAAUUCACCUAAGUACUCAUAAUCUCCCUUUCCAAUCUUCUUCACUGAACCACCAAAAUGAAUCUUCAAUUCGAUUUCCUGCGAUUCACUGUUAUAAAAAUUGAGUCUUUUGAAGUUUCUAAGAGACAAGAACGAAGUAGAAGAAGUGAAAAAUCGAUACAAACUUACGUCAUUUUUGGGUUUUUCUUGACGAGAAUCGUCUUUCUCGUUUUAGUUAGAACCCUAAUCCCCAAAUCGAUUUGGAAAUAAAAUUAAUGUUGUGUUUUUUUAAAGGUGUAGUUUUUAAUCAACAAAACAACAUGCAAUUAGCCCAGGUCAACGUCGUUAAUUAAGCCGUUAAGUAGGGUUACGAGCAAAACGCGGGAUACGACUUCGGGGUUUGUUUCGACAAUUUUUCUAGUUUGAGAUAUUAAAAUGCUAGUGAAAAAGGUUGAGUGUUUAAACUGCUAGAAUGUGUCACCUUCAGAGUUUAAAAUGCGAUUUUCCCAAAUUUAAAUGAUAAGAUCUCUUAUAUAUUAAUUGAGAAACAUUACAACUUUUAAGUGUAGCCACGUGUCAUCACCAGAAUGAAAUUCAGAGUCCUAAGAAAAUAUGUUGGUUCAAUUAAGUAUAUAUUAUACUUUUCAUUAAACUAAUCAUAAAAUUAAUUAAAGUGUACAAUUAAUAUUUUUUUUUCUUUCCUUAAAUAAAAGCUACAAAAUUACCAAAUAUUACUAAUAUAUAUAUGAGAAUUAAUGAUUCUAAUAAUAAAGAUUUGAUAACAAUUUAUAUCUCAUCCAUCAUUUUUGUUUAAUUUUAUAUUAUUAAAAUAUAUUAAAAAAUCAAAUAAGCUAUAAAAUUAAAAUAUAAUUUUUUCGUAUAUGUUAUAUUUUGAAUUUUAAAAAACGAUAAAAGUACUAAAACUGUUAAAAUUAUUAUGUUAAAAAUUAAUGAUCAAUGGUUUAACAUUCCCUAUAUAUUAAUAGAUAAACAUUUAAAACGUUUUAAACAUGUAGUUUGUACUAAUUAAAAAAAUGUAAUGUUAAGUUGUGCAUGUUUCCUAGAACUCAGAAAAGAUUAGAGUUGACACAGCCUCUCCAUCUUGAGGGGAAUGUAAGAGAUAUAACAAGGAAACACUAUAUUUUGUACAUAUAUCCUUCUCCACUUAUGGAAUGCUUCAUAAAAUGCUUGGACCUAGAACCUUCAUCUGUAUCAAUGUACAAACCUAUGUAUAGUCACUCUCUCAAUGAGGUAGAUCCAUCUUCUAUAGAGAGAACUUAUAUUUAUACAAUGUCACUUAAUGUGACUGAUUACUAUUUACUUCGAUCUAUACAAAAGAAUAUUUCAAAUUACUUGUAUUACCAAGUGGAUGGUAGUCUAUACUUUUUGUCAAAAAGAUGAUAAGCAAAAUCUAAGAGCGUACGUGUUCGUAUUUAUCACUAGUAAUUAUAUUUAGCAUGAGCGAUUUAAGCAUUAAACAUGAUCAACGGUUAUCUUAAACACUGCAAGAGAUUAUGGACCAAAACUUAUACAAAAUCGGUAUUUCCUUGUUUCUCAACAAUAUACAAAUAUAUUUUGAUCUCAAAACCAAUCAACAAAAGGUUCAAAAUGUAUCAAACGAUGGUGGCACAAAAGAAGAUGGAAAACAAUGGAGGAACUAAAAGAAACGAUGUGCUUAUCAUCCAAAAAAUAACACGGCAAGCCAUACAUCGUUUUUGUAAUUUUUUAGUUUGUAAAUGUUUUAUUGUUGUUUCAUUUAUUUGUUAGAUUUUUUUCUAAUGAGAGAGCAUCCAAGAACCAGAUGGAGCUUUGAUCCUCUCUUAUUAUUUUAAAGUUUUUUUUUUUUUGAACAACCUCUUAUUUUAAAGUCCACUAGAUUUUGACCCGCCCUUCAAAGGGCGGGUAUAUUUUUUGUUUUAAUUUUUUUUUUGAAUAAUUUUAUACUUAUAUUUUUAUGUAAUCAUAUUUGUGAUUUAUCUAUUCUAUUAAAUUGACGUCAAAAAAAAAAAUUUAUUCUAUUAAAUUAGAAACAUGACCUAUUGAUAUAUGUUUAGUACAACUAUUAUUUUUACUUGAUCUACUUAAAUUUUCUUUUGAUUUAUUUUUUUUGAGAAAUUUAAUUUUUAUAUAUGUGUUUUUCUUGUAAUCAUAUAUUAUAAGUGUUUUUUUAAAAGAAAAAGUGAAACUACUAUAAGUGUUACUAUAAGUGUUUUAUUUUGUAUUUCUUAACAAAUAUAAAGUAUCUAUAAUAUAAUAACUACAUUUUAUACUUCUUAACCAAUAUUAUGAGGAAUAAUUAAUAUAUCAUUAUAGAAAUAUAUGUCAAUAAUGUAACUGUGUACAUAAUUAUAUAAAAUAACAUGUUAUAUUAAUUAAAUAAAAGGUUAAAAUUCUAAAAAGAAACAGAUUGAGAUUAUUUAAUAACACAAAAAGAUAAAAAUUGGGUGAAAUACUGUCGAAAAGAGUAAACUUAAUUUUGGAAUAAACCCAAGAGAAAUGACAAAAAAGAAGGUAUAAACCCAAAAGGAAGGAAUAAUUUUUUUUUUGAACUUUUUUUUUUUUUUUUUUUUUUUUUUGUCGUCAACUUUACAGACUCAUAUAGACUCUGUAAACCAAGCCGGAAGAUAUUGAUCCAUGUGAACGACGAAAGACGGCUGAAUCCUAACACUGCGUGCUAGGCUAUCCGCCUUUGUAUUCUGCGCUCUUGGUACAUGGACGAUCUCUGAUUGUAGGAAACUUGCUCUCAGACUUUUGAUGUCUUCCAAAUAACUUGCAAACGCUGGCCACUCUUCUGGUUCCGAAACCAUCUUCACCAAUUGAGAACAAUCCGUUGCAAACGUAACCUGAGAUUGACGUAAAUUCCUCAUACAUUCCAUAGCCCAUAGUAGUGCUUCCAUCUCCGCAUGUAGAGGAGAAAGGCUAGCCCGAACAUUCCUCGCCCCCAGCAACCCAGCGAAGCCUUCUAAAGUGCUGUGCCAACCCUGGCCGGAGAAAGUAUCUUUCUCUUUCCAGGAACCAUCUGUGAAACACCAUCGUCCUGGAUUUAACAGUGAAGACCUAAUCUCUUCCUGUGGGACCAUUCUCUGUUCAUUCACUAGUUGGGCUUCAGCCCAAAGGGUUGAUUCUGUUUCCGCCAAUUUGAGCGUAUCCCUAGGAUCAAUAUCCAGAUUACUAAAAACCUUACUAUUCCUUCCUUUCCAGAUAUACCAUAGUAUCCAUGCGAACUGAUGAUCAUCUAACUGCGGAAAGACUCUCCAGAAAAGAUGAUCCAUAUUUGCAAAAAGGGAUUGUGUGGGAAAUGUAGUUGGAUUUGAUGGUAUCUUUGAGAGAGCCCAAACCUGAAGUGCUGGAGGACAUUCGAAAAACACAUGAUUUAUCGAUUCCUCCUCAGCUCCGCAUCUUGUACAACAUAUAUCGCCAGUUAUCCCUCUCGCUUGUAAAUUUUUCUUAACCGCUAUACACCCUGUCACCAACUGCCAGAGAAAAUGUUUAAGCUUUGGUGGACACCUGACUUUCCAGCAGAAUGAUUUCAAACCAUCGACCGUAGGUCCAAAAAAUGCUGGUGGUUUUGCUCUAUCCGGGUAAACUCGUUCUACCUGAUAUCCCGAUUUAACCGUGUAUUUCCCAGUUGUUGUGAAAUGCCAUCCAUCUUUGUCCUCCAACUGAUAUCUACUCAGUCGUAUACUCUCGAUAAUUUUCACAUCCUGAAUUUUUUUUUUGAACUAAAAAUGCCAUUUCUGAAUUAGUUUAAAAGAGUUUUUAUAUCUUAGGUACAAAAAUAUAAUAAAAAUGGCCAAAAUUUGGAAACAUACUAUUAAGAGGAAAACUUUUGCUGCAGCAAUAAGGAUGAUCACCUAUAAUUGUUGCUAUAUUUUCGUUUGAAUAAUUGUUACAUAAUAUAUAAUUGUUGGCUAAUAUAAUAUUGAAAAGAGGUGGCCACCGAUAAUUUUGGUGAGGAGGUUACAAAAAUAUGUAUUGACCAAUAGAAGGUAGUUACUGAGAUAGAGUUUGUUUAAUUUUCAUGCAGUUAUAAAAUAUUUGUUUUUUUAAGUAGAUCAUGUGAAAAAUAAUAGUUGGACUAAACAUAUAUCAAUAGGUCAUGUUCCUAAUUUAAUAGAAUAGAUUUUGGCAUUUUCACAAUGUUCGCUAUACCUUUACGUUUAAGAUUCUGUGUGCACUCAGCGUUUUAUAGAAUAUCUUUGGUCAUAAUAAAACAAUAAAAUAAAUAAUUUAGAUAUAUAUGCUGAUUCUCUUGAUCGUUAUUUUUUUCUACAAAAAGAUGAUAAGCGAAAAUUUUAGAACGUGUUUCAUGAGAUCGUAUUUAUUAGGAUAGUCUGGCUUUUAUUUCUAGUACAUAAAUAUACUAAUGGGGAAUUCUAUCCUAGGGAAUUUCUCUAUACUAAUUGAUAGCUUUGUCAUUUAAUUGAUUUUUUUGUCUCAAAAUAAUGCUGCUUUAUAAUUUUUUUAAUAUUAUAUUUAUUAAAAAAUAUAUAAUUUUAUUCUGGUGAACAUUAAUAAACAUAUUGUACGAUAGAAUAUAAAUUUCAAAAAUGAAACUUUCUUUUUCGGGUGUAAGAAAAUAUUGAAGCAAUACUUGUAAAAGUAAAAGAGAAAAAAAAAUAGUAGACACUGCAUCUUUUAUAAUCUGUAAGAAAAACGCUCUCUUUGAUACCAAGAGAUUAGGUAUAUAUACCGUUCAUCUUUUUAACGAACCAAUUAUCAUGACGAGUCGUUACUAUACACACUUAGCCUUAACACUUUACUAUGUAUAAAUAACUCCAAAAAUAUGGUUAAUUUCAUCCUCACACCGACCGACUAAGAUUGCUACUACGAGUCUGAAACCUAAAUUGCUAUUUUCCAUUACAUGGCUUCUUCUUCUUCACUAGCCAAAUCCAACAACGAAGGCAAGAACAAGAUCAAGAUUCCUCAGGAUAACAAAACGCCAGAUUUUGUGUCUACUCAUCUUUACAUUAGACGUAUUCCUUCCACGCAAGCACUUGAUCGGGAAGUCGUUCUUCGACGCAUACGCCAACGCCGACGCGCAAAUAAGGUCAGAUCGGUAUUCCACCUGCUGUUCGGUUUCCCAUUUUUAAGUAAAAAGCACGAAGGUAAUAACGAUCACGAUGAAGAUGAUGCUUCCACAGUGCCUUGAAUCUUCGACCGAUUUAUUUGUCAAUAUAGUUACCGGACUUGGUGAUGUUAUAGUUUGUAAAUUGUUACUUCCAUUGUUGUUACCAAGAAGGGGAUUAAGCUAGUGCACAAACCCACAAUUCAAUUUCUCUAGACUUUGAUAGGUAAUAAUCUUAAAUGAACUCAAACUAACAUGGGAGAAAUAUUAAAGGAAUGAAGAUGGACGUCAAGUGUUAUUCAGCCUUUUUCCAAAGCUUAUUCCCACUAUUUUCCCAUUUCUACAAACUCUUGGAAGAUUCAAUAGUUUUGAGCGUGAAAAGAAACUGACCAUUGAGUUCGUCAGAAAGCCUUAACUGAAGGAAGCUAAAUGACAUUGCAAACAUUGGAUUAAAAUAUCAAAUACAUAUAGUGACAGUCCCACAACAAGAUUUCAAUACUUUUUAGAACAAUAUAGGGAUUUCUGGAAAAAUUGAAAUGAGAAUCUGUUAUUUCCAGAACAAAAUCUUAUCAAGUUUUUCUUUUAAUAUCAGUGAUAAAUCUUAAAAUCAAAUCAGGAAUAGUAUCAAAUUAAUCUCAAUUUAAAAACUAAGUCCACUUUUUCUAUAGACAAAAGGUUGUCUGGGCGUUACGGUCCAACUAAUAAUCCCUUAGGGCCGAGGACAAAAGUCAUUUGUUUAACUCUUCCCCAAAUUAUCAGUAUAUUUUAAUCAGGAACUUCUAACACAACUACUUCAGAUCUUUUUUAGUUGAGGUAUCUCGUCUUAGAGUAAAACUAAAAAUAUUCAGUGAUUUCUUUUUUGUUUUUACAACAAACUUAUUUCUACGGAUUUCUCAUAAAUCAAUUUUCCAGUAUUAGUAUUUGACAGUUUCAUUCAUUAUUGUUUGAAUAUAUAUGUUGAUGUAUUCUCCUUGGUUGUGUGCCAAUUUAUAGUUGACGAUUGCUGUUAGUGCAAAUUAAAUAUGUUAAGAGUUCAUGUCUGCAACCUAUCAUCUAUCCAGUCAAUUAGAUUUAGACUUCAAUGAUAAAAACAGUUUGAAUGGUGUAGAUCAUAUAAUUUAUACAAAUAAAUGAGAUACUUGUAGAUUAAGUAGAUUAUACAAGAUGAAUACAAAUUAAGCUUAUCAAACAUGCUAUUGUUGUUUUGAAUGAGUAUAAACAGUUUAAAUAGUACAUUUCAAAUAUAUAAAUAAUAAUCCAAGUAACACUUAAAUCAACUUUGUGUCAUAUAAAGGAAGACUCACUUAGCAAGCAUUUACAUUAUAUGCAGCUACGAUUAUAAGUAUUGACAUUUGUUAUUUCAUGUUUACAAAACACAUGAAUAUACAAAGUCAUCACCUAAUCAAUAUGAUUUACUUUUGGUUACUAUAAAUCAUCUCAAUUGAAUAUAUGUUGCCAAUAAUUGUCUCUAUCUCUAAUAUAUGUGUAGCAUACCACAGUUUUGAGAUCAUAUUAAAGAUGCCGAAUUGAUUUAAUCGUACUGAGUUAAACAUUAAAAUACAUGCACCAACAUUUUAUGGACCGAGUUAUAAAUUGGAAAAUAUAACAUGGCGGUCCGAAGCCUACCAACUUGCCUACCUCUUAAUAUCUGCCCGUUAACAUAUAAAAUACAUAUAUAUAUAUAUAUAUGAAUAGUCUAAGAAGAUGUGAAACAUAAGUAAUAAAUAAUUAUAUAGUGGAAAAUAAUAUUCAGGUUUUAUGUCUUCAAUUAUCCAGUAAACUGACCAAAUUGAUGUAACAAUAUAUAGACAUAACAAUUAUUAACGAAUGAAAUAAUAUGUAACAUUCUUACGACCAUUUCUCAUAACCUAACAUUGUAUGUUGUUCAUGGGUAUUAAAAGACAACAUGGUUGGACACAUGAGCAAGUUGUUAUACUAUGAAAAGCUUUGACUUUAGGAAAAUGUGUCAUUUUUAUCUCCAAUAUUUCAGGAUCUUCUUGUGUGGUUAUACAAAAGUUUCAUGAUUAAAAAUCCAUUGAUCAUACAUUUGAUAUUAUUGGCUGUCAUAUAUAAGGUAAAACAGUCUAAAAGCUAUCACAUCUUUAGUGACCGUGAAAGUUCCAAAAACGUUUGCAUUACACAACUUUAAAAUGAAGAGUGUUUAUGUAUAGAUAACUCGGUUGCAUAGCCGAUUAAUUCUUUUUUUUUUUUUUCAGUAAAACGAUUUUGUAUUUGAAUUAGGUGAAAAAAAAAAAUUAAUUGAAAACCGGUUUGCAUAAUGUGAAAACCAGCUACGUUUUAUGUAACAAUCUAUUAUUAAAAUAUAUAUAUGUAAUCGAUUGAUCGAACUAAUAAUUGGAAAUGGUCCAAUUAAUUUAUCUAGUAAGUUUAAUGCAUUUAAUAUGGAUGGUGAGAUGAAUUGUGGUAAUGACCCUCAAUAUAGUAAGCAAGAUUACAACUUAAACAAUACUCCUCAAUUAUAUAAAGGAAAUAUCAUAGAAUGAUACGAAGUCAUUCCUAUAGCCAUAUAAUAUCACAAAAUGAUACAAAUAUACUUUAUUAAUUUUGAUAAAUAUAAUUAAUAAAUAGUGCUUAAAAUAUUUCUAGCUAUAUAAUAUCACAAAAUGAUACAAAGAGCUUCCCACGCGCGCGUCGCCGCCGCCGUCCGACCCGGCUCGGGUCGGCAUGCGCUUGGGCUUAGGAUUGGUCUUGGUCUUGGUCUUGGGUCUUGGUGAAGGGUCUCCAGCCCAAUAAGAUUUUUUUUUGGACUAAGUUAAGCUCAACGUUUUGCCAUUUAAUUUCCAAAAAACCGCAUGCUUUUUUUUUUAUUUUAAACAACAUGUAGUUCGUUUAAAAAACAACACGCUGUCUCUCUUAUUGACGAUAAGAUUAAACGAAAAAGAUCUUGCGGAGAAAGUUCCGUAACGCUUCAACUCCGAGAUCUUCGUGAGAUUUCUGCCAACGUGCGCACGUGCUGCAUCAGUUACGGAAAGUGGCUCGUCUUCUCCUCUUUAAAAACUCGUCUCCUUCUCAUUUCAUUCUCAACGUUUUACACAACGAAAAAAUCAGCAAAUCCCUUAGCGUAAGUCUAUAGUUCGAGAGUGUUUCGUAGAUUUAUAGCUUGAUAGGACGAUUCACGAGUGAAGCGUGAUCAUCUACCAUGGUUGUAUCCUUGGACUCGAUAUUCGUACAGUCCCAUUUCACUACAGAGCGAAUAUUUAGAGUUUAAGGAAGAGAUCAUAUCUCGACUCCAUGUCUAUUUUCGAAUCGUCGAUUUCCUUAAUAUCGUUCUUAUUAUUUCGUUUAUGUCAAUCCGGUUUUCCGGCUUCUACAAUCUUAACUCUAAAUCACUUUAAGUUUAAAGCUUCAAUCGGGUUGAAGAACGAUUUAGAAAAUUGGGUUUUCGAAUGGUGUUUGCGAUUUGCUUUCUAGCACCUCCGUGAAGAGUUUGUUAUUUAUCUUAUAAACGGUUCACGUUUUGCUUUGUAGCACUACCAAAAAACGUUUAUUGAUAUACGAUUUGUACAAACCUUUUCUGGUUUUAUUGAAACGAUGUUUGCGAUUUGCUAUAUGCUUAUCCGCAAAACGUUUUUUAUUUAUUUCAUAACGAGUUGCGGAUUGCUUUGUAGCAUUAUCGCAAAACGUUUUUAAUACAUUCUUAAAACGUUAUUAAAAUGAUUCGUUUCCACAAACGCUUAUAAAGUGAGUUUGUGAAACAAUCUAAUAGUCUACACAAGAUGGUUUCUGCAAACGCUUUUCAAAGCAAGUUUGUAUGACCAAAUUGAUGGAAUAAUGUAUAGACAUAACAAUUCUUAAAGAAUGAAACAAUAUGUAACACUCUUACGACCAUUUCUCAUAACCUAACAUUGUAUGUUGUUCAUGGGUAUUAAAAGACAACAUGGUUGGACACAUGAGCAAGUUGUUAUACUAUGAAAAGCUUUGACUCCAGAAAAAGAUGUCAUUUUUAUCUCCAAUAUUUCAGGAUCUUCUUGUGUGGUUAUACAAAAGUUUCAUGAUUAAAAAUCCAUUGAUCAUACAUUUGAUGUUAUUGGGUGUCUUAUCUAAGGUAAAACAGUCUAAAAAGCUAUCACAUCUUUAGUGACCGUGAAAGUUCCAUAAACGUUUGCAUUUCACAACUUUAAAAUGAGGAAUGUUUAUGUAUAGAUAACUCGGUUGCAUAGCCGAUUAAUUCUUUUUUUUUGUAUUUCACUAAAACGAUUUUGUAUUUGCAUUAUGUGAAAAAAAAAAUUGAAAACCGGUUUGCAUAAUGUGAAAACCAGCUACGUUUUUUGGUAACAAUCUAUUAUUAAAACAUAUAUGUAAGGGAUUGAUCGAACUAAUAAUUGGGAAACGGUCCAAUUAAUUUAUCUAGUAAGUUUAAUGCAUUUAAUAUGGAUGGUGAGUUGAAUCUAACCUAUAUUAAAAGGGUUAUAUGAGGAGUAGAGAGGCUGUCCACGUCACCUUGAAAAAUCAACCAAUGGGGUUUGUUCGUUUGUCCACGUCAAACAAGUUGAUUUUGGGCUUCUAUCUUUUAUUGAUCCGUUCAAAAUAAAAGAAAGCCCAUCCUCAUUAAACCGUUGAAACAAAAUCAUCCAUCGACAGUGGCUUUCGCGAUUCUUCCUGCGAUCUAAAACGGUUUGAUUAAUUGCUGCAUGAUAAAUCCAAUUGAUUCACCUCAAAGGAGAGGCCUCUCCACGAUUCAUCUUCUUCUUGAACUCAUCUUCUCUUUGUAUCCUUAAAUCAUUCUCUGAUGAUCGCUAUAAAUCUCCCCUUCAGGUCUGUUUGAUUCUCUAUUGUUUUUUAUUUGUUAAUCUGAUGUUCUGGGGUCACUCUUACAGUAGGUUUGGUCACAGACGUAGCUCAUGCUUGCUGCUUAGCUGAUGAAGUCAGCCAUGGCGGUCCCCGAGGAAGGUAAGCACGACAGAUGAGUUAUAUAUUUUUGUAUGGAGUAAUUGAUAAGAAAUUCAGAAAUAAAUACAUUAGAGGUGAGUUAUUAUAUUUCUGAAUCUAUUUAUUUUAAUGUACUAGAGAAAAAGCCGGCCAGACAAACCGGAAUAUAGCCGAAAAACGCCACUACGAUGAUCUCUAGACUGACUGUUGGCUUUCUCUUGAUAACCCUUCAGAUAUUUACAUCAUCGCCUCAUCGGGUAAGUAUGAAAAAGAUUCUACCAUGUUCAUCUGAUUAGAUUAAUCUAAACUCCUUUGUGUUGACCUGAGGCCUUCUGAGACCAUUUCAAUGUGUCUGCUUAUAAUCAACAGACUGAAAAUAAUUGGUUACUUUGUUGAUAGCCCACAAUGAAAUGUAUUUCUGUCAGCAUAAUGACCGAAGCUUUGGUGGCACUUAUAUCAACACAUUGUGAAUUAUAUUUUAAACUAAUAUAAUCAACGGACUCAGCGUGUUUGUUGCUACUAGGAGCAACCAAAGCUUCAGAUUCGUUUAUGCCCCUGUGUCUAUUCGAUUCACUGAUCAAAAAAAAUUAAAUGAGCUAGGAGAGGCCAGUAAGUUAAUCACGAUGGAACAGUUCCACUUUUGAAAUUGCUAUCAGCUGAUGAUGUUUUCUAACACGGACACCAAGUUGCCAGGUAUGUUUCAUUUAUCAGCUCUCAAACUCCUUCACUCGAAGCUUUCAGUAUCUUUGUCUUAUUUACUCAUCUCUUAAUGUUUUAUGGAUGUUGUUGCUAAAGUUAUGGAUAUCAUUACUGCUUACAAUGAAGAAACACAAAGCAUUCACAGGUCAUGCCCACAGCCCACUUAUCCUUCUAAUGUUGGUAAACUCUUUGAAAAACUUAUUUUGGUGUUAAUUGAUAUGAGUUUGCACUCCUCUCUUCCCAAACGCAGGGAUACCACGUUCUGUGUGAGUGUCUUUGACAGCUUAGCUAUGCAGCUUAAUGCAAAAAAAUUUGGCAAUGAUGUGGCCUUUUUCUUAACGCUACCUUCGGAACCCAUUUUUUACUUUGACAGCGAGAGAACUGCUGGCGAUAGCUACGUCAAAGGGUAAGGUUCUUUGCAUCAGCUUUCUAUUAUUCAUGUGUUUAAGCUAAAAAAAUCCAGUACUGCUACAUUGUGUUUCAGACAGGGCUUUGAGGAGUAAUGACGGUUCUCUCUCAACUGCUUUCGAAUAUGACAAUGUGAAUAAUAUUGAGUCAGUGACACUAUCUGAGCGAAAUGUUUAUGUCCUUAGUUCACCACUACAGGUUAUACUCCAUCUUAACAACACACUCAUUGUUUUAAAUCCGCCUCUAACUAACUCAAUCAAUUAUAAACUGCUUGUGGUGAUAUGUACCAUGUUCCUACUGAUUUUAUUUCGUUCUCUUUGCUUUUUAAUUUAUAUUCAUUAUCAACUAAACCCAAAAUAUAACCUGAAACCAUGAAGCUAAUUCAAAUUUGUGAAAUAUGGAUCUGAUGGUAAAGCACUAAAGCUGCUCCAAAAGACAGAAAAGCUGUAGCUCCUGACGAUUACAUGUACAUGAAAAUGUGAGACUUCUUACCCUAAGUUUAAUACACACGCAGAAAAAGAUAGAUAUAUAAAGAUGGUACUGAAAUGCAUUAUUGACUAACUUUUUUUUGUUAUCUUCCGAUGCAAUAUGUAACCACUGACCAUUACAAAGCUUCACAGCAUGUUGGAUGGCGAAGCCAACCAGACAGCAGUUCGUAAGCUAAUCCAAAAAUGCUACAUGGAAGAUUCUAGCAGCCGCAGUCUAGGUUUGCUUUCUCAUGUCAGACCCUACUCUUUUAAGGGUUGUUGGUCUUAUAAGGCUGCAUCACUGAUGCUAUGGAUAUAUACAAGGAAGCAUGUAAUUCAAUCCAGUCUAACCGAGUAGAAGCUGAAUGUAUUUAGGAGAAAAGUUAAUGACCCAUUGACCACAGUGAAGGCACGUGUGAAGAAUGAUGGUGUAGCCAACGCGCUGAUCCAAUACCAGUGGCGUCCAAAGUCGUAUAUCACUGUUUGUAGUUUGCUAGAAAAUUGGGAUCUUGCAGUUUCCACAUCGAAUAGUCCAAAAGCUGAUUUUGGCAUGGCACAUCAGGUGAUUUAGCUGUGGACGCUCACCAAGAAGAACUCGAAAGAGCUAUCAGUAAAGUGACUGUUGACAUUCAUGGUUCUUUUGUCUCUAUGUCGUCUUCGGUCCAUCCAUAAUAUGAUCUACUCAGGUUUAUUAAGUUUCUGAUUGCCAUCACUUUAUAUUUUCUUUUGAUUUUCUAUUGUAAAUUGGUGUAAGAAAUCAAAUUAAGGAUAUGCACUACAAUAGAGAAGAUUAUUUUGAAUUACAAGACGGUUAGUGGAUAAAUUUGCUAACUUUUUCUAAAUACAUCUACACUGAUCUAUCUUGCUUGAAAGGUACAUUCAAGCAAGCUAAAUUAAUUAAAAUGUCCCUCUUUAAAAUUGUUUUUAAUUAUAACCAGAUAAAUGGUUCAGCGAGACGGACUCGACAUCAGUUCGAAAUGGUGGAAAAUACUUGGUGAAUUUUCAUAAAGUUAACAAAAGUAAAUCCUUUUCACUACAAUUACGCCAUGUUCAAACUUACGUUUACAUCUUGACUUUAAAAAUUUAAAUGCAUGGCUUAAAGAUUAUACAAAGACACACUACAUUUAGCGCCCAAAAAUUCGGUUUACUCUUUACUAGCCCCGAGCAUAUUUAUCUAAAACCGAAGAACCGGGCUGAACCAAACCAAAAAACGAGGUUCGUUUUGGAUUUGGAUCCUAUCAAUUAUAGUAGUGAAUCCUAUAUCUCUAAAACCAGAAAACCAUAACCGAAUCAUGAACCGAAUGGAUAUCAGAAUAUCUAUAAUAUAGUUUAUAUAUUAUAAACACUAACUAUAUUUAGUUUUACAAUAAUCUAAUAAUUUAAAAAUACUAUUUAUAACUCGAGAUACCAAAAAAUUUGAAUUUUUAAAAUUUAUUUAUCCAAAAUAAUUAAAAUUGUCUGAAUUAUCCUAAUUUUAUCUGAAAACCCAAAACCAAAUCUGAUCUUUAAUCCGAAAACUCGAUUUUUUUUCACUUUUAACCCGAACUAACCGAAAAACCGGAACCAGAUGGAUUUCAAAGUUAUAAGCCGGUUCCCAACUUUGUUAUCCGUGCCGAACUGAAAACCCAAAUAACCGAACCGAAAUUGAACCAAACUUUUUAAAUAACCAUACAGGUCCUAAACCUCUAGAACCAAAAAACCAAAAAAAAAACUAAAAGAAUAGCACCGGAAUUGAACUGAGAACCGAAUGUCCGUGACUACUCUUUACUUUUGUUUUUACACUGAUUUUUGUUUAAGCAUUUUUGAGACUACGUUUAUAAAGCUAUCUUUAAAAAAAAAAAAAACCUUUUGCAUGUUAAAGUUCCUUUGUUUUCAUUUAAUUUACCAACACAAUUACCAGUGAAAUAUAAAAUACGGUUACAUCACACACAUGCGAUCUACCUACAUGAACUUCGACGAAUCUCUUCAAAACUAAAAUUGGUUACAUUUCAUCACAACACACAUUAGUUUGGGUCGGUUAGGUAAGAAUUCGAUUAGAUUGGGUCGAUCAAAAUUUUACCAAGGUAAACUGAAAAAAAUAUGGUUCGGUUUGGUUUCCAAAAAUCAUUGCGAUGUAUCAAUAGAAAUCAUUGCACUAAGUCAAUAGAAAUCACUGCGAUGACCAAUAGGCCUCAUUACACCAAUAGCAAAUCUGCUUUCCAAAUUAGACAACAAACCUACCCAAAAAAUUUAUAAAAAAUUACAAAUGUUAAUAACAGAAAUGUCAAAAAAAUCUGUUCUUUCUAUGUACUGUCCACAUCAUACUUAACAGUAUAAGUAUGUUCUCUACAUAAAACAUUUAAGUACACUAUUUGUCUAAAUUCCAAUUAAAUUAAUUUUGUUACGAUUAUCGAUUUUUUAUUAUAUUUUUAUUGAAUCAAUUAAUCACAACUACUUAUGUUAUUCCAGUUCAUCGAAUUAAGAAUUAAUAUUAAAAGAUACAAUAUUUACAUAUUACCACAAGAACAAAAAUAAUUAUGAAGGGAUAAAGAAGAACUUUUAAGACAAAAUAUAAGCAAUCAAAGAAUGAUAAGUAACAUGUAAUCUAGAUAUAUUGAUGGUUUUGUUUUGGCAGUUGCUUGCGGCUGGAGGUGGAAUGUCAGUGGAAAUUUCCAACAGAGGAGUGAUUCCAUUGGCUUAGAACAUCACUAAGAAGAAUAAAGUCGGAGAAACUAGCACUUAUUUGGAUGGAGUCUACCUUCUUUUCACUUGCUUAACUAAAACUUGAAUACAUUACUCCAAUGGAGACUGCUCUUACUACUGCAGUAUAGCCCAUAACGACAGUAUCCGUUUUUCUUCCUUCAAUAUAAAGAAGAAGUACAACUGAAGAUACGAUGAACAUUGCAUGUGUGUAUGUGACCAAAUUUAGGAUUCUAGAUGUUCCUUCUGAAUUAAAGUAAACCUAUCUUUAUUUCGUAUGUGUCUUUGUAUCAUUUGAAAAGUGCAUGUUUUCUUUAUCUACAGAGUGUGAGAAACUGCAAUGCACUUUUUAUUAUAUUAGCUAUUCAAACUCUUUCCUUUGAUAUGAAAAGUAAGUCUGGAUUUGAUGAUCAACUAUAUAAGUUUUUACGCAUACUAUAAACACAUGAGGACAAAUUACCUGGCAUAGAAGAAUAGCUUAUCAACAUUCUUGAACUUGGGGAGAGACAUCUGAGAAUGUAUGCACAGUUUAUUAGGUAUAACCGUAUAAGCUUGACUUAAUGAUGCGUGGAUUCUAUUCGUCAUGUCCCAAAUUGUUUUUGUUAUAGCUGGAUAAGUUAGCAAAAAGGCGAAGAAAUAUAUACUUUUAUUCCAUUCCAAUCGAUUUAAGAGCAAGAGAAAGAGUCCAUACCGCAUUCAUGCAUCUCGGUGGAAAUACCCAUAUAGAUGCAAUGAUUAUUGAAUUGUGACUUAGAUGUUUACGUCUCUCUAAAAUUUUAUGUUUCUUAGAUGUUUAUGUCUCUGUAAGAUUCAACAAAGGUGCUCGGAUUGAGGUAUGUUUAUCCGUGACUUUUCUUUGAGUCAAGAGACUUCAAUUUUAUUCCAAGUUAUUUUUUUUUCUCUGUAAGGCAGCAGCUACGCUCAAUUACUAAAAAAAAGAACAAAAGGCAGAAGCUAGGUGCCUUUUUGACAUCACACCAAACCAGGAAAGGAACUCUUUUAUUCAUAUUUGUUUUUUGAUUUUCACUAUAUGAUUCCAUCCAAAAAAGUAAAUAUAUAUAUACGCAACAGACUGUCCAUGAAUGAAUAUAUUACAAUUGCUAACAAAAAAAUAAAUAAAUAAAAUGUAUAACUAAAUUAUAAAUAAGUGGAGCUUAACAGUUUUUAGUGAAAACUCAAAUACAAAAGAUAUAUGAACUAAAGUUUGAGUAACUUUUCACUGAGUUUGCUUACCACUCUAUAUAUUUUCUGAUAGUAACAAACAAAUUUUAAAUUUUAAUACUUACAAAUUGUUGUGUGCAUGGUAAAAUAAGAAUAGUUUAAAAUGUUUACUUCUCUAAACAUUAUAUGUUUACAAAAAAUAAAGCACACAAUCCGCGCGUAGCGCGGACACGGACCUAGUUGUGGUAAUAACACUUCAACAUAGUAUGCAAGAUUACAACUUAAACAAUACUCCUCAGUUAUAUAAAGGAAAUAUCACAGAAUGAUAUGAAGUCAUUCCUAUAGCCGUAUAAUAUCACAAAAUGAUACAAAUAUACUUUAUUAAUUUUCAUAAAUAUAACUAAUAAAUAGUGCUUAAAAUAUUUCUAGACAUUAACAUUAAAUGACAAAUUCAUUCAUUUAAUAUUUAUGUUGUAGAAGAAAAAAUUAUAGUCAUGAUUUUGUUGUCAAAUUGUUUGCACUAAUGUUGUAUUAUGUCACCACCCAAGUUCAAACUCGCAUUAUUAAAAGACAAUUUAUUAAAAGGUAUAAUUUCAGUUAACUUAUUUUGUAUUUACUGAUACUUUUGGGCUAUAAUAAAUUUUAGAUCCUAUAAAAAAGGAAAAAAUCCCUAUAAUUAAAAAGUUAAAAGUAAAAUUUGGUAAAUGUGAUUGCAUCUUCGAGAUUAUGACAUAUGCUUGUUUAGUAUACUAAUAAUUUCUUUUGGAAAGUUUGACAAUUAAGUAUUAUAACCUUUAAAUAGGUCGUAUUAAUUUUUUUAACUUUGAUAUUAUUUAAAUAUCUAUUUGUAUAUGUAGGAGAUAGGCCGGCCAAAUCACGUGUAUAUAUUGCAAAGCAAAACCAUAGAGAAGAGUAUUCAGACGUCAAACAAGCUAUAAAAAUGGCUAAAGCACAUAUAUGUCUUUAUUUCGUCAUCUUUUUAUACCUUUAUUCAGGUAAUGUGAUCACAACUAAUCAUCAGACCCAAUAGAAUUUAGAGAUCAAUUUUAACGAUGCAUAUGGCUUUAGGUCGUUUGGGAGUUUUAUUUGAUUGUAUGAUUUUCCAAAUUCUGUAACAAUCUUAAUUUCAUUUUGAUGUUUUUAAUAGAAGGAACUUUCACGAGAGUCAACGCAGAGGUACAUGUUUACGAUAACCCAAAAGUUGAAAACAAAACAAAACAUCAAUCUCAUAUGUGUGUGUGUUUUAUCAUUUAAUGCUCGCAGGGUCAUCAUGGGGAGUGGUGUGUGGCGAAACCAGCUACGAAGAAAGAAAAACUUCAACAAAUUAUUGAUUUUGCAUGUUCUAAAGUCAAUUGUGCAGCUAUAUCGAAUGGCGGUGCAUGUUAUUCUCCUGAGGAUCUCCUUCUUCAUGCUUCUGUAGCCAUGAAUAAUUAUUAUCAAGCAGAAGGAAGACACUUUUGGAAUUGCAAUUUCGCAGGCUCUGGCAUCAUUGCCAUAACUGAUCCGAGUGAGUUUCAUCUGAUUUUUUUUUUGUCUCUAAACAAUUAUGAAAGUCUUCUUAUGUCAACCUAGAAUCAAUACUUAAUUUAUUAAUCUUUUAUUUUCAGGCACUGGAAAUUGCAAAUAUCAAUUAAAAAAAUGAAGUAUAUGAAGUAUAUAAAGCUUCGUCUUUGUUACAAAAACAAAAUAGAGAACUCUAGUUCUCGAAUUUCAUAUCUGAUAUCUAAAGUUUAUGUGGUUCUAUUUGCAACUAUUAAAUGUUUAAGUUUACAUCAUCUAUCAUCGUAAGUUUCAGAAAAAGUUUUCCAUCAUCUUAUCAUCGUUAGAAAAAUAUAUAUAAAUUGUAGUCUGCUGUUAGUUUUUACAACCUGCACAAUAUGAACUUGAGGUAAGAGAAUCUGAUGAUCCAACGUUCUCCAGUUAAUAAAACAAAGUGGAGAUAUGGACAGAAAAUCCAAUUUUUACAUGGUCCAACAAUAUUUUUGGGGUGUAAAUUCUGGUCUAUGAAAUCUAAGCAUAAUACAAACAUAAAAUGAAGUGAAAAGCAAUAUCAAAGUAGAAAAAUCAUGGAAUAAAGUUAGAAAAACAAACUCAUGUACAUAAGGACACAAUCAGACCCAUACCGUCAACUCGGCGUUAGUUCUGAAGUGAAUGGAUAACUGAAUAAAAAAAAUAACAAAGUGUUUUGAUUCAUAAUGGCUGAAUCAAGCGGAGUCAAUGAAAACGUUACAUGUGACUUUGAGUUAUGAAAAUAAGCUGAAAAUUACAAGAAAUAGACAUAAAAUUUCUCUCAACAUAUACUAGGCAAUUUUUUUUUUGCUAUAUUAUUUUUCUACUUUUAUCUGAGAUUUUGAAAAAAAACUACAAAGUCAUCAAUACUAAAAUUUAAAGAAUUAUAAAAUGGUUGAAAAUCAAAGGUCGAAUACUGUAUAUUGUUUGUGUUAUGAUAUAUUGGCAAACAAAAACUUUUUGAUCAGUUUAACGUAAGUAUACGAAGUGCAAAAUAGAACUUACAUAAUACAGAGAAACUGACAUAAGUCAUCUCAUUUACUGGAACAAAAUCAUUUUUUGGUUAAAACUGGAACAUAAUCAUUUUUUUGGUUAAAUCUGUAACAGAAUAAUGAGAAGUUGAAGGUAUCAUUUUAUCAAAAGAUCAUAGUUUCUCCGUAAGGAAUCUUCAUGGAUUUCCAUGUCAAUGAUAAGCAGAGCCGGGCCUGAGAUUUUCGGGGCUCUAUCCGAAAUUAAAUUGUUUACAGAUUAAUGUAAAGAUUUUACAAAUUUUAUGUAUAAAUUUAAACUAUAGUAGUUGAGUAUAGUGCCUUUUUUUAUAGACAAGUUGGAAACAAAUGUAAAUACAUAUGAAACUGGAAAUCAAGAAGGAAGAAAAUGUGGCAUUCACUCAAUUAUUGUAUUUCAAGUAAAUCUUCACGAUAACAUAUUAACAUAUAAAUUCAUUUUUGCACAAUUUUUCUCUGGUAUUGGGGGGCCCCACAAACUGGGGGUCCAUUCAAAUGUUUCAUUCGGAUGGUAACCGUCGUCCUGCCCCGCCCCGCAGUUAACAAUAACAAAAAUCUCUACAUAUACUAUAUAUCUAUACAUUUUUAUUAAAACUGCACCGGAUUUGAACCGCUUGUCCCGUACCGCUCAAACCGUAGUUACCAUUCGGAGCCUUAAUGUCCCCAUGCCCCGCUCUGACUAUAACUCCUACAUAUAUAUAAAUGAACUAUAUAUUUAUAUGUUGCUUGGUUUAGAAGGAGAAGAAACUACUAUUGGAGUUGUGAAUCAACCAAUAUCAACAACAUCAAUUUCAGUUGCGCUUGAUAGGUCACCAAUAUCAUCAAGCCACGAAACUGGUGGAUUUGGAUCUUUGUUUGUUCCAGUUUGGUCGUUACAGGACAUGUUUUAUAAGACUUAUAUUACACUGCUAUUUCGUCCAAACAAGACGAGAAGUUUGUGCCGGCCAAAACAAUUUAAAGGCAUAUAGCUUUAGUCUAUGGUUCAAAACACUGUGUUUUCUUUAACAGCCUUCUUUCUCCUCUUUUGGCGUUCUUUAUUCUCCAAGCAUAAAAAACUAUCUCUUCCUGUUCUUCUUUGGCAUUUUUCUUCUUCUUUACAUAUCUCUUGGCGUUCUCAUUGAUACUUUAUAGCCAAAUUUAUUCAAUUGGAAGAACACAUUAUGUGUUCUUUUUUGGAUCUGUUCAAAACAAUUGAUCUUCACUUCCACCAUAUUGUGAAACAGUGAGACUUAUAUAUAUAUUAUGAAGAAGGGAAAUAUCAAACAAAGUGAUACAAUGAUAGUGAGUCUGAUGUAUAUUGGUGUGAAUUAUAAAUAUGUUGUUAGUAUUACUUGUAUUCAACGAAGCCGUCUUAGCUCAGUGGUAGAGCGCGUGACUUUUAAUCCCGUGGCCGUGGGUUCGAUCCCCACAGACGGCGAACUUUGCCCUUAUUUUCAGUUUAUAUUUAACUAGAAAAUCUUGGUAUCAAAAAUAUUUUGAGAUGUUUUAUAAAAUUACGUUGAUUUGAUUGUUCAGUUUGAAAAUGUUACACCAAAUGUUUUAUUACAAGAAAAUUCUACCAAUAAUCUCCACAAGAGCAACUACCAUCUCUAAAAUGAUGAAACCUCUUGUUAUCCCUUACAAGCUGUCUUAGCGUUAAUCCCGUGGCUGUGGGUUCGAUGCCCACAGACGGCGCAUCACUCAUUUCGGUUUAUAUUUUAACUAGAAAAUCUUGGUAUCAAAAAUAAUUUGACAUGUAUUGUAAAAUGUUACAACAAAUCUUUUUAUUACAAAAUUGUUUUACCAAUAAUCUCAACAAAAGCAACUACCAUCUCUAAAAUGAUGAAACCUCUUGUUAUCAUUUACAAGCCGUCUUAGCUCAGUGGUAGAGAGAGUGACUUUUAAUCCCGUGGCCGUGGGUUCGAUUCCCGCAGAUGACGAACUUUGCACUUAUUUUCGGUUUAUAUUUAACUGGAAAAUCUUGGUAUCAAAAAUAUUUUGAGAUGUUUUGUAAAAUUACGUUGAUUUGAUUGUUCAGUUUGAAAAUGUUACACCAAAUGUUUUAUUACAAAAGAAUUCUACCAAUAAUCUCCACAAGAGCAACUACCAUCUCUAAAAUGGUGAAACCUCUUGUUAUCUCUUACAAUGAACUCUCUACCUUCAAUACUCGACAACACCUUAAUGAAGUUGUGGCAAUCUCCGCAUAUCCUCAAAUUCUUCAUCACUCUUAUGGUCGUCCCAGGAGGCGUGUUUAUAAGCCCAAACGCAAUAGCUAACCGUUCACUGUGAUGCAUCAAUGCUCUCUCUUUAGCUUCUUCAUCAAUAUCAUGAAGAACAUACUUUGUCUCUGGUACAUAGCCAGCCUCUCUCACUUCUUUUCCUAAAGAUUUCAGCUUCACUACGGCCUUGCUUCUAUCUAAAAUAGCUUUCUUCUGUCCUGAGAUCUCCUGCUUAUCUUCCAGUACUGAUCCUGAAAGUCUUCUUGAUGUUGCUCUGCCACUAUUGUGAGCUUGGGUCUCAGCUUUCUCUUUCUUGAAAACCCUUUUGACAUCAGUGCUUAUCCUUAAGUUUUGAACUUCACCCUCACCUGCAAUUCCCUUGGCUCCCGAGGUAAUGAUUCGGCGAAAGGAUAAGGUUUCUCUCUCAAUGGUGAUUGCUUUUGGGAAAGGGAAGGAGCAGAAACUCGCGGAGAAAGCAGACUCCAGAGCCAUCUCUUGUGGCUAAUCCAAGAAAAAGAUAAGCUUUCUUUGGAGGGAAGUUUACAAUGUGGAGAUAGAAAUAGAGAGACUUAUCUCUCACACCAAAUAUCUACAAGAAGCAGACAAACAACACAAACAGCCAAACAAAAACCUCUGUUCUACUAUUAGCACCAGGUCCACAAAAAGUUUCCUGCACUAUACCAAUCACACAAUCCUUUAGCGCUGGAAGUCUUGGUUUCUAUCAAUUUAAAGAUAGUUUCUCUCGUUGACAAUGCUUUUCUGCCAUAACCAAAGCUUUCUUGAAUUGAACCAAUUGAUCGUAGAGAUCAAACCAUUCACACCAGCAAAAGAGCUGAUAACUUGUUCUUUACUUUCUUGGGGUUUUGUGAGUCUCACGAGUUUGCAAUCUUGUUGACAGAUUUGGAUACUCUGUUUUUGUUAGCUACGUCACUAAGAUGGUGGUGAUGAGGGAGCAGAGUGAGCUUUGUGUUUGCAACAGUGAUAAAAAUCAUGUCUUGUGAUCAAUCUAUCAAGCUUUCGUGUAGAAUUUUUCGAGAUAGUUUUCACUUUUCAGGUGAUCAAGUUUUUGUUUUUUAUAAGAGAUCGUUGGGUUCGCCCAAAAAAAAAAAAAAGAGAUCGUUGGGUUUUUGAGACGCCGACGAUAUAAAGGUAGUUUUGAUAUACUAUGAAACUAUAGGGGUAAUUGUGUCUUUUAAGCUUCAGUACAUUUGCGAUUUGCCCUAGUUUCUGGGUUUGCUAUAUAUAUAAGACGAUACGAGUCAGUACUGAAGCCAACCAAAAGGGUGUUUAAGCUUACAGAUGUUAGUUUUCGUUUUUCAUUGCGUUCUGUUUUAUAAAUCUUAAAUUUGCUCCGUCUUUUGUUUCGAUGAUUUCAAACUCUUCUUUGAUUUUGAUUUUCUCAAAGGAAACAAAAAAAAUUGUGGCGAUGACGAAGAAAAAAAUGACCUUUUAUCACAUGAGUGAGAUUUUUCAAUCUCGUGAUUACCUUUCAAGCACUUCUGAGCCUUUUUUUUUUGUUCUUGAUCGUUAGUAAUUUCUCAAUUUAUUGAGUUUAGAUAGAUAAGUAGCUUAAAAGUUAAUACUUGCAAUGUUAACAGUUAGUUUGCAUUGAGACUCUGUACAAUGUUUUCCAAAAACCUUUCGGCUAUUUGUUUAAUUUAUUUUGUUCGUAUCCUUGAAAUAGAAAAAAACAAUAGAUCUGGUUUAUAAUUACACAUUAAAGGUUUUAGAAUAUGUGGAACAGUAAAAGCAUAACAUAGAUAGAAUGGGCUCAAUUGAUGAAUAAAGAAGCAAUUGAGUCUGGAUAUUUGGUUGUUUUUGAAGAUUUAAUUAAAUCUUGACGUGACCGACCAAUCAAAAGCAUUACGUUAAAAUUCUCAUGGUUUGUGGCUAUUAUGAAAGUAAGCGUAUAAAAAUAUAUUUUACUAUCAAUAUUUUACGUCCUUCACAUCAAGAUUGAUUGCGACAAAAGUCGAACCAUGACGAGACCGGGCAUUUUCCGAUUCUAAAACUUUGAGAUGUCUUUACAGUAGUGAUUUUCACUAUAUUAAAUGUUUUAAGUGUAAAAUACGUUGGGAACUUGUUGCUGGUCGUAUACUGACCGGAAAAGCAGCACAAUCCAUAUUAUGGAAUCCUAGAGUUAGAUCCGAUGAAGUAGAGUAAACUGAGCCCUUUGCAGUAUUUUAAAAAUCAAGUUUAGAGAAUGCUAGUCAUGCGCUAAAUUCUGAGAACAUAUUUCUCUUAUUAAAUUUUUUUAAACAAACAUUAUAGAUCUGUUUAAUCUGAAUUCAUCAGUGGCUCUGAAUUCAGUGUUCUUAAAGAAAAUAAACUAUUUUUGCCACAUACCAAUUACUUAAGAACAUAAACUAUCUUUGUUAUUAAGUUCUCUCAAAAUUUCACCAGCUAAUCUAAACAUAGGCUACUUGUAUAUAUAUCUACUAGUGGUAUUCCGGCGCUAUGCGCUAAGUUCGUAUGUUUUAUUCUUACAUGAAUUUACAAUACAUUUAAUGGUUUUAAUAAAAAAAAAUGUUCAAAAAUAUGAAAAUGAAAAUAUGUUGAGAGAAAAUGAUCUUUUUCUGAUCCAAUUGAUACUGGUUAGCUAUCCUAAUGUAUUACUUUUUUUUAAAGUUACUUAAUUCAAAGUGAAAUAGCAUAAGUGGUUGUAAUUAAUCGAUUCAAUAAAAGUAUAAUAAAAAGCCGAUAGUCGUAACAAAGUAAAUUUAGUAAAAUUUAAAUAUAAAGUUAAUUUUAUUUAGAGAACAUACUUAUACUGUUAAGUACCAUAUGGACAGUAUAUAGAAGGAACGGCAUUUGAAAUUUUUUUUAGUGACUAAUCUGAAUUUAAACAUGUGUAAUGAAGUUUUGUUCAUAUAUGUUUUUAUCUGAUUUUUGGUUUUAAAAACAAAAAACUAAUUCUGGUAGUGGAACAUAUCAGGAAAUGAAGAAAAACAUUUAUAUAUUAUAUUGUUUAAAAAUUUAAACGAAAAUCAAAAGCAGUAUGUAAAUAAAACUGGAACAUAAGAAACACCCAUAUAAAUUGUAAUAAUGCUGAAUCAUAGAUAAUUUUUCCUAUAUAUGGGAAAUCUUAUGUUUGUACGAAGCCAUUGAUCAAUGCAGCAGAUAAGGUUGACGUCAGGUCUUGCAGUCGCGUUUUGGUUGUAGUCUGUGAUGGUAAGAGUAACUUGAAGAUCAUCAGUUACGUUAUUCUCUUCGUCUGUUAGUAAUUUCACCACGUAUUGGGUUGUUUCUUGAAUAAGCAGGGUUGAGUCGGGUUGCUCGAUUUCAUAGUAUGUUAACAUGAAUUCCAUGCCAUCAUUGGAGGACUCGACACCGCAAAGAAUGGGAUGCGAUAAAAUUUCAUUACGUGGGAGCUGAUAAGGUUUGAGAGGCACGACUGUAAACCCUAAUGACUGAAUUCAAUCGAUUGAAGAUGAAGGACACCGACACAAUUGAUGACUUUGUGGGCAAGCUAUCAGAAUUAUCAUCCAAGUCAGCUGCAUUAGGAGAAAGUAUGGAUGAAUCAAAGCUAGUGAAGAAAUUCUUAUCGUGUUUACCACGUAAGAAGUACAUUCACACCAUUUCCUCUAUCGAAAAAAUCCUGAAUUUAAAGACUACAAGCUUCAAAGACAUUAUAGGUCGUCUGAAAACAUACGGGGAACAUAUUUUUGAUAAAGAAGAAGACACGCAGGAGAGUCAAAACAAACUCGUGUACGCUAAUUCAGAACCGCAAACAUAACACGACUAUCAUGGUGAGUACAGAGGGCGUGGUCGAGGUGGCCGGUAUUAUGGCAGAGGAAGAAAACACGGUAGGUCGUAUUGGGACAUUCGAGACGCGACGAAGAUCCCAUGUUUUAGAUGUUAUAAAUUAGGACACUUUACAGCUACAUGUCCUGAUAGAGUACUCAAGUUACUAGAGACAAAUGAGAGUAAGGAUGAAGAUGAAACCCAAGAAGCCGAUAGACUCAUGAUGCACAAAAACAUCUAUCUCAAUGAACGUAACGUUAAUCCCAAAGAAUAGACAUUAAAGGGAAAGGAUCUAUUUUUUUCUUGAGUUAAGACUAGAAAAGAAAAAUUCUUGCAGAUGUCAAUAUCAUCAUAAUACUUAAGAGAAAUAUCAUAAGUCUCGGGCAAGCCACAAAGUUGGGAUGUGAUGUAAGGAUGAAAGAGAACUACCAGACUUUACACGAUAAGGAUGGUAAUAUAAUUAGGAAAUCUCCAAGAGCAAGGAAUCGUUUAUACAAGGUUGUGAUGGAGAUAGAAGAACCAAAGUGCCUGUAAACUCAACUACAAUGUGAAUGCUUGGUUUGGCACGCACGCCUAGGACACCUUAGAGUUGAUGCUAUGAAGGCAAUGGUAAGAGAGGAACUCUUUACCGGACUUCCCGAGUUGAAAUUCGAAAAAGAAACAUGCAAUUGUUGAUUGCGUACAAAGCAAAAAAGGCAGCCCUUUCCAUCUUCAACCUCAUAUUGUGCAUCUGAAGUCCUAGAACUCAUACACGGUGAUCUAUGCUGGCCAAUAACACCACCCACUGCAGGAAGAAACAUCUAUAUAUUUGUGCUCAUAGAUGAUCACUCGCGUUAUAUGUGGUCUAUCCUUUUGAAGGAGAAGGGAGAAGCAUUCGACAAGUUCAAACGAUUUAAGAAAAUAGUUGAAUACGAAACCGGUACAACCAUUAAGACGUUGAGAACAAAUAGAGGGGGAGAGUUUAUAAGCUCAGAAUUUUAAGAGUUUUUCGAAGUAUCAGGCAUACAACGACACCUAACCGCUCCACACAAGCCACAACAGAACAGAGUAGUGGAGAGACGAAAUAGAACCUUGUUAGAGAUGACUAGGAGCAUCUUAACACACAUGAAAGUGCCAAAUUACCUGUGGGGAGAAGCGGUGAGACAUCGACCUAUCUAAUUAACCGAGUGGCAACAAAGACGUUGACCUUGCAGACCCCGUAUUAGGGUUGGGCAAAUAAACCGAACCCGAAAAUUCGAACCGAACCCGAUCCGAUAAAAAUGAAUCUGAACCCGACAUAAAUACCGAAUGGAUCUUGUUUUUUGGUAUUUUGGGUUAUGGGUAUUAUCCAAACCUAACCCGAACCUAAAUGAAUAUCCAAUAGAACCCAAAACAUUUAAAAUCACAAAAAAGAACUUCUACCAAAUAUGAUGUUAAUUCUUAAUAUGUGUAUCCAAAAUACUUUAAGAUAUUAUUGAACUUCUAAAAUAAUUAUCUAUUACACGAAGGUUGAUGGUGGAAUGUGGCGAUUGAAGCCUGAAGUUUUUAGAUUUUGGUUUUGUUUUCAUUGAAUAAUGUUUCUCAUUUCAUGAGAACUUAAUAGUUUUUGUUUUAUGAGUUCAUUUAUCUGGUUUUAUUUCUAUCACUAACUAUGUUUAUCUUUCGCUUGAUUGUGAAUGAUCACGUUUGAUGGUUUUUCUUAUUUUUGAAUCGAUUUUACUUAUGUUUUGGCUAUUAAAAUAUGUACAAAUCAUGUAUUUUAAAUCCAAAUAACCGAUUUCAUUAAUUUUUAGUUACAAAAUAGGUAUAAAUCAUGUAUUUUUAAACCGAAGAACCGAUGGGGACCCGAACCCGAAAGUACAAUGGGUUAUACCGGUUAUUUGGAGAUUUACUUACCCCGACCCAAACCCGAUAGAACCCGAACCGGUCCCGAACUGAACUUUUAUAUAACCCGAAUGGGGGCUGAUUUUGAUAAACCCGAAAAAUCAAAACCCGAAUGGAUAAAACCAAAACUCGAUUGGGACCCCGAAUGUCCAUGCCUACCCCGUAUGAAGCGUUCAAGAGAAGAAAACCCAACAUUAAACACUUAUGAGUGUUUGGAUAUUUGUAUUGCGCAUUCUAAGAUAGAGUCAACAAACUUGAGAAAACUGAAUAACAGGUCUCGUACUCUAGUACAUCUUGGAACCGAGCCCGGCUCUAAAGCAUAUAGACUACUUGAUCCCACACAAGAGAGAAUAGUCAUGAGCAGAGAUGUAGUAUUCGGAGAGAAUAAACUAUUGGAAUGGAACAAAAAUGGUCAUCAUGAAGCUGAGAAAACAUGAGCACUUACAGUCACAUUUGAAGAGUAUGGGAAUCAAGGUCUUGAGGAAGCAAGCAACGAUAUAUCUAGCAGUGAACUUGGGCACGAAGAUGCAGUCGAGGAAGAUAACAACGAUAAUCAAGAGGAAGCCGGUGAAGAAACAAAGCACUACCAACCUCAAAGGUCAAAUAGAAAUGUGGGAACAUAAAUUCACACUAUCGAUUUCCGUUUAAAUAAGGAAAGUAAGAGAACCCUAAUUUCCCAGAGGUCUCAGAUAUCUGCUAAUACCACAGGCCAAGCAAUCAGAACAUGAAAUAAAGGCGAUAAAAGAUAAAUUGAAAAGAUAGCAAAGUUGAUCUUAUUCCGAAUUCACGUUUGAGCGUUACAACAAGGUAAGAGCCUGGGUUACGAGAGCUGUCGGCGAGAUUCCUAGUUCUAAAACCCUAAAGCUGCUAAACCUAAUUGAGUCACAGCUCGAAUAACAAAAACGAAAAAUUGCCUAAAUUGCUCUAAGUGCUAAGUUUGCUGUGUAUUGCGUAUCCUCCUCUUCCUCUCGCCUAGGACUCCUUAUAUACUUGCUCUUAGUUUGGUUUGCGCUUUUCUCUUUCUGCCCUUAAGCCGUCAUAACUCAUAAAUGGAGAUAUUCUGUUUUUUCUGAUCUUCGUGAUUAUCUUCAGAAACUUUACAUUUAUCCGCAGAAACUUGACAUUUAUCUUGCCUUAUGAACCAAGCAUAAACCAUCAUAAGACUUAUGUGAUUUCGGUUAAGGAAUCGUAAGUGGGCUUCGAGCUGCGUUUAGGUCUCUUUGGGCCGUUCUUUGACUCAAAACGUUUAUUAUGGUUUCUUUGAUAAAAAUGAAUUUCUGCAGUUUUUAUCGUAAAGUUUGACUGAUGACUUCGAGUGACGAUAAACAAAGAACAGUUUAGCCAUGGCUCAAGGGAGAUAGCAUUGAAGAGUAGACGAGAAUGCAUGGAUUCAUGUCGUAUCGACGUUUUGGGAGAGCUCGGUCGCUGUGUAACGACCAAGCCGUGUACAUGCUCGAUCGCUACGUAGUGACCAAGCCGUGUGCGUGCUCGGUCGCUACGUAGCAACCGGGCUUGGCGAGAGCUCGAGCUCUGUCGCUACGUAGCGACCGAGCCGUGUAUGUGCCUGGUUGCUAUGUAGCGACCGAGCCAUGUGUGCGCUCGGUCGCUACGUAGCGACCGAGCUGUGUGUGUGCUUGGUCGCUACGUAGCGACCGAGCUUUGGCUUGUGCGUGACCGAUUUGGAUACGUGUCCGUUGUUUUGGAAAAUUGGUACUUAGUGGUUCGAUUGAGAUUUAGAAUAAGAUUUUACCGCAAUCCUCUUCGUAAAGGUUCUUUUUACGAAGAAUAACUUUCGUAAAAAAUGUUUACACUGAUUUUUACGGAGAUUUGGAUAUCAACUUCGUCGUAUCCGUUUUUGACCCCAACAAGAAUCGAUAAAAAGCCUGCUUAUCUUGAUGAUUAUAUUUGUCUCGCAGAAGAGGAAGGAGAGCGACUCUUACUUCUCUUGAAUGAAGACCUGUGGAAUUUUGAAAGUGCAAUGGAAGAGAAUGUGUGGCGUGAUGCAUGCAAUGAACAGAUCAAAUCGAUUGUGAAAGACAAAACAUGGGAUCUCGUUGAACUUCCACCGGAAGCCAAACCAAUCGGUUUAAAGUGGAUCUUCAAGAACAAACGGAAUGCAGAUAGAAGCAUCAACAAGCACAAAUCAUGAUUAGUGGCUAAAGGAUAUAUUCAAUGCCAUGGUAUUAACUUCGAGGAAGUCUUCGCACCAGUUGCGCGCAUUGAAACUAUUAGGUUUAUUAUUGUUUUAGCUGCAUCAAACGGAUGGGAAAUCCAUCACUUGGAUGUCAAGAUCGCUUUCCUUCAUGGAGAGUUAAAAGCGGAGGUGUAUGUCAGGCAACUUGAAGGCUUUAAGGUUAAAGGAGAAGAAGAUAAGGUAUACAAACUUAAUAAAGCUUUGUAUAGUCUGAGACAAGCUCCAAGGGAAUGGAACGAGAAGCUCAACAAAUUCCUUGGGAAGCUAAGUUUCACAAGAUGUUCAAAAGAGCCUGCCUUGUACCGCAAGCAAGAGGGAAAUUGUUGUCUUCUCGUAGUCGUAUACGUUGACGAUCUGCUAAUAACUGGUUCUGAUCAAGCCUUUAUACAAGUUUAGGAAGGAGAUGUCGAGUAAUUUUGAGAUGAGUGAUCUCGGGCUAUUGACUUACUACCUCGGAAUUGAAGAAUGUCAAGAGAAGGGAAGGAUAACAUUGAAUCAAAGAAGAUACGCAAACAAGAUUCUGAGUGAAGCAGGUAUGGCUGAGUGUAACGCUACACGCACUCCUAUGGAGUUUGGUCUGAAGGUACCAAAGUCAGCAGAAGAAGUGAGCAUUGACGAGAAAGACUUUAGACGUAAGAUCGGGUGCUUGCGCUAUCUACUCCGCACACGUCCAGACCUACCAUUCAGUGUAGGAUUGCUCAGUAGGUACAUGCACGAUCCUAAAACGUCACAUGGAGCAGCAUUGAAACAUGUCUUGAGAUACCUAAAAGGGACAACAUCGUUAGGCCUCGUAUACAAGCAAGGAAGCGCGACAUCACUUGAGGGGUUUAGUGAUUCAAGCCAUAACAUCGAUGAAGAUGAUGGUAGAGUUACUACAGGUCACAUAUUUUACCUGAAUGAUUGCCCAAUCACUUGGUGUUCUCAAAAGCAAGUGACUGUGGCAUUGUCAUCAUGUGAGGCUGAGUUUAUGGCUGCAACCGAAGCUGCAAAGUAAGCAAUAUGGCUUCAAAAACUCUUGGAAGACGUUACUGAAAAACCGAAUGAAAGAGUGGUGAUAUGGCUUGACAAAAAAUCAGCCAUAGCACUCACAAAGAAUCCCGUCUUUCAUGGUCGCAGCAAGCAUAUACACAAGCGUUAUCACUUUAUCCGAGAAUGCAUCGAGAACGAGCAAGUCGACGUCCAACAUGGAGCUGAACAAAAGACAAAUAUUCUAACUAAAGGUUUGGAAAGAAUCAAGUUCAAGGAAAUGAAAGAUGUUGUGGGAGUUCAAGACAUUGAUGAAGCUAACUUCAAGUUUAAAGGGGAGAAUGUUGGAGAUAAACAUGAAGUUAACUUAAAGAAGAAGUUACACUAAUCCUAAUGUGUUUAGGAAAGUUAGUUCCUAAGGGUUUAGGAAAGUUAGUUCCUAAGAGUUUAGGAAAUAUGGAAACAUUAAUCUCUAUAUAAAGUAUAUGCAAGAGUGUUCACAUAAGAGUUUUAGAGAUUGUGAUUGAGCACUUAAGUUUUGAGGAAGUUUUUUAAGAUAAUAAAGAAGAGUUUCUUUAUAUUGAGUUCUUAUACAAUCUUAGGCUUACAAAUAAACAUGGGAUAUCAAACAGACCCCCAAACACAACUAUUCUCUAAAGAAUCCUUACUAAUAAGAAAUGAGACAUUGCUCUGUCAGAGAAGAAACAGAUUGCCUUAAGAGACGAUUCUUCUCAUGCACCAACAACAUGAUGAGAGAAGUCUGCAAAGCCAAAACAAAGGGAUCAUAUAGGAGUUAUCCUAAUCACUAAAUGUUAGCAGCAUCAUAAACCUACCAGCAAGACUCCAAGAAGAGAGGAAACCAGAAUGGCCCGACAUUCAAUUAGACAUAUCUACAAUUCCAGUUCUCGUCGGAACCUACUCUUUUUAUUUCCUCCUUUGGGACCUCUUCAAUGAUGGGAGAGUCUUCCUUCGGGUGAAAAUAGUAUAUAUUGUCUCUGGCAGUUAACGGAGAGAGGUAAAAUGAGUAAAUCACUUCAUUGACUCUAAAGGUGAUGUCUUGCAAUUUUCUCAGAACCUAGAUAACAAUGAGAGUCCUCAAAGUCGGAAGAUUAAGUGGAGCACGAGAAAUUACAAAGUACACUGCAAUCUUGGCUAUCAGAUAAGGGAUUUAACUUCAAUAUUGUAUUUAUGUAAAAAAUAGGUUCCAUGAUACAAUGAGAUUUUUUUUUCUUUUUUUUCUCUUGGAUUUAACCUAGUUUACAUCGUUUGUCUCGAUCUAAUUUUUUAUAAAAUUGGAGCAAGUCAAUUCUCAAGUAGUACACCACGUGCCGAUUUCCAAGGAAACUCAGCCAUCACACUCCUUGGAAGACUGAAUGUUUUCUAAGUCUAAUAAUGAAGAUAGGUCUUGUAUACCUAAUAAGAUGCUUUUCUCGAAAGUCUUUUUGGCUUUUCUAUAUAUAUUGAUAGCCCUCUCCUCAUUUCUUUCUAUCAGAAAUCAGCUAGCUCGCUCUCUGAACUCUCUCUUGCUAUUUUCCUUUUUUGUAGCUACAUAUCAUCCGCUGCUUCCACGGUUUCAUUGAUUUCUACGAUAUAAUCAAGACCUAACCCUUGUUUUUCACAUCAAAAUGCCUUCAAUACAUUUUUCAUUUUUGGGGAAGGAAGUUAUUAAUGCUUUAGGAUGCUUGAAGUCUAAUAACCAACAUGAUCAUAAAAAUUCCAUCGUUUUCAAGUACAGAGCCGCUUCUGAUUCCUCACAUAUAUAUAUACUGGAGCUUGACCGUGCAGAUGCACGUGUGUUUAAUUUAAUAAAAUAAACAUAUAAUUUUUUUUUUACAAUACAAAAAUAUAAUGGUUGUACAAACAUACAUUCAUAUGGGUAUUUGUUCGAUUUGUAAUUAUGAUAAAUGGACUAUUUUUAUUCUGUGUAAUUUGAUGAUUUCUCAAUAUUGUGGUAGAAUACAAAACCAAUCAAAAAUAUAUUAUGUAACAUAUUUGUCAAUUUAUAUUUUUGACUAUAGUAAUCAUUUUGAUGUAUUUAUUUCUAAAUUAGAGUACCAAUUAUUAUGUUUUUAUAUAUUAAUAAAUCUAUAUUUUCAAAAUUAAAUGUAUCAUGUUUUAAUAAAAUAGAUAUAUAUGUCUAUAAAAUUUUUGUAUAUGCCAAAUAAAUUUCACUUCUAUUUUUAUUUUUUGAGAAACUAUUAAACUGAAAUUUAUUUGUUGUAUUCUUAUAAUUCAAAUUUAUAUGUGUGAAUUAUAUUAAUCAUCACAUUAUUUAAUAUAUAUUUUAAAAAUAAAUUUAUAUAUUUUAAUAAAAAUAUCUAUAGUUUAUAUUUUGUAUAUAAAAUAGAAUAAUGAUCUACAUGAAUAUAUAAAAUUUAAAGUUUGUAGAUACAUUUUAAAUAAAUUUGUUUAGUUUUACUGUAAAAUUUGGUUAGAGAAUAAUCCUGUUAGAAAAUAAUCGUAAGUUUCGUACUUUUGGUUAGAAAAUAAUUUAACAAAAGAAAUGAUUUGUAGUUAAUUAAUUAAGUUUGAAGUUAGGAUAGAGAAAAAUCUAACAAAAUAAAUGAUUUGUGGUCAAUUAAUUAAUAGUUAUUAAUUAAUUAAGGUGAUUGGUUGGGCUUUAUCUCCAUACUUUAGUUUUAUUUGCUUUUAAAUCACUAAAUUUUACCAGUUCUGUUGUAGCAUUAUUUUUAAAAGUUAAAGCAUACAUCAAGUUUUUAUUAAUUUUUACCAAUCAUGCUUUAACUUUAUUUUUAAAGCUACAGUAAAAAAAAAUAAGGCAAAUUUUUUUCAUAUGUAUUUUAGGCAUUGAAUCUGUAAAAUGAAAACAAUUAUCUAUAAUAUCAGAUAAACUAUAUAAUCAUAAUAUAAACUUUUAUAAAUAUUUUAAUUUUGAUUUUGGGUGUUUUUUAAAAUUAUUAAAAUAUUUAAAUAACAUAAAUAUUAUUUACAUAUCACAUUUUAAAUAACAAUAAACUUUGAUAAUAUAUAAAAUAUAUUAAUAUUAAUUAUUUUAAUUGAUAAAAAUAAUAAUUUUAUAUAUACAACACAUAUUUCACAUAUUUUUUUUAAAAAGAUCUAAAGCCUAUAGCUUACAGCUCUAACAAAUUCAACUACAGCAAAAGUCUCUUGAGAAAAAGUAUAUUGUAACAACUUGACAACUACAACCAAUUUAUCCACAUCUAAACUUCUACAGCUAAAUUUUUAAAGUCACAGUCGAACCAAUCAUCACUGUAGUUAUUAGAAUGAAAAUAUAUAUUUCUAAUACUUACUUCACUUUUAAUAAUAUAGAUAUAUAUUAAAAUAGAUAUUCUGAUUAUAUUGCAUGUAUGGAGGGCGUAACAAAGAUAUAAUAUUUAUUGAACAAAUGGACGAUCUCGUGUGGUUAAAAUGAUUGUUUCACAUAUUACGUCAUUUAUUUUUUUUGUUUUUACACUAUAGUAUAAAUAUAUAUAUUCAAAAUUGGAUUGUAAGUUACAACUGAUUUAUGAUAUGAUUAUUAAAUGAGUGAAAUAUGAGAACCAUGUAAUGAAAAACCUGCAAAAAAUAUGAUAAAUUAGUGAGAAAGACAUGAGAGAAAAAGAGAAAUUCAUAUAAAAUUUGGUGUUUUCUAGUUCAAAGAAAUUGGAGAGAAGUUGGAGAGUUUCAAAGUGAAAAACAUUACAUUUUUGUUGCGGCCAUUUAAGAAGAAGAGAGAGAGAAUAUAUAAAAUGUUUUUAUAUAAUGAGAUAAAAAUUUCAUUACCUGAAAGUCUUGUAAACCCUAAGUUUACUAUUCGUCCGAGAAGACUUACCAAGAAUCUUUCUACUGCAUUACAUGUUAAUUAGAAGUAAAACUAAAUAGCAACAAACACUUCAUUAAAUAUAUGAUCGAGUUAUAAAAUUGUUAAUAUAUACAAAACUAAACACAUAAAUGUCUAAUUGAAUUUUCUUAAAAAAAUUAAGCUUCUAAAAUCUAACUCUAAAAUAUAAACAAUACUACAACAUAUUUUACCAAACCUUAAACCAAAGACAUUAAUGACUUACAACCUAUAUUCACUCAUGUAUGUUGAAAAAAAAAUCAAUUUAGUAAAUCUAAAUAUUCAUCAUUAGAAAUGUUUAUAAUUACAUUAUUUCAAAAAUUUCUCCAUAAAAAUAUUUUUUUUUAAUUUAUAAAUUAUUUUUAAGAUCUAAUAUAUGAAAAAAAACCUUUCGAAAAUUCUUAUAAUGUAAGACUUACAAAACCACACAAGACUUCAUGUGGUUAUAUUCUUAAAAGUGCAUACAUGUUUUUUGUUUGGUCAUAAGAGGUUUAUUGUAAUUUCACUAGAUUUUUGAGUUACUUUAGCAUUUGAUUGAAUUUGUGAUAUACUUUUAUAUUUAAAAUUGAGUUUUAGGUCAUGCUUGGCAAUGUUCUCAAAAUUUUGUACUUUUAAGUCUUUUUCUUAGAGCACCAUUAUCGACAAAAUUUCUCAAUUUCAUAAUAUUAAUAUUUUAAUAUAAAUAAAUUGAUUGAUUAAAAUUUAUUAUCUAAAGCAAAUCCAAACCUCUAAUCUAUAUGCCAACACAUGCAAAAAGAGUUCUCAAGAAUAUUUAACAUAUUUUCUCUCCUCUCUCUUAUUUAUUAUAUUUAUUUUAGUUUUUGUAAUUAGUUAAAUAUUCAUUGGGUAUCUUCAAAGAAGGUGCUUUUAUAUGACUUGGUAUAUAAUUUUUUUCUUGUCACUGUAACUUGGUAUAUAAUAUUCAACAGUUUCCCGAGACGUGGUGACUACAUAUUUCAUGUUAAGUAUUUUCUUCGUAAGGCCAUGUCCAACGGUAAUAAAUAUCUAAACAAAUAAAACAAUGAUUUGAUUUGGUAAGAGCUGUGAUUUUAUUUUAUUUUUGCUAUAGAAAUAUUGCUGUGAUAUGUUUUGUUUUGACUCUAGAUUUUUAAUUUUAAAAGUCUUUAAACUUAGGCUAUAGGUAUUUGUCUUUUCAAAGCAAGUAUAAAGACAUGAAUUUUAAAAAGUGUUGUGGAUUUAAAAAAGAGCUGUGAACUUUAAAAAAAAAAUAGAAAUCAAGAUUAACAUAGAUUUAUGACUGUAAAUAUAAUUGUGGUUGUGGAAAGCAUCUACACCCAAUAUAAAACUCAAAAAGUAGAAGAGAGGUAAAAAAGUUUUAACAUCCCGUGUCUUCUUUUUGAGGUUACAAGAACCUUAAAACUAUAGAAACACUUGUCACCCUUAUAACCCCAGGGCUUAUAACUCACCAAUCUUGUUUAAAAAUUAAAUCUAAAUAAUUAAAAUUAAACAGACAAAAGUAAUAAUAUUUUAUUAUUCACUUCCUCAAUUGACCAUUUCUACCGUUGAGGUUGCCCUAAGCUUUUCAUUGAGGUUUACACUUACUGAAUUCAUUGAACAAUUAGGUAUUAUAGUCAGCUUAGCAAGAUAUUUUUCAUUAAUUUAUAUUCUUCUCAAAGUGAUUUAUUCAUUAUAUAAUUUUACAAACAUGACAGUGGAGCAAACCCACGACAAAGACAUGAUUAUCAUAGUACUGUCAAAACAUUGAAAUGGUAAAGUGAUGUCCAAACAUCCCUUCAGAAUUAGAUGACAAGUUUACACGAAAAAUACAUAUAAUUUUCUAUAUGAUAUAAAUUGUGACGUAUGAUAUGAUACCCAAAUCAAUGUCGUCCAUGAGAAUGUCCAACACCUGGGCUGUUGCCCGGAUUUGUCGACCUGAAGUCUGUGGGGUGGGUGAUGACCGCCUUUUGAAGAACACUACGUCGUGUAUAUGUGACCACAAUGCUAGAAUUCUCAGCCUCAGGAUUCAUAUAAGUUGACUCAAUCUCUAACGAAGUAAUUUUCAAAUGUCUCUCUUCUGUAUACUGAAUUCCAUGCAAAACAGCCAAUCCAAGGAAAAAUAUAAAUGUAGAAACAUGCUUGUUUGAAAUUGCCAUAGAGUCACGGACAAACGAGUAAAUAUAAGAAUGUGUAAGAAACAAAAAAAAAAAUAUUAAUGUUAGAUACACAAGAGCAUAAGAUGGAAACCAGAGGAAUGGGGUAUUCUGUAUUUAUAAAGGUAAUUAAAGAGUGAAGCUUUCAUUGCCUAGCAUUGUCUUAAAUGUGGAGAAAUUUUACUUCAAAUAGGGAAAUGAUGAUGUUUUAUGAUGUCUGAGUAUAUAAUGUGAUCCAGGUGAUUCAUACUUCCAUAUGUUUCCAACUGUGCAUUUCUGCUCUCAUAUGUAUACAUGGCCCAUGUAUUUACACGCUCAGGUUUUUGGUCCACAUGUACAGUGGAUUGAGGAAAAAAGCUAUUUAGAUCACGGCCAUAGUAUGCAAAGAUUCAGCUGGAUUGUCGACAAGAAGGGGGCUUGGCCGGCUUAGGGUAUGGGGCAAAGGGAUGUCGGUUCCGGGGCCCAAACAUUUUUUUAACCAAAAUAAUGUUAAAGAGGAGUUCAAAUUUUUAAAAAUAAUUAGGGAUAAAGGUCCCAAAAAUAUAUGCUGCCCAUAAAUGGAUGUAAAAAAAAUUAAAAAUUCUUUUGUCCAAGGAUCCAUAAAUACCUUGAGCCAGCCCCCUUACUGUGACAAACAUGAGAAUAAAACUGCAUAUCAUAAGACAAAUCUUUUAGAUCUGAUAUUUGAUUCUCCGAACGGGUUUCAUACAUAAGCAAAGGUUUCAUUAACGAUAUUUGAAUAUUUUAGGCAGUGUUUUGAAACCCAACCCGGACCCGCGGUUGAACCGGUAAACCCGGUGACCCAGAAAAAAUCCGGUUUGGGUUUUGUGAAAAGCCCAAUAUUUAAAAACCCGCAAAAAUCCGCAAAAACCCGGUAAAAUCCGAAACCCGGUACCGGUUGAACCAUCGGUCGAACCAAUAAAUAACUUUUUACUUUUGCUUUUCUAGUUUUUAAUUAUAUUUUUAGAUUAUGUUUUAUAUUUUAAACUUCCAAUUAAGAAGUUAUGUACUGACAAAAAAAAGGUUAGGUUUUCUUUUUCAGUUUUAUAUUUGUGUUUUUAUAUUUUGAUGAAGAUUUCACUAUGUCACCUAAAAAAAAUAAAGCGAACAAUGGUAGAGAGAACCAAAAUUAAUUGACAUGAUUUGGUGUUAGUUUAUUUUCGUUAUUGAUAAUUUAUUACAAUGAUCUGUUACUUUUGGUUUAUUUUAUAUUUGUAGUUUAAUUAUUAUUCACAUUAGGCAUCUAAAUAUUUAAAUAUUUAUAAAUUUUAUGUUUGGAUUUAUUUCAGAUGUCAUAACUCUUACGUUGUUAGGAAAAAUUUUAAAUAGUCUAACCUAUUUUUUGAUAUUUUGUAUGUCAAAUGAAAAUAAAAAUAUAAAAACUAAAGUUAAGUAUUUUCUAAAUAUUUUUAAACAUAAAAUAUAUAAAUAUCCAAACUAUUCUUUUAUGUUUUAAAAACAUUUAGAAAAUAUUAAACUUUAGUUUCUAUAUUUUUAUUUACAUAGCUGAUAUAUUAUUAUAUAAUAAAAUUAAUUCAUUUAUCAACCCGCGGUUCAUCCGCGGUCGAACCAGUGACCCAGCAAUCCGGUAAGUAGUCCGGUUCAGUGUCCUGGUCGGGUUUAAAAACAUUGAUUUUAGGUAAAUCCUUGCUUAUCCUAAGUUUUCUAUCUCCUAGUUUAAUCUUUGUCAGCGUUAAAUAAUUUUUAUAAAAUAAAAUUCAAAUUUAAUCAUUCCGAAAUCACAAACUCCAAAUUUAUUGUGGUUUAAAAGAAACUUGAUGUUUUUCUUGUCCCAUGUAUAGUAAUUAAUUAUUUUAAUUAAAUUAUACAUGAAAAUAAAUUUUUUAUUAAUAUUGUAGAUUUUAUUAUUUUACCAAUAUUUUAAUAUAUAUUUAAUUUUAAUUAAACAUAAAAUUAAGAUAAAAAUAUUUUUUCAAUUAUAAAUUAUACUAAAGAAUAUUUAUGUAUAUAUUAAAAUUACAAUCUUAGAUACAUUUUUUGGUUAAAUAUAUUAAAUCAACUUGUAUAAUAAAUUAAUAUAAUUAUUUAUAAUUAUCAAAAAUUAUAACUAAAUAUUAUUUAUAAAAUCUGUAGAUAUAUGAAGAAACUAAUUAUAUUACGAUUAAAAGUUUAUAAUUUUCUUAAAAAAUUGUAGAAUUGUUUUAAAAUUUUAGUAUAAAAAUUGUAUAAUUAUAAAAAAUAUAAUAAAAUAAUAUUUCAAAAAUUUUAAUGUCAUAUUUGAAUAUAUUUUUAAUGGUGAUAUAUGAGUUAUUACAAUAUUCUAAAAAGUUUACCAAAAAUAUAAAUUAACAAUAAAUGAAGUAAUUGUCUAUGUCAUAAGACAUGUCAUAUAUUUUAGUAGCCAUGUCAUAUUAUUUAAGAAAGUGAUUGUGAAAAGACGGGCGGCUAGGGCUUCUGUGGUGACUCCAAUGGCGAUUCUUCAGAUCACAAACUUCCAUUGAAGUUUUGAUCUUCAUCUGAUCGACACGGUCUUCGGCGUGUGGAUCACCCUGGCUAUAGAACGCUUCUCAUCACACGCUCCAUCUCGUUCGAUCUUACCUGGCGUAUUCCUCACGGCAGCAAAGGUUGAGAUUCUCAUUGGAGUCUCAAUCUCUUCUCCAUCAAGCGGAUCUGUGCGUUGCCGAUCUCUCUUGAUCUGCUCUCUGUGCAAUAUCAUUGACUCCGGUUCACUGCCGUGUGAUCACGUUCAUUGAUUUCGGUUCACUGUCGUGCAAUAUCAGAUCUUCACGUUCACUGACGUGUGAUCUUCAAGUUCGUUGACGUUCGUUGACGUGUGAUCGCUUGUUUACAUCUCCUCCUCGCUCUGAUCGCUCGCGGCUAUUACAUUCGGCUCGAUCAUACGAUAAUCGGAAGUUUCUACCGAACAUUUUGAAGCAGGAUCAUUGGUGCUCGAACCCCAUAUGGGAUCUUCGUACCGUUCAAAAUCAGCCCAUAUGGCUGAUAUCAAGGGCAAGGGAAUCCUCUAUGAGGAUGAUGAUGAACCGAUCAAGUUAACGGACCAUGAUGUCUCCCAAAACAUUAAUGAAUUCAAGCUGUCUCUGAUCGGAAAGAUCCUUAACCCGAAAAAACAAAGCGUGGAGAAACUCCUCCAGAAAAUGCCGGUUCAAUGGGGCAUGGAGGAUCCCAUCACUGCAAAUGACUUGGGAAAUAGAAAGUUUUUACUCAACUUUACCACCGAAGAGGAGCUAAACUCUGUUCUUCGACAGGGUCCGUUCCACUUCAACUUCUGUAUGUUUGUGCUGGUUCGAUGGGAGCCCAUUGUUCAUGAUGACUAUCCUUGGAUAAUACCAUUCUGGACUAGACUGAUUGGUGUACCUUUGCACCUAUGGACUGAGAACAACCUGAGAGAAAUAGGUUCCCGGCUGGGACAUGUUCAUCAGGACACAAUAGAGCUGAUUGAAGGCAGAAUGCUUUUAGAUUUUGACUCUCGUCAGCCACUAAAGUUUGCAAGGAAGGCUGAAUCUCCGGAGGGAGAUGAGGUUACGAUUGAAAUCAAGUACGAGAUGUUGUUUAAGCAUUGUUCUACUUGUGGUAUGCUUACACAUGAGAAGGAGUAUUGUCCUUUGAUACAGCGCCAAGGCGUCUUUGCGCGGGUUCAGCUGCAGGAGAAUAGGCCACAGCAGUUCUCAAAACCAUUGGUUAAGAAGGAACCUAAUGCGCUACACUCGAAAGCAUUGGUUGGUCCAAAUCUUAAGCAGUCUAGCUAUGCUACUGGGAGGCAUGCCAAUGAAGGGCGAAGCUAUGAUUUAAAUAACCCCCGUGAGGCUUAUAAGGGCCAUGCGGAUAGGGUUAUUCGCCGGCGGGAUGAACCGUCGUGGAGGAAGAAGUAUGGGGGUGCGCGAGAGGAGGCAAAGCCUUACGACAGGUACAUUGGUGCAACCUGGCGUGAGAUCUGCCUAUCCAGAGAAGAGGGUGGAAUUGGCUUCCGAUUGAUUCAUGAGUUUAAUCUGGCGCUUCUAGCUAAACAACUAUGGAGAUUAGUACAGUUUCCUGAUUCUCUGGUGGUCCGAGUCUUACGGGCCCAUCCUAUGUGUGGACUAGCAUUUCUGCUGCAAGAAAAUUGCUGCUACUGGGGAUUAGACAGAAGAUACACUCAGGCUAUGAGGUUAAGGUAUGGGAGGAUCCAUGGAUUCCAUCGAGUCCCGCCAGGCCAGCUGCCCCCAUAGCUCCUGUGAUGAACCCCAACAUGAGAGUAAGCGAUCUUAUUGACCAGGGAUUGAAGGAUUGGGAUGUGGGACUAUUGGAGAACUAUGUUCAUCCUGAGGAUAUACCGCUCAUAAGGAGUUUGGCCAUAAGCUCAACUCAUUGUCGAGAUACUUUCUGCUGGAACUUUACAAGGAGUGGCCAAUACACGGUUAAAUCUGGAUAUUGGGUGGCGCAGAAUUUAUUAAAGUUAACGGAGGAGAAGGAAGUUUUGGAGCCAAGUAUUACAAAGCUUCAGGCCUUUGCGUGGAAAUUGAAGGCCCCUACGAAAAUAUGUCAUCUUAUAUGGCAGUUGUUAACUGGUCAUGUGGCAGUAACGAGGAAUUUAGUUAGACGUAAUAUGAGGUGCGACAAUUAUUGCCCAAGAUGUGGAGAAGCAGAGGAGACUGUCACACAUGCAAUUUUUGAAUGCCCACUAGCUCGUCAAGUAUGGUCUUUAUCUUCAACUCCGACGUGCCCAAAUAUUUUUCCGGUACCGAGCGUCUACACAAACAUGGAUUAUCUGUUCUGGAGGAAAAAUAGUAUCAUGGAGCCAGACCAAGAUAGGGAUCCUUAUCCCUGGAUAAUAUGGUCCAUUUGGAAGACUAGAAAUGAAAAACUAUUCAGAGGAAUAGAUAGAGAUCCUCUAGAACUGGUUAGACAUGCUGAGAGUGAAUGCCAUGCAUGGUUUGAGGCUAAUGAAGUGGUACAAGCUGUGACACAAGACACUAUAAAUGAGGAGCCCCAAGCCGUAUGUUUGGGAAAUAUUUGUCUAUUAGAUGGAUCUUGGACACUUUCAGCUAACUUCAGUGGAUGUGGAUGGACAUGGAUAGAUAGUUCUGGGAAUAUUCAGCUUAUGGGGACAAAAAACUUCCCUCGACGGGAAUCGGCCUUGCAUUCGGAGGUAGAAGCACUGCGGUGGGCGAUGGAGAAUAUGCUGCAGCACUCGACCUGCCAGAGCUUUGGGACAGAUUGUAAGGAACUGAUUGCUAUGGUAAAGGAUCCCCAGGCGUGGCCAAGCUUUGCGACGGAAUUGGAGAGAAUAGAGACGCUAAAAAUCUGCUUCCCAGACUUUAACAUCACUUACGUUCCACGGGCGCAUAAUCAGACUGCAUAUUUUUUAACUAAGACUGCUAGAUCUUUCCGUAGAGAGUUACACUUUGUUGGUUGUUCUAUUCCGGUUUGGUUACCCAGACCACCUCAAGUUUGAGUAAUAGAAUAGCCUUUUGACGUCAAAAAAAAAAAAAAAAAGAAAGUGAUUGUGGAGAGGAGAAGUCUGGUAGGUCAAGAGAACCUUAAAGUUAAGCAUAGGUAUUUCUCUUCUUUUUUAUAAUGAUUUUUCAUCUUUUUCUCUCAUUUACAAAUCCAGAGCAAAACAUGGCAGAGAUCCUGAGAAACCCAAAAACCCUACCCAUCAAGAUACCUAUCUCUCUCUCUCCUCGCCGCACCGUCGCUUCACGCACAUGCCAUGCCAUCUAUUGUGCGCCACCGCAAGCUGACUCGCCUUCCGCCAGUCUUGCUAGCCACCACCACUGAGCCAAGGGCUUGGUUCAUGGUUUGCUGUGUAUCUUUGCCUUGUUCUUCUGAUCUAAUCUCAAGAUCUAUGUUAUGGUCAAAAUCGGUCACAACGGAAUCAAUGCUUGAAAUUCUUCGGAAAAUAAUUCUAAACACUUCUCGGAAAGUAAUAUUCGUAAAGAAAUCUCUACGAGAAACUUUGCGGUAAAAUCUUGCACUAAUCCCGGUUGAUCCAUCAAAACUAAACACCGAUAGUCCGAGAACACUUUCGCGAAACAUCGGAACAAGGUCGCUACAUAGCGACCGAACCAGCACGUUCGGUCGCUACAUGGCGACCGACCAGGCCUCUUGUUCGGUCGCUACGUAGCGACCGAACCAGCACGUUUGGUCGCUACGUAGCGACCGAACUGUCUCAGACAUCGAUCAACGGGCACAACCCAAAACCUUGCAUUCUCGUCAGUUCCUCAAUGCUAGUUCCCGAGUACCGUAGCCAUAUCCUUUUACAUUUCCGUCUAUUGGAGUUAUCACUUAAACUUUACGAUAAAAAUCGCGGAAAGUUUAUGUUUAUCGGUAAAAAUCCUAAUAAACGUUUCGAGUUGAAUGACGGCCCAAAUAGGUCUAAAACGCGAUUAGAAACCCACUUACGAUUUUUCAAGGAAAAACCCAUAGAUACUAUGGCGGUUUACACUUUAUCCGCAAAGAAAAGGAUAAAUGUCAAAUUUCCGCAGAUAAAUGUUAAGUUUCCGCGGAUAAUCACGAAGAUCGAGAAAAAUAGAAUAUCUCCAUUUCUAAGUUAUGACAUCUUAAGGGCAGGAAGGGAAAAUCUCAAACCAACCUUGGAGAGAGUAUAUAAGGAGUCCUAGGUGAGAGGCACAAAGUGAGAACUUUUUCAGAGCAAUUUUAGGCAACUUUUUGUUUUUGUUAUUCGAGCUGCGACUCAACUAGGUUUUGCAGUCUUAAGGUCUUAGAACUACGAAUCUCGCCGACAGCUCUCGUAGCCCAGGCUCUUACCUUGUUUUAACGCUCAAACGCGAAUUCGGAAUAAGAUCUAUUUUUCUCUCUUUUCGCUUUCUUAUUUUUCUCGUUUUUAUUUAGCAGAUAUCCAGGACCUCCUGCGAAAUUAGAGUUUUCCUAACUUUCUUAAUUUAAACGGAAAUCUAUAGUGCGAAUUUGGGUUCCCACAAUCUAGGUGGUUCGAAACUAGUGAGUUUUCUUCUCUUGAUCAUUUAUACGUUUUGAUGCUCAAUUAGGAUUGGUUGGUUUGAUUGUUGUUAGUUGAUGGAUCAAAAUAUAUGCUAAAUUAUUAGAUUCAUUUUUCAUGUUGCAUAAGAACACUCACACUAUUUAAAGAACUUAGUAGACUGUCUGGUGUUGAUGUCACCUUGUGAUAAGAACAAAAUGAUCUAGGUGGUUAGAUGGAUGAAAUGAACUGGAACUUGUGAGUGAUUGUGGUUCAAUUUAAUUUUUAUUCUGUGUGUGACAGCGAAAAUGGGUGGUAUGUAGAAUAAAGAUGAAAGUGAUAAUGAGAUGGAUGAUAAGAAUGAAUGUGUUAAAAGAAAUAUGAAAUGAGGAUGUUAAGUAUUCAGUCAACAAUGUUGGGGAGGCCAUUAAAGAACUGUAGGUGAUAUUAGGAGCAGGUAAAAUUGAGUCAUGCUGAGUCCGUGAAUAAGUGACUAUGAGAUGUGUUGUGGACAUAAGUAGAUCACAAGCGGGCCGUGUUGUCGAUAUAAAUAGGUUACAAGCGGGUAGUCACAUGAGGUCGAUGGGGUAGAUAUAAGGCUACCGGAAAAUUUGGUCUUAGAGGUCUAGGUUAUUUGCUUCUCAAUACUUGUGUUGAAUGUUGAUGUUUAUUAUGAAUGUUAGUGGUGUGUUGUUAAUCGAUUUAAUAUAUGCAGAUAGUAAUUUGUUGUUGUGCAUUGUCAUAUGGAGGCUCAUGGAGAGAAACUAGUAUAGAGUUGUUUAACUGAGUAAUUCAUUUACUUGUGUCUAUCUUUCUUUUCAUGCACUACAACGGUUUGAUAACAGAGACCUUUUGGUAAGUGAUAGAUUAGGAAAUAUGUAACAUCCCAUAUAUUGUACAAAUACCCUAAUGACUCCAAUGUAUAUAUAUACUUUACAAAAUAUAAUAUAUGAGGGCAAGGGUUUUAUCAAGUUACAUGGUAUCAGAGCCAAAUCUUAAUCUCCUAGCCGCCCUUCUUCUUCUUGUUCUUCCGUUGAUCUACGAUCACUUCUUCCUCUUACUCUCCCAAAACAUUUCUUCUGUUUCAUCAUGGCGCAAACAACUGACAAAGCAUUCGGUGUUACACACAUCAAGUCAUACAUUCCCGUGGUCCUAGACAUGCAAAAGAGGAACUAUGAUGCAUAGCGAGAACUGUUUGAGACCCACUGUCUAACGUUUGGUGUCUCCGGCCAUCUCGACGGGACUUCCCACCCUGCAAACGCCGAAGAUACACAAUCGAAGGAACAUGACGGCCUUGUGAAGAUGUGAAUCUACGAAACCAUCUCCUCUUCUCUCCUUGAUGCGGUAUUGAAGACUCGCUGCUCUGCUCGUGAUCUAUGGGUCACAAUCGAAAACCUUUUCCACGACAACAAAGAAGCACGAGCGAUCCAGCUUGAGUACGAGCAUCGUACUCUCACCAUUGGCGACAUGUAUGUCCACGACUACUGUCAAAAACUCAAGAACAUCACAGAUCUUCACGCCAAUGUAGAUUCCCAUGUUACUGAUCAUGAUGUUGUUAUGCACAUGUUGAAUGGUCUCUUAGAGAAGUUUGAUAACAUUCACAAUAUUAUAAAACAUAGAUCUCCAUUCCCAAGCUUCUCAGUGGCUCGCUCAAUGUUGCUUAUGGAGGAAGAUUGCAUCAGCAAGCACACCAAGAGCUCCACACCUCAAGUCCUUCAUGCUGCUACAACGCAAGCCGAUGCUCCAUCCUCUCAACAUAUCAACAAUCGCGGAGCUCAGCAACAACAACAAUAUUAUGAGGGGAACUAUCAGGGUAACUAUCGCAACAAUCAAAACAGAGGCUGUGGCAGAGGACGAAAUAACAACUAUCGUGAAUGUGGCCACAAUAACUGGAACAACAACCAAUCUGGUAGGGUGCAACAACCUUCGGCAUGGCAAUCACAACCACCUUAGUAGUACUGGCAACAGCAGAACUGGCAACAAAACUAGCAACAAUGGCGCCCUGGUACAAUGGCAUAUUAAGUCACUUCAAAUCCAUCUUCUAGCGCUGGCAUACUUGGUCCUUUCCAGCAGAGUGCAAACAAUCAGCCACUGAUGCCAACUACCGUUCCGCUGAACCUUGCUCAGGCUUUUGGCACAAUGACUCUGCAAGAACCUCAGGACUCCGGAGCCACGGCCCACGUCACGUCUCAACCAAGUACCCUAUGUUCUCAUUUUAAUUCGAGCAACACGCCUUCUAUUCUCGUCGAUAAUGGUACCUCUCUUCCUACUUAUGCCAUUGGUUUCUAUUCCAUUUCCACCAUAAAAUGCCCUUUGCAUCUUAAUAACAUUCUUGUCUGUCCUUCCAUCAUCAAAAUCUUAUCUAUGUUUGUCAAUUUGCUAAAGACAAUUGGGUUUCGAUUGAAUUUGAUCAUUUUGGUUUUUUUGGUUAAGGACUUGACGACUCAAACACCAAUCUCCGAUGUAACAGCCUCGGACCUCUCUACUCCAUUGACGCCAGGGUUGCAAUAUCUUCUUCUCCGCAAGCUUUUCUUUCUUCUACUGCAAGCUCCACGGUGUGGAAUCGUCGUCUUGGCCACCCCGGUAAUAAUGUCUUGCAAUCUCUUUUAUCUUCUGAUUUAAUUCAAUUUUCAAAAACAGAUCAUUCUUUAUGUCAUGCUUGUCAACUUGGGAAACACAUCAAACUUCCUUUUGAUCCAGUUAUAUCAGAUGUUUUUUUGAACCUUUUCAAAUAAUUCAUUCAGAUGUUUGGACCUUUCCGGUUCCCAGCAUCGGUGGCAAAAAAUACUAUGCCAUCUUUCUUGAUCAUUACAGCCAUUACGUAUGAGUUUAUCCACUGAAAAAGAAAUCAGAAUUUUUCUCAGCUUAUAUGCAAAACAAAUUUGGCUGCAAAAUCAAAUCACUUCAAUGUGACAAUAGUGAUAAGUAUAACAAUAGCCAAUUUCUAAACUUCUUCUCCUCAAAUGGAAUUACUCAUCGCUUUUCUUGUCCCCACACUUCUCAACAAAAUGGCAAGGCUUUAUCUUUUUUUCAUUCAAAAAAAAAUGGCAAGGCUGAGCUCACUCUACGUACAUUAAACAAUUUUGUGUGAUCUCUUCUCUUUCAAGACAACUUGCCUCCGGUUUAUUGGGUAGAAGCUCUUAACAUCGCAGCUCAUCUCUUCAAUCUUCUUCCAUCUACAGCCAUCAAAAAUGAAAUACUUUUCACCAAACUCUUUCAUAAACCCGUUUGCUAUAACCACCUUCGAUUGUUUGGCUGUCUAUGCUAUCCAAAUCUCACAUCGAUAGCACAACACAAGUUUUCUCCUCGUUCCACAGCUUGUGUUUUUCUCGGUUUUCCUAUUUCUCAUAAGGGAUAUCGAUGUCUAGACUUAAUCACUCAUAAGGUAAUCAUCUCUCGUCAAGUCAUUUUUGACGAAAACUCCUUUCAUUUCUCCACAAACAAACCAUCUUCUUUCGAAACUCAGUCUCAUGAUAUCUCACCUCCAUUCUCUUCCCCUCUGUUCCGUGAGAUUAUCACAACUUCACCCAACUCCGAUCCCAAACACAUGUCAACCACCACCUCUGAAUAACCCUCCUGCAGUUCCACCUACAACUCAUCGUAUGGUGACUCGCAGUCAACAAGAAAUUUUCAAACCUCGCCAACCUCUCUCUCUCUCUCUCUCUCUCUCUCUCUCUCUCUCUCUCUCUCUCUCUUACAGCUAAAGAAAUUUCACCAUUACCUACUUCUUAUCUUCAAGCUCUUGAGGACCCUAAAUAGCGAGAAUCUAUGCAUGAAGAGUAUGAUGCUCAGAUUAAAAAGGGAACAUGGUCGCUGGUUCCCAGACAAAAUAAUGUUAAUGUUAUGCAUUCAAUGUGGAUUCAUAGGUACAAGUAUGACUCGGAAGGCAAUCUAGUCCGUUACAAAUCAUGUUUGGUGGCUAACGUCAGAUCACAACAACCCGGCAUCGAUUGCGACGAGACUUUCAGUCCUGUGGUUUAGGCAGCAACCAUAAGACUUGUACUCGACAUCGCUCUAUCCAAAAACUAGCCGCUCCACCAACUAGACGUCAAGAAUGCCUUCCUCAACGGUGAUCUUCAAGAAACUGUCUACAUGCAUCAGCUGUUAGGUUUCAAAGAAGAAACAAAGCAGAUCAUGUCUGCUUGUUACAUAAAGCGCUCUAAGGCCUUAAACAAGCCUUGCGCAUGGUACCAGCGAUUUGUCACUUUUGCUACACGAGUGGGUUUCAAACAGAGUAACUACGACUUCUCUCUCUUCAUUCACCACAGCCGCUCCGGAAUCGCAUAUCUUCUACUCUAUGUCCACGAUGUUUUCCUCACUGCUUCCUCUAUAGCUCUUCGUGACUCCAUUAUUGCAUCUCUCAACGCAGAAUUCGCCAUGACAGAUCUCGAAAAGCUUCAUUAUUUCCUUGGCAUCACGAUCAAAUACAACAAUGCUGGUCUGUUUCUGCAACAAAAGACAUAUGCCAUGGAGAUUCAACAAAGAGCAAACUUGUCAGAAUGCAACUCUUGCACCACUCCAGCGGAUGCUAGAGGAAAACUCUCCGACGAAGGAAGCCCACCGAUGUCAGAUCCUACACUCUAUCGAAGUCUUGCCGGUGCUCUCCAAUAUCUUACCUUCACUAGACCCGAUAUCGCUUUCGCUGUUCAACAAGUGUGCCUCUUCAUGCAUGGACCAUUGGCGUCUCAUUACAAUGCUUUAAAGCGCAUACUGCGCUACGUCAAAGGGACACUGGACCACAGUCUGCAACUCACGCCCAACACGUCUGACACGCUCACCGCCUGCUCUGACGCCGAUUGGGCAUUAUGUCUAAACACGCAACGGUCAACCUCAGGCUACUGCAUCUUCCAUGGAGACAACCUCAUCUCCUGGUCUUUUAAACUCCAGCAAACCGUUCAAGCGCAGAGGCAGAAUAUUGUGGCGUUGCAAAUGCCGUCUUUGAAGUUACGUGGAUCAGAAACUUGAUGCUCGAGCUAUACUGUCCAUUGCGAACCGCAACAAUAGUCUACUGCGACAACGUCAGUGUCGUCUAUCUCUCCACCAAUCCAGUUUAACAUCAACGCACGAAGCACGUCGAGAUAGACAUUCACUUUGUUCGCGAACGCAUAGCCAUUGGUCACGUUCGAGUCAUACACGUACCUUCUUCAAGCUAAUAUGCAGAUAUUUUCUUGGACUUCAAAUCCAGUCUUCGCGUCUCCAAAGCUCCGGCUUCGACUGCGGUGAAGUGAUAGAUUAAGAAAUAUGUAACAUUCUAUAUAUUGUACAAAUACCUAAUGACUCCAGUGUAUAUAUACUUUACAAAAUGUAAUAUAUGAGGGCAAGGGUUUUACCAAGUUACAGUUAGAAUUCUGUCGGUAAUUAUCUACAGAUUUCUUAUGGCCGCCGGGAUGCCUAUUAUCGACGGUUACCUGUCGGGAAUUCCUUGGAAAUUAUUGACGGAUUUGUGUCAGUCGGGCUUGCCAUCAAAAAUUGCCUUGUUUUCUUGUAGUGAUGUUUGUGUGAUAGAAGUAGAAACACGUAUAAGAUUUCUGGGACCAUUGGCAUAACAUGAUGGCUUACCUUACGGCAUAUACACAUGUCCUUAACCCCUCACCUUCGGGCAUGCGUAGAGGCUGGUGUUACACAAAUCGGUCAUCCUAACAUAUCAAACUUUCAAAUCAAUACGACCAGGAGGCAAGACGCAAUAGAGACAACACAGAAAAAUAAGGGUAAUUCAUAAAUUGUUUUACGUAAAUUGCUAAAUUCUUCUAUCAUAUUUUCACGAGUAUGUACCUAAAUUCAUUCAAAAUCAAAUCAGUGCUAAUUUCUAUUAGUACUCUUUUAUUCAGCCACCUGAUUUUAUGAAGUACUCACCGAUUAAAGAGAGGGUCGGAAAAGAAAAGGUUAUUGAUAUUUAAGUAGAAAGAACAUGAUAGUGUAAAUGCAUAUCAGACUUUCAAAUCAAGCUGAGCAGUAGCAUUCAUGCGUAAGAUGGAUCACCUUCCACUAUGGCUUGUCCCCGAAAGUACUAUACAUGCUAGGUUCCCUAGUCCAUGGCCUACUCUUUGCUUUUUGGGAUUAUAUAUGAUAUCGUUAUCAAUGUAUUCAACUAGGGAAAUGAGUACAAUUUCCUAGGGCAUUUGCAAUCGACAAGUUUAAUUGUCAUAUAUUGCUCGCCCAAUUUGUUUUUUUUUUUAAAUAACUUAUGAUUCACUUUGCAAAAUUGUGAAAAAAUUAAUUGUUAAAUAAUGAAAAUGAUAUUGUAUUUUCAAACCUGGUCACGAUUUUAAUGUAAUGUUAAAAAAAAAAAAAUUUUAAUUCGUCGACUAUUUGUAACAGAUAAAUUUAUUCUCAACUAUUAUUAUGCAUAAAAUACCCUCCAGUUAGAAAUAAAUGCACAGCGUUGUGAUAAAAACAUAAUUUCACGGAUCCUAAAGAUGAGCAAAGAUUUUUCUUUAUUAUUUUUCAAUGUAACAAAGAUUUUUUAGUUGAUUGUUUAACUUCUUGGAGAGUAAUCUAAAACAAAAGUUUAGUUGCUGUUUUUUUGAGAAAUAUUUUAGUUUGUUUGAUUGUUUAAUUGAAAAGAGUCAUAUAACCAUGAUUUUUGUUAUUUUGUUGUUGAUUUUUUACUUCAUCAAGAAUCACCUCAAACAAGAUUUUUGUUAUUUUGUUGUUUGUGACUUAAAUUAAAAUCUUAAGCAACAAAACAAUUAAAAUCUUGUUUGAGUUGAUUCUUGAUGAAGUGAAAAAUCAACAAGAUAUCAAACAACAAAACAACAAAAAUCUUUUUUAAAUGAUUCUCCUUAAAAUUAAAUAAUCAACCAAAUUCGUUUUGUCAAAAAAAGAAAACAUUUUCGAACAACAAAACAAUUAAAAUUAUGUUUUGAGAUUACUCUAGAAUUAAAUAAUCAACCAAAAAUCAAAUAACAAAACAACUAAAAUCCUAUUUCAGAUAACUCUCCAUGUAUGCCCCUCGAUUUCUUAAUUUUGUGAAACAUUAAAAACAUGAAGUUAUGUUAUGUAUUGAUUUUUAGAUUUUAGACUGAAAAAUGUGACGUUAUGUAUCAACUUCCCUGUUGCUGAAAAAAUUGAAACAAAAAUUGUCUCGAUAUCUCCACAUCUAGGAAAUUAUGUUUUAAUUAGAUUGUUGUCCAUGUAUCUCUAAGUUGAAGAAUUGUAUGCAUAAUAAGCGGGUGUUAGUGGGAGUGACAUUUAUAAUAAUAUUAGAAUUUAAAGAAGGGAAAAUUUGGAGAAGUACACUUAGAUAUGAUAUUAAUUUGAAAACUACACCAUUGUUUAAGUUUUUAGAAAAAUACACUUUGAUAUAUAUAAAUUUACUUAAUUGCCCAAUUUCAAUAUUUCUUAAUUAUUUAUCAUCAUAAUUAUUUUAUCCUCAAAAUAACGGUUUUAACAAACAGAUGUUUUCAAAAAAAAAUCUUUAGAAUAUCCAAACAAUAUUCUUUUUGAUAUAUUAUAAACAUUUUAUAUUUCUGAAAAAAAACCUUCGAGACAAGUCAACGUCUCGUUUUCUUCUUCUCUUUAUCUUCCCCUCCAUGUAUGAAAGAACUUUUUUUUUCUCUGAUCUCAUCAGGGGUUUGUUAAUUCAUAAAUUAAAUUUAUGUUUCUAUUUUAUUUCAAAUAGUUUUUCUUUUAGGAAAAUCAUACUGCAUAUAACUGGAGUUUUUGGAGAGAGGAAGGUGAAUAAAGAAUCAUGGAAUUUCAGGUUGAAUACAAAAAAAAGAGGAAAAUUAUAUAACAUUAAAAAAGGUUUGAAGUUUGAAGAUAUGGUUCAGAUGGUUCAUGAAGAUUUUGGUAUAGAUAGGUUGGGUAAUGAUUUAGAACGUCUCAACUAUGAGUUUUGGUGAUACAACGCUAACGCUAGUCUAUACAAAAUCGUAUUAGUGCAGAACGUCUCGAACUGUUGGCUUAGGUCGACUCUUGCUGGUCACACCCGAUAAGUCAACAGUAUGACUAUUUCACUUGAUGCUUCUCUCUGCGCGAGUAGAAGCAAAGACAAUUGUGGUUUUGCUGUGUGAUUUGGCUGAGUGGAGGCAAGUAGGAAACCUGUGUUUUUUUUGUCUAUGAACUUCCGAAAGAGAAUUCAAAGCAAGACAUGAGAAUUCCAUAACAUAUAAGAGAAAAAAAAGAUGCUUCAGAUAUUGGCAGAAUGGACUCCGCUUUUCAAGAAAGCCUGGUGAUGAACAGAUCAAUAAGUUCUGGAGAGAUAGAUGUUCUUCCAUAGGGCUGGGCAAAUAAACCUAACCCGAUCCGAUAAAAAUGAAUCCGAACCGAUCGGAACCCGACAUAAAUACCGAAUGGAUCUUGUUUUAUGGUAUUUCGGGUUAUGAGUAUAUCCGAACCGAACCCGAAAUUAAAUGGAUAUCCGAUAGAACCCGAAACAUUCAAAAUGCCAAAAAAGAACUUGUACCAAACAUGAUCUCAAUUCCUGAUAUGUAGCCAAAAUACACUAAGAUAUUAUUAAACAUCUACAAUAACUAUCUACUACAUGAAGGUUGAUGGUUGAAAGUGGCGGUUGAGGCUUGAAAUUUCUAGAUUUUGGUUUUAUUUUCAUUGAAUAAUUUUUUUCAUUUCAUGAGAACUUAAUUUUUCGUUUUAUGAUUUCAUUUAUUGGUUUUCUUUCUAUCAAUAACAACGUAUACCUUUGAAGAACUCCACUUUUGUUCAAGUUCGACGUAAGUGUCGUUUAUGCGGCUUGAUGGACUAUGAAUUGCUGGAGUUAGUUUCCUUUUUUCUCAGCCUUUUGCUGUAAUGUUUGUAGAAUGGUACCAUGAAGAUGCAUAGAUAUGGCUGUAUAAGCAGGAAACUUUCCAAAACAUCAUUGUUUAAACAUGAUGUUGCUUCCUCCACAAGACACUGCUUAUUUCCUCCCAAUGCAAAUUAAUAACAACAAGAUAAAUGACUACAACAUGUUACUUUCGUAUGUUGCUAUGGAAAUUUAAAUGAUUUUUGUUUCCAUGAUUAUAGUUUCAAUAUAAUUCUAACGUUCUGUUAUUAUAUCAUAUCCUUAUCUUGUAAAAUUUUAAAUGGUAAAAUAAAAUAUUUAUCUCAACAUACAUAUUUAUCUUAAACAUAAAUAAUUAUAAUAAUAUUAUUUUUAUUAAUUUCGAAUUUAUAUUUCAAUUAAUGAAUUCUAAUCUGGGUAAAAAUGUCAAUUCAUAUUUAGGAAAGUGUAGUUUUCAAAAAAUAAAAUAGAUGGUGUACUUUUCAAAUUUCAAACUAUUAAUGGAGUAAUUUAUAAAUUAUCCCUUUAAAGAAUCUAGUGCUAUUGAUUUAUAAAUUCUCAUAUUUUUACUAAAAUUUAGUGUUAUUAGACUGAUGAUUUUAUAAUUAUAUACAAAAUCAUUUGUAAUUCAAAAAAUUUGAGUUUUAAAGAUUAUAUAAAUCUAUCAAAGUUAGUGUUAUUGAAAGUUGUAUUUUUAACUAUUGAACUCAUAUAACAAGAUUUUGAGAAUACUACAUAUAUCCCUUGGAUUCUUAAAAUCAUUAUGGUAAUUUAUUUUUCUAGAUUUCAAAACAUACAAAAUUUUCUCCAACUCUUUCCAAAUUCAACAAAUCUCUAAACUUUUAAAAUCAACAAACUCUAUAUAAACUUUUCUCCCACUAACACCCUCUAAUAGUUGGGGAAAAAAUUGUCGACUGAAAAUAAUUGAGGACAAAACACAUCAAAUAAGUUCUGUUUUGGAUAAAAACCCCUUAACUAAGUAUUUAAUAAAAAAAUCUCGAACUCAUUUUAGUUAACGAAUUAGACCCUUGAACUACAAUAUCGGUAAAACAAAUAGGUGCUACCGUUAAAUUUUUAGUUUAUGGGUUUUUACCCUAACAAAACUUAGUUGAAAGGUUUCUGCGUUGAAAACAAAAAAAAUAAAAAUUGUUAAAUUUGAGUAAUUCAAAUUUAAAAAAUUAGAACUUCAUAAUUAAUAAAAAAAACUUAUAUUUGUGUUUUUAAUCCACGCUACAUAUGUAUAAAUUAUAUGUCUUGGGAUUUUAACCGAACACAAUGUCGUAUAUAUAAAUAUCGUAGUGAAGAUUAAUAUAUGCUCCUGAAACCCAAAAUAAAUGUGUACCUAAGAAGAUAUUGUGAUACCUUUCCCAGUCUCACCUGAAAAAAGGGAACAAAAGAGGUGAGUAUUAGGAAAAUCGUUGCUAAGCUCGUAAGUCAGUGAACUAGGAUUUAGCGCACCGAAUAGAUAUAAGUUAAUGUUUAUAUGUAACAAACACGACACCUAGUUGUGCAAGGAGUGCUCUCUCACCCCCAAAUCCCCAAUAGAGGAUUCAAGUAUGUGAUUCAUGCCCACAACAUCGACCUUAAGGUUAAUCACUAUCUUCUUUUUAUUUGAUGGUCUUCAUGGUGGUAUAUUGAUGGGCAUAUGCACCGAAGAUACUUUGCAUUCUUGUUUCUUUUCUUAAUUUCACUAAGACAUUUCAUUUCAAUUCAUUUGUUUUGGACUUUUAGGGUAUAGUUUUAAGCCCCCUUCAUAUAUUUAUGCAUAAGAGUUCGAGUUCGAUUUUGAUUUAAAAAAGCACUAGAUUUUGACCCGCGCUUUCAAAGCGCGGGAUCGUUACUUUUGUAAAAUUUCAUUUAAAUUAAUAAAUAUUUGUCUAAUCUAUAUUUUAAUAGUUUUUUUAUUUGUUUAUAGUCAAUUUUUAUAAUAUUGUCUUCUUUAUUUUAUUUUUAUUAUUAAAAAUAAAAAUGUUUGUUUGUGAACUAAUUAAUUAGUUAAAAUAUUUUAAAAAGGUAAACAUCUACUCAAUAAAUUUAAUCAUAUUGUGAUGAUAUAUUUGGUAAGGUUAUUUAUUUAUAAUUUUAACUUAUUAAAUAAAUAUUAUAUGAAAAAUGUAAUAGACAUUUCAUUUUUCAUUCUACAUAUUUUUAAUUCAUGCAUAAUUUUUAAAUUAUAAUAACAGAAAUAUUUAAUAAUUAUUAUGUAUUUAAAUUGUCUUAUACAUAGUUGGUUUUAAAAGAAAACACUGUUGGGCUUUGGUUUAUUUAGGAUUUGUUUUUUGUCAGAUAAAAUGGGCUAGAAUUGCCCAAAGAGAGCAACAAAUCUGUUAUGUCAAAAUCUAUGUUUUUGUGGCCGUUUGGUUAAAAAAAAAAACAGAAAAGGGAAAGUAGAAAAAAAAUAUUUCUCGAUCCAAUUUUUCUUUGAGGAAUCGACGACACGCUAGAACUGAAAUAGAGAAUCGAUGAGAGAAUCAGUGGGUAGAUCUAUCGAUCUUGAUGGAUAGGGCGUUGGUGAAGAUUGAAACUGUUGAUUGGUGAAUGUUUCUCAUGAAUCGGGUAUUAAUCAUAAGUAAACCAUAAAUUUCGAUUUGAUUUCCUUUCCUCUUGGCAUAAUAAUUGUUUUAUUCUGCAGGUUCAAAGAAGAAGAAGAUGAAAUGGGUAAUUUGCUUACAAUUGAAAAGGGAAUUGAAUGUCAACUUAAUGGGCUUAAAAAACACGAAAAUGUAAGUAUGUAUUAGUUGGGCUUUUCAUUUUUGAAAAAAAGAAUUGAAUGUUUUGUAAUUAAUAAGAAAAUUCAGGGGCAUAUUCAUAAGAAGUAUUCUGCUUUAAUAGUAUAGAUGUAAUUUAAAAACAAUUAGAUUUUGACACGCACAAAGCGCGGGUUUUAUGGAUUAUAUACGAAGUUAGAUAUGAGAUAGUAUUUUGAGUAUAUUGUGUAUUAUUAUGUUAUAAAGUCGUAUUAUAUCGAAUACAAAAAUUUGUUUAAAACUAUAUAUAACUUAUGAAUAAGUUUAUUUGAGACUUUUUAUAUACACUCUUAUGUAACUCUUUCUUAAGUAUGAAAAUUUUACCCAAAUUUGAUAAACGAACUAAACCAAUACGAAAUACAGGUUGAGGUUCGGGAUUGGGAAAAUGUACCUAUUAGAUUUUUUUGGACAUGCGGUCUCUGUUGUACUCCGGGUACCCAAAGUACCCAGAAUGUUUUGUUCAUAUUAUGUAUAUUUGAGUAAUUCAUAUAUGCUCUCAGUAUAAAAAUAUUAUUGUAAAUUUUGGAAUCGCGUUUUAUGUUAUAGUUUCAGGUUUAGGGUAAAAUUUCAAAUUUUAAAAAUAUAUUUAAAAUAUUGGAUAUUUUUGGUUCUCGGGUAAGAUUUUGGCCUUUUAGAUAUUUAGUUAUUUCUGGUAUUUGUUUGAUGUUGGGUAUUUUUGUGUUCUGAUUUUUUGGCUUUUCAGAUUCUUUAGAUCUUUUUGUCCUAAAUACUCGAACCGAGCUAGACUCAUUACGUAGCCAAAUUACAUAGUAAAUUUUACAGAUACUUGAAUUAUUGACUCAAACUGACCUGAAACUAAAAGGAACUGAUAUGAAGAAAAAAAAUUGAAAUACAUAGUUGGAUAUAAAUGCCUAAGACCCAAAGAACAUGUACCUCAAAGAAACCGAUUUAUAUUUGACCCGAAGACCCAAAUGCCCAAAUCUAACCUUUCAUUAUAUUUUUGUACAUUUUAUAAAAGUUACAGUUGUUCCGUUGGUGAAACUUAAGAUUUAGUUGAGAGAUUUUUGGCUAAUUUAAUAGUAUAGAUUUGUAGGUUUUUUGUUGAGCAGUAAAAAAAAGAUUUGUUGGGUUUUUGAUAAUUUUAAACUUAUCUUAAAUACUAAAUUAUUAUUUAUCAAUAAAAUAAAAUUAACAUAAUGUAUAAUUUUUAAACUUAUUUUAAUUAUAAAGUUAAUGAGACAUAUUUAGAGAAGAAUAUAAUAAAGUGUACAUGAUAUUAUAUUUUCGUGAACCAAAUUUAUGUGGUCGUAUAUAUAUGGUAUAAUCUUUUCGUUUCCAAAAAGAUAUGGGUACAAUAAAUAAAAGCUUUGACUAAAUAAUUGUUAGACAAAUUUAAGGUAACAUAUUUUUUGUCCAAAUAAAAAAAAAGACCAAAAUAUUAUUAGUUAAUGAAAGGGUCCAAACAACCUUUUUAAGUAGAUUUAUUAAACCUUCUUCCUUUUUAAUAGUAUUGAUAUCAAACUAUAUUGUAUCUAGUGUUGAUUUGAAGCAAAUCUAACUCAUCUAUUUGCGUAAUUUGUUUGAAGUGCUAAGAGCAUCUCCAAAAAGAAACUCUAUUUUGAAGUUUCCAAAACUCUAUAUUGAAAUUUAAAGGUGUUCGUUCUUCUGCAAAAGCAAAACUUCAAACUCAACUUCUAAAUUAUUUGUAUUUCAUAAUAUGGUCCUUAUAUUUAUCAUAACUAAUUUGAAUUCUUAAAACUUUUGUAAAUAACUAGUAAAUAUAUAAACAUAUUACAAAAAUAUUAAUUAAUAAAUUAUUCUAUUAAAAUAUAAAGUUUAAAUAAAAAUAACUUAAUUAAUAUUGAACUUCAAACAAAAUACCAUAUUAUUCCAUAAAAUGAUUUUUGUAAUGCAUAUAUGAUAUAUUAGUGCAUUGCGAAUUAAAAAUGGCUCUCCUCAUUUCUACUUUGUAGAUUACGAGCUAAAAGUUGUUAAAAUCGGGUGAUAUUGAUACUUGUAAAUACAUUAGAUUAGAACAAGAAAAUAAAAGAGAAACAUAAAAUAUUGCUAAAAGACUAAUUUCUUUUUGAUGAUAUUAAUACUCGUAAAUAUAUUCGACAUGAACAAGAAAGAAUUGUACGAAAAAUACAUCAAAACAACAACAGCAACUAUCAUAAGUUACACAAACAAUUUGGACAGUAUUUAAAAUUUUUUAAGGUUCCAGAUCAAACUUACCUAAAUAUUAGGGUUGUUGUAAUAUUUAAAUUUGUGUAAUAGUUAUGUUUUCAUGUAAUUUUUUUGUAAAAAAAUUGUUAAGCUUUUUUGUAUAUUAUUGUUGUCUAAAUCUAGUUUAAAAUAUUUCAAAUCUUAUUUUAAAGUUUUAUUAAUUUUAUGUGUAAAAUUUAAAAUCUGUAAAAAAAAUUAAAAUAUCUAUGAGAUAUAUUUAAAAAAAAAUUAAAACAAUAAAUGAGGAAAUUUUUAUGAAUCAUAAAAGUGAUGUGUGAUUGUAGAGACCAGCAAAUAAAAAUAUGAAACUUCAAAUUUGAAAUUUUGAGUAAUGAAACUUUAAAUAUAGAGUUUCACUCUUCAAAACUUUAAAUUUGAAGUUUUGAAGUUCCUUUUUGGAGAACAAAAAAUUUCAUAUUUGAAGUUAUAGAGUAUCUUUUGGAGAUGCUCUGAUAUUGUAAAUUUGAAUUAUUCAAAUUUUACAUAAUUUUUACUUUUAUUUUUUUUUUUGGUUUUUAAUGCAAAACCCUUCACCUAAUUUUGGUUAGGAUAAAACCCUCUAAACUAAAGAUUUAUCGGUACUGCAGAUUGAGUGUCUACUUCGUUAAACAAAGUGAGUUCAAGGAUUUUUACGUUAAAUACAUAGUAUAGAGGUUUUUAUCCGAAACAAAUUAAGUUGGGAGUUUUUAUUAUUAAAAAUCCUAAAAAGUAUAUGAAAACUCUAACAAUCAAAUGGCCGAAAGAGGAACAGAAAAAAGAUUUUGCAAACAAAAUGAAGAUAGAAUAAUAUGAGUUCUCUCAUUGAGAUUGAAACUGUUUUUAUACAACACGAUCUGAAAUUUUGAAAACACAUGAUCUUUCUUUUUUUGUCUACAUAAUCUCUGCAUCGCCUCUCUAUCUCUAUAUAAUAUCUAUGUAGCUCACUCUCUCUCUUUCUCUAAGUCUCGGGAGAAAAAGUGAGUUCCAAGUAAUGAUGAUUUGUUUGUUACCCCUUUCAUGCUUGUUUGGUUCAUAUGUGUAUUUAUGUUUUUAUCUUUCUGAUGCAGAGCAGAGAUGACAAGAAGAACAAAAUAAAAUAAGCAGUGAAAAGGUUCCGACAGAGGAGGAGGUUUUGACUGAGGAAGAGAAGGAAAUUCCGACUGAGGAGGAGGUCUCUGCGAGAAACAUAAGUUCCAAGUGUUUAUGAUUUCUUUGUUAUUCUCUCGUGCUUGUUUUAGGUCUCUCGUGCAUGUGUAUUUAUGUUUCUUUUCUUUUGGAUGCAGAUACAAAAAUAUGAACAAAAUUCAUGAAGUAAAGGAAGAGGAGGAGGAGUUGUUUCUAAACAUGAUAAAUUUACCUUCCCCGUUAUGACUUAGUAUCUCUCACGUCUUAUAAGUCACGGAUAUGAUCACUCAGGCUUGCUCUUGGCCUUGGCUGCUUAGAGACAUCCCUUUAGUUGAUCGAGACCUCUAAGAGUCAGGCCCUUUUUGAUGAUUUUCUCUAAUUACCUUUGUUUUGUACGAAAAAACGGAAAGAGGAGACAAAGAAUGCAAAUUUCUGAAUGUGAUUGAUGUUAGGAGUUUUCAAGGCUCGUAAGACAAAUGUUGUAGUAUAAAUGAUUGUCGAACCAGUUCUGAAGGAUAUCAAAGCACUGAGAAUGUAAGUACUCACUUAAUCUAAGUGCAACCAAUGAUUUAGAUGAGCUUUAAACUACUACUAAUACUAGAAAGCAAUAACAGAAUAAUACUUUCUUGACUAAGGGAAAAGAGAACUCAUGGGCAUAGGGAUUAGACCUUGGGUGAUCAAGUAUCGAACUAAGGAUGACAAAUGAUCAAUCAAACUAUCAACCUUAAGCCUAGACACAAUUCUAAGCAAGCUCUAUGUCUAGAUGAAUGCUCAUUUGCUAACAUAUCUCAAACAUCAAAUGUCUUUGGUUGAAUAAUAUGAAAGCAAUCAUUACUAACAAGUCUAUUAGCUAUCUUAGCAUCUUUAACAACAAAUGUCUUUGGCAAAGUAUACUAAAAGCCUAGGAGAGUUGUCUCAGGCAUUUCAUCGAACACCUUUCGGGUGGGAAAUGCCUAAGGAUCAACUUUUGAGUGGCCAACUCAGAAGAUGCAUUAUGAAUUACUCUACUAGCAAGGAAAAGAAUGAUCUACACUAAAACAUCCUAGAACUAACCUAAUCACCCUUAAUCUCCCUAACCCAUGAAUUCAAAAGGUGAUUACUCACUAAUCUCCAUGAUUCCUCUUAAACCCAUAUUGGAUUUCAGAUUAAUCAUGUAGAGAAACACAGGAAAUAGAUAAGAACACAGAAUUCUCAAUAAUAAACUGAUCAAUUCAUUCAAAGAGAUCCCUUUCCAAAGGUUUUUGGUGGUUUUUCUAAGAACAAAGAUAUGAUGCCUCCUGGUGGCUUACAGAGUAAUAAAACAUAGGUUUAGAAAAUAAAAACGUGCAUAAUGAAAUGACCAAAAUGCCCUUGAGAAAUCACAAGUUCGAGCAGAAACAAAACACGGAGCGACCUCAGCCCGUCGCUCCGACAAGUCGCUCCAGGCUUCGGGAGCGACCUCGCUGUGUCGCUGCGAGAGGUCGCUCCGGGCUCGUUCUCGCGUCUCCGGGUGAUGAAAACGCGAGCGACUUCUCCCUGUCGCUCUGGUAUGGUCGCUCUGAGCUUCGGGAGCGACUUCAGCACGUCGCUCUGGAAGGUCGCUCCGAGGUGUAAAUGUGUGUCUCCAGACGUGAAAACGCGAGCGACCUUGUGCAGUCGCUCUGGAUGAGUCGCUCCGGGAUGUGGUGCACAGCGACCUCAUGCCGUCGCUCCGAGAGGUCGCUCCGGCUGUGCUCGUCCAAAGAUCACUCUUUUCACCUCUUUUGAGCUCCAAAUAACCUCAUGUGGUACUCCAGUACCUAAUAGAGACUCAUGUAUGCAAAAUGCAACCUAAACAUGUCUGAAUCCUAAUCUAUAUGAUGAAAAUGCUCAUGGAUGAAUGGAUAAAACAAUGCAAAUAUGCAAGAUAUCAACUCCCCCAAACUUGUUCUUUUACUUGUCCACAAGUGAACUUUCUAGAACUCAUAGGAAGAGAGGUUGAAGGUGGGAGCACAUAGCCAAAAGAAACACAACUAGCACACUCUCUUAUUACACUCUAGCUUCUCUAGGCCUAUCUUAACUCUUUUUGUUCUUACACUCAUCAUCAAGCAUCCACACAUUCAAAUCAACCAACUCUCACAUUCAUUAAGCACAAAACAUCAGGUGAAUUCUUGCAAAUGGUCAGUUGGUCCAAGUCAUUUGGUUGGGUAAGGGAAGGCUUUUAUUCAAGUGAUUCAAGAGGUUCAAAACAUAUGAUCUUUAAGGUGGUUUACUCUCAAAACAAGUAGCCUUGACAUUGCACAUAAUAUAUCUAAGAAAGGGACCAACUCAUGCAUACAAUGCUCAAUCUCCAUUGUUCUACCCUUUUCCCAAACAUACAAUUACACAAUCAUUCCCAAAUGUCAAACCCAACUCACAUCUCUCACCAAAAGAUCUUAAGAACUUUAACUCUUUCUUUUGAAAUCUACAAGGGAUUUUUCUACAACCUCAAAACAUUUCUUAGCUCCUAACAACUUUGCUAGCCCCCUUUUUUUUUUUUUUUUUUUUUUUUUUUCGAUUUCUUUUUUUUUUUUUUUAUAUAUAUUUUUUUUUUUUUUAGGUUGGGGGCCAAGACUUUUCAAAACUAGAGCUAGAGGUUCUCUACUUAUCCCAGAAAAUCAAUUCACUUAAGCACAAAGAGUCUAUCCUUUUUAUUUUUCAUUUCUCCCAAAUCAUGAUCACAACACUCACCCUCCCACCUAUAGCUAGACAAAGAGUGUCCAAUCUAGCAAAAUGAAGAUCAAGCAUUGUCGUUCCCGAUACUCUCAACAUUAUGCGCAUGUAAGACUUUCCGAAGAAGGCCUCACUCAUCAAACAAUGAAAGCUUAAAAGGAAGGAAAGGUUUUGGGAGUGGUCUACCACUAGAGUUUGUCAAAAAGAUUGGCAUAAAAGAUGUGACAACUCCAGUGUGUAUAGCCAUGACUCAGUACACAAGGGACCCUAAGCAAGAAGCAUUAAGUUCAUUCAUUUCUAAUAAGGUUGUAGUUGGCUUCAAAGACUGAGUUUCAGCAAUCAACAAGUUUCAGGAAGAGUUUUCAAGGCUCGAAACAUACAAGUCUUUUUGAGAGGUGCAAAAGCUACUCAGGUGCAACGUAGUGUUCUUUACAAGGCAUUCAAAUCAUUGCUCCCAAUGCAAGUGAAUGCAACCUAUAUGCUCUAGACUCUCCUAAAAAUGCAAAUGAUGCAAACUAAAUGAUUGUUUUUUUUUUUUUUUUAUGCAAAUAGGUAUGCAAUGCAUGACUCAAUGAAACAACAUCAAAGCAAACAUGAUCAAAUACUUGGUACCUCCCCCAAACUUGAGUUACACAGUCUCUGUGUCGUCAAGUAGAGAGAGAUACCGAAAAGAAGACUAAUAUGCAAAAAUGAAAUGGUAUAUACAAGGGAGUGUGGUGGGUUACCUUCUAUGGGGAAUGAGUAGAGGGAGAUGCUCCCUCCUCGUCGUCCUCAGGUGGUAACUCUUCAAGGUGCUCAUCAGCAGGGGUGUCCAUCUCUUCAAUGUAGAAGGCUUGCCCGAACACAGUUGGUUUCCUCAUUUUUCUCUUGAUGUCAAAGUGGAGGAUGUUCUCUUUACCCAAAUGGAGAUCAAUCGUGCCUUCCUUCACAUUAACAAUAGCUCCUGCUGUAGCUAAGAAUGGCCUUCCUAGAAUCAAUGGGUCUUGAGCCUCCUCACCCAUCUCAAGCACCACAAAAUCUGUAGGAUCUCAUACCUUCCAAUCUUCACAGGGAGGUCCUCUAAGAUGCCCACAGGAUACUUCACUGAACGAUCAGCUAACACCAGAGAGAGUCUACACUUCUUGUACUGAGUGAAUCCAAGCUUCUUUGCAACAGACAAAGGCAUCAAGCUGACACUAGCUCCCAAAUCGCAGAGACUUUUCUCAAAUACCAUAGGUCCAAGAGCACAAGGUAGUGUGAAGCUUCCUGGAUCCUCUAAUUUCUCUGGAACAUCAAGCCUCUGGAUGAUGGCAUUGCACUCAUGGGUAAGAGUCAUCAUGCUUUCCAUCUCCUUCUUCUUUGCAGCUACAACAUCUUUCAGGAAAUUGUUGUAUUGAGGAAUCAACAUGAAAGCAUCGAUGAUGGGCAUUGCAACCUGAGCUUCACUCAUUUGCUUCUCAAACAGAGCUUUGUAUUUCUCUAGCAGCUGCUUCUUGAAUCUACCAGGGAAUGGAAGUUUGGGUUCAUAGGGAGGAGGAACAAAAGAACUUUCACUUGCUGGAGUAACAACUUCACCAUCCUUUACUGUCUUCUUCUCCUCUCCAACCUUUCCUUUACCUUUGGCUUCCACUAUCUUCUCCAAGAUCUCGUCAUUGAUCUUCUCAUCAACAAUCACCACUUCAUCAUCUAUGUUGAUGGCAACCCCCUCACCUAAUUUCUCAGCAUCCUUGGUGAGGGUUCUAGGAGGUAACUGCUUACCGCUCCUAAGGGUGAUAGCUUUGGCCUCCUUGGGAUUUUGGUCAGACUUUCCAGGUAGAGAUCCUUGCUGGCGAUUCUGGUGAGUGUUCAUGGAAGCAAAUUGAUUCUCUAAAUUCCUGACUGUAGAAGCAAGGUGUGAGAAUUUGUUGUUGAGCUCAUUGUAGCUCCCAUCAAUCUUGGAAUGAAGGUUCUUCAACUCAUAACCAACUUGCUUCUCACUUCUAGUCUGAGACUCCAAGAUUUGCUUCAGUAAGGUAUCAGUGCUGCUCUCUUGAGGAGCAGAGGAACCAGACGAGGGGUUUUGCUGAGGCUGAUAGCUGCCUUGCUGGUUGUUUCUUGGCGGAUAGCCACUCUGCUGGUUGUUGGAAUAGGACUUCUGUUGGUAGUUGUUGUACUGAAAGUUGGGUUCUUUCUUGUACCAGCUACCAUUGUUGUUGAUGAAACACAGCUCUUCCUGACCUUCCAAACCCUCAACUUCAUGGACAAUAGCUGGUGGAUCUUCCUGCUUGGAGUUACCAACAAACUUCAGCUGCUCUUGGGUUGCUUUUUCAGCAAUGAGUAGGUCGAUCUUGUCUUCCAAAGCUUUGAUAUCUUUCCUCGUCUGCUUAUCAUCUGUUCUACUGCCUCUGUCGUGGUCUCCACUGUAGACUGCAUCACUCUUUACCAUGUUGUCAACCAGCUCUUCUGCAUCCUCCUCAGUUCUCCCCAAGAAGAACCCAUUGCUAGCUGUAUCCAGUCUGGCUCUGUACUUAGGAAGAGCACCACGGUAGAAUGUGCUCAGCAAGCUCUCCUUAGAAAAGCCAUGGUGUGGGCAUUGAGCUUGGUAGCCCUUGAAUCUCUCCCAGGCUUCACUGAAGCCUUCCAAGUUCUUCUGUUGAAAGCUGGAAAUCUCGUUUCUCAGCUUAGCAGUUCUUGAAGUAGAGAAGAACUUCUCCAAGAAUGCUUUCUUGCAGUCAUCCCAAGUAGUGAUGGAGUCACUGGGUAGAGACUUCUCCCACUGACGUGCCUUAUCCCCCAAAGAGAAAGGGAAUAGCUUGAGCUUUAAGGCAUCUUCGGACACACCAUUGGUUUUUGACAACCCACAGUAGCUGUCGAACCUGUCCAAGUGAUCAAAUGGAUCCUCUAGAGCCAAGCCAUGAUACUUGUUGUUCUCGAUCACGUUGAGGAGUCUUGAUUUGAUCUCAAAGUUGUUGGCUGCCACAGCGGGUGCUCGGAUUCCCAAUCUAUGACCAUGAAUGUUGGGGCGGUCGUAAGUGCCAAUGGGUCGAGCUGGUCGCUGUUGGUUGUGAGGUAUGUCUCCCAUAUCAGUACUCAAUCUCUGCAAGUGAGCCUGUUGCUCUUCUUCUCUUCUAUUUCUAGCACACUCUCUCUCUAAAGCUCUGAUGUCUGCAACUAUUGGAACUAGGUUUGAUGGACCCCUGCUCCUCAAGUUCAUACACCUGUAGAUUAAAGGGAGGUGAAGAAAGAGAAUCAGUAACAAAAGAAAAUAAAAAUGACUUAGUCUCAAGCAAGUGACUAAAUCUCAAUGUUCAAAUCUACUCAGAAUUUGGCAACGGCGCCAAUUUGAUGUUAGGAGUUUUCAAGGCUCCUAAGACAAAUGUUGUAGUAUAAAUGAUUGUCGAACCAGUUCUGAGGGAUAUCAAAGCACUGAGAAUGCAAGUACUCACUUAAUCUAAGUGCAACCAAUGAUUUAGAUGAGCUUUAAACUACUACUAAUACUAGAAAGCAAUAACAGAAUAAUACUUUCUUGACUAAGGGAAAAGAGAACUCAUGGGCAUAGGGAUUAGACCUUGGGUGAUCAAGUAUCGAACUAAGGAUGGCAAAUGAUCAAUCAAACUAUCAACCUUAAGCCUAGACACAAUUCUAAGCAAGCUCUAUGUCUAGAUGAAUGCUCAUUUGCUAACAUAUCUCAAACAUCAAAUGUCUUUGGUUGAAUAAUAUGAAAGCAAUCAUUACUAACAAGUCUAUUAGCUAUCUUAGCAUCUUUAACAACAAAUGUCUUUGGCAAAGUAUACUAAAAGCCUAGGAGAGUUGUCUCAGGCAUUUCAUCAAACACCUUUUGGGUGGGAAAUGUCUAUUGAUCAACUUUUGAGUGGCCAACUCAGAAGAUGCAUUAUGAAUACUCUACUAGCAAGGAACAAGAAUGAUCUACACUAAAACAUCCUAGAACUAACCUAAUCACCCUUAAUCUCCCUAACCCAUGAAUUCAAAAGGUGAUUACUCACUAAUCUCCAUGAUUCCUCUUAAACCCAUAUUGGAUUUCAGAUUAAUCAUGUAGAGAAACACAGGAAAUAGAUAAGAACACAGAAUUCUCAAUAAUAAACUGAUCAAUUCAUUCAAAGAGAUCCCUUUCCAAAGGUUUUUGGUGGUUUUUCUAAGAACAAAGAUAUGAUAUGCCUCCUGGUGGCUUACAGAGUAAUAAAACAUAGGUUUAGAAAAUAAAAACGUGCAUAAUGAAAUGACCAAAAUGCCCUUGAGAAAUCACAAGUUCGAGCAUAAACAAAACACGGAGCGACCUCAGCCCGUCGCUCCGACAAGUCGCUCCAGGCUUCGGGAGCGACCUCGCUGUGUCGCUGCGAGAGGUCGCUUCGGGCUCGUUCUCGCGUCUCCGGGUGAUGAAAACGCGAGCGACUUCUCCCUGUCGCUCUGGUAUGGUCGCUCUGAGCUUCGGGAGCGACUUCAGCACGUCGCUCUGGAAGGUCGCUCCGAGGUGUAAAUGUGUGUCUCCAGACGUGAAAACGCGAGCGACCUUGUGCAGUCGCUCUGGAUGAGUCGCUCCGGGAUGUGGUGCACAGCGACCUCAUGCCGUCGCUCCGAGAGGUCGCUCCGGCUGUGCUCGUCCAAAGAUCACUCUUUUCACCUCUUUUGAGCUCCAAAUAACCUCAUGUGGUACUCCAGUACCUAAUAGAGACUCAUGUAUGCAAAAUGCAACCUAAACAUGUCUGAAUCCUAAUCUAUAUGAUGAAAAUGCUCAUGGAUGAAUGGAUAAAACAAUGCAAAUAUGCAAGAUAUCAGUGAUACGUAGAUGAGAGAAAAAAUAUGGAUUAAACCCCUUAUCUAUUAAAUUUUCACUUCAAUAACCUUUUAUACAAGAGGUCAUUAGCUAAACUGGAAAUGAUUCUGGUUAUUGAGGUUCUCAGUUCAAAUGACCGCAGGGACGAAACUAAUAUUAUAUAUUGUAGUUUUGGGUCUGGGGGAUUACAGGAUUCGGUCCCGAACUUUCAAGCAUUCAAAAAAAAAAUUCCAAGGCUUUGAAGAUGGUCAUAGAGAGAUCUUUUAAAGUAAUUUAGCCAUUUUAACCCUGCAAAAAUGUUAUUAUUGAUUAUUAUAUGAUUUUCACCAAAAGGAUGAUAAAAGAAGGAUAUGCCAAGAGGGACUGAUGGAAUCAAUAGUUUUGGGAUGGACGGAGAAUCAGGGUGGUCAAUCAGAGGAUUUAGUUUCAAAAAUCAAUAGUUGUCGACUUGUCGUCAUGAAAUACCAUCAUGACGGAAGUAUAAUCAACCAUAUGGGAAGGAUAAAAUUCAGAAUCUCCAACAAGCAUUGGAGGAAGUACAAACAGAUAACAAUAGAUCACAAGAGGAUAUUAUUGAGAUUUUCAGGAAAUUACAAGAGGCCUAUAAGGAUGAAGAGGAAUAUUGACAUCAGAAGAGUAGAAAUAUGUGGUAUUCAUCUGGAGACCUUAAUACUAAGUUUAUCACGCUUUGACAAAGCAACGUUGGAUCCGAAAUAAAAUAGUGGGUCUCCACGACGAAGCAGGUAAUUGGGUCACAUAUGAGAACGGUGUUGAGAAGGUGGCGGUAGAUUAUUUUGAUGGUUUGCUUAGUUCUACUAACCCAACGGAGUUUGAUAGUUUUUUGGAGGAGAUAGGAUCUUCAAUUUCUCCCAGAUGAAUCAAAUGUUACUGCAAUCAGCAUCGGAGGAAGAGGUCCGACAAGCUUUAUUCAUGAUGCAUCCGGAGAAAGCGCCAGGCCCGGAUGGAAUGACAGCUCUCUUUUUCAGCACUCCUGAAAUGUCAUUAAAAGGGAUGUGGUUGAGUUGGUGAAUAAUUUUUUGGUCACAGGAGAUAUGGAUCCACAGUUAAACAUAACUAAUAUUUGUAUGAUCCCAAAAGUGUAGAGACCUACAAAGAUGACAGAAUUAAGGCCGAUAAGUCUUUGUAACGUUAGUUAUAAGAUUAUCUCGAAAGUUUUGUGUCAAAGAUUGAAAAUUUGUCUCCCCCGUCUAAUUUCAGAAACACAAUCGGCUUUUGUGGCAGAAAGGUUAAUCACGGAUGAUAUUCUUAUUGCGCAAGAAAUGUUUCAUGGUUUGUGAACGACAAAUCUUGUCAAAAUAAGUUUAUGGCAAUUAAAACGGAUAUAAGUAAGGCAUAUGAUCGGAUAGAGUGGAAUUUUAUUGAGGCUCUACUUCACAAAAUGGGAUUUGAUACUCAUUGGAUUAAAUUAAUGCGAGAGUGUAUAUCUUCAAUUCAAUAUAGGGUACUCCUUAAUGGGCAACCACGAGGCCUUAUAAUACCAAAGCGGGGACUACGUCAAGGGGAUCUAUUAUUUCCUUAUUUAUUUGUCAUGUGUACUGAAGCUUUAAUUACAAAUAUAAAAAGACACAAUGGGUGAAACAAUAAACCGGUAUGAAGGUAGCAAGAGUGUGUCCAGCAAUUUCUCAUUUGUUAUUUGCAGAUGACAGUAUGUUCUUUUGUAAGGCAAACAAAGAGGAGUGUAAAACUAUUCUAAGGAUACUUAAGGAUUACGAGGCUAUUUCAGGGCAACAAAUUAAUUUUCAGAAAUCUUCAAGUCAAUUUGGACAUAAGAUUGAUGAAUCCAGCCGACAAAAGCUGCGAGAUAUUUUGGGAAUUCAAAACCUAGGCGGAAUGGGUUAUUAUUUAGGAUUGCCAGAGAGUUUAGGAGGAUCAAAGACACUUGUGUUUGGUUUUGUACAAGAUCGUCUGAGUAAUAGGGUGAAUGGUUGGACAUUUCGUUUUUUCACCAAGGGGGGAAAAGAGGGGAUUAUUAAAUCGGUGAUCACGGCCCUGCCAAACCAUGUGAUGUCGGUGUAUAGGUUACCGAAAGCUACUGUUAAGAAACUAACUAGUGCACUAGCUCAGUUUAGGUGGAGUCCAGGAGGAAGUACAAAGGGUAUGCAUUGGAAGUCAUGGGAUAAAUUAUGUGUACAUAAGGAUAAUGGUGGACUAGGAUUCAAGGAUUUGACUGAUUUUAAUACGGUGAUGCUUGGAAAGUAUUUGUGGCGGCUGAUUGAAAAGCCUAAUACUCUCUUCUCUAAAAUUUUCAAAGGACGGUACUUCAGGAAUGCUUCACUCCUGGAACCGAUUCGCUCAUAUUCCCCAUCAUAUGGCUAGAGGAGUAUUAUCUCUGUUUGAUCUCUGGUUUGUAAUGGACUAAUCAAAAGGGUUGGAACAUGAUCAUCUAUUUCAGUAUGAAAUGAUCAUUGGAUCCCAUCCACUCGCCCGAGACCAGCUAACAAAAACUUUCAUAAUAAUUACCCGGAAUUCACAGUGGAUUCUCUCAUUAAUCAUGAAUCCCGAACAUGAAAUUUACAGGCCAUUAGGACACUGGUGGAACCCCAAGAUGCAAAAAUGAUGGAAAGUAUUCGUUUGAGUAGGAAUCAGAUGGAAGAUAGGAAUGGAUGGCAUUUCACUAAUAACAUGAAAUACACGGUACAAUCAGGGUAUCAGAUAAAAAGGAUAUAUCCUGAUAAGGAAAAACCACCAGAAUUUUAUGGACCAAAUGUGGACAUACGUAAGGCAUUUUGCUGGAAAGUGAAGUGUCCGCAAAAGUUACAGCAUUUCUUAUGGCAGCUGGUGACAUGUUGUAUAGCGGUAACAAAAAAUCUAAAAGCAAGAGGAAUACAAGGAGAUACAUGUUGUGCAAGGUGUGGAGAUUCGGAGGAAUCAAUAAAUCAUGUGUUCUUUAAAUGUACAUCAAGUGUGGGCACUAUCUAAGAUUCCAUCGAAUCCAAAUCUCUUUCCUAUGGGUUCUCUUUUUGCUAACAUGGACCAUCUAUUUUGGAGAGUUAAUCCAAAAAUGGAAAACCAUCAGUUUGCAUGGAUAUGAUGGUACAUCUGGAAGGGCCGGAAUAAAAAAGUUUUUUGUAAUCUUGAUAUUGAUCUGAAGGAAACACUCAACUUAGCAGAAUUGGAAUCAAGACUUUGGACUGAGGUAAGGGUUAUUAAUGAUACCAGGUUGGUACAAGCGGGUCAGAUAAGACCUAAUUCUGGGACUACAGGAAGAUGGUGUUUUAUAGACGGUUCCUGGAAAGAUAAAGACUUAUUUUCAGGGUAAGGCUGGUUCAGCACACUACCAGAGUUUGACGGGUUAUUAGGGGCAAGGAAUGUAAGGGCAUGUCCUCUUUAUACGGAGAUGGAGACAUUAAUUUGGGCAAUGGAAUGUAUGAAGAAUUUAAGACAAUUUCGGGUGAUGUUUGCAACAGAUUGUUCUCAAUUGGUGAAGAUGGUUUCAGAACCAGAGGAAUGAUCAGCAUUUGAAAGCUACCUGGAAGACAUUAUGCUUUUAAGAAGAAGCUUCACCAACUCAGAUAUCGUUCAUGUACCUAGGACAGAAAACAUAAAGGCGGAUCGUUUGGCAUGCAGUGCUCGGAACCAGCCAUCUUUCGUCGUACACAUGGAUGUCGAGUUGUCGUCUUGGUUUACAGAGUCUACAUGAGUCUAUGAAUGUUUGCUGUCAAAAAAGAAAAGAAAAAAGAAACUCAGUCUAGAAUGGAUUUAACCUAGUCAUCUCUAAGAAAAAAUAUUUACCGUCUGAAAUCACCAAUUAUUCUCUCAAUAUAUUUGAAUAUGAUAAUUUAACAAUCUUCUAAAAGGAAUUCUAACGAAUUGAGUUAUCUACUAACGUAUAUAGCUAACUAUUUUUAAAAAAAAAAGUACAAUAAAUAUUCAGAAAUCGGAAUUGGUGAACUAAGUUAAAUUUGAAUUGUGGGUCCAAUUAUUGGGUAAUAGAAAAAACCUUUGUGUAGUGUUUUUUGCUUAAAAUUAUAUUCAAAAACUAUUAUCAUGGUGAUUUUCGUAAAAAAAUGAAUAUUUGUAUAACUACUACUCUGAUUCCCAAGACCCGUCAACAUUGCAAGAUAGUAACUAUUUCAUCUCAGAUUUACCUUUUUAUUCUUCAUCUGAAUCUCAGGCAAAAGAUUUUUUGUAAAUUGAAUGUCAUUCUCUUUGGUUUUAAAAACUCCUAAUUCCAUGCUUUACCAAUGAAAAUGUUAAUUUAUUCUUCUGUUGAUUUAUCUACACUCCAUCUUUCAGUAUCUUAGUUUUCUUCUUCCAUUUAUUUACAACCGAUCGUUGAGUUUUAUAAGGUUACUCCCAACUCAAGAGACAUGAUACCAUAACGAUAGGUCUUAAGGGAUAAAAGACCUAUCUUAAGGGAUAUGCCAUGGUACCAUAUAUCUUUGAUAAAAGAAAUGUUAUCGAUGUUAUUUUCCUUUGUGUAUUGGAUUUUUUGACACACCAUAACGAUAGGUCUUAAGGGAUUGUAAACACUGUUGCACGAUUAGUAAAGAAUUAUCCUCUAUAUAUUAAAAAAGAAGUAUUGUCAUUUAAUACUUUCACACUACAUUGGACACAUGGCAGUUUUACAUUACUUUGAAAAUACGGAUGUUGACGUGUCUAAUAGAACUUUUCAGAAAAUGUAUACUAAAAAUUUCUUAUUUUUCUUAGACUAAACACAAGCUCGUUUUAUGACUCAUAGACGUGAUGCCAAGCUAUUUUUUUUCUAUACAAACCAAGUUUUGAAAAGCAUAAAUGUUCAUAACGAUACCGAAGUCGAUGGUGAUAGAAUCUAGAAAAGAAAACUUGCUUUGUCGACUGCUAAUAGUGAAGACGCAAACAAUGGAAUAGCGAAAAGAAGAUGUUGAUGCAAAGCCAAUUUUAUAAAUCUAUCCUUGGUGCAUCGAAGUUCUUUGCAUCCUGUCAAGCAAAAGAAUCAAACUAUGUAACCCACGCUUUGCUAAUAAACCAUAUAAUAACAAGCUGAGAAGUUAAUACGCAACAAGAUAAGAAGUUCAUGACUAGGGAAGCUACCCCAUCUAUCAAUGUUGCAUAGAAUAUCUUAAUCUACUGGCAAGGAGUUCUUUAUGCACUUGAUAUCGUUUUUUACUAUGGCAAAGAAAGAGCUAUCAUGGUAAAAUAAAACGACACACACGAAACUGUUUUUACUACAGUAUCACAUUGGCAAGCAGUCUAUAGAAGAUAGACUAACGUUUUUGCAUAGACACUUUACAUCAAUAACUGACAUUUCUUAUAAUACUAAUCGAGAAAACCGUACACAGUCUUUUAAAGACAGUCUCACAUGCAUGUAAGAACUGAGAAUUUCUUUCUAUACAGCUGACAAAGAAGACAAUGUUUGUGUCAUAGCGUAUGAUCGUUAACGCAAGUUUAUGUUAAUGUUAUACAUAUUGCUAUUCUUUAUGACCUUGUGUAUUUAUGCACGUAAGUUUUCGUUUUGAAGAGAACAAAAAAGAGCAAUUGUUGUAGACAAAAGUUAUAAUAUAUGGUUAAGAGUAUUAAACCGAUAUCAAGCAAUUGUACGCAUACCGAAUUAAACCUUGUGCGUGUAGGUUUGGACACUAUUUAAUUGUCUUGAGUGUUUGGCAAUGUUUGUUAAUGAUACUAAAUGGCAUAUGUUUCACAUUUUUAGGUUAUGGCAAUAUAUAUAUUGAGUAGUGAUUGCCAAGUUAAAAAUAUGUGCCAUUCAAUUCGGGAUUUUUCAGAGAUACAAUGUGAAUUGAAUGCUCGCUAUAGUAAACUCAUAUAAGACUCGCUUCUCCCAUUUAUUUUCUUCAUUCCCUAAACCCGAAACCUUAGAAAUUUAUUCAAUCUCGGAUUUCGGAAACUGCUCUUGACUAAUCACUCCAAUCAAGGUUUUUCGGAGAAAUUUUGGUGAUGAAGUUGAAAAGAUCGAGUGAAGAACAAUCGGUGAUGGAUUGGAUUGGAUCGACUGAUGGGAUCAAAUUUUGUAACCCUCUUCUCCGAACAAAUGAUGGAAUGAAGUAAAAUAUGGAAAUAUAAACAACUUGUGGUGAUUGAUUCGAAAGGAUCGACUGAACAGAUCGAAUAUUGCAAAGUUAUGUGGUCUAUCGCGGUGAGUACGAAAUCCUAUACGCUUUCAGUCGUUUUUUUAGAUUUACGCAGUACAUCACUAUUUGGUUAUGGCCCCUAAUGUCCAAACAUGUUUUAAAAUCUUAUGUUUUCUUUGAUUUUAUGCAGGUCCAAUUGUAAAAUAUAUGUUGAACCAUAAUGUAUGAAUGUUAAAAUCUGAUUGGGCCAAGGUAUAAAACUAUGUAAGAAUAAAAUUCAGCAGGCCCAUUUUGUAUAUGUUUUAAUUUUGAUUGUUUAUGUAUACAAUUUGAUUUUCAUUAUAUAAAAAAAAUUGGUAAUGAAAAGAGGUGUUAUUGGUUUAUAUAUUUUGAUUGAUUUAGAAAUCCAUGUAGCAUUUAUAAAUGCAAGUAAAAUAUGCAGAUUUUUAAAUUUUUUCGGAUUAGUAUUUACAAAUCCGAAGGUUUAUCCACGAAUUUGAGUCUUUGUAUUUUGAACAAAAAAAAUCCAAACAAAUUUAUUCAAAUCCAUUAUAAAAUCAAAUUUAUUAGUAAAUCCGUAUGAUUGAAUAACACUUGAUUUGAUAUAGAAUUUAUGAAUCAUUAAACUAAUAACACAUGAUUUUAAUAAAGAAUUGAAAAUCAUAAAACCAAUAACACUAGAUUUAGUUCGGAUUUUCAAACCUAUUAAAAUACAACAACCAAUUACUCCCACUAAGUCUAUUUUAUUUUUAAUAGAUUUUAUUUAAUAAUUUUAUCUUCCAUUUGUUAUAUUGAACAAACCUUUCUUUCAAUAUUAACUAACGGUAUCUUUAUAUAUUUAUGAAACACUUUUUAAAACGUUUACAUACAUAUACAUAUGCACAUUGAAGUGAAUACCUAUAUUCACCUCAAGUGAGGUAUCUAAUUCAAACGUAAUAUAGAAUAUUAUUAUUUUUUAAUUCUUUAUAAUUUUCUUCUGUUUUUUCUUAAACAAUUAUCUAGAUUUGAUUUUACUAUUAAUGCAUUUAGAAAUUAUAAUAUGAAACGAUUGGUUGACAUCAGAAUUGUCUUAAAUUUUGAUAACAUGAAACCAAACAAAUACUAAUUAGUUUUUUUUUUGUGUUGGUUUAUCACCAAAAAACCAAAAAACCUCAACCAUUUUAAUGGAACAAACAAAAAUAAAUAUGAAUUUAGAAUUUAGUUAUAUAAUUGGAUAUUAAAACUCAAAAAAAAAAACAAUCCAAAAUAAACAGACCUAAUGUCUUAACAUCUUAAAUAUAACGAAAUUAAUAAAUUCAUUCUGCGAGUUAUCGCUAGACAGUAUUUUCCUGAAUAUUUGUUUUCCUCUUUAAAGUUAGGAUCUGAAUUUUCUCUCACAAAUUUCACAACACAGCACAUGCCGCUUCCAACCUCAUGAAUAUUUUAUAGGUUAACGGACUAGAUUCAUUAGAUAAACUAUAUACAACUUCCAGAGCUAGGGUAUUAAGAAUAACUAAUUACGUUAUAACCCUUUCCUUAUAUGUCCAUAUAUUUUACAUGGGGUGAAUGACCCCUCACGAAUCAAAUGGCUUGAGGCACAACACCAUGAAGAUAAAAGGUACAUGAGUUUAUUUGCGCCAUGUUCCAUCAUGAUAUAGUAUUGUUAUCUUUUCUAAGUGUUGUUUAUUUUGCUUUGUGAAUCUUUUGGUUCUUUCGUUUUGUUUUUCCUAAACUGAAAUUGAAUCCUUUACUUCUUUAACUUCAUUCUUCCUAUUAAAUCUGAGUUCGGUCUUAACUCCUACCCGAUGGUGGAUUAGUUCGAAGACGUUUUAUUAGACCGGGAUGUAUAUCGGUUACAAGUCAAAAAGAGUAAACAGAAAAUUAAGCUGGAGCUCGGAGAGCUGGCCCGAACAGUACAAGUCGACGAAAAUACAACGAAUAAAACCUUAGUUUCUAGCCGCCAAGUGUGUGUAAAGUUCGGGAUUUCCUCUCCUGUCCGUCCUCUCCUCCUUAAAUAAACGAACCCUCCUCUCGCGUACCUUAGAUCCUGCUCGGCCCGAGCAACUAGGCCGAGCAAUCGGCUUUUAAGCCGAGCUGGUGUGCUUACUUCGUAGAGCCGAAUAAAUUAGUCUGAAACCGAGCCUGUGUGUUCGGUCGGGGCCGUUUAGCUAAACUGAUAUCUUGGGCCGGCUUGACUAGCCGUGUCCACUAUUUUAUGGGCUUUGUGGAAGAAUCCAUCUACACUUCCUAAACAAAAAUUAUAGUUAAUGAGGAUUAAUACAACUAAGGUCUUGAUUGGUAGAGCAUUAGCAUAAGCAUUAUGCUCGUCACUAUCCAAUCAACAUUUAUCACAGAAGCAUUUAGAAAAGCAUUUACAAGAUGCUAAUGCUCUCCAAAUGCUCUUUGCUGAAUGCUCUCAUUUAGAGCUUUUGGUAGAGCAUUUGCAGUUAAAAUAUAUAAAAUUUUUAAAAAAUUAUAUAUAAUUAAUUCUUUUUUAUUUAAUAUUAUAAAAAAUUAUGCUAGUAAUAAAAAACAAAAUUUAUUUUUUAAAAUAAAAGUUGCAAUUAAAUAUUUUUAACUUUUUUAAAAGAACAACAAUAUUUCACACUUAAAAUAUAAUUUAAUUUAACUAAUUACACAUAUAAUUCAUUAUUUUUAAUAACAAAACAUAAUAUAUAUUUAUAUAUUACAUAUUAUAAAAUAAAAAUAUCUAUAUUAUUUAUAAAUAAGUAUAUUAUAUAUCAUAUAUUAAUUUUUAUGAUAAUAUUAUAUAUGAAUCAUUUACUGUUCUACUAAUAAAUAAAGGGGAAAUUACAUGUUUACCGCUUUCAUGGUACCACUUUUCAUUUUUACCACCACUAAGAAGACAUUUCAAAAAUACAUUCUUCAUUAAGUGGCAAAAGACUCUUAUGGCUUUGUUAUUUAUAUAUAUAAUAAAUCAUUAUUUAUAUAAAAAAUAAAAAAUAAAAAUAAAAGAUAAAAAAUAAAUAAAAAAUAAAAAAAAAAGUUUUUUUACGUUUUCGAAUUAUACUUUUUCAAAUUCGAAAUUUUUUAUAAAUUUUUUUUUCUGAAAUUAGUUUUUUCGAAUUUAUUUUUUAUUUUUUAUCAAAUUUCUUUUUGAAGAAUGAAAAUUAUGUUCGAAACUAUUUUUCAAAUUUUUAAUAUAUUUUAUAAGUAUUUAUUUAUAUAUUUAUUAGAAUCCUAAAUUUCACAUUCCAAAAACCCUACCCCACCCCACAACUCUAAACCCUAAGUCUAGAUUAGUUAACCCUAAAGGUAUAAUUGUCUUUUACCCUUCAUUAAAAGUGAGGGUAAAAGUGGUUAGUGUAAACAUGAAAAGUAGUAGUAUGAAUGUGCUAUUUGUGGCAAUUUCCCAUAAAUAAAUAAUGAUAAUUUAUAUAUAAUUAUAUAUAAUUUAUUUGUUUUGAAUAAAUUUUAUAUUUUUAAAUAAAUUUUACAUUUUUUAAGUUAGUACUAGUUCACAUUUAAAAUUUAAUUUAUAUAAUUAAAUAAGAUUUAUUAUUUUUAGUAACAAAUAUAUUAUUAAUAUAUAUUAUUUCAAAAUAAAUAUAUUAUAUAUUAACUUUUGUGGUCAUUUUAAAAUUGUAUAUUGCUUCUGCUCUACCAAUCAGUUUAUUAAAAAAUUUUAAUGAAAACAUACCGCUUCUGCAGCAUACUGCUAAUGUUUUAUCAUCAGCUAUACCAAUCGAGGCCUAAGGUGAAUCAUCCCUGCAAGACACUGAAUAUUGUGCAGACACUGAAUAUUUCCAUCUUUGAUUUGCCUUCUUAUUAUUCUUCAAUUCAUCAUCUACAUCUCAUGCAGACGAUUUUUUGGAAGUUAAAGGUUUUUUUUUCUUCUUUUCCGAAGACUCUCCUACUCCUCUCCAUGAGUUAUCAGUGGUGAUGUCAAUUUAUUCAUCAUUUAGUUUGAUCUACCUACAUACAUUUUCCAGAUUUUGAUUUUUCUUAGAUCUAUUUACAAUAAAUGGUUGAGUUUUACUAGGUUACUCCCAAGUCCCAACUAGGCACAUGACGGCCUGUGCGUACCAUAUAUCAUAGCCAAAAUAAGUUUUAGAUUGUUAACACUAUUUAGACAUAGUAUUUGCAUGAAUUUUCGUUUUGCUUUUAAAGUAUGGAUCUUGUUUUUCUCUCACUCAUCGGUACAAGUACAAUACAGUGCAGCUACAACGCAGAGCAGAUGCUGCUUUCAAACUCACGUCACAAUAUUAGGGGUAAUUCAGCUUUAAAGAGAACACAGCAACAUUAUUGUCAAAAGCCAUGUAAUAACAGAGAAAAAUUGCACGAAAACAGAUUUCAAGCUUCGACUUGGUUUAUAAACAAAGCCAAGCGGCGUACCAUCUCCUUAGCUUCAUCACAAUCAGGCUCGAAUAUAUGAAACACAUGAUCUUUCCCUUUUGUCUCCAUAAUCUCGGCAUUGCCUCUCCAUUUGCUAUUCACCAAUUUCUCGUAAUACAUUUUUCCUCUUUCUCUCAAUAUAUCUCUCUCCGCCACCGUUAUUAUCACUCUCUCACACUCUAACCCUUCAAGAUUCGGCGACCCAUCCGCAAACGGAUUGAUCCAUGGGUCAUCGGAUCCUUUAUCGGACGGGCACACGAAUCGCCACCAUCCGUCCACCAUUUGUUUCCUCGCUUCGUCUGUGACCUCCGAGCCGACCGGCUGUGUUCCCCAGAAAUAUGGGUGGAUCAUUCCGAUGCCUUUGAUUUUAACAGUGUGGUUUGAUUGUUUGGCUCGGAACGCGAGGUGGUGCGAGAUGUUAGCUCCAGCGCUGUCUCCGGCUAGGAAGAACUGGUUGAAAUCAGCAUAGUCGUUGAUCCAUGGCUCGUUUCCGGCUUGAACCCCUUGGAGUGCGUUCCAUGAGUCUUCGUACGCUGUAGGAAGUGGAUGUUCUGGUGCUAGUCUGUCCAAAUUAUUUAAAAAGAUGAAAAUAAAACGUUGCUGAAAAAUAACCAAACCGAAGUCGUUUAUAAACCGUUUGGACUUAUCAUUAUAAAUUUCAAAAUAGCGAACCAAAACGGUGUUAUGUAACCGGACAGAAUUAAAUUGAAUAAACCGAAAUUCAUUUCUACGUGUCAAAAAUAAAUAUAAUCAUAUCAUUAUUCCUAAAGAUCACUAUUUGUUUCUAAUUUUAAUUUUGUUUGUAUGAACGGAACAGACUGAACAAAACAAGAAAUAAUGUCAAACCGAAACAAAACAAAAUCAACUUAUUCAGAUUUUUUCUAGUAUUAAUUUGAUUCUAUGCAAUUUUUUUAUUUCAAAUAUUAAUCUAUACCAUUAAAAAUGAAUCAAUCUUUAAAAAUCUAUUUAUGAAAAGUUGUUGGACCCUUUCAUUAGAAUGAUAUAUUUUAUAUCACCUUAAUUAAUCAAUUUCACAUAAUAUGUUUAAUAUUUGUGCCAAACUAAAAGAUUAUGUGACCAGAUUUUGUGCUUAUUAACAUAAAAUAAUUAUAAUAGCAUUUAUUUUCAAAUACCAGAAAGAUAGUAUUUAGAUUUAGUUUUUAUUGUCAGUUAUGAUGAUCAUUUAUCCGAUCCACAUAAAGACUGAUUUACAACAUUUAUAUUAACAUAUUAUAUGAACCAAACUUUUGUAUACACAGAAUGUAAAACUUUUAUGUAAAACAUAACGUAUAGAAAAAUGACAAUACUUUAAAGUUUUUUUAACUAUAUUCAAAAUUUUAUGUGUAUACACGAAAUUGUUUCUAAAAAUCUAACAUUUUAUUUGAAAUCUGAAACUUAACCGAAAAUCAAACCUGAAACACAAAAGAAUAAUUGUGAUACCGAAGACAUAUUCAAAACAGAAAAAUAUAAUUAAUAUACACAAAACAUUUUAGAUACUCAGGGUACCGGUUCAGAUCUCUGUAGAAUCCAAACCUAAACCGACACUGCGGGUCUGAAAUUUACUCAAUAGAUACUUUGCCGUAGACUUGGAUCUGAACCGAACAUGUAUAUUUGGAUCGGUUUUUAUUCGAACUAGAAAAAAUGUUUGGACCUAGGAGAGAGUUACAUAACAAUAUACAUACAAAAUUUUAAAUAAAUUAAUUCAUAAAUCAUAUAAUUUUAUAAAAUUCUAUGCUUUGAUAUAAUUCAAUAUUGUAGCAUAAUAACAUACAACAAUCAUUAACAUUAUUAAACUUUUGAUUGUAAAAAACCCACGCUUUUGAAGCACGGGUCAAGAUCUAGUCUAUACUAUUAAAAGAGAAACAUUCUAAAAAAAUUUACUUAUAAAAGGUUGUUGGACCCUUUCAUUACAUUAAUAUUUUUUGGUAUUCCCUUAUUUAUCUCUAACAAUAAGUAACUCAAUAUUCAAUAACAUUAUAUACCUUAUCAUUCACCUAUUUUUACUCCUUCUAUGAGCUAAUCAUAUAAUUUACAAUAUUUUUAAACGAGAAUAUGCUAGCGAAUUCACAAUAUCAUUAAAAUUAUUGAAGAUUUUUUCAUUUAUAAUUGGUAAGCCCCAUUCUCAUCUACACAAAUCUUACGUAUAAAUGACAAAUCAAAUAGUUUUUUAAGUUUUGCGUAUUAUUAUAAAAUAUAUGAGAAUUAUAAUUAAUUUUUUUAAAAAUAUUAUCAAAAUUUUCUAGGUUUUUAUCGGGUCAACCUGUGUCGGUUCACGGGUUAAUGUCAUGAUUUUCGGUUUUAUCGGAUUUUUAAUUAAUAGGUUUUCCUUAAAUCUGAAUUUUGUGGAAACAUAUCAGUUGGUAUAAUCAUGAUAGAAUAUUACAUGAAGAAUAUAAGGCAGUCCAUAUUAUAUAUGGCCACCAGUUUACUGGUCCAAUUGCAGGUCCGAAUCAAAUAUGAAAACAAUGCUUAUAUCUUAAUUCGUCAAUAAACUACAUAUGUAUUCCUACUAAAAGGAGUUAAAUCAUUUUCAAAAAUAAAAUGUUUUUUUCGUACAAUUUCAAUGUUUCAAUAUUGGUUUCUAUUUUUUGGUUCUAGAGAUAUAGGAUUUGCUCGAUUAUUUAUGAAAGUCAGUUUAAUGUAGGUUUCGUUUUUCUUCUUCGGUUUGCUACAAUUUAGUUCGCGGUUUCGGAUAAAUAUACAUAAACCUAUACACUAUAUAUAUUAUGUAGAAAUUCAUUUAAAUAUAUAUUUAAUUUUGAAAACAAAUUCGCGCUUUUAAGCGCGGAUCAAAAUCUAGUUAGUAUAUUAAAAUCAUAUCUAUUAUAGUUUAGUACGAUUUUACAGUUAAUCAAACCAUAUUUUCUAUUUAAUUUGAUUUUGAUCGGUUUGGUUAAGUAUAUUCGGGUUAGAGGUCUUAAACCGACCGAACUAGUAAACCUUGGUUCAAUAAGUUAACUUAAACUGGAUUAAUUUACCUGUAAUUGACAGAGACAGCGAUGAUGUUGGCUUGAGCGACUAGUUUGUUAAUGCUGGUGUGGUAAUUGGGUAGGGAGGCGGAGGCGAUGAGAAAUGCACCGCCAUGGAAAUAGAGCACGACUGGAAGUUUCUGACCGGGUUGAAUCGAGUCAGGCCUGUAGAUUCGGGCUGAUAAACCGGUUUUCGGAUCGAUGAUGAUAUCUUUCGAUAGUACGCCGGUUUCUGGAUCUAAACCGGGUGGACAAACCUCGGUUCCGGCUAGUCUCUCUAACGUUCCGUCGCUGUGAACAACUAACCAUGGAAGCACCUCCAACGAUACUUGCUUCUUCGUUGAUUCCAUGAGAGAGAGACAGUUUAUUGUUGUGUCUGUUUGUUAGAAAUAAGAGAAAGAGAAUGAUUAAGGGAGAGAGCUAAUAGUUUCUGUUACAAAAGGGUGUUUUUCAAAACCAACCCAUAUUUUCAAGUCAAACCCAAAACCAACCCCUUUUUUUUUGUCCAUACUAUUCAUCAAUAAAAUUUCCAUAUUAUCCUUAUGUUUUUGAAUUAUUCACAAAAUUGCCAUUUUUAUUUAUUUUUUUAUUAAUUUCGAAAUUAACAAAAAACCAAAUACACCAUAACCAUUUCUUCUUAUUUACAAAAAUGCCAUCAUCAUCAAUUUUUCCAACCACCAUGAACCACCAUUUUUGAGCUCUAAAGCUCUAGAAUUCAAUUUUCAACCACUUUUUUUCUCAUUCUAACCCAAAAAACUUGAUUUCCUCUCAUUUCCUCUACAUUUCCAUCUAAAAAACUCUCAUAACUAUCAUUUUCAUAAUCACAAACUUCAUAUUUUCGAGUUUCUUCAUUAGUGAAUCGUUAAAGAUGCUUCUUUUUGCUCAUAUUCGGAGUUUGGACGGUUGAAAAGGUUGGAAACGAGCUUUACACAUGAAACAGGUAACUAUUUACAUGGUUUUCGUUCUUUUUUCAGAUCUGUGUCGUGACGGUAGACUGUUUUGUAUGUCUACGCCUCCGUGGAGACUUACGAUGCAGUCUUUUUGUCAACGCACGGGUUAGUUUUGCAAUUGACCAGACAAAUUUUUUUUCUAACGCAGACUUCCCCAGUAGUCUCCGUCUUUACCUUUGACAACAAAAAUAAAACUUUCGGUAGACGUACUAAGACGUCUACCUAAAAGAGGUUAGUUUUUCAUUUGACCGAACUUUUGACUUUUCAAAAUAGACUUCAACGGAACUCUACAGAAUGUAGACUGCCACCGAAGUCUAUAAAAGGUCAGUUUUGCAUUUGACCAAAACUUUGACUUCGUGGAAUAGGUUAGUUUUGUGUUUGACCAAAAAGUUUUAAAAGCAAUCAAAAAUUUAUUAAAUUGUAGACUUCAUAUGCAGUCUUCUUAUCUUAAAAAAAAUUGUAGACUGCGUAUAAAGUCUACUUUUUUAUUUUGGUCAAAUGCAAAACCAACCCGUCGGAUUUGAGAGUAGACUUCACAAGAAGUCUACACACCCGUAGACGUUCAUUUCAAUCUACUGAUUUGAAGUCAAACUUGGUCAAUUGCAAAACUAACCUCUUUCAAAAAAAUUCAAACAUGUAGACUGCAUAUGAAGUCUAGUUCUGAAAGUCAAAUCUUGGAUGAAUUCUGGUCAAUUGCAAAAACUAACCUUUUUAAAUUGUAGACCGAAAAGAAAGUCUACAUGUACAAAAUCACAACUUUUAUUCAACUAUAGAAAGCAACCCGUAAAAUGGUCAAUUGCAAAAACCAACCCAAAGAGUAUACAUAUUUGACAGUCUACGUCUGUAAACUAAAAAGAACGUCUACAUCUUCAGAGACUGAAUAUUAAGUCUGCAUAGAAAAAUCUAUAAAAAUGUAAAUUUGUGUAUUAUUCAUUAAAUUUUUUCUAGAUUUUUUGUUUGACAGUGUGUGUUAGUUAAACCUAAUGGGUUUGAGUGAUUUUGAAAAGAAUUUUUUUUUAUAAUUAUGAAGGUAUAAUUCAUUUGAUUUGACAAUGUUGUUAGCUAAUAAUUGUAGACGUAUUUGUAAGUCUUCGUUUAUAGUUUUGCUAGUAAGGCUGAGCUUGUUUCAAAGCUGAAGUCGGUGACUGUGGAAUAUAAAUUUACAUUCCCAGCAUAUAAGACAACGAAAACUAUGUAUGUGGCUAAGUGUCGUGUUCAAGGAUGUGGUUGGAAACUUAGAGCGAGUGUGAAACAUGGGCCAAAGACAUUUUAGAUGACAAAAUAUUCGAAAAGGAUGAAGAAUCAGAAAGGUUGAAGAAUGUUCAUUGUGCAUGAUGGCUGUACACAUGGUAAACUUCUUGAAAUGACACAAGAAAAUUAUGAUCUGGACAACAAAAUUGAGAAGAUGGUGCUAACCUAUUUCUUACCAAACAUCAUUUAAAACAAAUGACUCCGAAUAGGAAAAUACUCCUCUUAUGCCUGUCACGAAUAAUCGACAAGUACGGAACUUGAUCGAGUUAUCUAAGACACACUUUGUACGCCUUUGUGUAUCAAGCCUGCGCCAAAUACACUAAAAAUUUUUGGAUUUACUAUAUGUUAGAUAAUAAGUGUAGACGUUUUUGUAAAUCUACAAAUGUAGACUGCAGUUGAAGUCUACGUCGUAAAUUCUAUUAAAAGUGUAUUUGUGUAUUAUUCAUCAUAUUUUUUCAUGAUUUAAUUAUUUUACAGUGUAUGUUAGUAAAAUUUUAAUGGUCUUGGAUGAAUUUCACAAUUUAAUGUGUUAUAAUUAUACACUUGAUACUUAUUGCAAAUUGUUUUGAUUAGUGUUAUUCUUGAAAAUUUUUGGGAAAAUUUUGUAUAGAUUUUCUUCUUCUCACAUGUGUGUUAGUUAUUAUUUUAGCUUAUGGUGGUUUUACUUGUUUGGUUGGUUAGAUCUUGUGAAAAAAUUGAUAUCUAACAAAAAAUUAAUAAUAUCAUACAAGUGAAAACAACUAAAAAUGAAUACAAUGUUUAUAGAUUAUGCAUUAAAAAUUAUUUAAAAAUUAAUAUUUUAUUAUGAAAGUUAUUACAGAGCAAUAUAUUAAAAAGUAUUCUUGAGUAUGUUUGAUUUUUCAUAAUCUUGAUGCUUCAAAUAAAGUCUUGGAAAAAGUACCUGCAAAAUAAGAUAGAGUUAUGAGAAAAACAUAAGAUAAAAAAUAAAAUCAUAUUUUAGUAGACUUUUUAUUAAGUCUACGUAAAGUUAUUGUUUAGUAGACUUUAGUUGAAGUCUACACUAAUGGAAAAUUUUCAUAUCUAAAACUGUGCAUUUAGAAAAUUUGAAAAUACUUUGUUCUAGAAAAUAUUUCAAAAAUGGUUUUUUGUCAUCCUUGUAACAAAGCAAAAAGAUAAUGUAUGAAUCUAUAAAUUUAGUUCUUUAUAAACACAAAAUAUCUUAUAAUGAAUAUAUGGAAAGCUUACAUUUUUGGGAAGAUGAUUUGAAAACAUUGGAUGAGAAUACCUGCAAAAUAAAAUAAAAUUAUGAAAAAUAAGAUAAAAAUUAAAAUCAUAUUUGAGUAAACUUCUAAUGAAAUAUGCUUAAAAGUCAAGGCUAGUAGACUUCAUUUGAAGUCUACCAGCCAUAAGUUUUAAGUAGAUUCAAAUGAAGUCUACUCUAUCAAAAAAAUAGAUCUGAAAAAUAAAUACAUUAAAAAUAUAAAAUAAGUUUAAAUAUAAAAAACUUUUAAAAAUAUGAUUUAAUAGACAAAAUAUUUAUAAAUUAAAGACAUAUUAAUAUGAAUUUUAAUAUGUAACUUUAUUUGAAUAUAAAUACUAGAACACAUAUUUUAAAUCUAUAGAUGUAAACCUUACAUUUCUAGGACGAGAAGAGAACAACUAUGGAAGAAAAUACCUGCAAAAUAAGAUAAAAUUAUUAAAAAACAUAGAAAAAAAAAAUUAAAGUCAUAUUUUUGUAGACUUCCAAUGAAGUCUGCUUAAACUUUGUGGUUUAUUAAACUUCAUAUGAAGUCUGCAAGCUUUAAUAAACUUCUUUAGAAGUCUACACUGUCUGAUAAUUUUCAGAUCUGAAAAAAUCUAUAUAUUUUGAAAUGUGAAAAUAAUUUUAAAUCUGAAAAUACUUUACAUAAUAGAAUUUAUAAGGUAAACUAGUAGCAAAUUAAUGUAGAGAGCUUGAUCUAUAAAUUUAUUUGAAUAUAAACAUGUAAAUAUAUAUUUAAAAUUUAUUAAUCUAAAACUUACAUUUUUAGAGGAGAUAAUGAAAUCCAUGAGUGAUAAUACCUACCAAAAAAAGAUAAUAUUGUGAGAAAUAAACAUAAAAAAUACACAUUUAAAAUCUAUAGAUCUAAAACUUACAUUUUUUAAAGGAGAAGAUGAAAACCAUGAAUCAUAAUAUCUAAAAUGACAAGAUAAUAUUGUGAGAAAGACUUGAGAAAAUUUUAGAGAGAAAGAAGAUAAUGAGAGAGAUUUGGAAACAAUUGAGAGAAUUUUAGAGAGAAGAGAGAAAGUUUUAGAGAGAAGGGAGAGAGUUUUAAAAACUUGUGCAGCCACUUUAGAGAGAGAUUGUAUAAAUUUUGUUUAUAUAGGGAGACAAAAAUGUAACUAGGUUAAAAUUUACGAUACUGUAGACUUCGUUUGAAGUCUACUAAAAUUAAAAUUUUGGAGUAGAUCUUACCUUAACAUAGUAGACCUUUUUGGAAGUCUACUAUAAUAAUUUAAUUAUUGUUGUUUAUUCUUUAUUACUUUAAUAAUUUUAAUAUAUGAUUUAUUAAAUUUAUUUUUUUAUUUUUUAAUAGUUAUAGUAUAUGAUUUCACUUUUUUAUUCGUAAGGAACUUAACUUAGUUUAAAUAUAAUGAUUUUUUGUAAAACAAAUUGAAAAAUAUAGACUGAAAAAGACGUCUUCAGAUAAAUAAACUUUAUUGUAGGUCUACGAAACCCUAAACCACAAAUCUCAAACCCUAAAUGUUUUGCUUGAUAAUCAAAAAGUCUCAUUUAUACAAAAUAUAAACUACUAAACAUUAAUAUGCAGAUUUAAGUUAAUAAAACAAAAAAAAAACAAAAUCUAAAAUCUAACCCUUUGAAAUCAACUACUAAAAGACAUAACAUGUUAGAACCUUUUGUUUAUAAACUAUGAACAUAGUAUAACACAUGAUAACCAAAUUAGUAUAUAUUCUUCAAAAUUGUUCGAUUAUAUGAAAUUUUAAUUUAUUUACUUCAUAUUAUCCAUUAUAUUGAUGAUUAGUUAAAAAUAUCACAAUAAUUAUUUUUAUACAUUUUCACAAUUAAAUUAUUAGAUCAAAUUAGAGUGUAGACUACAAAACAAGUAUAUAAAGUAGACUUCGUAGGAAGUCUAUAUAUAUGUAGACUUCUUUUAUUACGUGUAGACUUCCAAAGGAUAGAAACGUAAAAUACAUUUCUGUUUUUUGUUUGGUCAUAAGGGUUAAAUAGUACUUUCACUACUCCUUUAGGUUGGUUUUGCAUUUGAAUGAAAGUGGGGUAUACUUUUAUAUUUGACUUGAAUAUUUGGGUUGGUUUUAGCAAAUGUACCCAAAAAAAUAAGCAUCGAGAUGAUUAAGUUGUUUCUUUGACAUAUUAUAAUGAAAAGCCAUUUUCAAUUUGAAUUUAUUAAGUGACUCCGAGUGAUUAGCGUGUUUUGGUCUUUAUUAUUACAUUUAAUGAUCCUACCAGCCGAAUCCGAAUGAAAACUAUAGAGAUGAAACCAAUAAAACCAAACCGAUUAAAACUGAACAGAAUUAAAAUAGUAAAAAUGGUUUGGAUUUGUUACUACUGAAUAAACUGAAGAAACAAAUAAAUUAAAAUAUAUUAGUAUACUUAUAUAUAAACUUAAUAAUAAAAUUAAUAAUAUAUACAUAAUUUAUUUUAUUAAUAUGAUAUUUAUAAAUAAUACACUGAUUUUAAUAAUUUGUUACUUUUGAAGUAAAAGGCUGUUUUGUUUUCCUCAUUUUCAUCAAUUUAAAUAAAACAUGUUUUUAUUUCUAUUGGUAAAUAUCUGUUCUAAAACAUAUUUAUAUAAUAAUAUUAUGAAAUUACUAUGUCCUUAUUUUAUUUUAAUUUUUUUUGUCAUCCUCUUAUUUUAUUUUAAUUUUUUUAUAAAACAUAAAAUAUUAUAUUUAAAAAUUAGAGUAAGGAAUAUGUAUUUAGUUUUUAAUAAAUAUGAUUUCUAAUCAUAUAAAUUAAUUUACUAUCAAAGGUCAAUAUAUUUAUAUGAUUUUUUGUAUAAAACUCAAUAACCCAAAAACUAAUGGUAUAUGAACCGGAUCAAACCAAAUUAGAUAUGGAUCCAAUAUGGUAGCUAAUUUUUAUAAAUAAAAAUGCCGAAAAAUGAAAAAAGUCGAACACAAAAUAGACCGAAAUCAGGAAUGAAAAAGUCUAGUUUGUAGAUUUUCUCAAAACAAUUGUAAAAUUUUGCAGGGAAUUGAUUAAAGUAAUCAAGCUUUUUUCUACAAUUAGCCAAAUAACUAUAAGCUUCUUUCAAAAAUAAUUUAAAAUUAAUGCUCAAACAAAAAAAUUAAUUCUUUUUGAAUUUUUGUUUUGUUUUAUGCAUCCUAAAAAUUCAACUAAUUCACAAAAAUGUCAUUUCUCUUUUUUUUUGAAAUAUGUUAUAUUCAUCACCUUUUUACAAAACUGAAUUAUUUUCUAUCACCAAUCCUCCUAUACAUUAAAAGAGAAGUCACUUUAAUGAUUUCUUAUGACGUGUCGGUCAUAUAUGAAGUUUCAAAAAAAUUGUUAUAAUUUGAUUGGUCGAUUAUUUUUAAUUUUUAUUUAUUUAAAUUAGAUCUAAAAAUUUAAGUUAAGUCUAAAAACAUUUAAGAUCACUUGCCAUAUAAUCUAAAGAAUAUUACAAAUAACAAUUUAUGGCAACUAAAUCUCGAAAUUAUAGAAAGAUUAAUAAUGUUAUAUUUUAUUACUUUUAAUAUUUCUAAACUAUAAAAUAAAAUGAAAUUUUUUUAUAUAAGAUAAUUAUAAUAGUUUUAUAUUCUACUUGAUGAAUGGUAUUCAAAUAUAAUUAUAUAAAUAACUAUUUAAAUAUUACAAAAUCCAAACAUGUUUAUUAAUAUGAUUUUUAAAUUAUUUAUCGUUGUUUACAGAAUAAAUUUAUCAGAAUUUUAAAAUUAUUUAUAAAAAUAUAAAUCCUACUAUAUAUUGAUUGAGAAGUCACAUAAGUGAUUUUUUAUUACGUGUUGAUCAUAAAUGAACUCUUCAAAUUGUUAUAAUUUGAUUGACCGAUGAUUUUUAAUUUUAUUUAUUAUAAUUAUAUCUAAAAGGAAAGGAUAAUUCAAUUACCACUUUCCAAAUAAUCUACAUAAUAUUAGAAAUAAUUAUUUAUGGUAACUAAUUGUUGAAACUAUGAAAGAGUAAUAAUGCGAUCAAUUUUUUUAUAUAUUUAUAAAUUACAUAAAUUAAUACACAAAAGUGUUUAUUUGAAUUGAUAUAAUGAUUUUAUAUUCGUAUAGAAAGAAUUAUAUUUGUAUAUAAAGUAUCAUAAUAACUAUUAAUGUCUAAUAAUUCAAUGCAUGCUUUAUAAAUCAUUUAUAAAAUUAUAAAUACAUUUAUAAAAUUAUAAAUACAUUUAUAAGAUUAUAAAUACAUUUAUAAAAAUCAGACGUUUUAAAUUAUUAUAAGAGGUUCUAAGUCAUUUAUAGAAGCUUAUAUAUUAAUUUAUAAAAUGUAUUUUGAAAAUUUAUCCUCCUAUUACAAUAUUUUGAAUUUUUUUAUUUUAAUGGUAAAAUUUCUCAACUAUAUUUACUUAGUGUAGAAACCCCUAAACUAAAUAGUUACUGGUAAUAAUAGUAAUUAUGACCUAUCAGAGUUUAAUUCAUUAAAUAAAGUUAGUUUAGGGUAUUUUCGUUAAAUACUUAGUUUGGGGGUUUUUGCCCAAAACAAACUUAGUUAGGGGGUUUUAACGUUAAAAUUCCUUAUUCUUUUCUUAUUAUCUAUUAUUUAAAUCCUUAUAGUGGGAUUUGUUUUAUCAAAAACCAUUUUCAAUCAACUGACGAGAUAUCUUCUUUUCUAAUAUCAUGCAUUUAAUAUUUAAAUAUAUAUAUAUAUAUAACAAGAUUUGAGUUAUCAAAAUUAUGUAUAUAUUAUAACCAGAAUAUUUUUAAAAAUUUAUUAGAAGAUAUUUUAUCUCAUGGCUGAAUUAAAAUUUAUUAGAGGAUAUUAUAUCUCAUUGCUUCUCUUGAAAACUAGGUCAUUUAGAAACUUAAACUAAUUUGCUAUAUAAAUAUCGCACCACCCACAUUAGUUUCACGCAUCUAUCUUUUAAGUUUUCAUAUGUUUUUGAUCGUUAUAAUUUAAAUUCUACUUUUGUGAUCUUGCGCAGGUGUAUGAUAAUCAAUAAGUAACUCAUAGACGGGAACACCAUUACUGGUAAUUUUAUGGGAGAUUCUUCUUCUCCGUUUAUUUUUGUUCUCUUCCUCUCCAUGUUGUAUCUCUAUCUAUAUAUUUGCAUCAGUAGUGAUUCAACUAACAAAAAGAGACGACUCUGUUUAUCCAGGAACUGAUCAUCCCUUUCGAAAAAGGUAAUUUUUUUUUAUAAAGUUAAAUCACUUAUCAAGAAUAUAAUAUAAGAUAUGUAUGCUAAUCAAGUGCAAUUUAUUUAUUGUGCGUGAUCCUCUUCGGUACGUCUGAGAGCCAAAGGUAAUCUCAAAGCUUUUUAAAAGCUUUGAAACUCAUUGAUGUUGUCCUAUCAAUUAUAUAAUUUGUGAUCUUUAAAUAUUUUUGUUAGAAUUACCUCUUUUUUGACUUAAAGCUUAGAGAAAGAAACCGUAAAUCAUCUAUGUUGUUACAAUGAAACCAAUGAUAAUAAAUUUCAGGUAAUUCAAAUCUCUCUUUUAUAUUCCAUGGCUGAUUUUUUUUAUUGGAGUUAUGCAUGAAAUAUUUAUUUUUUCUCAAUUAUAUUUUUCUGAUGUUUUAUGAUUAAUGUUAAAUGUGAUCGUUUUUUAUACGUUCUAAUGUAUUCUUUGUUUAUAUGAACAUAGUAUAAAUAUCAAUAUGUAACAUCGAAUCUUUCAUAUUAACCAUAUACAUAUAACAUAAGUAUUAUAUAGUUGUAAAUAUAAGAUCAAUUUAAUAUUAAAGUUAAUGUCCGCACAUACGUGCGGGCGGUCCACCUAGUUACUAUUAACAACCAAACCCAAACUUUAAAUGCACUAGAAGUUGGUUUAUAUAUCUUUUUAUUGCAUUUAUUACACAUACAAAUAAUUUAUCUUGAAUGCACCCCUUAAGGUGAAGCAAAAAAAAACUCUUUUUAAUCCCAAAUUUAUAUACGAAUAUUCAUCAGAAUUUUUCAAAAUGGGUGCAUUUGUGUAAAGUUAUUUCUUUUUGAAUUCAUUUGAAUUUAUUUCUUUGUUUUUCCACAUGAAAAUAUUAUUGGUUCUCAAUAGCAAUAAACCUUAUUAACUAUCCAAUAAAUAACACUACAUGAACAUAUUUGUAUAUUCAAAUUACAUGAUGUUAUAACAAUAAUAUUUUAAAUAUAUACUAAUAAAAUAAUUUUAAUACAUCUUACUCUUAUUCUUUUUUUUCAUAAAUAUUUACAUGAAUCAUACUUGAUGUUUUUUGACUAAUUUUAUCUAUAUAUAUACUAUUAAAAUUAAAUAAUUGUAUUAAAAAGAAUGUUAAAAUACAUAUUUGAUUUUUUAAUAUUAAAAAUUGUAUGAAAAGUUUAGUCAAAUUCUUUUAGAAAUAUUAUCAAUUUUAUAGGAUUUCUCCGGGUUAACCGGUGUCGGAUCACGACUUAAUGCUAAUUUUUUUGAGUUUUUACAGAGUUUUAUGAGGUUUUUAAUUAACGAACUUUUUUGUUAAAUCUGAACUAGAUUACUUGCGGGUCAUCGAGUUUAUUGGUCUGGCCGCGGGUUUAGGUCGAAUAUUAAAACAGUGAAACAUUUAAAUUGAAAAGUUAUUCCGCGCUUUCAAAGCACGUAUCAAAAUCUAGUAUAUUUAUUAUAUAAACAAGUGAUGAUAUAUUAUUAUAAUCAACACGUUGGCAAUCCUUCUUUUUUUCAAUAUUUUAUUGAGUAAAAUAACCGAUGAUACAUCUAUCUUCUAUAUAUAUAAUAAUAAAGUAGACUUACUUCUAUCCUCCUGCGUCCAUAGUAGUCAGAAAAUUGGGGCAAUUUAUGACACGUGUCACCUAAAAAUAAGUCCACGCAACCAAAUAAUUUCCGUCUCCUUUUUGUUUUUUGAACUGGGCUCAUGCGAAACCAAAUUUUCCGUUUCAUUGUUAUUCAGUUGGGCUUUAUGUUGUUUAUCUCUAGAUCCAAUAUUCCGUUUGUUUUAGUAGAAAAAGAAGUUCCAUUUAGGUCAUAUGGCAUCGUAGUUACGCCUCCGAUGAGUUCAUCCUGAAACACCUUGGGUUUCCAUUAAAUACUAUUUCCAGGCUGUGUAACAUCUUUAGCCUCAAAUCAGUCGACGUCAUAAUGAGUGGCGGAGCCAGAAAAUUUUGUUACCGGAGUCAAUAUCUCACAUUUUUUUUUAAAUUUAAAAUAUAAAUUUUUAUAAAUAAUAUGCUAUACAAUCUAAAAUAUUUUAUUAUUAUUUAAGAACCUUAUAAUUUUUAUGUUAGUGAACCAAUUUCUAAAUUAAAUUAUUUAAAUUAUAAUUUGUUAUCCAUAAUUUAAUUAUAUUUAUUAUAUACAUAGAUAUUAAUUGAUAAUUUCUAUACAAGUUAUUGUAAACCCCAUUUUUUAGCACUAAUUCUGCAAUGACUUUUAACUUUUCGAACUUGUACAUGAUUACUUUAGUUAGCAAUAAACCCAUUUCACGCGGCCUAAUUUUAGCAUGGGGACUUGGUGGGAAAAAAUAAUUGGGUUAGAUUUAAAAUGUUACUAAUUGUUUAGUUGAAGUAACGUGGGCUUAUGAAGGGACCAGUUUAAUUCUCUCUCUUUUCUCUGACCUUUCUCUAGAAAACACAGCAACAAUCUUUAGUGGCCGGUUGGCUUACGCCACCGGUUACCAACCCCUCCUUUUGUUUUUUGCUGUGUAUAUAUCUUCGAUCGUUAGAAUUCGGUGGCGGAUUCGAAAGGAGCGGUAGAUGUUUAUGCGUCAUCUCCGGAAAGACAAGUGGAGGAAUGAUAGAGAAACGACCGGAGGGAUGAUCGGAACAGUAGCCGGCGGCGAGAAACAAAAGCAGUGUGUCACAUUUAGUUUUUUCAAAGAGAGUAGAGAGAGUACAAAUCAGAUUACAAAGCUGCAAUAUCUAUCAAAAGUAGCAUCCUCAGUGAUGAGAUUCUGUAGUCUAACAUGGCAAUUCUUGCAAAGGUUUAUUGUUACAUUCAAGAAUUAUGUUACGGCUGAGAGGCAGAGAUUUAGUAUUUAUUUAGGUAUUUUUUAAAUUCUAAACAACAGUACCAAAACCAAAUCAUUCAAAUCUAAAAUAGUUAACCCUAUGCAUAACGGUAUAAGUGUUUUUUUUUUGUCAACACGGUAUAAGUGUUUAUUUACAAACAUUUUUAUGGUCGUAGAAUUUUUCAGUACAGAAAUAUCAUCAAGAGCUUGAAGAAAAUAUCAUCAAUGGGCUUUAAUGGGCUGGAGCCUGUGAGUUUCAUGGCCCAAAAAAUCUAUACAGUCCAGAACGUGGUCACCGUCAUCGGAACACCGCAGGUUGCGAGAAGCUUUCGCAUUCAGAUUGACCACAACAAAAAAAAAACUCUACGAUGCUACUUGUGCGAUCCCUCUGCCGUACCGCUGCGGCGGCCUCCGUCGCUACGCUCCGAUCAUUGAGAUCCGCCCCUCCAAAUCAGCUAUUGCGCAAUCGUUCCCUCCUCACGCGAGGAUUCUUCGCUGUUUCUUCAUUUCCUUCAAAUCGAACUCCUUACGGUAAUCAACUAUAAUCGUCGCCUCUUUGUUUCUAUAUGUUCCGGUGGGAAAGAUCGUCUACUUACUAAUUAGUGUUGGUGGAAUCUUAAGCUUACUGUGUUGAUCUUUAAAAGGAUCACGACUUGUUUUACCGUUACCUUUGGGAGAUAAAGCUCUUUUCUAGAUACUAGGGAUCACGACUUCCAGAUUCAUUGUUGUACUAUUUACCUUUGAGAGCUAUAGCUCCUUUGUUGCCAAGACAUUUAGGUCUACUCGUUCAUUCACUUUGAGAUUGACAUGUUUGAUGGUAAAAAUGAUCUGCAAAGACGAGAGUUCAUUUUAAAAUUACUUUUGAAAGCUAUAUCCUUUUUUGCAAAGACUUUGAGGUCUUUGUGAUUGUUUCAUAGUGAAAAAGAGUUUGUUUUGAAGUUUACCUUUGAAAACUAUAGCUCUUUCAUUUCGCUUUGUAUAUAACGUGCUUGCUGGUGAAAAAAUGGUCAGCAGAGAUGUCUGCUCCUGCGUGCACUUUUUUUUUUUUGACGUGUUUGAUGGUGAAGCUGCAGAUUGUCGGUAUCCUCGAGCAAUUGGCAUAGGAGGUGUGCGCAACUUUAGCGAAGAUGUGUCUCACAUGCCUGAACUCAAAGACAGUGAUGUUCUUAAUGCUUUCAAAGGUUUGAUGGCUGCAGACUGGUCAGCGCUGCCUUCUGCUGUUGUUAACGAGGCGAAAAAGGCAGUCUCGAAAAACACAGACGACAAGGCAGGGCAAGAGGCCUUGACGAAUGUGUUCAGAGCAGCUGAAGCUGUUGAAGAGUUUGGUGGGAUUCUCAAUUCCCUAAAGAUGGAAAUCGACGAUAGCAUUGGGAUGAGUGGAGAGGUUUGUUUGUUGUUGUUGUUGACUCACUAACCAACCACAUUCUUUUUUUGGGUUUGACAUGUUUGAUGUGUUCUUAUUUUGUUUCAGGAUGUGAAGAGCUUACCAGAAGAUAUAACCAAAGCGCUGCGUCUUGCUUAUCAUAGGUAUGCUACCUACCUAGAUGCGUUUGGACCUGAAGAAGUUUAUUUGAAGAAGAAGGUUGAGACGGAGUUGGGGACAAAGAUGAUCCACUUGAAGAUGAGAUGCAGCGGGCUUGGUUCAGAAUGGGGAAAGGUAAAUGCACAUCUUCUUCGCCAACAUAUAUUAGUUAGAACAGCCUGAUUCAAGUGUGGUUUGCAUAAUUAACGACAAGUUGUAUAUCUGAUCUUUUUGUCGACCUUCAUGCAUCAUCCAUGCUAUCCAAAUUCAUGAAUUUUGGUUUGAUUUUCUUUGGUAGGUUACCGUUCUUGGAACAUCAGGACUCUCGGGGUCUUACGUGGAGCAAAGGGCUUAAAACGGACAGAGAAGAAUCUUAAAUAAUGUUUGUUAUUUGCGUUAUUGUGUCUUCAACACAUAAUUUGGUCAUUGUCGCUGCCCCGAAAAAUUUUAAACAAGCUUUUGUGUUCUGUUUUAUUACAUUAGAGUUUCUUUACUGCUUGUGAUUCAACAUUUUUCAAAUAAAAGAAUUGGGGCAACUCUAUCUGGUUUUCUCCAUGACCAAGACUCUGCAGGAGACUUAGGAGGCGGUGGAAGCAAUGCAGCUUUUCUUCCUAAACCAAAUGGCCAUCGUUGGCAAUCACACAGCUAUUGAAACGCUGACCAUUUCUUAAUUUCAUUCAAAUAAUACAUUUGUCAUUGAUUCUCCAGCUCUAUACCUUUCAAGCUCGAAUACCUUGAAAACUUUCGCCGUGAUAUAUCCUUCUAUACUCUAAUCACUCGGACAACACUGAAAAACUACUGCUUCCGACCGAACAAACUCCAUGCCCUCUUGCUCUACAAUUUUGUGUUCGUUGGUGGAUUGAUAAUUUAGGGUCUCCAUGUCUAUCCUUGGCAUAUGCCUUAGUUUUUCCAUCGCCCGAGUUCUGAUCUGGAUAAUAUGGGGCUGUUUAUUUCACUAUUUAUCAUCUUCAUCCAUUUCACCAUUUAUCAUCUUCAUCCAAAUGAUUCAUUUGUAUGAUCUAUUCAAAUGAUUCAUUCAGAUUUUUGUGAUUGUUUGUUUGUCCAUCCACAUAGUUCAUAGAUGAAUCAUCUAAAUAGAUUUUUAAACAAAUUACCAAAAUACCCUUGUAUUGAUUUAAUCAUAUGUUUGACUAGGUGAUUUUCCCGUACUCAUGCACGGGUAUAAAUAUUUAUACAAUAAAUAAAAUAUAAUAAUUUAUUGACAUUUACUUUUAAUUUUAAAUUAAUUUAUAAUUUAUAUGUAUAAUUUAUAUUAAUAAUAUUAUAUUACUUUAAUUAGACAUGAUUUUUGAUAUGUUAUAUCUAGUCGGUUUUAUUGUUUUUACAGUCAAUUUAGUUUUCAUUUGUGCAUAUUGGAUUGCAUCUAUUUAUCUGAAUUCAACUAUAAUAUUUUUUAUUUUAAAUAUAUUAAAGUUUUGAUUAAUUUUCUUAUUUGCAAUUAGGUUGGUCGUUGUUUUAUAUAUGUAAAUGUAUUUUAGUAAGAUUAUGUAUAACUUAAAAUAUAUUAUACUUAGAUUGAAAUAAAAAACAAACGAAAGUAUUUGAUUCCAAAUUACAUAAAUUAAUAUAACGCUCUGAAGUCUCAUGUAUAUAUAUAAAUUUUACAAAAGAUCUAAUAUGUAACAGUUGGUUAAUAUUUUAUUUUAGUUUAUUAAUAUAGUUUGAGUCAUCCUAUAUUUAUAUUUAUAAAAUAAAUAAAUAAAUUAUUAUUAUAAAAUUAUAUAUUCUCAUUGUAGUUAAAUCUAUGAUUUUAGAUAUUAGUUGGAUUAGUCGAUAUUUAUAAAAUAAAUAAAUAAAUUAUUACUAUAAAAUUAUAUAUUCUUAUUGUAGUUAAAUCUAUGAUUUUAGAUAUAAGUUGGAUCGAGUCACUCAUGUUGUGUGUAUAUUCAGUUACAUAUAUUCUUUCAAAUUCAGAUUGACAUGUACUUAUUAUUUCUUAUAAUUAGGUCAAAUCAAAUUAGUUAUAUUGAUCUCUUGAAUGUGCAUGUAUUUCCAUAUUAUUUAUCAAAUUAUAUGUUGAUAUUUAAAAGUAUUAGAAAAUAAAACGAUGAUCAAUAGGAAUUUACAUAAGUAACUGAUAAAUUUUUGAAAGAUCGUGAACACAUAUCAAUAUUUAUAAUAAUUAAAAUAUUUGAUAAAUUCUAAAUAUUUUUUUGCCUUAGAUUUAUUGAAUGACAACAUGAAAUUUAUUUUUAAUAAACUUAAAAUGAGAAUUGAGGUUUGCUUGGGUAUUUUGUUUACAGCUAUAUUAAGUUCCACCAACAUAAAAACAUAAAAUAAAAGAUCAAUCUAAAUAUUAAGAAAACAAAUAGUUCUUUUUGUAUUGUUUAAAAUUAUGUUUUAAAAUAAAAAAUAUUAAUUUUUCUAAUAUCAAGAUUAUCUAUGUAAACUUGUUGUUUGAAAUCACAUUAUAUACAAAAAUAUUUUUUUUCAUCUAAGAAAAAAAAAAUAGAUAUAAAGAAUGUAAUUUUUUGAACAAAAAAAGUAUUUUAUUACUUCAAAGGUAUAUUUAUGUUAUUUAAAAAUAUGUUUUAAAUGUAGUAUUACUAUUUUGUGAACUUUCCUUUUUAAUGAAAUCAUAUUAUAUAUAAUAUAUUUUCGCUUUUAAAUUCAUGUUUUUAACUUUAUAAAUAUUACCUUUAUAUGUUAUUUGGAAGUUUUUUAAAAGGAAACUAUAUAAAAAAUCAAUAAUAGUAUUUAAAUUUAAAAUUUUUUAUUCACUAAGGAUUCCUCGGUAAUUAACCGUCGUAAGAAUUAACGUAAGCGCGACACAUAGGAAAGUGACUUCUCAAAUAAUAUUAUAGAGAGAUUAAUUUUAACUAUAUUACAUUUAAUUAUUUAGUUUAAUAUAUUUACAUUAGAAUUAUUUCAAAAUUAACGAGUUUUCUUUUUGCGGUUUGGGCGGGAAAAAAAAAGAUUUUUCGGUUUUAGCGAGAAAACACAUUUUUUUUUUGUUUUGGCGGGAAAACAAAAUUUCUUGGUUAUGGCGGAAAAACGAGAUUUUUCGGUUUUGACGGGAAAAUACAAAUUUUCAGUUUUGGCGACAAAUUAGUUUUUCUAGUUUUGGCGGAAAACACGUUUUUGGUGGGAAAAUGCGUUUUUUGCGGUUUUGGAGGGAAACACGUUUUUGCGAUUUUCGCGGGAAAACAAAAUUUUUCGGUUUUGGCGAGAAAACGAGAUCUUUCGUUAUUGGCGGGAAAACGUGUUUUUGCGGUUUUGGCGGAAAAACACGAUUUUGCAGUUUUGGCGGAAAAAUACGUUUUUGCGGUUUUGGCGGGAAAACACGUUUUUGCGGUUUUGGCGGGAAAACACAUUUUUGCAGUUUUGGCGAGAAAAUGCGUUUUUGCGAUUUUCGCGAAAAAACGCGUUUAUGCAGUUUUGGCAGGAAAUCAUGUUUUUGCGGUUUUGGCGGGGAAACACGUUUUUGGCGGGAGAACAUAUUGUUUUGCGUUUUUUGCAAUUUUUGCGGAAAAACGAAGUUUUUCGGUUUUGGCGGGAAAAUGAGAUUUUUCGGUUUUGGUGGGAAAACGUGUUUUUUCGGUUUUGGCGGAAAAUAAGAUUUUUGGUUUUAGCGGGAAAACAUUUUUUUUUUGUUUUGGCGGGAAAACACGUUUUUGCAAUUUUGGCGGAAAAACGUGUUUUGUGUUUUGGCGGAAAAACGAGAUUUUUGGUUUUAGCGGGAAAACACGUUUUUUUUUGUUUUGGCGGGAAAACACGUUUUUGCAAUUUUGGCGGGAAAACGUGUUUUCUGUUUUGGCGGAAUAAUAUGUUUUGGGGUGUUGGCGUGAAAACAUGUUUGAUUUUGGCAUGAAAACACUUUUUGUGUUUUUGCGGGAAAACACGUUUUUGCAAUUUUGACGGGAAAACACGUUUUUGUAAUUUUGGCAGGAAAAUGCGUUUUUGGGGUUUUGCCGUGAAAAGUUUUUAGGUUUUCGCGCGAAAACGUGUUUUUGUAGUUUUGUUAGUUUUCGUAUAUGAUAAAAAUGAUAUUAUGUUUAGGUUUAUAAUUUGUGAAUUACAUUAGGGGCAUAAUAGACAUUAUACCAUUUUGAAUGAACCAUCUCUUUUCAAAUGAUCCAAAUUGUUUCAGCUGAAUGGACUUUAAAAUUAAGUCUAAAUUUCCAAAAAUCAUCUAGAUGAUCCAUCUGAAUGAAUUGCACUUUUAGUACCUAAACAAACAAAACUCUCAUUUUCAUCUAAAUGACUCAUCCAGAUGGAGAAACAAACGAGCUCUAACAGUCUGAAACCAAACACAAUCAGAACGAAAGGUUUGAAAACGAAACACAAAAGGCAAAGGAGUUUUUACUUCAUGGUCAUAGUCAAAAUCCGUGACAAGUGAAAGGGUUUUUAUUUAGAUUUUUGGGGGUUUAGGUUUUAAAGAGAAGUGCUGAGCUGCACAGUGACGGUCUAUCUUCCUUUUUUUGAGCAACCAGUGACAGUCUAUCUAACAUCAUUUGGAUUGUUUUUAAUGCACGAAUACUUUUAAUGUUUCUUAUCUAAUAAACAAUUUUCUAUAUAUUAAAUUAAAAGAACAUUUUAUAGUCUCAGUAAGAGGAAGAAGGGUUAAGAAUUUACCCAGUUUGAAAUGUUACAUUGUCCGAAGAACCCUAGAUGCUGUGGGAGUAAAGGAUCGUCAAUAAAUGCGUUCUAGUGUGUUGUAGAUUCUUAUCCAAGACUUGUGUGAUUUGAUGAUGCCAUGUGAAUCACUAAAAACAUGUGAAGUGUAUGGCUAACCCUAUAAUGAAAGUUUCGUAAGGAGACUGAAGCAGACUACCAUGAGACAAAAGAUUUGUUUUUCAAAAGAGAUUCAAUUUGAAACUCUUAUAUGUCCAAGGUUCAAUAUUGAAAUAAUUUCAGAGGUUUUCCCAGACUUUGUCCGUGUCAACAAACAAUUCAAAAUGCCUCAAAUUUUUUAGAACACGUCUCGGUCAAAUAACAAUGAUUCGAAGCACUUAUUUUUACACUAUUUCGGAAACUAAAAGACUCAAUCGUAUGAAUAUGUAAAAUACAGGAUUUCCAAUCCUAGCAGGAAAAGGAGGGAAACAGCUACCCAAUGACUUCGAAAGAAUUGAACGAGGAGCCGUAUGAAAUGAAAAUCUCAUGUCCGGUUCUGUAGAGUGGCAGUAAGGGUGGCUUAUCUGUCAACUUUUCCACUAUCACCCUCAAAAAAACAAACUCUGACUUACGUAAAGUUGCCAGAGUACGAUUAACCUUGGGAAAUCACUGCUUAUAUACAUGGUAUUGGCCAUAAUUUACAAGAACAUUAUGUAGUCUUAGUAAGAGGGGGAAGGGCCUUGUGUUGAAUCAAAUGAUUCACUUCAUAGUCUGAUAGAUCCUUGGUGGAACUUAUUAAUCGGACGAAAAUAAAGAUAGAGUCUCAUUCUACAUGUCAAUACUGACAACAAUGAAAUUUAUAGUAAGAUGAAAAUCUGUUGACUUUUAAAAUCGUGAGGGUUCAAGUCCCUCUAUCCCCAACCCUACUGCCUAAAAAAGCUUGUUUGACACCUUACCUUUUUUUUAGUUAUUCAAGAUACAAGUUUUUAGCUUUGUGCAUGACCGGCUAAAUAAUAUAAUUAAUGGUUAGACUUUUAAGUUUUUCACAAAGGGAGGAAAGGAAGUGAUUAUAAAAUCAGUUGUUACAGCAUUACCAAACCAUGUGAUGUCUUAUUACGUCUACUUAAGGCAACCGCCAAAAAACUGACAACCGCGGUCGCACAAUUCUGGUGGAGUCCAGGGGGAAGUAGAAGAGGAAUGCACUAAAAAUCAUGGGAUAAAGUAUGUAUCGAUAAGGAGGAUGGAGGACUAGGUUUUAAAGAUAUCAUUUAUUUCAACACAUUCAAUGCUCGGUAAACAGUUAUGACGUCUGAUUGAGAAGUCAAAUACUUUAUUUUCCCGAGUGUUCAAAGGACGAUAUUGCAGGAAUGCCUCACCCCUAGAACCGAUUCGUUCAUAUUCUCCGUCAUAUGGCUGGCGGAGUAUCGUUUCUGCUAGAUCUCUGAUAAGCAAAUGACUAAUUAAAAGGGUGGGAUCAAGAUUAUAUAUAUAUAUAUAUAUAUAUAUAUAUGUAUGGAACGAUCCAUGGCUCCCAACCACUCGCCUGAGACCAGUAAAUAAAAAUCAACACAAUUUCGACCUAGACCUAACUGUGGAUUCUCUUAUUAAUUCUACUUCGUGAACAUGGAAUUCAUAAGCACUCCGGGCUUUGAUGGAUUCCCAGGAUGUGAAAAAUAUAGAAAGUAUACCACUGAGUAAAACCGAGAUGGUGGACAGGGAUGGAUGACAUUUCAAAAAUAAUGGGAAGUAUACGGUUAAAUCAGGAUAUCUGAUAGAACGAGUUUAUCGAGAUAGGGAAAGACCACCUUUAAUGUUUGGACCCACAGUUGAUGUUUUGAAGGCGUUCUGCUAGAAAAUACGAUGCCCUCCAAAGAUAAAAUAUUUUCUAUGACAAUUGGUGACAUGGUGUAUAACAGUCAAGAAGAAUCUGAAAGCGCGAGGAAUACAAGGGGAUAUAUGUUGUGCACGAUGUGGAGCGGAUGAGGAAUUAAUCAACCAUGUGUUCUUUGAAUUUCAUCCAACACUUCAGGUUUGGGCUCUCUCCAAAAUACCAUCAAACCCAUAAAUUUUCCCAACAAGCUUCCUCUUUACAAAUAUGGAUCAUCUCUUCUAGAGAGGUUUCCCACAGAUGGAUGAUUAUCAGUUUGCGUGGAUACUAUGAUAUAUUUGGAAAGGAUGGAAUAAUAAAAAUUUUAGUAAUCUGGACAUGGACCUUAGGGACACGUUCAAAUUGGCAGAAACAAAGUCAACACUUUGGGCUGAUGUUGGGGUCAAAAACGGUUACGACAAAUUUAACAUUUAAAACGUCCGAGGAAGAAAAUAAGAAUUUCUCCGAAGAGUACUUUUCGAAAUAGAUUCUUUCUUACGAAAAAGCUUUACGGAAGAAAGAAUCGAGAUGUCCGACGAAAGCUCGAAACAGGUCGUUACGCAGCGACCGAACGUCCGUCCCGCUCGGUCGCUACGUAGCGACCGAGCUCAAGCCAAGGCUCGGUCGCUACGUAACGAACGAGCUCGAGCCAAAGCUCGGUCGCUACGUAGCGACCGAGCGAUCGUCCCGCUCGGUCGCUACGUAGCGACCGAGCUCAAGCCAAAGCUCGGUCGCUAUGUAGCGACCGAGCGCUCGUCCCGCUCGAUCGCUACGUAGCGAUCGGGCUCGAGCCAAAGUUCGGUCGCUGCGUAGCGAUUGAACUCUUCCGAACAUCGACAGACAUCAAUCCAUGCAUUCUCGUCAAACCUUCGAAUGCUAUCUCCCGAAGACCGUAGUAAGCUCAGUCCAUGUUUUCCGCUAUUCUAACUUAUCAAUCAAACUUCGCGGAUUAGAAACCGCGGAAGGUUCGUUCUUUAUCAAAAAGAUAUCGUAGUAAACGUGUCGAGUCGGAAGACGGCCCAAAGGGACCUAAAACACGACUCGAGGCCCAUCCUACGAUUUAUUAACUAAAAGCCCGUAAACCGCAGCACGGUUUACGCUUGGCCCACAAUGAAGGAUAAAUGUCAAGUUUCCGCGGAUAAAUACGGAAGUUUUGAAGAUAAUUGUGAAGAUCGGGAAAAAUGGAAUAUCUCCAUUUUUGUGCUAUGACGGCUUAAGGGCAGAAGAGUAAAAGCGUAAACCGACCUUGGAGCUAGUAUAUAAGGAGUCCUAGGCGAGGAGCAUGAGGGGAGAACUUUUUUCAGAGCAAACUUAGCACUUAAAGCAAUUUAGGUAAUUUUCCGUUUUUGUUAUUUCGAGCUGCGACUCAAUUAGGUUUAGCCGUCUUAGGGUUGCUAGAACUAGGAAUCUCGCCGACAGCUUUCGAGCCCAGACUUAUACCUUGUUGUAAACGCUCAUACGCAAAUUCGGAAUAAGAUCUUCUUUGCUCUCUUUUUCGAUUUCUUAUACUUUAUCGUUGUUAUUCUCGUGUACUGAUUGCUUGACGUGUGGUAAUUAGCAGAUAUCCGGGUCCUCUGGGAAAUUAGGAUUUUCCUAGUUUCCUUAUUUAAACGGAAAUCGACAGUGUGAAUUUCGGUUCCCACAGCUGAAGCACACGUAUUGAACGAAAAUAGGAUAGUAUCCCCGGUCGAGGUUACGACUCUCCAAUCAAUCCCAUGGAGAUGGUGCUUCAUAGAUGGUUCCCGGAAGGAGUAUGAUAUUUUCUCCGGACAAGAUUGGCUUAGUACUCUAGAAGGAUUUAAUGGGCUUUUGGACUCAUCAUGGAUCUAACCAUUCCCAUAUAAGUACGAUUACGCCUUUCAGGUACACCAUUCCGCCAUGGAGAAUCAGGAGGCGUUGUGUAUUGAGCAAUGAUUCCUAAUUUCUAGAGGAGUUUGGCAAAUGCUCCAGGAUGUUGUCCUGUUUCAUCAUAUCUGCCAUAAAAUUCACCACCUCUAUCUGACCUAAUGAUUUUCACCUUUCUAUCUGAUUGUCUCUCAACUCCAGUAAUGAAUACUUGUACAUCAUCCACAGAUUGAGACUUUUCAUGCAAUAGAUAGAGAUAACAAUAACGUGAAUAAUCAUCGAUAAAAGUAAUGAAGUACUUUUCGCCUCCGAAAGUUGGAACGUCAAAAGGUCCACAAAUAUCUGUAUAUAUGAUUUCAAGAAGUUGUGUACUUCUUGUGGCUCCUCUUUUGGUGUGUUUAGUUUGCUUGCCCUUAAUGCAAUCUAUACACUCUUUACUAUUAGUAAAAUCAAGACUCGGAAUGACUCCAUCUUUUACCAACCUUUUGAUUCUUUCACUAGAAAUGUGUCCUAGUCUUUUAUGCCACAAGAAAUAUGAAUCAUUCGCACAUGCUUUAGUUUUACGUUUAUCUUGCAGGGUGAGAUGUGUUUCAAAAUUUUGAUCAGACAAAUUUAAUUUGUAAAGACCAUUAACUAAUAUUCCAGAACCAAUUUUAUUAGAGUUCAGAAAUAAAUUGAAACAACCAUCUCCUUGAGAAGACUUAAAACCAGCCAAAUCAAGAUUGCUUACUGAAACUAAAUUACGGGAAAUAGAUGGAACAUAAAGAGUUUGAAAUAAAUCCAAACAAAAACCACUAUCUAAAAUGAGACGAUAAAUGCCAAUAGCUUCAACUGGCGCUCUGUCUCGAUUCCCCAUAAGUAUAUAGUUUUCAUUUGGAUUUAUGGUCUGGGUUGUAAGGAAUCCCUGCAAGGAAUUAGUUACAUGUACAUUAGCACCGCUAUCAAUCCACCAAGUAUCAGAAGAAACAUGAGCAAAGUUAGAUUCGAAAAAGCUUACUGAACCCAUAGGAUUACCUUUCUUUUCAAACAAUUCUUUUCUUUUAGGGCAAUCUUUCUGAAAAUGUCCAGAUUUUUUGCAAAAGUUGCAUCGGUCAUCUUUUCUUGCCUUCUUCUCAUUGACUUGAUUAGAAUCAUUCAUCCUGGGUGGUGCUCUUUUAUGACUUGCUUGAUAUCUUUUCCCAGCUUUAGGUCCAGCUCCUUGGACAUAGUGGGCAACCUUAAUACCUUCACGACCAAGCCUUGAUUCCUUUUGGACCAGUUUGUUAGCCAAUUCAAUCGACGUCCACUUUUCAACAAUGGCGUUGUAAUUGAUUUGGAAUGGUCCAUACUGAGGAGGUAAAGAGUUUAGGAUAAACUGGACAAGAAAUGAAUCAUCCACACUCAUUCCUGAACCCUUUAGCUUAGCCGCAAGAUUGGUCAUUUCAAUGCAAUGUUCAUGCAUAGACUUUGUGCCAUCAUGUUUCAUGGUUGUAAGAUCUGCCAUAGGUUUCCCAGCAAGGGAUUUGUCUGCAGUCUUAAACCGUUCUUCUAUAGCUGCUAGAUAAGCCUUAGCUUUCUCUGCAACUGGAAGGAAAGUUUUGAUGUUACUAGCUAUUGUCAUCCUUAAGAACAUGAUGCUCAAUCUGUUGGCUUUCUCCCACGCUUUAUGGAAACUCUUUUCUUCCUCAGUACUAUCAUUUGUGAGUUGGCUAGGCUCUUCUUCACGAAGUGCCAAGUCCAAAUCUAGUACACCUAAUGUGAACUCAACUUAAUUUCUCUUUCCAUUCGGAGAAGUUGGUUCCAGUGAGGAUGGGGACAUAAGAGACCAUAGAUGACAAAUUAGCGGGAGAAGAUGCUGCAUUUUAGAGAUAGAACAAGUAUUAAUUAAGUUUCAAAAUUUAAUCAACACGAAAAGUUGAAUGUAUAUGACAAGAAAUUAUAAUGUUCCUGUGGGAAUCACAUAAUCUCAUAUAAGGUCACACAUUCAUGGAACUUUAUUGAAUGAUGUACCGAAUUACUCAAAUUAGGUUAUAUGUAGAUAUCCUUAGCUUUCACGAUAACAAUCAUUCCAUUAUUGAAUGAUGUAUUUAAUUACUCAAACCAAAUCAUAUGUGGAUAUCUUUAGUUUACACAAUACAUACGCUCUUAAGUAACUGAUCAAUUUUCAUGAUUAUAGUCUACCUGUGGAUUACUAAAUAAUUCAUAAGAAGAUCAAAAACUUUGCUUAAAUAAUAAUUUUUAGUUGCAACAAUUAUAGGGUAAAGUCACUAUGGUGAUAUCUAAACCCUAAUAAGCACUUUAUGUGAAAUAAUGUUUUGUACUAAUUGUGUUUUAUAUGUAUAUAAAUUAUUUCUAUACAGAUUACGAAUAGAAAAAUUUAUAAAGUGCAAAUUCGGUUUUGUACGAAUUAUGUACAAAACGAUUAUGCAGUAUAUACAAAACACGUUGUACUAAUUAUGCACAGAUCGAUUAUUAUUAUCAAUUUUGCACAAAAACUUCACGAAUCAUUAUUUAGGUCUUUGAAAACCCUAAUUUACAUAAUCCCGAAAUUUGCACGAAAAAGGAUUUGCGGAAAAACCCUAAUUCGCAGAACACCGUUUUUGCACGGAUUCUGUUAAAUUAUAAUUCGGGUAUGCACAAACUAUGCACGAUUCUUUUAAACAGAAAGUUAAUUAUUUCAGAUGCACAGAAUACGCACGAUUUUAUCAAAACAGACCUAAUAUAAUUUUCAGAUCAGCACUAACUUUGCACACAUACGAAAAUUAAACCCUUAAGCAGAUCUAGAAAUCAUAAUACUUAGAUCUAUCAGUUUCAGUUAUCAAGUUCAUAGAUCUAUUAUUUUUAAUGGAUUAAAAAGAUGUUCAUAACCUUGCUCUGAUACCACAUGUAAGUUAAAAUUACAUGAACCCUAAAAUUUUUAAACAUCUAGAUUAAUCACAUAAUAGAAUCAUAUGAAUGUUUAUAGAGUUACUUGGAUUCAUUGUGCCUGAGAGAUCUUCCUGAAUGGAAGAUGAACAGCUCAAUCUUUUCUAGAAACUUUUAGGUUUCUCUCGCCUCGUCUAUAACGUUAGUUGUUGCUUUUAAAAUAUCUUUAUGAUGGUCUAAAGAUAUGUAUGUAUAGGUGGAGAGAUGACCUAAUUCCUCUUUAAGGUUUCCUUUAGAUUAAUCUCAACCGUCCAUCAAAGUAGAGAUAGAUUAUGAAUUACUCCAUUAUUUUCAAUUUCAUUGGUCACCAAAUAUAUUAAAUAAUAUCAAUAUUCUAAUAGAAAACGGAUAACUAUAAGACCAUAUAAUAGGGAAAUGAAAUAUUCCUUACACUUACAUCUCCCUAUAUUUUUCACGAUCAGUUAGAGCAACAUUAUCGGGGCUUCUAAGCCUCGUUGCUUAGCCCAAUUCGGCCCAAAUUUAAAUCAAAAUUGGAGAAUAAUAAAAGAGUCGUUUUUCAGGUAAGAAGUUUUUGGCCGAAGUGCUUGUGUCACGUGGCAAGUGGUAAUAGGAAGUAGGAAGCGGUAGAGAGAAGUGGUCGUUCGGUCUCCAUCCAUUCUCUUCGUCUCCCUCUCUCUCUCUCUCUCUCUCUCUCUCUCUCUCUCUCUCUCUCUCUCUCUCUCUCUCUCUCUCUCUCUCUCUCUCUCUCUCUCUCUCUCUCUCUCUCUCUCUCUCCGGAGAAGGCGAUUUCUCGAGCAGUGAAGCAGCGUCGCUUACCACACCGAUCUACCGUUCAAUCCAAAGCUCUACCGCUGCAUCGAAUCUCCACCAGGUUCGUCCUUCUUCUCUGAACUUAUUUAUUGCGAUAAUCGGUGAGAUUUGUCGAUCUAAUAUUUUUUUUGGUUUGAUUCCUUUUUGCAUGCGUGGUGUUUGAUCUCGGUGUGCAUCGUCUCACUAUUCUCUCUCUCUCUCGACGGUAGAUUUCGGCCGCCGUCGUCUAUUCUCACCCAAUCCACAAGGAUCUCGCCGUCGUGCUCUGAAUUGAAACGAUACAAGGUUUGUCUUCUAUCUCUGUUAAUAUUCUAUCUCUAUUAUAGCCAAAGAUUUAGAGGAAUCAUAUAAACUAAUUGAUUGGUUUGUCACUGAAUGUUUGGUUGUAUAGUUCGUGUGUAUAGUUUCUGAAUGUUUGGUUGUAUAGUUUCUGAUGGUUUUGUUGGCGAGGAAUUUGAUUGUGAACUGAUCUGUGUUUGAUUGUAUAGUCGAUUGAUUUGUGUAUUUUAGAUUAAAUUUUGGAUUUUAUACUCGAUGGAUUUGUGUUUGUUUGACAAUUUGAAUGUAUACUUGAUUGAUUAGUGAAUUCGACAAUGAAAACAAAGAAGAAAUUUAACUAAGUAGGUGUGGACAUUUAAGGAAGACGUUGUAGUGAGUGUUGUAGUUAGUUUGGUUUUGUAGUUAUUAGUUUCGAACUAAUAAGCCGUCUAUAACGAGUAUAAGUUUAUUGUUUGGCUCUUUGUAAGUGGAGUGUAUUUUGUUUCUAACCAAAUGAAAAUCAUAUUUAGUUACUUGAUUGCUUUGAUGGUUGUUAUGCUUGUAAUAACUAUUGAUUAGACCCUAGUAGUUGAUGGUUAGGUCUUUAUUUAAAGCUCUUUGAUGGUUGUUAUCCUUGUCUUUAUGAUAUCUUUCUCUCUUAUUUCUUUAUAUAAUCCGCAACAAGCUUUAAUUCUUGUUGUGGUAAUCUCUUUCUCUCUUGUUUAUCUCUUGUUUCUCUCUUGUUUCUCUCCGGUUUCUCUUUCUUUCUUUUAUAAUCCUCUCAUUCUGCUCGCUAUGGAUUCAACGAAUCCAUUGAAUCCAUAUAGUGACUCCCGUAGCUAUAGCUAUCUUCUCCACAGUCAAAACUUCCAGUAUGGAAGUUAUCCUUCGAGUCAAAACUUUGGAGGAGGAUCCAAGAUACCUCCUUUUAGUUCACAACAACCCGACGCUCCAGCUUCACGUGAAGACCCACCAGUUGCCUCUAGGGAGAGAAGGCAACGGACUCCAGCUGAUGACGAGGUCGUAAUAAGUGUGUGGCUCAACACAUCUAAGGAUGCUGUUGUUGGAAAUGAACAAAAAUCUGGGACGUUCUGGAAACGUGUUGCUGAGUAUUAUGCAUCAACCCCACAUGCUAAAGAGAGUGGUGAACCUAGAGAGUGGCUCCAUCUUAAGCAGAGGUGUCAAAAGAUUAAUGACUACACCAACAAAUUAUGUGGUGCAUACGCGGCAGCAGAGAGACAUAUCAGUUCUGGUCAGAGCGACACUGAUGUCCUCAAGGUGGCUCAUGAUAUUUACUUCGCUGAUCACAAGAGGAAAUUCAAUCUGGAGCAUGCGUGGUGUGUGUUAAGGUUUGAGCAGAACUGGCUCAGCCUUAACACUCCUAAACCUACUGGGAGUUCAAAGCGAAACGCUGGAGAGUUUUGUUCGCAAACAUCAAGCACUACUGUUGGUGAUCAAGAGGUGCGUCCAGAGGGUAGCAAGGCAGCUAAAGCUAGAAAGAAUAAUACUCAAGGAAUAAAAUCUAUUGCUGAUUAAACGACCGUCAUGGAGUUGAAGAAGGAGGAUCUCAUGAUGAAGGAGAGAUUGUCAAAGCUUGUCAUUCUAGACACACUCCUAGCCAAGACAGGACCACUAAGCGAGGCUGAGGAAGUUGUGAAGAACAAGCUGCUCGCUCAGUAUUUCUGAAAAUGUUAUCGCAUUUAUUAUGUAUCUGUUUCCUGAAAAUAUCUUUUAAAUUCUGUGUUUUCUGCUUCCAUGUCUAAUGUAUUUCUGCUUCGUAGUAAUGAAAUAAAUGUUUCCUUAAAUUAUUGUUUUUCUGUUUACUUUCGUGAUGUCUAAUGUACUUUCGUAGUAAUGAAAUAACUGUUUUUGCAGGUUUAUUUAAAUGGGGAGAUAUAGUUACAGCCAACCUUCAGAUUCUUCAGAGUAUGGUGGGGAGAUAUCUGAGUACAGCGAGACGGAAGACCUCAUUCGUCGUGACCAAGAAGAGUUGAGCAUGAAAUAUGGUGACACGGCUCAGUACCCUCCGCAGUACCCUCCACAACCGGAGGUCGAGUUUGGAUUCCCCCAGGUUUGCUACUGUGGUGGUGCACCAAAGAUAGCUACAUCAUAUACAAGGCUUGAUCCAGGGAGGAGAUACUACACUUGCGAGCAUGUGGAUAAUGGAGAAUGCCAUGUGUGGAAAUGGUGGGACAUCGCAGUCAUGGAGGAGAUGAGGGCGAGGGAUAAACACAUACUUCAGUUGGAGGAAAAGGUAGACAAUCUGAACCUUAUGAGUGACUAUGAGACAGAUGAGAAGGUGCUUAGGCUAGAGCAGUUAGUUUGUGACUUGGCAAAGAAGGAAUCUAGUUUUAUAAAUGGCUUUGAGGUAUUCAUUGGUGUAAUGCUCAUCGUUUUAGUUCUACUAGGGUUGGUGAUCGUAUUGAAGUGAUUCUCCGUGCUUGGCAAAGAAGAAAUCUAGUUCUACUUGGGUUGUUGUUUUAGUUUCAAGCGUAGUGAACUUUAAAGACAAAGACUAAUGUAAUGAAGGAUGUAUCUUUAACGUGAACUUUAAAGACAGAGUUUUGUUGGUCCGUGAAACUUGAAAACAAAACAAACAUCCCUCCUCACCAAAAAUUGUUGGUCCGUGAAACUUGAAAACAAAACAAACUUGAAAACAAACAAACAUUAGAUGUGUAAGAGUCACAUGAUUUGUUUUUUAUUUCCACAACAAAACAAUAUACAAUCACAAGCUGUAUAAUUUCAAUCACACUAGUAUCACAAGAUACACUUAUUUGAUCCUAUAAAUAUGAUAGAUCGUUGGAAAUUUUAAGACAUCCCUCCUCUUAUACCAAAUCUUCUUCUCUAUCAUCAACUUUUCAUUUAAAAAAAAAAAUCUAAUGGCAUCUUCUUCUCAUUAUCACUACCACAAAGAUGAUGAUGAUGAAAUUGAUUCCAUGUUAGAUGAUUAUGCUGAAAAAUUUGAUCUUAUUCCAGAACCAAAAGAGCGAAAGCAACGUAUUUUUAUCGAGAGGCACCAGAAGAAGGCCACCAGAUGCUCUGGGAUGAUUACUUUAGCGAGACUCUAACUUACACGCUCCAAUUAUUACGGAGACGGUUUCGAAUGAACUAAUCAUUGUUCCUGCAUAUUGUGCAUCGUCUCUCCAUAGAAAUACUGUAUUUUAAACCAAGAGAAGAUUGUACCGGACGGUCUAGUCUAACACCCCUACAAAAAUGUACUGCAUCAAUUCGACAGUUGGCAUAUGGCGGUGCAGCUGAUUCACUUGAUGAGUAUGUUCGACUUGCUGAAACGACAGCUCGGAAAUGUUUGCACAAUUUUACGGCCGGUAUAAUCAGCUUGUUUGGUGAUGAAUACCUACGACAUCCCACACAAGAGGAUCUGCAAAGACUACUCUAUAUCGAAGAACAACGUUGGUUCCCGGGGAUGAUUGGAAGCAUCGACUGUAUGCAUAGGGAGUGGAAGAAUUGCCCCACGGCUUGGAAAGGAAUGUAUUCACGAGGAACCGGAAAACCAACAAUUGUCUUGGAGGCGGUAGCUUCAAGUGACCUUUGGAUAUGGCAUGCAUUUUUUGGAGCUCCAGGUACUAUGAACGAUCUUAAUAUUCUUGAUCGAUCACCCGUUUUUGAUGACAUUAUUAACGGAAUAGCGCCACAAGUAAACUUCUAUGUUAAUGGUAAUCCAUACCAUUUGGCAUAUUAUCUCACUGAUGGUAUUUAUCCGAAAUGGGCGACUUUUAUUCAAUCUAUCCGACUUCCACAAAGUGAGAAACAUUCGUUAUUUGCUAAAACCCAAGAAGCUGUUCGAAAAGAUGUUGAGCGUGCCUUCGGAAUUCUGCAAGCUAGAUUUGCCGUUGUGAAAAAUCCAUCUAAGUUAUGGAAUAAAGACAAAAUAGCAAAUAUUAUGAGAGCAUGCAUCAUUCUCCAUAAUAUGAUUGUCGAGGAUGAACGAUCAACAAACACUCUAGAUAAUGUUAGAGAAUUUCAAGAAAGCGAAGACGAGGAUACAUUUACCGUUACUAGGCCUUCAAAUCUCGGCAGUGCAAUGGAUCGUCGAACGAGCGUUCGUAAUAGACAAGCCCAUGAACAAUUAAAAUACGAUUUGAUUGAAAAUAUAUGGGCUAAAUUUGGACAUCUUCCAAAUAACAUAUGAUUUUUAAGUUUCUAUGAAUUGAAUAAAAUGUGUGUUUGCUAUUAUUUCUGAAGUUUUUUUAUGUAUGGAAUGUAAUAAAAUGUUUGUAAUUUUAAAUCAAAUUAAUAAAAAUCUUUCUUUUUUUUAGUGGUGAUUAUAAAUGGGUAUAUGUUCAGGAUUAUAUGUCUUAAUUACUAAUUAUUAAUAAAAAAUAAUAUUUUAUACCUAAGAACCUUCAAAAAGUUCUAUUGAUAAUGUUGUUUUUCACUUAAGUAUCUUAGAAAAGUGCUUAGACUAGAAAUACUAAUUAAAAACUCUAAGAAAUUUUCUAAGAAGUGUGUUGAUAAUGUUGCUCUUAGGAGCCUUAAGAUGAGGAUUUUUAGUGCUUUUGAGCUUUAAGAAGUUAUGCUCAGAUUUCUCAUACUUUGGAUGGACCAAAAUUAACGUUAAUUAAUGAAGCUAUUAAAAAUUGCAUGUCCAGAAGAAAGAUCUAUACGCCUCAUUGUCUCUGGUUUCCAUCUGCAUGCGUGGCUUCCCGUUAGUCUAUUUCGUAGUGUGAAAAUUUUCACGACUAGAUGAAUAAACCAAUGGGUUCAAACUUUAACUUGGGCUCCCUUAUAUUGGAAAAACGAAUAUUGCGUUGAUUGAAUUGAAUGAAUAAAGUAAAUGUAAACCAAAAAGUACAAAAAAUCUAUGAAAACUAUCACACUUACGCAAAAUUUUAUAACAUUAAAGAGUUUAUUUAGAUAGAAGUCCGUUAAAUUACAUAUAGAAAAAAUAAACUAGAUUGACAGUUAAUUAAGAGAUAAAAAAGUGAUUCUGAUUAACAAAGAGAUGCAUUUCUACAUCAAUGGGAAGCCCUGUUUUAUCUAAUUAAGAAGAGUCACCACACUAUCUAGUACCUAAAUGGCCUAGCUAGGUAUAUAAAUACCAUAUCAUCUCUUUUCCCCUCCUAAUUUACAUUUUAUACUAAUAGGAAACAAAUUACGCAGCCGGAGCAUAAUCGUAGCCACCGUCAUCGUCAUCACCACCAUUUUCAAUAUACGCCGCUCGAGACGUAUCCACCACAUCUUCAGCAGACACUGCAUAAUCACCGUCAAAACUCUUAAUGACCAAGUGUGCGACUAAAUACAUGAUUACUUAUUGGUUAUGAAAGUAGAGAGAUGAAAGGCUUGAAGAGGCCGAGAGAGAGAGAGAGAGAGAGAGAGAGAGAGAGAGAGAGAGAGAGAGAGGGAAUAAGUGAAAUAAGUUUGUAAUAUGGAUGUGAAUUUGGUGGUAGAAUAAGAGAGACUAAUAACGUUUUUAUAGAUGGAAAUAAAAGGUAACACAAGUGGUGAACGCACACUAAGGUCAGGACUGCCUCCGUAGGGUUUGUGAUUUUCUCAUGGAGAUGUGUGUUUCGCCCAAGAGAUUUUACCUUUUUUCUUACACGUAGGAUUUUAUUAUGACACAUAAGACGUUAAGUCAUGUCACUGGUUCAUCUUUAUUCCUUUCUAGUAUACAUGUAAAGGCAAGCAUUGUUCCUUUUCACUAAUAUUAUUCCCCUAGAACAAAAACCGAGUGGAGCCUUAAAUAUAGUAUAAAUAAUAUAUAUAAUCUAAUCUAAGGUGGUUAGUUAGCGGCAACAUCGGUCACCUCUAUUUGAAAUUGGGGGGAAAGAUUUAUGUUAUUGGUUCAAGUAAAGAUCUCUUUUUCUUACAAGAGUAUUAAUAACUAAUCGUACAUCUAUCUUGUGACACAGCCUGUUCAUAUAUUAUAGUUUUAACAUGUGUCACCCAUACGCAAUAAUGAUUCCACGUUUUGAUUACAAUUAUUGUUAUGUACUUAAUAUACAAAAAAUGUAAUAGUAGUUUGUUCCGAACAUGACCUUACAAACAGGUCGACCAAACAGAAAUCUGCCCGGUGGCCGAUGGGAUAGAAGGGUCGACCAGCUGGCUCAUGCUUAAUGGUCGAUGAAAAUGAUGAAUAAUAGAGAUAUAUUAUGGAUUUUAUCCACUUUUAACCAUAAUAUAUAUAUAUAUAUAUAUAUUUUAGAAACUAUUUAUUAGAUAUUGGAGUUUUUUUUAGCACAUUUACAUAUUCAUGAGUGAUUUGAAAAAAAAAAUGAAGAUUUGUGUGCAUUUUGAAGAUAAAAUGAGAGAAUCUCGUAGCUGACCAUCGAAUCAGUCCGAAAAGUCAACAUUUAGAGUCAAACAUCGAUCGAUGCACACACUGUACCAUCAAUUGACAGCGAAGCGCGCAAAGCCCAACCGGCUUAAAACCAAAGUCAAGACAUAUUUACAGAGAUAUGCUUGGCCGUUUUUAACCAAAUUUUUUUGUGCUCUCCCAUUGUUCUAGGCAACACACACUUUCCAGACGCUCUAAUUUUACACAACAAACUAAUCUUAAGGUUUUUAGUAGAAUUGAAGAGAAAAUCAUAUACUCUUUCAUAGAUUUGUAUUGGAACUCCAGUAUUUCUAAACUUAAUCUAUUUAUGCAUUCUUUUAUGUUUAUUGUUAGAAAUUGUUUUGCUAUGUCUGAGUAGUUCACCUUGUUAGGUUUAGGGUUCAAAUAGGAUUACGAAGGAUUAGCCUCAAAUAUAGAAUUUUUGAGUUGUUUGUGACAUCCAUCAGUUGAAUUAAUUUUAUUGCAUGUGUUCUAGAGUAGCUAACUAGAAUCCUAAUAUUAAGAAAAUUAGGUGCACGCGGAAGCCUGAUCUUUUACCUGAACUGAUUCAUGUUGUGCUAGAAUUGCUAGAAACAAAUGUAAGUUGAUCUAGGAAACCUAGUAAACAUAAUUCAAACCUGCUUGGUAAAGCUUGCUGGAAGUAACAUCAAUCGACAAUCUUAUAUGUGUAUUGAUCGACGUUCUGAAAGGUGUAUCGAUCGAUUAUCCAUCGACGGUAACGAUCGACACUUUCUCCACAUCAACAAACGAGAGUUGAGAUCUGAGAUUCAGCCAAUAGAUAAUCUAGACAAACGGAAGUUGAUAGAUUAUUACUUAGUUUGCGUUCUAAAAUAUCCAAUAUACAAUCCUAGAUUCUAUACUAUUAUAGUUAUGAUUACCUGAAUAUAAACCUUAAGUCUAACGCUUUCUCAUAUUGCUUACAAACCUCUAGACCAACCAAUCGAACAACUGUCUUAUUCACCCUGCAAUUCACUAUUUACAUUAUUUACCUAGCUUAAUCAUAAACUGUUUAGAUCUAUUGUGUACCCUAGCUACCUGUAGAUUUGAUCCCUAAAUAAUACAAUUGAACCUCUUAUUUGAGAGCGUAAAAUCACUCUUUAGGGUAAUUUGAGUGAUAUCAAAUUUGGCGCCGUUGUCAAGGAGCUUUGAUCGCCAUUACAUCUUGUCUAUUUAGAUUUAGUCUAGAUUUUAUACUGUUCUAAGUGUUCUAAGAAAAAUGAUAAAAAAAAAAAAUUUAUUGACUUCUUUCAGGUGAAUGCCUAACAAUACUAGAAGCAACAAGGAAAAAUCACUACUUUUCUCAGAUCCAACACUUUUGGAACACACGAUCCGCAAAGAAAAGAGAAGCGCAUCGAUCGACAACAACAUCAGUUCGUCGACCGAUACUUCUCAGCAAACAUCGACCGAUACUCCUAAUCCGUCGACCGAUAGUUUUGAAGUACUGACUAUCGACACUUCGAUCGACAUCCAUCCGCGAGACAUGGUUGCAAAUCUAAUCCUAUAGUGAGAUGAGAAUGGAGACUUACAUGACCAGGAAUGUCAUAUGCGUAAUGCAGCAGGUCAUAGGUUAGAUGAUCAGAGGGAUGUAAUUUUUGAUCAAUAUGCUGAAGCCCCUGCAGUUGCUCAAGCUGUAGACGAGGCUGCUCGACCCAGAACGUUGGUUGACUAUAAUCGUCCAUAUCAGUACUACGCCAACAUAUCUGCUAUUCAUCCUCCUGCUAUUCAGAGAAACGAUUUCGAGCUGAAACCCAAGUACUUUACACUAAUGGCGCAGACACCCUACUAUGGUUUGUCACGAGAGCAUCCUAUGCCAUCUGGAGCGGUUCAAAAAUCUGAUUUCUGCCAUUAAAGCUAAUGGAGUCCGUGAACCUAUCUUUUCUGCAAGCUCUUCAAGUACUCAUUGGCUGGAGAAGCUUCGCGCUGGCUUAAGCAGUUACAACCAGAAUCUCUCACAUCCUGGGCUGACAUCAAAAUGUGUUCAUGCGCAAUUUCUGUAAUGAGUCACGAGCUGAAGACUUACGAAGCAAGAUUGCUACAUUCAUUCAAGAGUCUGUCAGAAACUCCUGGAUCAGUUUAAAGUUCUGUCAGAGAGACUGUCCACACCAUAGAUUUUAUGAAGUGCAACUGCUCAACAUUUUCUUCAGAGGCAUUGCACUGGCAUAUCAGAUGGUUGUGGACACAUCUAGUGAAGGGAACUUCAACACUAGAAAUCCAAAAAAGAAGAAGCUGAAAGGCUAAUUGAGAACUUGGCGUCCAGAAAUAGCACCAAGAACACUGAUUUUGAGGGGAGAAAAUCAGCCACUCUAGGAAAUGAGGAGUUGGAUGAAGUUAAGGCUAAGUUGGACAGUGUUCACAAGCUUCUCAAGAAGUAUUUUAGCUUUGCAGAGGAUAUGAAAGCUAUAGAAAUCAACAGUGAUGGAGAUUUAGAAGAGGAUGUGAAUUUUAUCAGUGGUACUGGUUUUCUGAAUCAGAAACCUGGGAAUCAGAGUGUGUACAAAAACUCCUAUGAGAAUGGACAGAGGAGUAAUUUCAACCAGAGUUCACAGUUCGAGAAAUCCUACCGCAACAACUUUAACAAUAACAACAACAUAAACUAUGGAAAUUCUUCCUAUCAAAACGUGCCACCACAAACUCGAGAGAGCAAGAUAGAAGCAAUAAUUGAACAAGUUCUUAAGGGUCAUCAAAAGCUAAUGGUGAAUAUCAAUGGGAAUAUAGAUAUUGUCUACACAGAGCUAAAUGCAAAGUUUGAGGCUUUAAACACACAUGUGAAGAAGUUGGAGACACACGUGGUUCAGAUAAGAGAAGCUGUUAAAAAGCAAGACACCUUCAUCAAGAGUAAAGGAGAUGAAGCACUGAAGUACCACAUGAAUGCCAUUAUAGAGGAUGAUUUAUGGCAAGUGGUUAAGGAGGAGAAGCUUCAGGAGGGAGACGUUGAAGUUGAAAGCUCCAUGAGCUUCGGUAGUUCACAUUGGUGUCCAUCGACGACGCCGGGUAAGGUACAUCGAUCAAUGGAAUCAGAUGAACACCGGUCGAUAUCUGUUGUUCAUCAUCGAUCGACAAAGUCAGUUCCAUCAUGCGAAACGGUUAAAAUCAUGACCCAUGAAAAAUUCACAGCUAAGCACCUUUAUCCUCUCAAACCCUUUAUUGCAAACAUUGAUUGGCAGAAUGAACAAGUCACCGAUUGACAGAGCGACUAAACCGUGAUCGACAGUCAACCUUAGUCAUUGAUCGACAUACACCUCUCUGCUACUGAGUGCAACUCCCAUAAAUUGAUGUAGCAUGAUUGAAUGUACUCAGAAAUCCAUCUUAGCCUUUAAAGAUAUCAAUGGAAAACAUCAGUGAGCAAUCUGAAGAUGCACCAAAGUCUAUACAAAUUGAUAAGGCUACUGUGGGAAUGACCUUGAGGAAGAAGAAAGAAAAGGUUCCUGAGCAUCUGAAGCUAGUGAUAUAGAGAUGGAUAGUUUCACAAAGGGGAUUCUAAGGUUCCCAUUGGAUAAGCCAUUUGAGGAGGCUUACUUUACCUACAGGCUGUGGAUAUUCUUCAAAGAAACUAAAGAAACUGAAGAGGACAUUAGAAGAAUGUUCUACCAAGUCAGAGAGAAAAUAAAACAAAGGAUUACGCUAAAGAAGAAGAGUGAUCUUGGAAAAUUUGUGGUACCAUGCUUGAUAGGAGGCAUUGACUACCCUAGUGCGCUCUGCAAGAGAGGAUCGUCAGUCAGCAUUCUACCUAAGGUGAUGGCAUACCAUCUAGGUUUGAAGAUAGGCCUUCAGGAGAAUUCAUCAGAAACCUUGAGGUUCAGAUUGGUAUGCCUUAGUUCCAUUAGAAUUUCAUGUCCUUGACAUCAAGCUCAACUAAAACUUUUCUCUAUUACUUGGGAGAGCCUUCAUAGUUAUUGUAGGAGCAGUAUGCGACAUGCAGACCAACAAGUUGUGCUUUACACUCAAAGACUUUACUGUCUAUUAUGAUCCAGUGAGAGUUGUCAAGCAACAGACAUGUUACAUGAAGUUUGGAGAUAAUCCAUGGUUCAUUGCAGUAUGCCACUGCGACCAUGAAGUUGAACAGGAAUCUGAGGUUGAAACAUCGUUCGUCACUAAACUCCGUGCUUGCGCGGAGACAAUGCCUCUAGUAGAUACAAAACAUCAUACCUUAAUUUGAUUUGGAAUACAAACAUGAGUAUUUAUAUUCAGUUUAUCAUAAAAAUUAUGUUUAAAGCUUUUUUUUCUACUAAAAUUUUAAGUUUAUUAUGAUUGUAGAACAAAAGAAAAGUUGCUGUAGUGGGAAUUAGAUUAAGGUCAAUUGUUAGAAGAUGUAUUUUAGUUAAUUGUAAUAUUUUUUAAAAGAUAGAAAUAUAUCCAAAUUUCUAUAAUUUUUAUUUUUAGCCACAAUUAUUUAGGUUUAUUUUCAGAUUUAAUACAAUUUUAAUGAAAAUCAAAAGUAAAUACAAUUAUUUUUACAAACAGUCAAAAUCUUUUUUUGUUGUUUCCGCACUGCCCUCUUUUUAAUUAUUUUUACAAAUAGUCAAAAUGAAUAGAAUUAAUAAGUUUGUUUGCCAGUCUUAGUUUGUGUCCCUCAAUUUGACUUUCAUAAUCAAUUGUUUUUAGGUUUUGAAAAAUAGAUGAAUACAUGAUGUUUAUCUUGUGUUUAUAUUGGACUAUAGAAAGAUAUAAACAACAGAAUUUUAUUUGUUGUAAGUUUACCAACAAAUAUAACCCUCAAAUAACAUUUUUCACACUGAAUUAUAUAACAUUCAAAAUAAUAUAUCUCAAAAUAACUUUUUUCUAUUGUAAAUUAUAAAACAAGAACCGUGCAAAGCACGGGAGAUAUACUAGUUAUAUCAAUAAAAUGUCAAUAAGAGCAAAUGCUAAGCACAGAAGUUUGAUGAGAGGACACGAGUUCGUUGGCCUCUUUAUAGGUAAGAGCAAAAAAGUUGAUGGAAGUUUAGACUCGCUCCCGUCUUACACUGACUUCAGUCAGGAGUGUGACAUGUUUAUACAAAUUGUUGAAUAGCACAAUUUAAAUAAUGAAUCACAAUUGAACUUUUUUUACACAAAGGAUUUUGAAAUGCCACAUACGCUGCACGUAUUAAUUUACAUUUCUUUAUCUAGAAAUGAUAUGGAGGAGUACUAUUUCCAAGCAAUAAAGCAAGAAAAGGUUUAGCCUUUAUAUCUGAUGGGAAUAUUAUUUGUAUGCGUGACAUAGUGGUGUAAAAGUAUUUUGUCUGUAUUUUGUUAAAUAAUACAGAGGUCUGAUUCUUAUAUAGAUAACUGAACAUAAUAAAAUAGAGAGAAAAAGUUAUUCGAACAUACUAUAAUAGAGUAUAAUUUUUCUUCGUUGCAUUUACUUUAGAUUUUCAGUCUCUUUUAGAGUUUAACUCCGAGUUUCACUUAAAUUUGAUUCUUUUUUUAUUUACUUCAAAUAAAUUCAAAUUUGUUUUUGACUUAAAUCGAUAGCUUUAGUGAAGUUCUUCAUUUUUAUUUUAGACUGUGUUCUUUAAUUUAUUUAAUUACACUUUUCAUUAUAUUUUUUAGUGAAUUGGGAUUGAUAUGCCAGCACAUAAUAAUCCCAUUUUUUAUUAAUAUAGUUAUGUAUGCGAAUUACAUUUAUAAUCAAUGAACACAGACAAAUAUAUUUUGUACCAUUAUGUCGCCACUACAAAUAAUAUUCCAGUGAAGGCAAAAAAACAUUUUCUUGCCUAUCCUGCUUUGAAAAGAAAAAGGAAAUGCAAACCGAUGUGUCGCAGACGUGUCACUAUAAAUUCCCAAGUGUCAAAAAGUUAACAGCGAUUCAUAAUCUGUAUUGUGCGAUUCCACGUUUCUUACGAGCAUAUCACACUCCUUGGCGAGGUCAGUAGAAGGCGGAAACGAGUCCAAAAUCUCAUCAAUUUUGUUCCCACACCUAUAAAAAACCAACGAUCUCUCGUUCCCUUAUCAAACUCAAAUCAAUCUUCUUUGUUUUUCAUUUGCCCUUCUACGCUUGAUUGAGCGGUUUAUUUGAAGAAAAAAAAUGAUUAAUGUCUGCGAUUUUUUUCCCAACAAUAAUAUUUCUGAAACGUGCAUUAUUGGAGGCGUCAUGGCUAGUAACGAUCAAGCAUUUGAGUAUGCUCAAGUUCAAGCUACCUAUGUCGAAAAUGGUGACAACGAUGAUGACAUUAUAUAUGAUUAUGCUCCAGCAGCCUGAAUGGUUUUAUGUUUAUGAACAAUGAUUUUGCAUUUUUUUUAUUAAUGAUUUGAUGCCCUAGGGUUUGUUUUAAGUUUCUCGACUUAAUAUAUAGUCGAAUAAAAGGUUUUUUUUUUCAAUCUCACUUUUUCUCCCACUUUAUCUUUGAAUAAAAUAGAUAAAACCAGAUCAUGAACUGUUACAAAUAAGACUGUCAGUGAUUUUCGAAAUGUUAUUGUAAUGCUCCUAUCCUCGUUAGUUGGGUAUUCGAAAAACCCCGAUAAUUUCUAAGGAUUAUCUGCCACACCGAACAUCCUCUGCUUAACAUACUAACGAUAGUAUAUAUGAACUUUUAACAAAUCUAUCACUAAAUGUCGUACAAUUCAGUUCAGACAAAAAUGCCGUAUAGUUAACCAAAUAAGUAUACAAACAUGAUUUAUGUGAGGCGGUUCAGUGAUGAACAAUGUAAGCCCCCGACCGUCUACAGGCCUCCAACAUCCGCUUACUCGCUCCAUCCCAUAAGAUGAGUAGUGCGUUAAUUUUUCGGAGGCUUACAAAUCAUGUUUGCUGACCUUACAAACAUCACAUGAUUACAUUUCGUGUGUAAGCUCGCACGAUAUCACAAAUUUUUUUUUGAUAUACCACCCAUCAUUCUACUACUGCAGCUCAAGCAUGUUUGACUCUAGAGUUCUAAACGAAUGUGUGCCCGAAAAAAGUAAGCGCAUUUUGGUGUUACUGGAGCUAAAUCAAUUAUGUUAAGCUUUUCCAUAUACCACAAAUCGGAAUGUUACUAUUCACCUCCUCUAACAGAGCGAAACAUCCUAUUUGCGCACUACAACAAGUCUCAAGAUGCCACCCGAGAUGGAUAACCAGCUCUGAUACCAUACCACUUGUAUCACCCCCGACAACCCAUGGCUAAUGAGCCUCCCACGCCCGCUCACUCGGCCCGUAGGCUCCAUCCCGUGCGACGGGUGGUGCGUUACUUUUCUGGAGGCUCAAGAUUGGUGGUUACUGACUUUGCAUUCACCACAUGAAUUUUCACCGUUAUUAGUCUCACUCGCACGAUAUCACGAAUUUCUUGCCAGUAUGUUAUCCACCCUUCUACUACUCCUUAAUUGUAGAGUUCUAAACGAAUGUGUUCCCGGAAAGGUAGGUGCACGUUGGUGACAUAAGUAGCCAAAUUAAUUCUCUUAAACCUUUCCAUAUACCACAAACCAGGAUGUUACAAAUAAAUUCAGUAUAUUUUAAAGUAGCAGUGUACUAGUAAUUUUUCUUUGAUCUUAAAUACAGUUCACUAUGAAACUGUUGACCAUAAAUAGUACUCAUUUUCUUUUAUAUAAGUACAAGACUAAUAACAAGUAUCACUGUUACAAAACAAAUUAGCGAGUAUCAUUUUUGCAUUCUACAUUCUUAUACACAGUAUAUAGAAGUGAUAGAUCACAAUACUAUAGUAAAUUGACUGAGGCUAAAAUACAUAAAAGCCAUCUGUUUGACAUGAAAAGACUAUUCUAUCACUAAACUAGAGGUGCUCAUGGAAUCCAUAUCGGAAUAAAACAACCAACAAAAACUAAACUCUUAUAAAAGCUUGGGUGGUCUUAGCUAAAGUAUAUGUAGUUCGAUUCUCUGCCCUUGAUACGUGAAUGAUCUUGAAGUCUUGAAACCUACCUUGAAUAUCUGCUAGCUAUGCUAGUUCCGUAUAAAAAUUUGGUCAUGCUUCCGAAUCCUUGAUCGUUGAGAUUAUAUUCUUGCAGUCUGUUCCGAAUUGCUGACAUGUUGUAUGUUGAACCAUAUUCUCCAUGGACCAAAUAUGAGCAUCUAAUUUUGAGUAUAGCAGGAUAAUUGUCUAUCUUUGUUUCACAACAGUAGGAAUUGUUUAACAGUAGGAAUUGUUUAUUUCCAGAAACAUCCAUUCAUACCCAAAGAUAUCCACUAUAAUGUGGUUCCGAAGUCCAUGAUCCAUCUACUAAACAAAUACUCUGCAACCAUAAGGCUUGUGUAUUAUGUGUCUGGUGUGGUGGAUGUGCAUCAUCAUUGGUCUUUGAGUUCAUCUGAAAGCAAGCAUGACAUUCACUUUGAGCAUGUCUAAUUGGCUCUAACGGGUCUCGUGUAAUUCCUCUAAACAGUUUAUCAUUCCUGGCUUUCUAGUAAUACCAUAUAAUCUAUUGAUAUGGGUCUCUGUCCAACUCCAGAUGUUCUAUUUCAUUCUUCCUCCAAAAUAAAUAAUCUAGAUUGGAGUACACGCUCGAUAUAGAAAACACGUUCGAACACGAUGGUGUCGAAGAAAGGCCCAAGAUUGUAAAGCGGGUGGACAUUCAAGAAUCGUAUGAUUUACUAAUUCAUUAGCUUCUCCACAUCUUGGAAAAUGGUUAUCACAUCGCAUAUGACGACGAGUUAAGUUUCUUGUUACCGUUAAGUAACCAGAAGCCAUUUGCCAAAUUAGGUGAUGUAUGUUUAGGGAGCCUUGAUUUUCCAACCGAAGGCUCGUCAUUUUGCGAUAUUGUGCUCAUAUACCAUAAUAUCGGAAGUAUGGGAGAGGAUAUUCCAUGACACCUAAUAUCCAGAUUUUACGGUAUACAACCCACUCUUCGUAUGAAUUCUUUAGAAGGCUAACGAGCGACAAAGAAUCUCCUUGUCGUAAACCUCUCUGUGGGACAAUGUUUCCUCUAGGUUGACAGUUUAGAAGAACUUGAUACUUAAUAGAAGAGACGCAUCACAUAAUCCAUUUUAUCCAAGUUUCUGAGAAACCCAUCUUCUCCAUUACUUUCUGUAUAAAUAUCCACUCCAUGGAUCAUACGUUUUACUCAUAUCAGUUUUGAUGGUCAAUCUCUUGUGCCGCCCACCUGGUUUUGUUUUGAGAGUAUGAAAAGUCUCUUGAGCAAUCAUUAUGUUGUUAGUAAUAUUCCUACCUGCAACGAAAGCCUAUUGGGUUUCCGACAUGCGAUCUGGUAGAACUUUCUUCAGCCUUUGGCAUAAGUACUAUCUUAUAACUCACAUUGCACAAACUGAUAGGUUCAUAUUAACUUUAUUGGCAAAACAAUUGUGGAUAUUGAUACAGUUCCCCUAUUCUCUUCUUGCAAGAGUUCUUCGCCGAAAGUAUCAUUGUAUAUGCUCGCCUUUGCGAGCAACAAGAUUUGUAUCAUCUUCUUACGUCUUGACAAGCUUGAUGGCAACAAGACCUUUAUUGACACUGGGGAUCAGACAAAUUGUACAUUUGGGUUAUCAGACCCUUGGAUCCCUACAAUUCCUACUAGGUCAGCUAGACCGGCUGUACCAGUAGCUCAACCACGUUUGACAGUGGCUGAGCUCAUCCAUGCUUCCAUAUAUAAGAGUAUGGAAUGUCCAAAAUGUUAGAACAAUUUGUGGCUUAAGAGGAUAUAUCAUGUACCUAAGCAUGAUGUAGUUUUGACUGGCCAAAUGGAAAUGGUUAUAUAGUUCUCUGCUUGAGAGGAAGUGAUCAUGGACAUGAUCUACGAAGCAAUUCCUCAAUCAGGAACCACUAAACCACUACCUUUUGGUAGUUACAAGAAAAGAAAAGUUCAGACCAUAAUGAUCUAAACUUUCCCAUUUGUUUGGUGAGCUCUCCUCCAUCUUGCUUCAUGGAGUUAAUACGGCUGAUGUUGGAGACGUUUCCAAACGUCUUUGAGAGGGUCUCCAACAAGUGUUUGGGAGUCACGCGCCUCCUCUUCCCUUGCAACGGACUGAUACCUUAGCUAAGAGAAUAGGGCUUCUCUUCUUCUUCCAAAGUUACCCGGGUAACUAGUAUAACUAGUAUACUAGUAUUACUAGGGUAACUUUGGUUUACGCUUUGUAAGUUACUCGGGUAACUAGUAUUACUACGGCCUCUUCAUCAUACUCAACUCCUCAUGUCUUUCUCUUCCUAUAUAUUGAUCUCAUCUCAACACUCCCUUGAUACAUAGCCAACAUCUUUUAAGCAAGCCAUGUUAUCUAUUAAUUUUCGCAAAGCCACGACUGAAGAGUUGCAAGCUAUGGAAGCAAAUAAGAUAUGGACAGUUUAGUCUUUACAUCCUGGUAAAAAUGUGGUAGGUUGUAAAUGGGUUUAUACAAUUAAGUACAACGCAGAUGUCAUUGUGGAGCGUUACAAAGCUUGCUUGGUGUCUAAGGGGUUCACAUAGCAGGAAGGAGUAGAUUUCACUGAUACAUUUUCUCUGGUUGCAAAACUUGCUAGUGUCAAACUUCUCCUUAGUCUUGCAGCUAUACAAGGAUGUAGUAUGUCUCAGAUGGACUUCUCCUUGCUAGUGUCAAACUUGAUAGUGAUUUUGAUUAGGAAAUGUUUAUGAGCAUUCCUUACGGUAUGUACCCGCUUAUGGCUCUCUUUCUCCAAACCCCUUCUUCAUAAUUCGCUCUAUGGGUUGAUGCAAGCCUCAUGUAAAUGGUACCAAUGUCUAUCUGCAGUCUUCCUAUCUGCUGGUUACACUCAAUCUCCAGCGGAUAACACAUUAUUUUCAAGCAACAUGGUUUUGUCUUCACUGCAGUUCUUGUGUAUGUAGACGAUAUAAUGAGUGUUGGAAAUAAUGAUGCAGAGGUUGCUCUCCUCAAAAAGACUUAGCUCUCAUUUCAAGAUUAAGGACUUAGGACCAUUGCGGUUCUUUCUUGGUUUGGAGAUAGCUAGAUCAUUUGAAGGUAUUUCUAUAUCCCAAUGGAAAUAUGCAUUGAGUCUUCUAGUUGAUGCUGGUCUUCUCGUAUGUAAGCUGAGUUCGGGGCCAAUGGAUCGUUUGGUUAAGUUGAGUAAGGACUCUGGUGCUAAGCUUACAGAUCCGAGUAGCUAUCGAGCUCUGAUUGGUCAUCUUCUAUAUUUGACAAUCACUCGUCCUGACAUCACCUUUGUGGUGCACUGUCUCAGUCAAUUCAAGGCUUCUCCUACAGAUUUUCAUCUUGAAGCUGCACAUAAGAUUCUUCGAUACAUCAAGAAUAAACCGGGACAUGGACUCUUCUACUCUGCUUCAUCUCGACAGUGUCUCAAUGCAUUUGCUGAUGCUAAUGGGCAACAUGCCCUGAUAGUAUACACUCUCUUACUGGUUAUUGUGUCUACGUUGGGAACUCCUUGAUUACAUAGAAAUCGAAGAAGCAGGAUGUGGUUAGCCGCAGUAGUACCGAAGCUGAGUAUCUAAGCAUGGCGCAUGCUACUUGGGAGUUACUCUGGCUACAACAACUUCUCACUCUUCACAUCAAGGUUUCAACGAAUGCAAAACUUUUCUGCGAUAAUAAGUCUGUAAUGCAUAUCGCAACCAAUCCCAUCUUUCACGAACAGACAAAGCAAAUGGAGAUAGACUAUCACACCAUUCGUGAUCAGGUUAAGAAAGGCUUCAUUACCUUGAUGCAUGUUUCGAGUGCAAACCAGCAUGGAGAAAUCAUGACGAAGCCUCUACACUCUGGACCGUUUCAUUCCAUUCUCAACCGUUUGUCCAUAUCAAGUCUCUUCCUUCCCCCUGAUGGCUCAGUUUCAGAGACUUGACUGCGCGUAUUGUGUAUAUACCGGUUUAGUAGACUAGAUAACCGACAUGGUUUAAGUUUCCUUUUGUUUAACCUUGUGUAUAUGUAUUGAUUGUAACAAACUUUGGUAAAUUAAUGAAUUCAAAUCAUUUCAUUUAAUAUUAAUUGAUAUUUAUCGUCAUCUUGGUCUAAGUUUUCUACAUAUGCGGCUUGAGUGUAGUCAAGUCCGUGAUCAUUAUCCGUGGUGUCGUCCCUAAGCAAGCUUCACAAUCACAAACAUGGUCGCAAGUGCAGAAAAAAUUAGACAGAAAACAUUUUUCUUUGUAUGGUUAAUCAACAAGAAAAAAAUUGCUAAACAAGCAAAUCGUAAACAAAAGGGCGCUAUUUGCGUUUACUGAAGAGAAUAAGGGUUCGUUUUAAUCUUUCUAUCUUCAAGUAAAGUAAAAGUUAAGAAAAGUGUGAGCACAAUCUUUCUUCAGUUCACCCAAAGGUCAAGCUUACUACAGAGAGUACGGUAAACUUAAAGUGACAAGCGUGCUUGGUGUUUAUAACAAAACUGACUUUUCUCAACACUUUCGAUUUUCUUAGUUACACAGAUUUAAUGAAAUCAUAAUGUGGCACCAUACGCGUCUCAGGUUCGACCACAGCACCGGAUGCAUGUUUUGUUACUGCUGUGAUAAUGCAUGUUUCGGUUAAUAAACCCUUAUAAUACCUCUGAUUUCUAAACACAUGCGUGGCUUACUGCUUGAGAGUCUAAUUUCAAAAUUUGAAUUCUCACAACUUUAUGAAUAAACCAGUAGGUUAAACUUUAAAUUCAACUUUUGAAAAAUUGAAUAUUGUGUGAAUAAAUAAAUUCAAUACUAAACUGCAAACACAAAAUCUGUGAAAACAAAAAAAAAGACAAAUUCAAAUUCUUAUAGUACAAUAUUUAUAUAGUUAAAUAAGCGUUAGAUAAUUUAAUAGACAAAAAAAUGCCACAAUAACUUAAAAUGAACGUUAACUUGACAUCCAAAAUGAAUAGAAAAUGUGACACGGUUGAAGAAGAGAUGAUUUUGUACAAUAUAGAGCCAUGUUUGUUUCUAAGAAGGCUCCUUACAUUUUCAGUACAUACUUGGCCUAUCUAGAGAUCUAAACUCUCUCUUUUAUUCUAAAUUACAUUUGAUGUGUGAGAUGAAUCAUGCAAGCAUAACCAUGGCCAAUGUCAUCGUCAUCUCCACCAUUCUCAAUAAAUGCUCCUAUAGAACUGUCCCCCAUAUCUUCAACACACACUGCAGACGAACGGUCAAAAUUCAUGAUGACCAAGUUUGCGGCAUACAUAACAGAUUUGUUGUUGAUUAUGAAAGAAGAGAGAUGAAAGAAAUCAAGAUGCCUAUAGAGAGAGCAACAAAGUGUUAUGAGCUUUUAAGUUGAUGAGGGUUUGGUGGAGAAAUAAGAGAGGCUAAUGAGUCUUUUUAUAGAUUGAUACAAAGGUAAAGCAAGUGGUAAACUCACUCUGUAGUCAGACUUCCUUGAUAGGGGUGAUUUGCUCAUGGAGUGAUGUGUUUGGCACACCAAAUUUUACCUUUUUUUCUCACAUGUAAUAUUGUUUUAUGACACAUCAGACGGAGAGCUUAGCAUGUAGACAUACUUUGGGCUAUACAUCUUUCACUUGGACAUACUUGCAGCUUGUGCUGCCUUUGGGCCUUUGCUGGCUUCAUUUUGUGACGAAUUUGCCCCUUUGGCGGAAGUUGUACGUUUAGUUACUAUAUCUUUUAUUUUUAAAACACUAGUUAGGCUGUUUCUUUGGAAUUAAUUAUUGGCAGGUUUAUUGUUUUUCGAGUUGUAUCCCUAACCGUUAGAUUGUUUUAUUUUUAGAUUAAUCUGAUGGCUGGUGUUUGUAGAGGCUGAAGUUAUAUGGUCAGGAGAAAUAUUGAUGUGGUUGUAGGUGUUAUGGUAAGGUGACACAGUGUUUUGGUGGUAAUUGUGGUCAGGGUUGUUGUAGAUUGAAGGGUCCGUAUGCAUAUAAUUUGGAUUAGAAGUUUUGUGGUCAGGGUUGUUGUAGAUAGAAGGGUCUGUAUCCAUAUAGUUUGGAUUAGAAUUUUUGGUCAGGGUUAAAAGUUAUGUGUUCAGGAGGAGCAGUGAUGUGGUCAAGAAGAGGAUAUACGACUGAUCAUUACCCAUUCUCAUCACAAAUGCUCUUCAUAAAUUUCAAUGAAACUCCCCAGCCAUGAAAAAGUAUAUGUGCUAGUUUGAAGAACUCAGUCCUUAAAGAAGUGAUGUGUGGCCAAGUGAACAGUUCAAGAGGACCGGAGAUUUUUGACAAAGGCGAUAGCGAUUGAUGAGCAUGAAGAUAAACCACCAAAAAUCCCAUGAAAUUAUGUAGCUAAAAUUAGAUAUGUGGUUCAUGGUAUAAGUAUAAGAGUAAAAUCCUCCUACGAGAUAAUCGAAGCCUACGAAAAAUAUACAGAAGACCAUAAAAUGAAGAAGGAUAGGAAUGGUGAAAGUGGAGAGAGAAAUUCCCUUGGAUAACCCUUUUUAAUUUAUUUUCACAAAAAUAGCCUAUCAAGGAGGAAAAUGACCAAAAAAAUGUUUUAUUAAAAAGUAAAAUAUGCAUUUAUACCCCUUGGAUUAAUUAAUCUUGAUUUAGGAUUUAGAGUUAAGGGAUGGGUUUCAAAUUUCAAAAAAUAAAAAAAUUAAAAAUUAAGAUUAAAAUUUUCAAAACAACAAGGGGCAAUUUUGGUAAUUUUAUUUUUUGAGGGCUAUUUUUGUGAUAAAAACUUAAAAAUGGCUAUUUGAGAGAAUUGCCCAAGUGAAAAUGGGAACAUGAAUGUGAAUCGAGAGAAGAAAUUAGAAUUUUAACUCAUCAGUUUUAUUGGAGGACAUGGUAAAGCUUGUAAGUAUCAACCAUGGAAAAUUAGUUUCAAAAUGCAUAAGAAGAGAGAGAGAAGAAGCUAAUAAUGUAAAAGAAGGUUGUGACAGUGAAAGAAAGAAUGAUUGAAUGUGACCAAACCACACAUUUUUAACUUAUUUAAAUUAGAAGGCUUUUUUAGAGAAUUCACAAGGAGAAAGUACUCUGCAUGCUGGAAGUAUGUCGAGGUGUAAAUAGACAAGUUAAAAGUAUCUCUAGAUGUAAUUUUUUUCCAUCAGACGUUAGUUAAUGGAUCCAUAUUCCUUUAUAAUAUUACUCGUUGGCCAUUUUAAGUAACUAGGUUAGGUUUCAAUCGCAGAAUUUAUAAUUUAAUAUUUAUAACUUGUAAAAAGAAAAAAAUUACCUUAAACCACAAAUUAUUAUUAUUUUAUUUCUUUGAUGAUCCUGGUAUUUGGAGCCUCGAGAGGAUCCGACUAGCUCUAAUGACCGUCCACCGGAGCUUAGCCAGGGAGCCCACCGAGGCAUCCAGGAGGGUUGGUGAUCACCUCAUGUAAAUCCCACCAGUGACCACACGUUAGCAGGCUUCUCUGUAUUAGGCCCGAAGGUCCUUCAAGAUAAUCACCUCCCAGCAGCACUCGAAAUCAUGACUUCCCAGGUUGAGUUUAACCACUGGACCACUAACAUGUGGUUAUUCUAGCAUAUAUAUCUUUAGUUUUAUGAUCAUUUGUAUAUUUUUAUAAAAACAAAUCUUAAAUUAUUGAUAACAAAAUUUUCAGUGUAGGACUAUUAAUAGUUAUAAAAUUUAUAAUCGUCCUUGGAAAUUUUCUGCAUAUAUAUUAUAUAAAUAAUUAUUUAAUAUAUGUAUAUACAUAUAUGUAACUUAUUCUGAAUAUCUAUUAAAUAUUUUUUUUUACUCAUAUAGUUUUAUGACCAUUUGUAUCUUGUUAUAUAAAAAUUACCACAAAUACCACAUUCAUAGUAUCAUUUUUCAUGUUUAUACUAAUCACUUUUACCUUUUCUUUUAAUGAAGGGUAAAAGAUAUUUAUAUCCAAGAGUUAACUACUAUAGACUUAUGGUUUAGAGUUGAGGUGUGAAAUAUGUUAGUUUUAUCCAUUUUUAGUAUAAAUCAAAGAAUUGGAGAAUUUUUUCCAUCUCUUUCUGAUUUUUCUUCGAGUUUAGUUUAUAUAAUUUAUUGAAAGACAUUUUCUGGAUUAUUUUCAUUCAUAAAAUAACCUUUAAAAAGACUUAUCAUUUGUUUCAAAAUGUUAUUUGAAAUAUCCCAAAUGCAAAAUCCCUAAGAAUUUAUUCUUGCUAUACCAAAUCGAAAGGAGAAAUUUUGAAUUUACCACAUUGGUUGUACCUUAUUUGUUAAAAACACAAAAGACCCCUUAUACCUUUGAUAUAAAAUAUAUAAAUAUAGACAAUUAACUAAAUAAAUAAUAAUAAAAUAAAAAAUAUUUUUUUUUUAAUUUUUGAAUUAUAUGUUUUCAAAUUUUAUCUUUCAAAAAAAAUUGAAACUUUAUUCAUAUUUUUUGUUAAUUCUUUUUUCAAAUUUUCUUUUUAAAAUUCAAAAUUAUUUUUGAAAUUAUUUUAAAAUUAUUGAUUUAAAUUUUUAGUAUUUUUUUAAAAAAUCCUAAAACUCCAUCCUCCAAAAUCCACCUCCCCACAAUCGAAACACUAUUCUAUAUUAGUUAACCCUAUGAAUAUAAAUAUUCAUUUAUUCUUUUAAAACUACGGGUAAAUGUGGUUAAUGUAAACAUGAAAAGUGAUACUAAAAAAGUGGUACAUUAGGAGAUUUUUCAAAUCGAAACAACUAUCGUUAUCUUUUGUUGGUUCCUUUGUAUUGGACACACGAAAUUUUGACAAACUCUUUCAUAUGGUCGAAGAUACUUCUAAUUCUAUGCCCAAAUUGAUGAGCCGAUUCAAACAGAAUGUUAACAAACAGUCGGGCAAUAACACAGAGAUGGACUGUAACAAACGAUUUGUUCGAAAUAUUCAAUAAUUUAAUAUUAAAUAAUAGAAUAAAUCUUUACGAACUAGAUCAUGAAGCCAAGAGACUAAGAACAAAAACUGAUAACUAGUUAAUGUUCUUGCUUACACAUCGAUUUAUCUCCCUGUUUAUGUAUUACCUAUGGUUCUUCUUCUUCUGCUAUGAACUGGUGAAAGGUUUUAUAUCUGGUAUGCAUUUCAGUUUUAAUAAUUAACUAGACCAUGACCUGCGGAACAGGGUAAAUUUUAUUUUAAAUUAAUUAAAUACAUUUUAUAAUUAAUUGAAUAAUAUACAUUUUUAUGCGGAUUAAUUAAAAUUAUUAUAAUUAUUAGAAAAAAUUAAUUUCCUAAUAAUUUGGUUCAUAUUAUAAUCAAAUUAAAUUAUAAUCAGCUUAAAUUUGGUUCAUAACAGAUAUAGAUAUAAGUAGAGAUUUGGUACAUCUGAUUCUUUUUAUUAUCGAAAUCUAAAUUGAUACCCAUCUUCUAACAGCUUUUUCAUCGACAAAAACAAAUAAACGUUCAUGUAAUCUUUAAUGUUUUUUUUUUAUGUUGGAACCGCACGGCCACACAGAUUAUUUGUUCUUUCAAUCUUAUAAACUGUUUUAAUAGAUUAUUUGUUCUUUCAAUCUUAUAACUGUUUUAAUAGAUUUUUUAGUGCAGAAAUAUCUUUUUAAGAAAAUAUAAUUUACGAAACCAAAAAGUUUUCAUAUUUUUAUUCAAAAGUAUUUGAAUAUUUUUAUAUAUUGUACUAGGGUCGGUCCGCCCUACGGGCGGGAUAUUAGUUAAUUUGAUAUUCACUAAAUGCUCGAGUUGAAAUUUGUUUUAAGAUUCAAGAAUUUGAUUCUGUUAUGUGUUACUUAUUAGUAUGCGGUGGUAUAGUUGUUUUUCGAUUAUUCUUGCUUUGGUAUUGUAUCAAAUUAACUAAUUGUCCAACUCAUAAUUAUAGAUGUACAAAUGUGGAUUUGUGAUAAAGUUUGAUGACAAUACUGUUUUUUUUUUAUUUCUUAUUCAUAGUGGAGUGUGCAUGUGUCAGAAAGAGGCUUAUAACAACUUUUAUGUUUUUGCGUAUGGAUUUUAAAUAUAUAUAAUUUUGUAUAAUGCAUACUUGCUCUUUGCUUGUAGACUAAAAAAACUGUUUUUCUAUAUUUUUAAAAGAGAAAAUAUUUAGUUUAGAAUAUAACAUGGACAUAUGUAUUGACUAUAUAUAGAAGCUGAGUGUUAUUUUAAAAUGACAUAUGUAUAGAGGUUUUUCAACCAUUACUUCACUGACACAAAACAUUUAUAACUGCAAAUACCUUCAUUUAAAAGCAAAACUAAUAAAAGCGUGUACAACAAAUAUAUUUUGAUAUAUAUUAUAUGCAUCAAGUUAUAAAUGUUGGAAACAUUGCAAAACUGCUUGCAGCAAAGUUUUUAACUUCACGAUCUUCAUCUUGACGUCAGUCAGUGCCGGCCCUGGCCACAAGCAGAAGAAGCAUGAACUUCCAGCCGACACGAUAAUAAGUAUUUUCGCGGUCACAUAUUUAUAAAAAGUGACUUUAGGCUAGUGGUUCUAAGACAAAUUACCAGUGCCGGAGGUAAUGAGUUCAAUUACCUCUGACUGCAUUCAUUUAUUCAACCUUUUGUUAUAUUUUGGUUCCAAAUAUAAAAUGGGACACAUGUCACUCCCAUAACGCACGACUUGAUGAUGUGGCAUCACAGGAGAGAAGCGAACAUAUUUAUAUAUAUAGAUUUAUUAAAUAUGAAACUGUAUAAGAUAUUAGUUAAUUUAAUUAUUAAUUAUUUCAACUCUUUUUGAUAAUUUUUAAAAUAAUAUCUCUGUAAUUUAUUUGAUUAAUUGUAUGAUAUAUUUCGGUAGUUUAUUUCAUUUUAUUUAUAUACAGUAUUUAAUUUAAUAUGAAAUUUUAUUUAAAUUUAAAUGAAUGUAAAUUUUAUUUAUUAUAAUAUAUCUUUUAGAUAUUUUUGCUCUUGUUCUUUAUGAAUUUAUAAUAAAAUCUAUGUAAUUUAUUUGAUUCAUUUUGGGAUAUAUUUUGAUAAAAAAUUUAAUUAUAAAUUUAUUUAAUCUCAGUUUAUUGUAUUUUACUUAUAUAAAUUUAAUUCAAAUGAAAGGUUAUUUAAAUUUAAAUUAAUUUAAUUUUUAUUUAUGAAUAAAAAUAAAAACAUCAUUUAAUUUAAUUAAUUUUAUAUUGAUUGAAGUUAUUUGGUAGUAUCUAAACGUUCAAGAAUAAGUUAUACUUAUUUUUUACUAGAGUUUGAUCACGAAUCCACGUGGAUAUUUGUUUUUACUUUUUAUGAAGAAAUAUUUAUUUGUUUACUUGAUAUCUAUAAACAUAAUAAUUUUAUAGUUUAUAUUGAGUAAUUUUAUGGGUGAGUUUGUUGUAUAUUCAUAAGAGAGCACAAAAUAAAAAAUAUAGCCAUAAAACAGUAAGAGCCAACUUAUAGGACAAUUUGAACACAGUCUUGACCUUGUUCUCCCUAGGGUGCGUUCACGUGCAGCUCAUACAUUAUGCAAAAACGUAUUAUACUGUAAUAUAUUAUUACGUAGAUAGUAUAGAAAAUCUGAUUUGGUGUAUAUUAUUUAGAAAGGAAGAGGAGCAAAAGCAGGAAGAGGAGUAGGGGAAAGAGGAAGGAUGAGGAUGCGAAGGAGGAAGGUGGAGGAGGGAAAAGGAAGAGGGGGAGGAGAUCAAAGAAGAGGAGAGGUUAUACUAUUUCGGUGAAUAGAAUAGUUUACUAUAAAUAUUAGGAAAUCAUUGUUUUGGAUAUACGUUUAAAUCAUAUAUAGUAUUAUAUUUUAAUAUUUUCAGAUAUGGUGUAGUAUAAUUUUUGUCUGACAUUGCUUUAAAAAUGUACUACAUAAAAUAUACAAAACAUACAAACUACUCUAGCUUAAUUUUCGUCCAAAACAUGAUUGUAAAUAAACAAAACGUAUUAGUUUUGAUUUAUGUGCUUACUCUAAUGCAUAUAAUUUUAUGUAUAAAAAUUAUUUUUAAAAUAUGUGGCUUUUAAUAUGUUAUUUGAUCCUAACAAUCUCAUAAAUAAACUUCUUCAAAUCGAAGUGAUUUUUAAUAUUGGAAGCACUAUAUAUAUAUAUAUUAUUUCAUUCAGAUUAAAUAUAUUUCAGUCUUGAUUUUUAUUCUUAAAAACUUUAAAUGAAAUAUCAAGACAAGAUUCCAAUCACCUCUUUUUGAGUUUUUUUGAAGAAUGAGAGAUUUGAUCAGUUGUCUAAUAUUUGUUUUUCUCUAAUAUCCUAUCUAGCUAUUAUAAUUGUAAAAAUGAGAGAUUUGAACUAUGUAUUAUAAGUUUUCUUGUUUAUCUUUUAAUAAAUCAAACAGUUCUUACUUUAUACAUAGUUUACAUAUACUAAAAUGAUAAAGUAUUAUAUAUUUUUUUAUUGGUACACUCCUAAGUAACUAAACCUCAAAAGCGUAUGCUAAUAAAAGAAGUAAUUUGUUCUGAUUGACACUUAUAUAAUUCACUCAAUUCACAGAAGAAGUUAAAAAAGAAACAAAACUCAUAUUAGUGAAACAUGAACGAGAACGAAAGCACAAUUUUAUAGAAGUAGAAAAUGAAAUCAUCUUUGGAGAGUCAAUAGUAAACAAAUCGAGAGGAGAAAACUUAAUCUUUUUUGUCAUUUUACAAUCGAUGUUUCCUAUCUGAUUUUUGUGAUUUGUGUAAGCCACAAAACUUAUUUUUUUUGUGAAAAUGAAAUCUUAAAAAUAAUUAAAGUGACUUGUAAUACGUUAACUCUUCAAAAGUGAUAAUAUAUUUAAGAGACCAACAUUUGUAUUUGUCAUUUUACAAUCGAUAAGGAUUGCAGUGCUGCAAAAUGUUAAAAUCAUUUAAUGAACAAACAUUAGUAUAAAAAAUCACUCCGCACAUGCGCGCGGGUUGUCAUCUAGUAAGAUAGAUAUUGUUUGGAUCCAAAUUUACUUAUUGUGUUAUUUGAAAAGAUAGAUAGUAGUAUAACACUGUUUCAAUAAUUACUUUAUAAUAGAUGGGGUAAUUUAAAAUCUUAUUAAAAAAAGUUGUGUCAAUGGAAAUAUUUAUAUUUUAGUAAGACCGAUAGAGUUAGGAAAAUAAUAUAGUGUAGUUGUGGCAAACGAAACAUUUUAUUGAUGUCGACAAAAAAAUCUUGAGAAGUAAUAGGCAUAUUUACCAAUGUUAUUCUAGUGAAUUAGUUGAUACAGUACUACAAAAUUUUAGGUUCAAAAUAACAAAAUCGGCAAUGGAAGAUGUUGAGGAUAAAUCCUCUCCAUGUUUAAUUCAAAUGUAAUAAUGUGGGAUAAAUUCUCUAUUUACUAAAUGGUUUCUUACCGUUUCACAACGAGUAAAUUUGGUAUUCUUGUACUUACGACAGGAACAUAACAUCUUACGAGGUGUAUUUCUGGCCAAGUACAUGACUAUCUCUACCUGGUUGAGAAAUUUAUUUGCCAUUAUCCAAUCGAAAUCUUUAUGUACAUACAUCCAACUUCAUAUCUCGUAGAUAUUGCCAUCAUAUGCCAUUUUUCUUUGAAAUGGUUUUUUUUGUGGAUUUUACGAAAGAGAGGAAAUAUGCAUAUUUAUAGAAAUAUUUUUGAACUUUGUUAAAUAGGUAUGUUAUCGCGAAUUUACAACGAAAUAUAUUUUACAAUGCCUUAACGACUUCACUAUGACCAAAAGUCCUUUUCUAACCAACCAAACACACACACAACAAACAUGUUUUCACCAACCAUCUAUUUUUAUUCGUAUUUUAGUUGUUAGUUGAUUGAAAAAUAUUUGGAUGUAAUAAUACUGUAAAUUAAUAACUACAUCACGACUACUUAUAACUGUGGUCUUUAAAUGGUCGUAUUCGUUGGUAAAUUACAACUAUACUACGACAAAUUAUUUUUGUUGUUGUAAUGUUGUUGUAAAAUUGACAUAAUUAUACGAUGACAAAUAUUCGUCGCUAAUUGUCGUUGUUAUACGAUUGUUUUCUUGUAGUGGUAGAUAAAAAAUUUUGUGUGAGAGAGAGAUAGAGAAAUGAGCAAUACAAACAUCAUUAGCGACACAAGCUUGCAAGUUAGUAGAAGGUUUGUUAAUCCGAUGUCCUCUGCCAAAAACUAUUGUAGUCAGUUCUGUUACAGUAUUUUUUUUCUUCAAGUAAUUGUGUAUCGAGCACAUGAGGUUCAUGUAAAAUCGUAAAGGGUUGUAAAUAUAUUAGCAGUGAAUAUGAUAAAAAAGUAUGAAAAAUAAUCGAAACAUACAACAUACAUACGAUCUAUAAAUUAUACAUACAUAUAAUCUAAAUAAUAUGCAUAAGCAACCACAUAUAAAUUGUAUACUAUAAACACAUACAUAUAUAACUUAUAGGUUACAUUUGUGUGGUAACAAAAUAUGUCUAAUUUUAUAUAUAUACACGCAUAUAAUUUAUAAAUUAUACAUACAUAUAAUUAUAAACAAUUGUAUAUACAUACACAAUCAUCAUACAAAUUGUAUACUAUAUAAACAUACAUAUAUAAAUUACAUUAAUGUCAGCGGCAUAUAUAUAUAUAGAUAUGCGGGCCGUCCACCUAAUCUUUUUUUAUCAACAAACCCCAUCUAGUCUUAUAAGUUAUAACUAAUUUAAACCCAUUAAAAUUCAAAUUCAAAUAAUAAUGAAAAUAAAAUUAAUUUUGGUAAAACUAUUUUAGCGACCGAGCUUUAGCAGAUCAAUUGGUGACAACUCAUCCUAGAGUUAUUAGUCAACUAGAAAAUAAAAACUUAGCCGAAGUCAGUAUUGAGGAAUCUGCUUUGAACUAAAGAAUGGUUCUUUAUUUUAUUGAUUUUUAUUCUAUAUCGGCAAACAACCAUUACUAUUACAUAAGUUUAAUUUCAUAUUACUUUGGAGGAUAAUGAGGAGGAGGACAAACUUUGUCGCACGAGGCUUUGUCGUGCCAGCAAGGUAUACCUUUUAAACUUUUACAACACCAACCGAACUUCUUAAACCAUUUUACAUUAUAACAAUUUGAUGAUAUGAUAAUGUUUGAUUUAUCUAUUUCUCUAACUUCCAUCCUUGCACCUUCACAUAGAAAUCUCACAACAACAAAAUGUUAGUUAACAAUGGAAAAACAAAAAAAAAAGUUGAAAUAAAAACAUAAGUAAUAUAAUUGCAAAAAUAUAUACAUACAGUGAUGCAAAACAAAUAGAGAGAUGAUGAGUAUACAGAUGAGAGAUGUCUGUAUUUUCAUGGUUUUCUUAAACAACGAUGUGAUGUCUUUUUUUUUUUUAGAAUUCUUAUUUCAAAGAGUGUGAUUUUAUCUUCUUGAUAUUAUGUAUAUAAAGCAUCAUGUUUAAAUAAUAAUCCAAAAUCUAUUGUUUCAUAGAAUCAUUAUUAAGAAGUCAUAUAUAUAAUCAUUAAUUAAUCACUUAGAUUGUUAAAUGUUUCUAUUUUAUCCAAGAUAUUUUUGUGUAGUUCUUUUUAUGAAUUAUUUAUAAAUAUUACAAUGUGUAUAUUUUUGAUUACCAGACAUUUAAAAAAAAAGCAAUUAAGAAAAAUUAAACACCAACAAUUAUAUUCUAUUCUAAAACAAACAUAUUAUGACAUUUGUAGGGUCUUAAUCAAAAUUACAUCUAAAAUUAAACUAUUACUUAUUAUAUUUAUAAUUAUGUGUCCUUAGAUAGAAAUUUUUACCUUUGGAAUAAAAUUGUAUAACAAUUUUGAAAAUAAGGUACAGAUUUUGUAAGAUCUACAAUUUCUACCUAAUUUUAGCUAUUUACAAUAAUUUGGUACAAUUUACAUUUAUUUUAUUAUUACUUAUCUAUAAUUGUGCUUAUUUAUAUUAUUCAUAAUAUAUUAUUAACUUAUAAAGUUUAAUCCUAUAAGUUUAUUUUAAUCAUAAUAUUUAAUAUUUACAUAUAAAAGACCAAAAUAGCACUAAAUCAAGUUUUUGUUCCCAAACUAGCACUCAAAGACCAAAAGUCACAAAAAUAGCACUCAAAGAGUGGGGUUUAGGGUUUAGAAUUUAGGGUUUAGGGUUUAGAGUAUAGGUUUUAGGGUUUAGAGUUGAGAAGUGAGGUUUUGGGGAUAAGAUUUCAAAUUUAGAAAAAUAAAAAAAUUUAAAUUUUUCAAAAGAUAAAAUGUUAUUUUGGUCAUUUUAGUUUUUGAGUGUUAUUUUUGUGAUAUAAACUUAGAAAGGUGCUAUUUUGGAGAUUUCCCAACUUUUAUUCCUAUUUUAAUCAAUAUUAAAUCAUGAAAUAUUCAUUAUUAAUAUAUAUAUAUAUAUAUAUCAAAUUAUACAUUAAAUUAUGAUAUGGAAAAUUAAAUAAUAGUGAUUUCUUAAGAUUUAAAUUUUAACAUAUUUCUAACUAUUUACAAUUUUUCUUUUAAAUUUUAAUUUUACUAGUUUUGAUAUUUAUUGGUUGGUUGGUUUUUUUUAUUUUUUUCUUAUUUUACCUACUAUUAAAUUUAUGUAAAUAUUAUUUUAUUACAACUUAUAGAAUUUUCCAUAAUUAUUAUAUUUAUUUAAUUAAUUUUAAUUUUUAUUCUAUUUAAAUUUAUAUUAAAUAAAUUAAUUGUCAUAACUAACAUUUAUUAAAAAUUAAAAUAUAAUUUAGUAUUUAAUGCUUUUAAAUUAGGAGAUACUUUAAAUCGAGAAAAAUAUUGUAAUCUUUUUUUUUGAAGAAGAAGGGCUUUUAAUUUAAAAACAUAAAAUAUUAUAAGAGAAAACGAAGGGUCUUCUAGAGACGAAAGGUCCUAUAGUAACAAGUUUCAUGAAUGAAUGAAUCUCAACCCCUGAACAACAUAAAUUGAGUCUAGAAUAAACAACAAUACAAUGAAAGUCAAUAGCUAGUGAUAAGAACCACGACCGCGGCGGCCAAGCUUCCCACUCCCUCAUAUCGUCUUCCAUUCCAUUUCUUGGUAUUUGAUAGGGAGUUUUGUCUCCCUCCCACCUUUUAUCAAGUUGAUCGAGGAAGAUGCCUCUGUCACAACUUCUUCCACAUCUCCUAACCCUUUGACCUGAGAAGGACUCUCAAAUCCAAAAGUGAUAGGUUUUGUGGUUAAUGGAUCAACGACUAAAGUCUCCCGUACCUCAGUGUUGAUAACAGUUGAUGGACAGGAGUCCAUAAUAGGUGCUGCAACGGGAGUAUAUUGAGAAUAUAUUAAUGUGGAAAAAUUGGGACAAAGUUUGGCGAAGCAGUAGUAUUCUCUGGCUGAAAGGUAGGUUGCAGAGCUGGAGUGGUUUCAAGUUCAGAUAGGAGACCUUCUAUCUCUUUAAUAUUUUUCUGAGGCUCAAGGACACCACCAUCUAAUGCUGGGGGGGGGGGGGGGGGGGGGUUGUUUAAUCGGCGUGUAGAUCCUCUUAAUGGAUAGUGGGUGGAGAAGAGCCAACAUUAUCCUUUAGCUGCGGAAUGGUAUCAAUAUCCACUAAAGGGACAACAUAGCUAGUGUCUAUAGAAGGUGAUGUAAAGGCAGAAACCUGAACAGUUGAUGAAGGUACAAGACACCUCUUCUCUUUAUGUCCUAGAUUUCCACACCUCUCACACCUCGAUGGAAUCCAUGUGUACUCAAUAUUUACAAGGAAAAUGUUACCUCCUUGUUUAUCAUCCAGAGAAAUAAUCUUCGAAAAGUUUCUAUCCAACUCAAUCUCGACUAAAACCUUUGCUUUGCCCAAACUGGUAGGAUCAAGUCGAGGUUUAUGCGUAAGAAUGGGUUCUCCAAGUCCUGAUGCAACAUGCCUUAUUCCUAAUUUUGAGAAGCAACAAUCUAGGAUGUUCUUCAAAGUGGCCCAGAUUGGAAGGGUGGAGAUUUCAGAGACUUUGAAGGAAGCUUCUGGAGUCCAUGGCAAUACAAAAAGUAAGCAGUCAUUAAUAUGACAUACUCCUCGCUGUGAGUGAGUAGGCUGGUGCGGGAUAUGGAACAUGAAAGAUGAAUCACCAAGCUUCUUACAAUUGAUCAUACAAAUUCUUCGGCAAAUUUUAUUUACCGCAGCAUGUACUAAACCACCUGGCGGUAGAGAACAUUUAUGGAACUUUCCAGUGAUGUACUUGUCCUUAUUCUCGGUACAUAGCCUAAAAGGAAUAGAUAUCUCAGGUGUGCAAUCAAGACGGUAAGUUUGUGUAUCUGCUCGGUACAGAUUGCGCGAUUGAGCGCAAGAUCUCGCAGUCCAUGUAAAAUGGAGGCUCCCAUCAGCUUUUAUUUCCGGUGGGGGAAGCUUUUCAAUAGGAGGCUGGAUAGUACAGGAUGGAUACUUAACCUUUGGUUGCUUAUUUAAGAUCUUGUCUUUUAAAGUCGGCCAGAGAGCAGCUAAUUGAUUCCCGACAAUCGUUGGAUCAUAGUCUCGAGUACUAGGUUUGGGAGGUGUGACCCGAGGUUUGAAGAAAAGCAGUUUUGCCCAUAAUCCCAAAGAUGGGACAAAUUUUUCUGGAGCUUGAGCAAGAUCAUCAGAUGGAUGUGUUGGUAAUUUACCCUCAGGGAUUGGAAGUUUCUGUAACUGACUUGGUCCAGAAACCAGCGAUUGGUUGUUAACCUCAAUAGAAGCAGGAACCACCCUACUGCCAUCGUGGGUGGUUGAGCAAAAGGUCUGAGGUGGAGCUAUCUGUACUGUAACAGAUUCCAAAGUCGGAGAAAGGACCACAGUUUCUGAAGUCUGAAGAGGACCAACGAGUUCAAGGAAAGCGGUUUCACUCAUCAACAUCAACAGAGCAGAGGAAGUAUGAGGAGAAGGAUACAACGAGGAUAGAGUCUGAUCAGUUCUAAUCUUCAACUUGCGCCAACAGAGGCGAUGAAGACGAAGGAAUGAACAGAUAGAGAUCACUUCUUGAUUUCCAAAAUGGUGAUAAAUUAGGUGGAUGAGGUCGUUCAUCAUCGGGCAAGUUGGGUGAGGUCCAUCCAAUUUGUCUGAUGGGGGGGUUAGACGAAGCCGGUUUGGUUGUUUCGUCGCUCGAGAAUCAUCUGCUCGAGAGAUUGAAUAAUCUUUUUCUAGGAACUUGUCGUAUAAUAUUUUUAUUUGAAGUUUUAGUUUCCCACAUUUUAUUUCUUUUUUAGAGAAGAAAAUUUUCUCAGAAACUUUCCGACAUUGUUUUCUUCUUAACCGAUUUUGACCCCAACAUUCUGUAAAUUUCAGAUAAUUUAUAAUUUUUCCAAGCCUAGUACAUAUUGUCAGGUUGAAUGAUGAUAAUAGUGAAAAAAAUAAUAUAUAAACAAACGUUAAGUAUGUAUUUGGAUGUCUAAAUGUGAACAUAUUUGUUUGGUUCUCUAGACCUUAUUCUGCUCAUAGAAUAUUGUUUGUUUGGUGAAGAUGAAAUUCGGAGAGUUGGGUUCGAAAUUUCAUUUGGUAUUAGAUAGAUAAGCCGGAAACCUCUCAAUUUAAUGUGGGAUAUAAAUGUUAAAUGUGGUAUAUGUGUAUGAUUUACCUGAAGGCCUCUCUCUUUCCACCCUAAACUUGAAGUUUUUCUUUUCAUUUGAUAUUAUCAUACAAAAAAAAGGUUGAAUUCUUGAUGGAUAAAGGCUAUUCCCGACAAAACUCUAAGAUCAUUCCAUAAAUUUAGAGUAAAAAAUAUUGUAUGUUACUUGCCGUUAUUAAAAACUACGACAUCAAUUAACAAACAUAUUACGUGCAACUGCAAGACUUUAGAGAUAUAUGUGUCUUAUGCUAUUACGCCAAGUAAAUGAAAGUUUACAUUAAUGAUAGUGUGUCUUCUCAAAUGACUGAAACACACUAAAGUUUUGUUUGCAAUGAAUAAACAACGUUCUAUAUCAAAAUUUAUAUAGAACUGCUAUUGCUAUCCGUUUUAUCCUCAUUCGAGAUCGGUACGAUGAAUGUCAAAUUUAUAGAGAAACUCUUCGCUAACUUCAAUACCACAUAAUUAAUUAGUUUACAUUACACAACUAUCAUUCUUUUCCUCUCUUCUUCAUUAUCAUGUUCAGCAAGUCAUAAAUCAGAAACCUCUAUGGCCCAGGCUAUUCAUACAAACGUUAACCAUAAAAUUCACCAAACUCAUCAUUCCGAGCCCAAAAUACAACAAAACACAAACAACUCACCCAUUAUGGGUUCAAUGUUAUUAAAAGAAACAAACAAAAGACCAUUUAAACUUCAUAACAACAUUUAUAUGUUAUACACUGCAAUAUUUACUAUCAAAAUGUUAUACAACAUCUAUUCAUACAAACGUUAACCAUGAAACUCACCAAACUCAUCGUUCCGAGCCCAAAAUACAACAAAAUCAUACAAAAUAUAAGUGUUUAUAUCCCAUAUAAAGCAUAUUACGCGCGUAGCGCGGACCGACUCUAGUAUCAUUAUAAAACUCAUGAAAAAAUGGAAGUACCAAUUAAGUAAAAUACACAUCAAACGUAUUAAAAUAUCUUCACAUCCAAAAUAAAAUCACACCAUAGAAUUAGCUCAUUUCAUCUAUUGUGUUGGGAGCAAUGAUCAUGCUUACAAAGAUAAAUACGUGUUUCCAUUUUAAAAAGGCAUAAUAUAAAUAUCAAAAUAAUACAAUGUCACAAAAAAAAUUCAGUAGAUAAAACUUAAAACACAUCAAAUAUAAAUAAAUGUUAAUUUUAAAACUAAAUAAAUAUAAGUUUUUUCGCGAAACGCGGACAUACCACUAGUGUAUCUCUAAAACAAUAGUUUCAAACUUAAUUUUGAGACUUAUAUCUCCACGUUUUAAAAAUUAAAAAAAAAAACUUAUAAACCGUAAUUAUAAUUAGUUUGCAGUUUUUAUAUUAAACUAUAACCCACUUUAAAUCGAUGUUUAACUAAAUUAAAACUAGAAUUAAAUCUAUCAUAAAGCUUCUGAAUGAAAAUGAUCCAAGUUAGGCUCAUAAUUGGAUCUAUGUCAGCUUUAAUUUAGUUAAGUGUCGAUUUAAAAUGAUUUAUAGUUUACUUUUAAAACAGUAAAUCAAUUAAUCAUGGUUAAUGGUUUUUCAGAUUUCAAACUUCAAUGACAUGGGGAAUUAAGUCUGAAACUUUUUUUUUUGAGAUAUGUAGAACGAGAUCAUAGUUGAAAAGACAUAUAAUGUUAUAUAAUAUUUUUCAUUGGAAAAUAGCUUGUCGAUCCAAUUUCUUUACAUGUACACUUUUCCUAAUAUAACUGAAAACAGGUAACACCAAAUUUUGUGAUUGAAAACUAGAAAAUAAAAUAGAGCAGAAUUGAAGAUCCAGGCGUGAUUGAUGUUUUCUAAGUAGUACAUAUGUAUAAAAUGUCUUUAUGUAAUUUGUUGAAUUUUUGCGCGAGAUUUGGGGGUUAAGCCAGGUCGACCACGUGGGAAUCGAAAACGACAGCGUUUUCUUUUAAUUUGCGCCGAAUAAAAACAUAACGGUGCAGCUCAUGGCAGAGAGAACGGCGAAGGUUUUCAAUUAAUUUAAAAAUAUAAAAUAUUACAAUAAAAAGAAAUUAAAUAGACAGAAAAGAAAGAGACACCUUCGUUUGCGCGUUUUCUGCAAAUCUCUCUCUCUCUCUCUCUCUCUCUCUCUCUCUUACGGCUGUGUCCAUGGCAUUUCUGCAGAGCGCCGUGAUCCGUGAUUCUCGAUCGGAGGAAGAACUAAAAGCUUCAUCGCCGUCUCUCUCCGCGUAAUAUCCGUCGCCGAUUAUCGCAUCUCCGUUCGAUCCAAAUCGUAACUUCUCCCCCCCCCUCUCAUUGUGUAGUUUCUCCUCACGAAUGUGUUCGUAUCGAUUUCGCGAUUUCGUUAGGCUAUUGAGAAUCUGUUCGUUCGAUGCCUCAGAUCAUUACGUUCAUAUUCGUUUUCUUCACUGGAUUGAUUCGUUCAAAGCUAAUUUAAAGAACGCAUUUCAAAUUUGAUUUUCUUAGGUUUUUAAUUAAUUUUAAGAUCUAAUCUAGCAAUGGUGGAUCGAAAUGUUGAGCAUGUGCUAGACAUGUAUAUAUUUUUGUUUUUAAUAAUAAUCAUGUAUAUUAAGAUCGUUCAUAAAUCUAUAAUUAGAGAUUAAAGAGGCUGUGAUUAAUUUUUUUAUUUUUAAUUUUGUAUCAGGUCUUUUGUACGGUGGUAGAGAACUAGAGACAAGCUAGAGGAAGGUUUUAGUGUGUGUGUGUGUUUUUUUUUAAAUUUAUUUAAGCUUUGGGAGACAGACAAUGUCAACUAAAGGAGAGCAUCAUACAGUUCCACUUUCGGUUUUGCUAAAGCGUGAAUCUGCAAAUGAGAAGAUAGACAACCCUGAACUUGUACACGGCCAGUUUAACCAGAGCAAGAAAGGAGAGGAUUUCACUUUCGUUAAAACUGAAUGCCAACGGGUUACUGGAGAUGGCGUUACCACCUUCUCCGUCUUCGGGGUAUUUGUUCGCUCUUUCUUGCAUUUUGGACCAUGAGAAUAUAUUUUAAUGAUUGGAUUGACGUGAACAUCUUAUUCUGUAAAUCCUUUGGUAUUGGGGUCUCACUAGUUAAAUAUUGCAGCUUUUUGAUGGACACAAUGGUUCUGCAGCAGCUAUCUACACUAAGGAGAACCUGCUGAACAAUGUACUAGCUGCAAUACCCUCUGACCUCAACAGAGAUGAGUGGGUUGCGGCACUUCCUAGAGCUUUGGUUGCUGGAUUUGUUAAAACUGAUAAAGAUUUCCAGGAAAGAGGUAUUUAACUCUUUCAUCAUUGAGUAAAUUUAUGAUUUUAGUGAAGGAAAUGUUUUGAGUUUUUGUUGUUGUUUCCUGUCUUUUUUUUUCAGCUAGAACGUCUGGAACGACUGUAACGUUUGUCAUAGUAGAAGGAUGGGUGGUGAGUGUUGCGUCUGUAGGUGACUCUCGUUGCAUACUUGAGCCUGCGGAGGGUGGUGUCUAUUACUUAUCUGCUGAUCAUCGGCUUGAAAUAAACCAAGAAGAGUAAGUCAGCUUUGUUCCUUCUGCUGACCUUCAGCUAAUAAUAAUAAUGAACUUAUUGUAUGUAAUAGAAUUCAUAAUAUCUUUGUUUUUAUUAACAGGCGAGAUCGCGUCACUGCAAGUGGUGGUGAAGUUGGUCGUCUAAAUACUGGUGGUGGAACUGAGGUACUUCUUUUAAACAAUACAUUGUCAACUAAUGCUCGUUUUGUAGAAUGUAAAACAUAUGAAACUUCUUUGUGCUGUGAAAAUCUGUAUUGUUUUAGAUUGGCCCUCUGAGAUGUUGGCCUGGUGGUCUCUGUCUCUCGAGAUCCAUUGGAGAUCUGGAUGUUGGCGAAUACAUUGUUCCAGUUCCUUAUGUGAAGCAAGUCAAGGUUCAAAAUUCUUUAACUCUCUCCUGUUGUGGUUAUAGGGCUAGUUGAAAAAAAUGUAUCUAAUUUUUGGCUAUUGUGUAGUUAUCUUCAGCUGGUGGUCGACUUAUCAUCUCAAGUGAUGGUGUGUGGGAUGCAAUUAGUGCAGAAGAGGCUCUUGAUUGUUGCCGGGGUUUGCCACCUGAAGCUUCCGCGGAACAUAUUGUUAAAGUAUGAUAUUUGAAUUGCUUAUAUUCUUUUCCAUGCAGUACCUUGAUGUGUUUUCAUUGCUUCACACAGGCAGCUGUGGGGAAAAAGGGUAUUCGUGAUGAUACAACAUGUAUCGUGGUUGAUAUAUUACCAUCAGAAAAACCAGCUGCUUCCGUGCCGCCUCCAAAAAAGCAAGGAAAGGGAAUGCUAAAGUCCAUGUUCAAAAGAAAAUCUUCAGACUCCUCUUCUAAUAUUGAGAAAGAGUAUGCAGAACCUGAUGUAGUUGAAGAGCUCUUUGAAGAGGGGUCUGCUAUGCUUUCAGAGAGGUUUGAUUCUCUGAGAACAAUAGUUAAUACAGAAUACUAUAUUUUCAUUCAUUUUGAUAUGUGAAACUUAACUUCGUUCUUGUUGUUUAUUGCAGAUUAGACACGAAGUAUCCACUUUGCAAUAUGUUUAAGUUGUUCAUGUGUGCUGUGUGUCAAGUAGAAGUGAAACCUGGAGAGGGUGUCUCGAUCCAUGCUGGAUCGGCUAAUUUCCCAAAGCUUCGUCCAUGGGAUGGUCCAUUCCUAUGCGCAAGUUGCCAAGAGAAGAAAGACGCAAUGGAAGGGAAACGAUCAUUGGGAGGUAUCUACUUACAUUUCCUCCUGACUCCACUAAGAAUGUGUGUGUUGCCGAAGCUAAUAGUCAAUGUUGUUAUCUUGCAGAUAGACAUAGUAGUGAGAGCGACUAGCCAACAGAUUCCACAACUUGCAAUUUAUUUGGUCAAUCUACUAACAAAAACAGUAUUGUGAGGUAAUAUGGAGCGGUCUUAUGGAUCUUAUGGUUGUUAAUUUUCACCCAGAGAUAUGAGUUCGUUGAUCAACCCACCACCAUUCUCCAGCAAACUCCAAAGCAGUUUAUUUUUAAUUUUGAUAUGGCUCUCUCACUUCACACCCUCUUGAAAGUUCUUUUCUUUUCUUCUUUCAUUUGUGAUGCUUUGGUGUUUCAUGAGUAGAACUAACUGCCGAGAGAUGGUAGGUACAGAAAGAUAUGCGAGUCUGUGAAAUUAUUUCAUGUAUAAAACCAAUGAACACAAUUCUGGAUAGAAGCAUCAUUUUCAUAUAAUUUAAAUUAUAUCUUUCGUGUUCGUUGGUUUAUUACAUAAGCCAUUCUCUUCUAUCGUCUGACACUUGAUAAUCUGACACUUUCAAGCUAUGUAUUCAAACAAGUGAACUUCUUGUUUUAAGAACCCAUAAAGUUUACAUGUCAAACUCUAAGAGAUAAUAGAGCUCAGUAAUAAAUCAAUUACUGUCUAUUUAAUACACCAAAUUCACAAUAAAAUUGCGUGAAUCUGUUGCGGCUUUAACCUUAGGAUUAAUAAAGUUGUAUGGUUUUAAGUUUUUACACUUGUUGAUAUAGUGGUACACCAUUGGUUAGUACAAUAAAGUUUUCAAAAAUAAAUGUUGUUCUUACUCUUAAGUUUGCAAAAUCUAUCUAUAUAUCUAUAUAUAUUAUAUAAAACAACAUAAUAUGAAUAACUCAGUGAACAAUAUAUACAAUAUUUGGAAAGUAUUUUUUUGAAUUUUGUUUGUGUGUCAUCACCAAAUUCAUUUAAUUAUAAAAAUAUGACAUAAUUCAGUAAAAAUGAUGACAUGUUUUAAUUUUGACAUGUCAAAUUGCAUUUAUGAAGUUUUAAUUUUUUUUGGUAAGAUGCUUCAAAUAUACCAAUAUAUUAUAUGUAUCAUCAUUUAAAGAAAAUUUUAAACUAAUAACCAAACUAGAAAUAUAUAAUUUUUAAAUUAACUUAGAAUUGAAAAUAAAAAUAUGUAUAUAUUUAUAUUUGUAUAAAUUAAAAUGAUUAUAUAUUUGUUCACUAAGUGUUCGAAUUAUGUUUUAAUUCAUUAAUUGGCAAAAGACUAAUAAAAAAAGUGAGAUCAAGAUAAUCCACAUUAGUAUUAAAUGAUCCAUGGUUUUCAACCAGCAGCCUAAUACCAGUAAACAGUAUCAACAUAAUCAUUAUCUAAAUCGUACAAAGAAUUUUCUCAUCAAUGCGACAUCAGAAACAUGGAACUCACAUGCAAUUGGGCUUUGGUGGAUCCAGAUGAUGUGGAAAUUAUAGAAAGUAUAAUACUGAAUCGGACCCAAAUGAUCGAUCAAGAUGGAUGGCAUUUCACCAAAAAUGGAAAAUACACGAUUAAAUUUGAUUAUCAAGUCGAGCGGGUGUGCCCUGCUACAAGAAGGACGCUUCCUGUGUAUGGACCAACUAUCACCUCCUCUAAAGGCAUAUUCUUACAAAAUAUGUUGUCCACCCAAGAUUAAGCAUUUUUAUGGAAAAUAGUAGGAUGUCGAGCGGGUGUGCACGAUGUAGAGCAGAUGAGGAAUCAAUAAAUCAUGUUUGUUUUUAAUGUCUCACGACUGUCCAAGUGUGGGCUCUCUCAAAAAUCUCAUCGAAUGCAGUUAAUUUUUCUACUUAAUCGAUUUUUUCAAAUAUGGAUCAUUUGUUUUAGAGGAUUUCACCCCAAGUGAUAAUCAUUAGUUUGCAUGAAUUUUAUGGUAUAUUUUGAAAGGACGAAACAACAUGAUUUUUUCAGCAACAUAGAUACCAAUCCUAGAGAUACUCUCCAAUUGGCAGAAACUUAAUCAACACUUUGGGUCGAGGCACAAACAUCACUAACACAACGAGUCACCGAAACUAGAGAGGUGAGCCGGAAACAUUACCUCACAUAUUGGGACGAUGGUGUUUACGGAUAAGUCAUGAAAGAAUAGCCCAACUACUCGGGAAAAGGUUGGUAUAGCUAGCACAUUAGAAAAAAAUUGAUGGGAUGAUGGAGGCGACGAACAUGAGAACCAGCAUUUCAUCCCUUCAUUCGGAAUUAGAAAUCUUCAUUAGGGCAAUGCAAAACAUGAGGAAUCUAAGACAGUUUCACGUAACGUUUGCAAUCCUUAAUUGUUGAAGACGGUUUCAGAACCAGGAAUUUUUUUAUAAAACGAUUUUUAUUUCAUCUUCCUAUAGUUUUUAAAACUCUAACAAAGUUAUCUAACAUAAAUCAUUUCCUAAAAUUAUACUAAAAACAGAAACAUUUUCUUUAGAAUCAUGAUGAACUUUAGAUAACUAACUUAAUAUUGUUAAAAUUACUAUCAACCAAAAAAUCUUUUGUAAAUCUAACCUAAACAAACGAUAAUAACAAGAGAUAAAGAUUUAUUAAACAUUUACCUUAUCUCAUGAUAUGUUACAUAAAUAAUUUAAACUUUGUUAUGUUUAAUAUUUAUAAUUCUGAACUUAUUUUCUAACAAUGUGAUCAAGAUUUAAUUAUUUUCAUUUUAUCAAGAUUUAGAUCAAGAUUUUAUCAUUUUAUUGACAAAAAAAGUAACUGAUUUGCGAACUACCCAAUGUAAAUAUAUAAAUUUACGUUUUUGAAAAUAUAGUAAAUUCAUAUGUAUCCAACUAAACAUUUUCAAAAUAAAUUUUUAUACUACCCUUUUGCAAAGUAGAAAUUUUAAUAUUGUUUAAUAAAUAUGAUAUCCAACUACAUACAUAAUGAUAAUUUUACAUAAUCAACUAUGGUUCAAAAUCCAUUUAAAUAAUAUAUUUAUUUAGAGUUCUACUUAUAUAUAUUGAUAAAAGGUUGUUAUUUAAAUUUGGACAUAUGAACUUUUCCGUUAAUGUUAAGACUAGAUUGGAUAUUAAAUAUAUAAAUCUGAAAAUUAUGUUACACUAAUUCAUUUUGCUUACCAAUUGUUUGGAAAUCAAUAAACAUGACUGAUAUUCUUACCAAAUGACAUUUAGUUUCUACAUACAAAAAUAUCUAUCUCUAAAUAUGACAUACACAAUACAAUAUAGUAUACCUGAAAUCAUUUCAUUAUGUAUUUUUACAUUUCUCACUCCUACGUAGACUAAUUCAAACCUUUUAUUUAUCAAGAUUUUAAUGUAUGCAAUGGUAAUUAAUAACCGGUGCUAUAGGGAAUUGUUUUAACUAAGCCAUUGUCCAUUUUUUGUACAUAUAAAUAAAUUUAUUGGUAGAAAAUAAGGUUAGAUGCCGUUUUAAAAUAUUCAAUAUUUCGAGAAUGAAAUGUUUACAUUACGUUUUUGACACAUAUUUACUAGAAAAAAUUCAUCCUAAUAUUCUUAUAAGAAAACAAAAUAAUUAUAAAACAAAAAAAAAUAAGAUUAACUGACAAAACAAGUCAGUAACUGAAGUACAAACCACACAUUCUAGUUUAAAAUCAAAUUUAAAUUUAAAAUAACUGUAAAAAUGUUAUAACACCAUUUUAUAAAAAAAUAAUCAUGCGUCUUAACACGGGUUAGAAUCUAGUAAAGGUUACAAAGACGGUAUUUAGCAAGGCCUAAAUAUGACUUGUCGUUAAUACUAAAAAGUAAAAAGUCAUGUGGAGUUUUUGCUACAAAAACAGUAUAAUUGCAGUUGAGAAAAAAAAUGCAAAAUUUCUUCUUUUUUAUUUCACCCAAAAAGUAUCCCCUAUAUAUUAAUUCUGGAGCAUUACAACAUGUUUUCGUAGUCACGUGUCAUCACGAGAUUGAUUCUUAAAAUUGUUAGAAAAAUAAGUUGGUCCAUAUAAACAAAUAUUAUGUUUUCUUAUUAAACUAACUAUCAAAUUAAUUAGUAGAGUACAAAAGAAUAUUUUUUCUUUCCUUAAAUAAAAGCUACGGAAUUACCUAAUAUGGUUAACAUAUAUAUGACAAUUAAUGAUUAUGAAUAAUACAUAUUUGAUUAAAAAAAUUCUAACCUCUUUCUUUUUUGUUAAAUUUUAUACUAUUAAGAGAAAUUAAACAAUCACAUUAAGCAUAUAAUAAAAAAAUUAGAUUUUUUCUUAUAUGAUAUAUUUUUAAUUUUUAAAAAUGACUAUAAAUUAUUAAAAAUGGUAAAAAUCCCACAUUGAAAAUUUUGUGAUAAGUGAUUUGACUUUUUUUUGUUUAAGCAAGAUACAAAUGAUCAUAUAUCAUAGGGGUAGGCAUUCGGAUACACGUUCGGGUUUUGUAUCGGAUAUUUCAGUAUAAAGGUAGAAUCAGUUCGGGUAUUUCUACACUUCGAGUCGGGUUCGGGUAUUUUAUGUUCGGGUUCGGAAUAUUUUAGGUCGGGUUCGGGUAUUUAAAAUUUGAAGAAAAAAUAAAUAAAUUAUUCAUUUUUAAGUUUUUUGAAUUUAAAAUAUAUUUUAAAUUAACUGGUUUUCUAAUUUUUAAAAUAUUAAACUAUUAAUAGGUUUUAAGAUAGAACUUAAAAAUAGAAAGACACUAAUUUAGUUGUUGUUUUGAAAUUUUAGAUGUAACUUUUGUUAAUGUAAGAAAACAGAACUUGAUAUGUAUUUUAAGUGAGUAGCAAACGAUUUUGUCCAUAAUUGUAUGUAUAUUAUAUAAUUUUGGGCAAUAAUCAUCAUUAAUAUAAAUAUUUUGAAUAAAAUGAGAGAAAUAAACUAGAAAUAUAGGGUUAGGUAUACUUAUGUUUGGUUAUCUUCGGAUUCGGAUAUUACCCGUUCGUGAAAUAAGUAAUUUGUUUUGUUAUUCUAAUUAGAUGAUUUUUAGACCGAGCUGGUGAAUAUAUACUAGACAGACAUUUAUAUUUCGAGUCUGCACUUGUAUUUUAUAACAGCUUGAUAUAUUAGAUUCGAAUUAUAAUCUAUUAAUAUAGUUUCCUAUGAUUUUUUUCAAAAUUUUAAUUCUUACAUAUGUAUAUGGAGUGAAACUAAUUUUUACAGAUGUCCAUUUUUUUUAAUUGACACUUAUGUAAUUCACCGAAUUCAUAAAAGAAGUUAAACUUAUAAAGUUAACUCAUAUCAAUGAAAUAAAGACGAGAACGAAAACACAAUUUUAUAGAGGUAGAAAAUGAAAUCACUUAUGGAGAGUCAAUAGUAAACAAAUCGAGAGCAGAAAACCUAACCCCCUUUCGUCAUUAUACAAUUGAUGUUGCCUAUUUGGUUUUGGUGAUUUGUGUCAGGCACAAAACUUAAUUUUAUUUUGUGCAUAUGAAGUUUUAAAAAUAAUUAAAAUGAGAUGUAAUACGUUAACUCUUCAACAAGGAUGAUAUAUUUAAGAGACUAACAUUUGUAUUCGUCAUUUUAUAAUUGAUAAAAACUGUAGUGUUGCAAAAUGUUAAAACCAUUUAAUAAACAAACAUUAUCAUAAGAAUUCACUCCGCGCAUGCGAGUGUAAGAUUUGCUAAGAAAAGGAAAUUCAGCAAUGCUGCCCAAAUUUUUUUUAUAUCUAUCUUAUUAAAACAGUAAAACUCAAGUACAAAUUAAAUUUGUUUGGAAACAUGUAUAGCAAUUUUUUUAAAACUUCCUUUGGAAACAUAGAUUGUAUUUUAAAAAAAAAUUGUUUGGAAGCAUGGAUUGCAGUUUUAAAAAGGAGGUUUGUUUGGAAACAUAGAUUAUAGUUUAAAAAAAUAGGUUUGUUUGGAAACAUGGAUAACAGUAUAAUUAAGAGAAAAAAAAAGUAAUAGGCUUAUAUUUUUAGAAAAUUUGGAAGUGCAUUAUAUUAUGAAAAACUAUCUAUCUGGUACCUAAUCGGGUUCAAUUCGGGUUUCUGUGGUCAAAGAUUUCAGCAUCAUUCUAAUAUUUUUAAAUUUUAGUUCAGGUUCAUUUCGGAUUUUUACGGGUUUGGUUUGAGUUCGGAUAACUCAUUUAAAUUACUUUUAAAUUUUUAAAAUUCAUUAUAUAUUUAUAUACUUUAAAUUUCUCAAAAACUAUAAACAAAAUAAUAUAUUAAAUAUAAAUUUGAAUAACAUAUGUAAGGAUACCUAAACUUAACAUAUACACUAUUUUAGUUCAAAUAUUUGGAUAGAGAAUCAAUAAUUAUUUUAAGUAUUUUUGGUGUUUUAAGUAUACUUUUACUAUUUUAUAUAUUUACUAUAGAUUAUUUGUAUAUAUUUUCAAGUAUUUAAACCAGCUUAAAAGUAUCAUAUAUAUUCUAGAUGUUUUUAUAUAUAUUAAAUCUAAAAAUAAUUAAUAUAUAUAAGUAUAUAAAUCCAUUUCAGAUAUAUUCGGGUACCCAAAAUACUCGGUUCGGAUCGGAUUCGGUUUCGGUCCUCCAAAAAAUAAAAUUUUGAAUAAUUCGGAUAUUUAAUCAAUUUCGGUUUGGGUUUGGUACUACUUUUUUGGAUCGAGAUCGGUUUGGUUCUUUUGAUUCGGGUAUUUUUAUCUAACACUUAUAUUAUUAACAUGAAAAACAAAUAGAAAUAUAUUUUUGAAAAAUAUAUCACGGGUGUGCGUGUCAAAGUCUAAUUUUCUCUUAUAACACCAUUUUAUAAAAAAAUAAUCAUGCGUUUUAACACGGAUUAGAAUCUAGUAAAGAUUACAAAGUCGGCAUUUAGCAAGGCGUAAAUAUGACUUGUCGCUAAUACUAAAAAGUAAAAAGUCAUGUGUAGUUUUUGCUACAGAAACAGUAUAAUUGCAGUUGAGAAAAAAAAAUGCAAAAUUUCUUCUUUUUUAUUUCAUCCAAAAAAUAUUAAAGUUUAUUUGGUAAGAAAAGGAAAUUCAGCAACGCCGCCCUAACUUUUUUGUAUAUUUUCUCUGCCGCUUUCCAUAUGGUAGCUAGGUCUUUUGACAUAGCUAGGUUUGCCUAGGUCUUAAUAUAAACUUCAACACCUCCCUCUCUCUCACACAGACAAGCAUAACGAUCAUGGCUACGGAUCCUAUCCCUGUGGAACUCAGCCACGAGAUAUUGUCAAGAUUGCCAGCAAAGUCAAUCGCUAGGUUUCAUUGCGUGUCCAAGCAAUGGGCAUCAAUACUUGAUCGGCCAUACUUCAAAGAUUUGUUCCUGACCAAGUCUUCGACCCAGCCACGUCUCAUAUUCGCUAUCGAAAAAAAAUGUGUGUGGAGCUUCUUUUCGUUGCCUCAGCAUAUGAGUCCACAUGAGAAGCCAUCAUCUUCUCUUGUAUUAACCCCUGAAUUUCAUAUGAAGUUCCCUCCAGACGAUACGUGGUGGAUCUUUCCUCGUUAUGACCGAAAGUUCGCAUGCGGGUAUGCCUCUGGUUUGAUCUAUUUCUCUUGUAUGUCGGUUAAGGCGGGUUACGAUGGAGUGCCUGUAAUUUGUAACCCUAAAACAGGACGAUAUGAGAUCUUACCUUUUAUCAGAAGGUACAGAAAGUCGUACAGUUUUUUUGGGUUUGAUCCUGUUGAAAAGCAAUACAAGGUAUUGCACAUGGCUUAUCCAUGUGGUCCUAAUGAUCACAGAAUUAUGACACUGGGAACUCAAGGAAUGAGGUGGAGAAAGAUCCAUUGUUCAUUAAGACUUGAGAAUCUGAGUGAAGGGGUAUGCAUUAAUGGGGUUUUGUAUUACUUAGGUGACACGUCUCAGUGUAUGGAAAAGAUUAGGGGGAAGUCUAGUUUUGCAAUAGCAUGCUUUGAUAUUAGGUCUGAGAAGUUCAAGUUUCUUUAUCCGGAAAGCUUUUGUGAAUUGGUAAACUAUAAUGGUAAGUUAGGUGUGAUUUACUAUGAUGAUCUCACUGAUGAUGCCAUUGAGUUGCGUGUGUGGGUUCUAGAGGAUGUGGAGAAAGAAAAAUGGUCGAAAUAUUCCUACACUCUGAGGGGUGAUAAACUCUUCCCGCAUUAUGCUUCAGUGGUUGGAGUGAUUUCUACUGGUGAAAUUGUGUUGUCGAUGGCUGAUUAUACGUCCAAACAGCCGUUUUAUAUUUACUACUUUAAUCCUGAACGGAACACCAUUCGACGUGUUGAAAUCCAAGGCUUCGGAGAAUACCACAAAGCUUCCAAAAAACCUAGUAGAGUCUACGUCUUUUUAGACGACUGUAGUAGAUUCUACCCUUCUGCACACCAUGCUGAGGAUCUUAAUGUUAAGGAUCCAAAGCUACUAAACUCAAGCAUAUAUGCUCCAUAUGUGUAUAAAGGAGAAGAUGAAGAAGUAGAAGAAGAAGAAGACGAUGAUGAUGAAAAUGGUUUUAGUCAAUUUUAUGGUAAAAAGAGGAAGAAUAAACCAGAUGAAAGCAGGAGUAGAAAACGAAGAAAGCAGAAGGGGAAGAAAAAGAAGAAGAAGGAAGUAGGAGGAGAAGACAGAGACAAUCAUUGGAGUUAGGUGAAAGCAAUGGGCAUGUCAUUUUGUGCUUUUAUCUAUGCGUUUAUGCUUUUGAGUUAUGUACCCUCUUUAUAACUAUUUUAAUAAACCAAGUUUUCUUUUAAGAUUCCAUCUCUUCUCAGUUUCUAAAUGCAAUAGCAUCCUCUGGGCGGUAAUGAAUACAAAACCGUGCGUGGAGAGUUUAUAUGUGACAAAUAAUUAUAUUUUGAUGCUGUCUUAAACAAAAGGAACGUGUAUAUAUUGAUAAGUAAAUCGGUUACUCCUGCAUCUUCACUAUUAUCCUGUUGGGGAUGUUCAAGGGUCAGAGCAAAAACAUUUAGCUUAUGAUUCUUCAGUUAGAAUCUCUAAUGCUAAAAAGAGGUGUUGAGUUUAGCUGAAGAAGCUCUUGAAUAACAUCCUCCAAGAUGAUAACUCAGACAACCUCUUCAUUGCCAGUCACGAUCCCUGUAGACAACUGCAAUGUUGCUGUGACCCUUUUGGAACUUAUUUAGGAUAAUCAUAUAAUAAUACACUGGAGACAAGAAGGUUAUUAAUAUGAACGCUUGUAUUAUAGGAUAUCAUAUAACGACGCGGUCAAGAAUGUGAUUUCCCGCGGAAUUCUCUCAUAAUGUUUUUUUCCUUUGAGGAACUUAAUAUUUUGUUAAUUAAGCUGACAAAAUAUAUAAAAGAAAAAUUGAUUACAAACUGAUUAGUAAUACACAAUUGUUUUUUGGGAUUAUUGGGACUAUGGAGUCAUCUUCCUUAGUCACUCUUCUUAUUGCCGAAAAAUCUCAAAAAGAAAAUGAUCAAUGCUACAAAGAUUGCAAUUGGUAUGGCAGAGUAUCCGGUCGUUGCAACAAAGUUAAUAUAGAGAGUAAUCAGAAUGACUAUUGCAAUGAGUGUCUGCUUCUUCCAUUGAACUGUAUCAUUAACUGCAAAUAGCAACCAUGCCACAAAAAAUCACUCUUUUCAAUAUACAAAUUAAAACGAAAGGAAAACAAUGGUAUACGUUAAACCAAUACGUACCCUCUUUUUUGGGUUGGUUUUGAGCCGUCAAAUGUGAGAAUGAGUCUAUUGUCCUCUUUAUACCUUCCUGUAGUUAAAGAUUAGUGAAAGUGAAACGGAUUACUGGCACCGAAACAGAAUGAUUAUAUCGAUCUAUAUGUCUCUAAUGAAAAAAGAAGUUUGUGUAAACCUGAAGUGGCACAACAGGAGCGUAGCCUAAGAUAUCCUUUGCUUUUGAGGAAUCAAAAGUUCUGCUGCAAGACUUUAGAUUUAGACUAUACUAGGUCAAACAAUGUAUUAAGCAAUGAAUAAUAAAACAGUAAAUAUAGCUAAGCAAGGUGAACAAGGUAGUUGUUCGGUAAAUAAUAGUGAGGUUGUUUGAUGGAAAGAUGGUUACUAGACUUAGGGUUUCAUUCAGGUUAUUAGAACUCUAGUCUAUAGAUGCUAAGUCUUGAUUCUAGAACUCGAUAUCUAAUGCAAAAGAAAACCAGCUCUCACUGUGAGUCUAAUCUAUUGACUAAGUUCAGUGUUUCAGCACUCGUAUGCCAACACGGAUCGAGCAUCGAUCGAUGCUAUGGUAUGAGUGUCGAUCGAUGCUAUGGUAUGAGCAUCAUUCGAUGCUACGGUAUGAGCAUCGAUCGAUGCUACGUUAUGAGCGUCGAUCGACGCUGCCUUAGGCAAGCGUUAUCGAUCUGAUCGAUUAUGUUCAACUAGAUUCCUAGACCAAUGCUAGUAUGCGCCUAGGUGUCUAAUCCAACAGGAUUUAGGUUCCGUUAUUUGAUUGCACUCUUGUGCCUCUCAAUUGUCCUAUGAUUCUAGGUUCAAGCAUUUAGUCACACUCUCGAGAUUUUCCAACUACUCUAGAUCCUAAUAUUACAAUAUAUCCUGAUGUAGAGAUCUUUAGAUAUCCUAACAAUCAUAUAAUUCAGAAGUUCAUUCAAAGCCCUAGAAAUUCCUAAACCUAGCAGGUGGAUUUACUCAUGCAUGAUGUUUGUCACAAAAAUCAUAGAUGUGUAGAAGAAAUUGCAAGAUAUAUUAAAACCAAAACCAAUGGAAUUCCAAAAGGACUCUGAAGGAGUUCAUCCCUUCUCUCCUAACUAACAACAAUGAAUAAAAGAAAGCGUAGCCAUCAACAAUGGCUUAGAAAACACAUAAAUAGGUUUUUAGGUCAUCUAAGGGUAUUAUUGUAAUUUGUGGUUGCUUAUGGGCUUCAGUCGGCCAUAAAAUAUGCUCGGCCCAUAUUCUGGCAUUACCGUCGAUCGACACCAAGGGUGCACCGUCGAUCGACAGUCCUUCAUCUCCUUGACAGCUUUUUCUCGCGAGGCAGACUGGCCACUCUUCAGUAAAAUGGGCAUAACUUCUUCGAUAAAAUGCUGAUUGACCUCAAACCGGUGGAACUGGAAAGCUAACUCAAAGCGCUAACAUGUGUCAAACGAUGGGAUCAAUAUAACAGUGGGAUAGUCUCCAUCCAUAGCUAAACAAUCAAAAUGCUCCAAAAGACACCAAAAUCACCACUUUCCUCCAAAUCGUCCAUGAACCUGUAAACUCUCUAAAUAGACACUAUAUCGUAGUAAAUAUAUCUUAAAACACCUAUAAACCAUGGCUAGAAGUGGGUAAAAUCCAUGGUUUAUCAACUCCUACAGACUUACCCUUUUGGUUGUCCUCAAGCAAAACAUACAUAAAUGGCAUGUAUAUGGUUUUAAAUUAGAGUAGCUUCCUUUGGUCAACACAUUAACAUACUGAAAAACUUCAAAUUUAUUCAGCUUAAUUGAUUCUGUUUUCUCUCUGCAAAACGUCUUAUGAAGUUUUUUUUUCUUUUCCAAGAGUCCGCUCAAUUGAUUGAUGUUUGUUUUUUCCACCUUCUCUGCAAAACUUUUUUGGUAGCCAAGAGUCACAUUUUUAAAACUUCAGGCUUCUGAACUCUCAUUCUAGGAAUCGAUUUUUGUGGGGUUCUCUCAUUCUAUGAUCUUUUGUUCGUCUGAUAUCGUCAAUUUCAAAAGCAAGUUGUUCGUCUUCAUAUCCAACUUCUAACUUGUACUUCAUGCAGGUUUGGAAAAUCCGAAAUUGACAGAAAGAGAAUUAGCAAGGAGAGAUGACAUUGGAGAUCAUUGGUUUUAUAACAAAAGUCCAAUCUUAUUAUUGGGAAUUGCAUUCAUUUAACAUUCAUAUUAUUAUUUAUUAUAAAUAUAUCCACAGAUCUGAUACAAAUAUUAUAAUACUUUAUUUUAGUGACACAAAAUAUUUAGACAUUUAUUGUUAAAAAGGUAAUAUAGACUUUGGGUUGUGUAUUACAUUCACAACCUUUAGCGAGAACCCUUACAAGGAGCAUUGCAGUCACAAAAUCCCUUAGAAUCCGAACAAACACCACUACCACUAGGUGGGUAUUUCUUCUUACACUCAUUUCGACAUAGUAUUGGAAAACAUUGCUUUGAGUUAUGUGCGAUUUUAUAAGGACAUAGUUUUGUUUCUUUUUUCUGUGCAUCUGUCAUCAUUCCUGUUAGAUACAAAAUCUCAAAUUUUAUAAGAGAGAAAAAAUAAUGAUAAUAUUUAUUUAUGAAUUAUAAAAAAAUAUAUAUCAACAAAAUUCUUACUUACUUUUGUUUUAAGCAUUUUAAAUAAAAAUACACAUAUACUUUAUUAGUAAAUCAAAAACAAAAAUUAUUUGAUGAAAAAAAUUAUUUUUGUAUUUUACAGAAAUGCGUGCAUAUUAAUUUUAAUUUCUUUUUGCAGUUUUAAGCACAAAUAUUGUAUAUAUUGCAAAAUCAUAACAUAUUAACUAUAAUAAAUUUAAUAUAUAUAUAUAUAUAUAUUAUGUUAUUCAAAAUAUAACACAAAUUUACAUAAGAACUAUAGUUCAUCCAUAUUAUGAAAAAUGUUGGUUAAAAUAUUUGUAUGUGCAUGAAAAAAUGUAAAGAAAUAGAUGAUAAAAACAAAAAUAUCUAGAAUUGUUUUAUCACAGUAUUUCUCCAUCAUGUAUAAAAAAUAUACAUUUAAAAAUAAAAAUGGAUCAAAAUAGUAAAUAAAAUCUUAAAAUAUUUUAAGGUUGAUCCUUUUUAGUUUAACACAAAAAUGUUUGACUCAGUUUCAAUAUUUUCUAGCUUGCUAGGUAUUUAUGAAUUUGCAUUAAAAUAUAAUUGAUACUAUAUUUUAUAUAGUAAAAGAAAUAAUGCAGGAGGUCUACAAUAUAUUGAAAAUAUAAUUUAAAUUAUCUAAUUAUUAUAAUCAAUUUAUUAUAAAAUUAUUGUAUGCAAUAUAGUAAGAUAUAAAGACAAACCUAAUGAAAGAAUGAUGAAUACGGUUAAGAAGGUGAAUAAGAGUUGAAGGGAUUUCCUCAUUGUGGAUAAUAGAAAUGAAUUGAUGGUGAGUUAAAAUUUAGGAAAUAGAUAAAGUGUUCUAUUUUUUUUACAACAGAAGAAGAAGUAUUCUUACAUAUAUACAUAAUAAAAAUAUCUAAUUUAAGCUACUCACAUUAUUAUGUUCCGGUUUAAACGAAUCAAAUUUAGAAAAAUUCCACAUUCUUUGCUCAUGUAAUAUGUGAAUGCUUUAGACUUGUUCGUUUUCCUAAAAGCAAAUAGAAGGAUGCGUGUUUUACGCCUGAAAUUAAUUUUGAUGUUCUAAAAAAGUUUUGUUAAUUUGAGAAUUAUAAAUUAAUUUAAAGGAAAUGUCAAUAAGAAACUUGAUCAAAUAUUACUGCUUGAAUAUACAGUUUAUCAUGUGAAUGUUCCACACAUAACAUAAUUUAUAGAUUAUAUACAAACUUAUAUUAAUUAUACAGUUUGUAUGGCCAUUGCAUAGAUAUGUAUAAUAUUUAGAGUUAUAUGUAUGUAUAAUUUAUAGAUUUAAUGUAUAUUUAUAAUAAAAUAAGAAAAUUACCUUGUGGUUUAUGUUAAUAUAUUUGUAUAUCGAAAAAGGGAGCGUGCGAACACGUGACUUGCUCAUAUGUUAUUAAUAUGUUAUUACUUAUUUGCCCUUAUUUGUGGUACUAUUCCACGUGACUUGCGUAAUUACUUGCGCCAAAAUGUAAAAAAAUCAAGGGAAUGAUCGGUGAUAGUCAUGAGUGCUCUAUACAAUUCCAAUAUUCUCUGCAGUGAAAACUAAAACAAUCAAGCUCUAGUAAGAAAAUCUAAAGUUAUAGCCCAAAAACUUGAAAAUGAAAUAUAUUGAUUUAGAAAUUAAUGUUUUUACAGUUUUAUGUUUAGUGCUUUUAAACUUUAAAUUAGUUCUACAGUAAUAAAAUCUAAAAAUAAAACCACAGAAUCUAAAGCAAAAAAAUCAAAGCUAUAACCUCUUCUAAUCAAUCUCUGAAAAAAAAAUUUAAUUGCUUACUGCUAGCGAAAAGAGAGAGUGAGAUAAGAGUACGAGAGCAAAAUUACUGAUUCUCGCUUGGGGUUGGUAAUACGGCAUGCAAUCAAGCUCUAGCUAUCAUUAGUAUACAUUCUUCCCUUUAACAAUCCUGAACUUUUCCAAAUCCAACCAACACACACAUAGAACAUAACAUAUUAAAAAAAAAAAUCUAAAAUAGCAAUCAGUCUCUGGGUUAUGAUUACUCUAAUUCAGAUUAGAAAAAAUUCACUAUCUUCAAAUGAUUCUCGUGAAUGAUUUGUUUUGAAGUUUUUAUGAAUUUUUGUAUUUUCUGUAUUUUUAUAUUUAUUUUAUUAAUAAAAUAAUUUAAAAUAUUCGUUGUGAAUUUUUUUAUUUUUUGUGAAUUUUAUUGACUUUUUAUGAUUUGUUUUGAAUUUUUUAAUGAUUUUUUAUAUUUUGUGUAUUUUUAUAUUUAUUUUAUCAAUAAAAUAAUUUAAUUUUUUUGGGUGAAUAUUUUAUGAAUUUCUAGUAUUUUUAUGAUUUGUUUUGAAUUUUUUUAUGGAUUUUUAUAUUUUACUUAUUUUAUACUUAUUUUACUAAUAAAAUAAUAUAAAUAUUGUUAUGAUUAUUUAUUUUUGUAAAAUUUUAUGAUUAUUUUUAUAUUUAUUUUAUCAAUAAAAUAAUUUAAAAUACAUUUUGUGAAUUUUUGAAUUUUGUGAAUUUUAUAGACUUUUUAUGAUUGGUUUUGUUUUUUUAUGAAUUUUAUAUUUUUGUAUUUUUAUAUUUAUUUUAUUAAUAGAAAUAAUUUUUAAAAAUGUGGUGAAUAUUUUGAUUUUUGUGAAUUUUUUGUAAUUAUUUUUGAAUUUUCUAGUGAAUUUUUAUAUUAUUAUUUAUUUUAAUAUUUAUUUUAUUGAUAAAAUAUUUUUUUUAAAAAAUUAAAAAAAAAGAAAACUGACACGUCAUCGAUUUUGAACAGUACCGGUUAUCGUUUUGACUUGAUAUACAAGUAAGCCAGAGUGGAGGUUUCUUUUGAUAAAAAUGUCGCUUUAAAGGAUUAAAGUGCUUGUGAAAUACUCCGAGGGUUUAAAGUGUAAGUGGCUGCCACUUUGAAGGUUUUUUAUGCGAUUUUUUCGUUAUUCAAUGUCCACUAGGAGUUCUCCUGCACGAUGCGCAGAUAUAAAAUAUUUAAAAAUUUUAUAUAUAAAUAAAAUUUUCUGUUUUUCUAUUUUACUUUUAUUAGUUUAAAAAAUAAAACCAUAAUGUAAUUGUUUUUAGUUUGAUUUAUUCAAGUUUAGUUUGACCUUUUAAUUUUGCAUUAUUUUACUUUUGAUAAAAAUAAUUGAAAUUUAUAAAUUUACUUUAUUAUAUUAUUCUUUAUUUAAUUACCAUUUUUAAAUAUUUCUAUUUGUAAAUAUAUAUAUUAUUUCUAAUAAUAUAUAAAUUAAAUAAAAAUAACUUAUAUACAUUGAUAAAAUAUAGUUUAAACUACACUUAUUUUAAUAAUAAAAAUAUGAUUCAUAUAUUGAUGUAAAAUUUUAAUAUUUGUUAUUAUUAUUUAUAUAUAAAAACAUAUUAUUUUAAUAGAUAUAGAAAAGUUAUUAGGUAUCAUAAAAUCUUACCAAAAUGAAUAUUUUCUGAGAAAAAAUAUUUUUGAUAUAAAAUUUAUUAGUUAUUACUAUAUUAUGAAGCUUUUCCAAAAAUAUAAAUCCGUAUAUAGAAAAUCAUCAUUAUUAUAUUUAAGAAAUCUUACCAAAAACAUAAAUCUAAAUAUAGUAAUUUUACAUGUAACAAUUAAAUUUAUGCCAUGUCAUAUUUUUUUUAAGCCAUGUUAUUAUUUUUUUGUGAAAGUUAAUGUAUUGAUCACACUUAUACAAAUCAAUUCUCAAAUAUAGUCUAAGUGAUUGGAUUUUAAUAGAAUUUGAGCGGAAUUUGGUGUACUUUUGUAUAAAAAAAUAAGCAUAAACAGAAUCCAGCACUUCUAGCUUGGAUUUUGAAUUUAUCAAAUAUUUUUUUUUCUUUACGAUUCUCUUUGGUUAAGUUUUAAUCCCAGCCCAGAUAAAGUUAGACGUAGACAAAUUCGGUGAAGUUGAUUCUCCGUUAAUCCUCAAAACCAAUUCUCACCUCUUCUAACCCUAAACUCAAGUUUAAUCGGACGUACCAUAGCUUCUGACUUUGAAGCCAUAGUUCCAUUCUCAACCUCGUCGGAGUUUUCUCUAAUAUGCUGUCUUGUUACAAAUCUUGUCUCGUUAUAAUCCGAACAAAAAGGUAAGAACUUUGAUUUAAUGAUAUUAGAAAGUGUAGGUUUUGAUAAUCAACCAACUUGUUUUUAUUAACAUCAUACGAUCCCAUAUUUAUACAAAGACUAAGGCGGUGAAACAUAUUUCCUUGCCUUGUCGUAUAAGGAAACAAUCCUUAUCACAUAUAGGAAAAUAUACAACCAAAUAUAUGACAAUAUCUCCAAUACUCCCCCUCAAGUUGGAGCAGGAGAAUCUUGAAUGCCCAACUUGGAUACUAACUUUUGAAAUGGAACCCGUCCAAGUGCUUUAGUUAAUAUAUCUGCUAUCUGCGAAUCCGUGCGUAUAUGCUGAGUGACGAUGAUCCUCUCUUGAACUGCAUCUCUCACAGAAUGACAAUCAUUCUCAAUAUGUUUUGUUCUUUCGUGAAAGACCGGGUUGGCAGCUAUGUGAAUCGCAGCCUUACUGUCACAAAAAAACGAGUAGGAGUAAACUGCUCAAGAACCAGUUCUUUUAAAAGCUUUCGAAUCCAUUUCGUCUCUCGUAAUACUGUUGCCAUAGACCUAUACUCUGCUUCGGCAGAAGAAUGUGACACAGCUCGCUGCUUCUUAGUCUUCCACGCAAUAGGUGAUCCACCAAGCAUAACCACGAAAGCGCUGAGUGAUCUUCGGGUAAGAGGACAAGAUGACCAAUCUGCAUCGCAGUAUACUGAGAGCGUGAGAUCAGGGUCGGAUUGUAGCAGAAUUCCCAGACCCAACGUCCCUUUCAGAAACCGCACAACACGAAGUGCAGCAAGCCAAUGAGCCUCUUUCGGAUGCUUCAUAAAUUGCGAAAGAAUAUGGACUGAAUAACACAACUCAGGCCUAGUAUUCAGAAGAUAUAUCAGCCUACCAACAAGCCGCCUGUACUUAGUCGGAUCAGCAAGUGUUGGUCCCUCUGCUUUAGCAAGUUGAUGAUUCUGCUCAAGAGGUGUGUGAGCUGGUGUACAACCUAAAUUUCCAGUCUCUGUGACUAUAUCCAAAGCAUACUUGCGUUGACAAAGAAAAAUACCUUCUGGACCUCUCAACACUUCAAUACCAAGAAAAUAUUUUAAUUUUCCCAAAUCUGUCAUCGCAAAGCAUUUACCCAAGUAGUCUUUGAAACGCUUCACCAUAUGUAAAUUAUUACCACAAAUGAGAAGAUCAUCAACAUAAAUCAGUACUCGUAUCUCAAUAUCCUUGCACGAGUAAGAGAACAGCGAAUAAUCUUCAUAUGACUGAACAAAACCGAAUUUAAGAAGUGCAUCUGAAAGUUUCUUAAACCAACACCGCGGAGCUUGUUUAAGUCCGUACAAAGACUUUCUCAGGCGACACACUUUACCAGGAUGUGUAUGACGGAAACCUGGUGGGAGCUUCAUGUAAACUUCUUCCUCAAGGUCGCCAUGUAGAAAAGCGUUUUGCACAUCCAUUUGAUAGACUUCCCAUUUCUUUGCCGCAGCUAGACGCAGAAGAGUGCGUAUUGUGGUCAUCUUAACGACUGGAGCAAACGACUCAUUAUAGUCUGCUCCUGCGACCUGCUUAUUACCUUUCACCACCAAUCGAGAUUUGUGUCUUUUGAUGGUCCCAUCAGAAUUGUAUUUUAUCUUAUAGACCCACAGACUAUCAAGAGCUGCCUUUCCCGGAGGCAGAUCAGUAAUGUCCCAAGUGUGACUAUCCUCAAGCGCCACAACCUCCACUGUCAUAGAAUUAUCCAUAUUUUACUACGCACAGCUUCUUGAAAGUGUUUAGGCUCCUGUGCACUUGUGAUCGCAGUCAUAUAAGCCCGAUGACCUGGUGAGAAUUGUUCAUCAGUUAUACAGUCUGACAGAGGAUAAAGAGGAAUACCUGGAUCGUUAGACGAGGACAACAUGUUGGAGUUGGGAAGAGCGUGAUGUGUAUUAGGCGUGCUCGCGGCAGUCGGCACUGUAGAGAAGAAAAUCUUUCAACAAGACCGAUUGUGUCUUCUCUCUGUGUCCUCUACCAAGAUUUUCGGAGGUCUCACUGGCCAGAGGCGAGCCCAAGUUCUCAACGAGCUCUGCUUCUGGUAAAGGCAACUCAGUUUCAGUUUCAGUUGCUUCAACACUAGCAACAUUUUGUUCAUCUGUAUCAACUGCAGGAGACACUUGACUGCUCCCCCUGUUAUCAAGACCCACGACCCAGUCCUCAUCAAGAAUCACAUCCGACGAUGGCACUGCAGGCUGGUCAAGUUUUGACUCUGCAAACGGGAACACAUCUUCCCGGAACACGACGUCUCGAGAAACCAGAAACUCGUUACGUUCAACAUCAUACACUUUCCAUCCUUUCUUGCCGAAAGGAUAGCCAACAAAUAUACAUGACCGACUUCUUUGACCAAACUUAUCUUUGUCUCGAUUCAUCUUGUGCGUGUAACAGGCUGAUCCAAAGACUUUCAACAGUUUAUAAUCUGGUUGCACUCCAUAAAGGACUUCAUAAGGAGUUCUUCCUUUAAGUACAGAGGUCGGAGUUCGAUUUAUCAAAUAUGCAGCGGUAAGAACAGCUUCGCCCCAAAACUUAAUCGGCAAGUUAGCUUGAAACAUGAGUGCUCGAGAGACAUUCAAAAUAUGUCGAUGUUUUCUUUCAACCCUUCCAUUUUGCUGUGGUGUUGCAACACAAGACGUCUGAUGAACGAUGCCAUUUUCUUUAAAGUAAGAUGACAAGACCAUGAACUCGGUACCGUUGUCACUGCGAACCGUUUUAACCGACUUCCCAAACUGCUUUUCAGUAUAAGCAAGGAACUGUUUUAAGACAACCUUGACUUCUGAUUUUUCAAGCAACAGAUAAGUCCACACUGCUCGAGAAAAAUCAUCGACGAUGGUAAGAAAAUACACUGCACCACAAGAAGAAGGCACUCGAUAUGGACCCCAAACAUCGACAUGAAUAAGAGAAAAACAUUCUGACGUUUUAUUUGAACUAUCAUUAAAAACUUCUCGAGUUUGCUUAGCUCUAAAACAAAUGUCACAUGGACUAGAGCCAGCUAAGUUAGAAGAACCAGAAAACAAAGCCAAAUCCUUAAAUACUGAGAAAGACGGAUGCCCCAAACGCCGAUGCCACAAAGCCUGAUCGGAAAUACCACUGACUCGGUGACUCUUUGCUGAGACUCUGUCUGUGAAGUAAUACACACCAUCACGCUCUUCACCGGUUCCAAUCAGCGUCCUCGAAAAACGGUCCUGCAAGACGCAAACUGUAUCAGUAAACAUUGCAAAACAACUCGCUUGUUUCAACAACUUUGCUACAGAAAUCAGAGUGCAAUUUAAGUCUGGAACAUAUAAAACUCUCGACAACGUUAUUUUAGACGAGAGCGCAAGAGAUCCCCAGCUCAUCGCAUAUGUCUUUCCUCCAUCAGCAAAAGCGACAGAGCAUGGAGAAAUCGGCUCAACGUUCGUCAAAAGCGACAAUAAACCUGUCAUGUGGUGCGAAGCACCUGUGUCGAGAAUAACAUCACCCAGUUUACUCUUACCAGACAGUCUAUCUGCAGCAUUGGCUCCAGACUUCUCUUGAAUCAUUUGUGUACGGAUCUUCCACUGAUCAGAUGUGAAAUCAGGAAAUUCCGACGAGUUUGAACUCGUAGCAUGAGCCGCACAAGCUCGUCCACGACCACGACCACCACUACGGCCUCCUCUUCCACGACCACCACUACCUUGUCCACGCCCUGCACCACGUUCUGGAAACCACUCCGGAAAGCCCACUAUCUGAUAACAAUCCCGUUUCUCAUGACCAGUUCUUCCACAAUGCGAGCACAACAAUCUGGGUUUAAGAAUUGUGUUCUCUGUUCUGCUCUGCGUCUCGGUUGAACUCAACUGCUGACCUUUACGAGACACUUCAUCAGACUGUGUUUGUCGUGCGACAAACCCGACUGCUUCUUGCUGAUCACGUCCACGAGCUGACGCAAGGCGUUGUUCCUCUCUUAUUAUUUUACUGUAAAUCUUGCCAAGAGAGGGAAGAGGAUCUUGACCAAUAAUUGAGGUACAGAUUCCUCCAAACCGUGAGUCAUCAAGACCCAUAACAAACUGGUGAAUCUUCUCUUGCUCUCUUUCACCAGCGAUGGCAGCAGCAGCUCCACAGGUACAUGUGUGAACAGGCUGAUACAUCUGCAACUCUUCCCACAAUGUAGAGAGCCUUCCAAAAUAGUCCAACACGGACUGGCCAUCCUGCUUACACGAAACGAGCUGCACCUUUAUCUGAUGCACUCUCACUGUGUUUUCCACCGAGAAACGUUGCUUCAGAUUCUCCCAAAGCUGAUGUGCAUCUGUGAUGUACGUAACUGUGGACUUCACCUUUGGCUCGAUGGAAGCUCGGAUCCACCCAACAAGCAUAGAAUUGACUGUCAACCAAUUCUCAAGAUCUGGACUGGUUUCAGCCGGCUUCACCAAGGUUCCUUUGAUAAAACCUAACUUUCGUUUUGCUUGAAAAGCAUUCAACAUCUCCGAAGACCAUUCAUUGUAGUUUUCUCCAUUCAAACGAACCGACGAGAUCACGGCUCCAGGGUUGUCAGCAGCGUAUAGCGUAUACGGCGAGACCGACACAACUUCAUCUUUCUUUGGGUUGGCUUGAGCCAACUCACGAUCAUCCGACAUAGCGAAGCUUGCUCAGAAUCUUUGCAAAGAUCCGAUUUGUAACUUCUUCAAUCGUAUCAAUGCUCUGAUACCAUGUAGGUUUUGAUAAUCAACCAACUUAUUUUUAUUAACAUCAUACGAUUCCAUAUUUAUACAAAGACUAAGGCGGUGAAACAUAUUUCCUUGCCUUGUCGUAUAAGGAAACAAUCCUUAUCACAUAUAGGAAAAUAUACAACCAAAUAUAUGACAAUAUCUCCACUAGAAAGUAUUCUACAUUGGCCUUUAGAUUAUUAUAUGCGAUCAUUAGAGAGAAUUAGAAGUAGUGGCCUCGAUGCAAGCUGUAACGACCCGGUUCAUCAAAAUCGGUUUGGUUUGGUUUAAUUACAAUUUUAAUUAUAACUUAAACCAUCCUCUUUACUUCUUGGUCAAAUCGUGCAAUAUAUAUAUCAUUGUACGCAUCUCCCUUCCUCUCAUUUGACCUAGCCGUAAUCACCAUCGCAGCCAUUCUUCAUCGUUAUCUUCUUCUUCAUAUUAACCAUCUCACGUCAUGUUCACGUUCUUCUCUCAUCAUGUUGACCCAAGGCAGAGCCGGAGAUUCCUUACCGCGCCGGAGCCGUCACGUUCAUCACAACUAGCCACAGAUUUGCACCGCCAUGAUCCGCUUGCUGCCGUAGUUGUCAUAAACCACCGUCAGGAUCCAAGCUAGAGAGAUCGUGAUCUCACACCUGCUUGCUCCACUGUCGCUACUCACCCCCGAUCACCAACCGUUACCAUCAGAUACAUGGCUAAGGAGUGGUUUUGCGAGAGGUUUCUAGUACGGUGCAGGGGAUUCUAGGGUGUGCGCCAUGGCUCUUGGGAUAGAUCUCGUUUCCAGGAAUCUGUAGAAGCAAACAGAAUCUAGAUCAGAGUUGUGAAGCAAAAGUUAUUGCUGUUGCUUCUUGGGCAAGAAUAAGCUUAAGCUGUUGCGCUGCAGAGACAGUUCCGACCAGUCUCAGCGUAAAGGUGAAAUGGUCAGCCUAAUCAAAAUAUUUCAGUCUGGAAUUUUGUCAGUAAGUAUUUAACUCUUUUAUCUAUCAUCUCCAAGAAGCGGAUUGUCAUUCCAAGUUAUUUUCUGAGAGUUAAGCUUGUUUUCGUGAGAGGUGUUGGUGCAGUCUACGUUUGCGACCAGUCUGGAGACGAAGCUAAUUUGAUUAAUCAGAUGGAGUCCGAUCGGAGUAAAACCGGUGGCUACGGAUAUAGGACAUCUAGGGCUACAUUCGGACCGGAGAGAUUGAAAAGUUAACGGUCAGUUCUUGAGUUAUGCAUCUGUUUUCUCUUGGGUUCAGUUCUGGCAGAAUCAUCAUACUCAUUUAUUUUCAGACUUUCGGAGUUGCUGUGAUAGAGCCAUCAAGGGCUAUUCUGUGCUUCUCAGGUUCUUUAGAACCGUGGCAAAGGUGAGGGUCUACUCCGUAAAUCCCAUACCAGUAUAGAAUUCUCUCUAUCGUAGUUUAGAUUUCGAAUCAUGAUCCGUCUGUUUGAAUUGAGUCUGUUUGAAGUACAAUCAAACUCUAAUUCCAUUACCUAAUUAUAAUUCUCAAUUCAAUAACACCUCCUAUAAGUGUUUUUAGAAGGGUUUAUCAAUAAGAAAUUAAAAAAGACUUUAAAAUCAAUAAAUCUGACUGGAUAAAAAUAACUUACGAAGGCUUAGGAUUUUCUUAAAGCCUUCAAACUUCAAGGCUUUUGAAACCAUAUUACCAAUUACAAAAAAUAUCUUUUAUGUUUCAAUUUCCGCCAUUACGAUCUUCUUCUUCUUCCACCUUCACCAGUCUCGCUUAGACACCCUCUUCUAUUGAUUGCUCUUUGGCAAUGAAUGAUUCCUGCUACUCUGUUUAGAUCCAGUGAUUAAUAUCUACCCACCAUCUCUUGAACAUUGUGGUUUAUCUCGGUUGUCCAUGUAUCUUGGAAGGUAAAGGGCAAUGCAAUACGUUUCAUAACAGAACAUAGAGACUCAAGGGAAAACUUUCGCACAGUCUUUUGAUGAUCUCCUAAUUGGUCUUCAUUGAACUUAAUACUCCUUCUCGCUACCGGCACAACACUACAACAGCUCUGUGGGAUGAGAGAAUCUCUUGUCAUACGUCUAAGCAUAAGAGGCUACAUGAAGCAUCAGAUUUUCCCUCGAUCUAUCCAAAGAAAGCCAUUUCAUUGCUCUUUACUUAAUCUCCAGCUUAUGAUUCUCAACUAAAAUUAUUAAAUCAACUCAAUGACGAAGUGCAUUAUGAAAGGAUGCAAUUAUAAAUCAUUAUUUAGAUAAUGGAUAUGUUUAUAAACCGAUGGUUUAUAUGGUUUAAGUGUUCUAUACGGUUAAGGGUUACUUAAUUUAUAACAUAAAAAGUAGAUGUUAAUUUAAAAUGCUUCCGCUGCAUUUUAAUAAUAGGUAAUACAUGUUAUGAAAUAUUAACACAAUCUUUUAAAAAAAAUUAUGUUAUGAAAAAUUAACAUAAUAUUAAAAGAAAUAUACCUAUUAGUGUUUUAAUGUUUGUAUAGUUUAUAACAUGUUAGUCACCAAAGUGGCCUUGUUAUUUACUUAUAAAUAUUAAAAGAUAAUAGUAGGAUAAUUGAUCAUGAUCUAAGAGAUGCUAAAAACGACAUUAAAGCUUUAGUGAUCAAUUAUUUUAUUUUCUAUGUUCAAGGAGAUCAUCCAAAGGUGGAUCAUUGAAUAUAGUUAAUAAUAAGAAAAGGAUUAAUCACUUUUUACUAUAGUUGAUAGGAUACUAUUUGACUUGAGUUUCAAGUGAUUAAUCAUUAAAGUAUAUUUUAGCAUCACUGAUAAUGUUUGUGUUUAAGUAUUGCCCAAAGAUUGCUUAAAUACACUUGAAAGUUCAAGUUUACAUUUUUCCACUCAUAUCCCAGUUGAAUUUGAAAGGUGAUACAAAAUAAUUUAUACCGUGAGGCCACUUUUGCUUAAAAGUAUACCAAAGUGGUCUCAUAUCGUCUGCGGUAUACAUUUUUCCACUCAUAUCCAGUUUUCCAUCGCAUUUUGUUCACUGAUGACAUCCUCCUAAUGUGUCAAGCCUCAAUGGAGGAAAGUUCUGAGCUAAAAACCAUCUUAGGAAACUACGAGGCAGCCUCUAGACAAACCAUUAACUUCUCAAAAUCUUCAAUUAACGUUGGCUCAUUGGUUAACGAAAAUAAGAAAGAAGAGAACAAAGGCAUUUUGCGUGUCGAGACUGAAGGUGACGAAAGUAUGUAUAUCUCAAUAUUCCAAAGAUCUUUAGUGGUUUCAAAAUCAAACUCCUUAACUUUAUAAAAGAAAGAAGAGAACAAAGACAUUUGCAAAACUCUGCCACUUCUUAUGAAGGGGUCUCUGGAGCAUUGGCUGUUAAAGAAAGGCUAAAAUUUCAUUGCAUCAAUCUGGACACAACCUGUGAUGUUUGUGGGCAUCACUCCGAAACUAAUAUGUCAUGUCUUUUUUUGUCUCUUAGCACAAAACAUAUGGGACUCCUUAGGCUCCAUUACCACCAGUGGGGUUCUCGCAAAACUCGGUCUUCCUAAUUAACUUUCAUCAUCUACUGAAGACUAGCAAGAGAAAAAACACCGACUACAGGUUACGAAGAACCUUCCCAUGGGUCCUUUGGCAUCUCUGGAAAGCCAAAACCACUCUUCUCUUUGAAAAAGCUCAAACCUCACCUUUAGAUAUUUUGAGCAAAGCCAGGAAGGAUGCAAACUUGUGGAUUCAGGUUAACUACCAAGAAACACCCUCUAUUAACCAUGCUGCCGUUACACCCUCUACUAACCCUGCUGUCGUGAGACCCUCUACUCAUACCUCUGUUUGGCAUAAACCAAGACAAGGAGACCUGAAAUGUAAUGUUGCUUCCUUCUGGAUACUAUACAAUCACCAUGGAGAAACAUUACUCAAUAGUAGAAGAACUUGCACCAAACUAGGCUAUGAAGUGCAUGUUGCACUCCUCAACCUCCACUGGGCCAUUAAAAGCAUGAUGCACCUCCAUUUUCACCGAAUUAUCAUAGAGUUUUCCUUGACUGCUCUGAGAGACGUUCUAUCCUCACCUGAAUUUUACCCUCAGUACCACAAGUCCACAACCUCUUUGAUGAUCUUCAGUACAUGCUUAAGUGUAUUGAUUAUUAGUGCUUUUGCCACGUGUCUCCUUCAGAAAACCAAGUUUCUGAAAGUAUUGCAUGGUCGGUGAUACUGAUAAGAGAUAAUAUAUCUAUUGUACGUGGCAAAAUGGUCCGUUGUGGCUCACCACAAUCCUUAAGGACAAUGCCAUGGAUAUGCUCUAAGACGGCCAUGGACUUGUGUUUCUAUCCCUCAUUGGGGUCUCUUACCAUUUAUUUUCUAUUUUCACUAAUGCUUUCUAGUUUUCAGAGUGGUUUUAUUUUUCUUUUAUAGAGCUCUGUUUUACUUCCUCCUUUAUAACUUCAACAUCAAUAUAUUGAAUAUCAAACCGGUGUUUAAAAAAAAUAACUAAGUUACAGAUGUAAACUUUACCAUUUGACUCAGGGUAUGACUGGUUUCUCCGCUACCACCCGCAAAAAAAACUUUUGCGGUUGAUAGUAGUUGUUGGCGUUUUGCAACAAUCACUCAGACCGCUCUAAACCGCUUCAAACCGCUUUUUUACCUCAUAAAUUCAAAAGUUGGUUCGAGCUAACGUUUGGGCGGUUGCGGGAGGAUAAUUUUAAAAAAAAAAAAUAUAUAAAUACAAAAAUAAAAACAUUCAAUAAAAAAUUUAAAUUAGAAUUAUAAAAUACUAAAAUAUAUCUAUUAUAUUUUAAUUAAUAUUAAAAAAUUUAACAAUAAUUUUUUUUCUAUAAUUAUUAUAAAUGUAAAUGUAAUAUUUUUAAUUUAUUAUUUAACCACUUCUGCAUUUGGUAGUUAACCAGUCAUAAGUACCGCACAAACACACCAAUUUCUAACCGCAUAAACAGUCGUACUAAUCUUUUAAAACUGUUAGAAACCACAACCACGCGCAAUCGCAACCGCUACGUUUGAACCAGUCAGACCAUCUGUAAUGUUUAUGAUAAACAAAAAUGAAAAAUAAAAAAAUCCAUAAUCAUUAACUUAAAUAUUCUAUAUAAGUUAAAGAUUCAAAAAAAAAUUCAUUUUUGAAAUUCAAAUGUAAUUUUUUUAGAAUUUUUUUUAAAUUAAGAAAUUUGAAUAAAAUAUGGAAGAUAACUUGUUCAUUUCUAUAUUUAAUAUAUAUAUGAAAAUUAUUAUACAGCCCAAAUUGGCAAAUUAGGUUAGUUUAGACAUUUUAUAAGUAAGUGUAGUUUCCUAAAUAUAUCUAUAUUAUAAUAGGAGAGUUUUGAGUCUCUCCUAAAGGUGUCCACGUGGACAUAUGUUUAAGUUUGUGGGGUACAUGUUUGGUUUGUUCAUUCAUUUUUUUUUCCGACUUGGGAUCUCCGCCUCGGUUCAAUCAUUUUGGUAUAUUCGGUAUCAUCGUAUUUCGUCUCUUCCAUCCGCGCCGUUUCCUCUAAUCUCUAAACUCUUAGCCUUGUCCUUUGCUUCUUUUUUUUUUCGCGACCGUCCUGCUGGUUAUCUCAACAUGCCGUUGAAGUGGCUAGAUAUCUACAGUGUACUGAUGGUUAGAGUUUUGCUGAAUUGGUUCCCCAACAUUCCGCCAGCCUUUGUCUGCCAUUAGAGAUCUCUGUGAUCCUUAUCUCAAUAUCGUCAGCCCUUUACUUGCUUUUUAUGCUUUGGGUUCCAUUCUCAACAAUAGCAGAUGAUUAAUUGUUCAAGUUAUCACUACGCUUAUGGAUCUUUGGUCUUUUAUGAACAACUCUUAAAUUAAUUGACCCGCAAGUCCACCAAUGACUCGAAUUUUCCAUUGCUUUCCACCAUUACAUCCUUAUUGUAAUAAGUUUUUAUAAUACUCACAUAACGCAUCAAUGUUUAGUGGUCUCCUAACCCCAGCUGAGAGAACCCAAUCUGUCAUGGUGGACACUACUGUUAACCCAAAAAUAUUUGGAGGUAAGUUUAUAUUUAAACUUAAAAACCAUGUUGACAAACGUUUUAGUUAAUGCAAAAUAUUUGGAGCAACCUAUGCAGCUGGACUGGCCGUUUGAUUCUGGAAGGAAGAAGACAUAUUUGAGUCAGGAGGAGAGAGGUCAAAGAACUCCAAAGUAUUCAGACCGGUUAUGGAAGAAAGUGGAGUCGUGGUGCAAAGCGGGGGAGAGAACAUUCGAUCGAAUCUUUGAGGUAAUAUAGAUCUCAACAUUAAACAACUGACCUUCCGUAUGUUAAUUCCUUCUUUUAAUAUUUGGAAUUAGUACUGUGACUAUAGGAUUUUCAAAACGUUUUUGAUUGAAAUUUCUCUGUUUUGUUAUACACUGGAGAUUGUUGACCAAAACGAACCCAAGAUUUAUCUGCUCUGACAUAGGUUGUUUAAGGUAAGAAAACUUCAUAUCUCUUUGAUUGUUUUUUCAGUUUGUGGAUUUUGUUCCCCUUUUAUGCUGGUUUAAAUCUCCAUAUUUACGCAUCUCAAGUUUCAGUCCUCUUACAGAGACAAUCUAAUCAUGAUAGAAAGUCUCUUAACAUUUAUUAGCAGCACACAUAUAUAUCUAAGCUGUGAUAUUCAGGCCACAAUUGAAUGUUUGAGAAAUUUAAAUGGGGAAUAGGUUGUGAAUAGGUUUAUUUUGGUUGAUUAGUUGGUAACAAUAUUUCAAAAAUUUAGUAUAAGUGAGAUCAUCUGCAAUGUUUUAUCAAUCAGUGCUGAUCUGUUUGUGUGAUAGUAGACGCGUGGCUAAAGAGGAGCGGAAAAAAAUGGGGACUAAGGCCGAUGAAAGGUUUCUAUUUCUCAAACAUCAAUAUUGUACAAGUUUUCUUUAUAUCCUUGGUCUCAGCAAGAUUUUGCUUCCCUUUAUUGGGCUGUGUUUUAAAAGCUGUCAUAAGUUGCACUAACUGAUAGUAAAUCAUUGGUGAGAUGGAAAAAAAUAUUACAGGAAAUGCUUUGGGGUUAACAAGAGCUGGCAUGGUGGCCUAUUUUGAGGUGCUGGUAGUGGUUGUGGCGGGGGUGGGGUGAUAGACGUCGUGGGAGCGUCAGCAAUGUAUGUGGCUUUAUGCAUGUGGUCGCUUUGUCAAGACUGAUGACUUCAGACUGAUUAUUUUGCAAGAAGGUUUAUAUCAAAGGUAUUUUUCGAUGUUGAAUCUUGCCUGAUAGAAUUAGCUAUUUAGCCUUUAUCUUAACAUGUUUACCUUUUUCUUGCACUUGAUGGUUAUAUAAGUUGCUAUAAAAAACCUCCCAUGCCGUUCUUCACUUUAUUCGGGAUAGAGGAUGCAGAAAAUUAUGUUGUAAGUUUCUGAUGCUGGUUCCAGUCUCCUUCAUUGACUCUUUGUGAUCUAUUGAUUAUAAAGCUGUAGACAUUGCUAAUUAAUCUAUUGUUUUCUGAACAGGUUGUUGCUUUCAACGAACUCAAAGUAUUCGCUCGAGUUAGAUCCAUCACCAACCAAUAUAAACGUACAAUUUUUCUUUAUAUUUUUUCCUUUCAGUUGUUCAACAUAGUACCUGAAUUAUGUGAUAUGUAUUGGAUUUGCAGAUCAGGUUUUUCGUUCAGGACUAAAUAUAUGCUAACAAUUCACGUCCUCCAGAUCCAGGUUCCGUGGAUAGUGCCAUUUUGUGGUCUUCGACAGAGAGACGAUGAAACUCAUCAAAAAGAGGCUACAAGUCUGGGUCUUAAAGAGGUACGUUUUUCUUUCAUAGUUCAGAUGAUUGUAUAUAAUUGUUUAUUCUGAAGUCCCACAAACCCCAACCUAAUUCAGAUGACCAGCAGUGAGGAAAUGGAGCUACCAAAAUGUCUUGAGGAGUUAGCUGGCAAUGAAUAUGUUUUUCAUCUACGUUGACUCCUUACAAUUUCACUCCAAAUCACCGUACGUUCACUGUAUCAUCAAUCAGUGAAGACGUUUUUACAUUUCAAUCCCACUUAGCUUUCAUUUCAUUUCAAUUGUCUAUUCCACAUGUUUCCUCUAUUUCAAACUUUGGUUGUCUCUAUGAUUUGCUGUAAACUAUUUUUUACUGGUGUAAAAAUUACUAUGACUUUAUAUAAUAAAGGAAGCGUGAACGUGUCUUUAGUUAAUUACCAAUGUCCCCAACUUUAUAGAUCAGUAAAGUUUAACGUCAAUAAUGCAUAAACGUGAGUUAUGUAAACAAGAUUUUUUUACUCUCUCUGACUUAAGAAAUGAAGAUUACAGCCUAAAAAAGAAAGACAUUUAAAAUACAGACAUGUAAACCUUUUCUAUUUUAAAAUUUUAUAGUAGAUGUAAUUUCACUUGCAAACUCUGCAAUAUUUAAAAUAGCAUUCCCUCGCACCCAAAAAACCACCAAAACAAUAAACUAACUGUAACAUAUAUAAAACCACAAACAUUUUUUUUCAAAUAAAUUCAGAGAAACAGCAAACAUAUAAUCAUACCUUCGAGAUAAGUCAUUUGAACACUAAAAGUAAAAAAUUCAUAAACUCACCACAACGUAACCAGUUCUAGCCACACAAAGCGAUCAAAGGUUUACCAAAAAAACCCCACAAAACACAUGAUAUACAAUUCUACUCACAUCCACUGCACAGUUUCAAUAACAUUUUUUUUUGGUAAAAAUGUAAAGAUAUUAUUACCAAGUUUUUAAAUUUUUGACAGAAAUACAAAGAAACUAGUAGCAGAAAAAUGAAAAUAAAAUCCUAAACAGAAACUCUAUCUAGUCUAAACCGGGGCAGACACGACAAACCAAAGCCAUCGCCUCGAAGCUUGACUAAGUCAGCACCAUCCACUUGCCACAAAAGGAAGAGUCACAGUUAACCCGAGAGCCGGAACCCGGUAAUUUUGGCCCUCCCCGAUGAUCCGCUCUUUAAGAUAUUGACUCACCCAAGACCAGCUCGUGGAGAACUUUCUUAGCUUCCGCCCACAAGAACAAGCAGCAGCGGCAAGGGCCAAGCACUCCAGCCGCAACCAAACAGAGCAUUUAUUAGACACAGAACAGACUAGAAACCAAUCUGCUCGAGCCAAAACGGUCGUAACCUCCGUACUCCUUGCCUUGAAGCCCCGAACCUGCACAGAAUUUGUCACGCACACCACCACUAAGCUCAAGAAAACCUAAGUGAUGCUGGGAUGUGAACGAGGACCAAGCGUCGACGUGAAUCGCUACAACGCCUGAAGUCGUCGAGAACCGACGAACUAAAACCCGUGCUGCUAGAAUCCGUCUCCUGCGACAGCAAAGACAGUAUGAAGAACCAGGGCCUAAUCCUCACCGAAGACCGUCGCCUUCAGAGGACAAACAAACCAGGGAUCGAGUAGAGAAGAUCUGAAGUGAAGCGGCUUUGCAAGAGGCCACUCAGGAGGCACAGACAACCGCCCUUUGAACCUAGCACAAGACCUACACGAGCCGGAACAGAGCUCGAGGACCAACCCACCUGCGAACUCGAGCUACAAGACUCGCCACCGUGAUAAUGAGAUCCACCGGCGCACACUUAGACUAAGGAAAGGAGAGACCAGCGCUCGACGACACCGACGAGAACCAAGAAACACCAACCCGAGCCGAAUGACAUCCUAGACCAGAGGCGGAGAACCACCGACGAGCAGGAAGAAUCAAACCGUCUCUUCUCCUCUCGAACAGAGAGAAACCGGACUAGAUCUGAGGAGAAAAAGAUCUAUGUCCUGAACCCAAGAGCCGACUGCAACAACCAACCACCGUUCAGCCUCCUCACCAAGGAUCCAGAGAAAGCAGAUAAGCCGUCGGAGUUGCAUCUCCUCUGCAGCGGAGCGCCCUCCGAGACCAAACCCUAACCCAGAACUUUGUGCAUAUCGAAGGGGAACGAGAGAGACGGAGCGGCAGCAAAACGAGAAUGAUAAAACGAGAAACAGAGGACCUCCGGCGCCGGCACGCGCGCGGACGCGCCACCACACGCCGGGGGAAAAUCAAAGCACCGUAAGAGAGAGAGACUGUUGUUCGUGAGAGAAAUUGAGGGAGGAGAGAGACUGACCAGUUUCAAUAACUUCACAGACUACAACGACUCUUUGGCAACUUACGGUAAAGAAAAAAAAGUCAGUCAUAAUACUGCUAAUGUAUAUAUCAUAUAUAUUUACGUCUAUUUAAUAGUUCAAAAACUAAAACGAGGAUAAAUGAAAACCAUCAACAGCAGGGGCGAAGCUAGGUUGAUGACUAAGGGUGCACGUGCACCCAGUCUAUUUAAAAUAUUUAACUUUUCACCUUGUACAAAUACAAGGCAAGUGGCUAAUUUGGCAAUGAUGCACCCAUAGUUUCCAAUGAACCAGAGUUCAAUACCCCCUACACUACAUUUAUUUGUUAUUUUGCACCCAGUCGUAAUAAAUCCUAGCUUCGCCCCUGAUCAACAGUUCUAUUUAUACGUAAUCACAAAUAUUUUAACGCCAAGCAUUCAAAAUAGUGCAUAUAAUUUCCUUUAAAACCCAUAAAGAUUAAGUUACAAAAACAGUAAGACAAUUAUUUGGUAGUCACACAAACUAUUUUAAAAUUAUUUCUACAGGUCUUUGUUUUCCUAAAAUCUGGUUUCUACGACAAUUUACAAAUUACUAAAAAACACACAUAUAACUACCAAGAUAAGAAUAGUAUACAAUAUUUCAAAAUAUACCAAACUUCGACUAUUCACCUGCUAAAGGAUCAGUCAUAAACAAAAGAUAACAUACAAAUUUACAACUACUCUUUACCGCACCAAAAACGUAUGAAAUAACAAAUAUUCACAUGCAAAACACCACUUCAAAGGACACCAUCUUCGCAUCCAUGAUAAAUCACACUUCCAUCAACGAUCUCCGCGCAAGCGCGGAGGAUACGCACCUGCGAGGGAUACGCACCUAGUGAUUAAAAUGGUACGGUUUUAAAAUUGUACUAGAUUAUGACCCGCCCUUAAAAGGGUGGGUAUAUUUUUUGUUUUGCAAUUUUUUAGAAAUUUAAUUUUUAUAUUUGUAGUUUUAGUCAUAUUUAUGUUUUUUUUGUAAAAUGUUUCUCUUAAAUGAUUAAUAUGAAAUUUUAAUAAUUGUAUUAAUAUAGUUGGACUGCUCCUAUAUCAAUAGGUUACUAGGUGAUUUCCCGUGCUUAUGCACGGAUAUAAAUAUUUCUAAAGUAAAUAUACUAUAAUAAAUGAUUGUUAUUUAUUUUUUUAUUUUAUAAUUUAUAUGCAUCAUUUAUAUUAAUAAUAUUAUAUUACUUUAAUUAUACUUAUGAUUCUAUAUAUGUUAUAUGUAAUCAAUUUUUGUUGUUUUUUAUAGUCGAUUUAGGGAACGACUCGUUUUCCCGCUACCACCCGCAAACGCAUCUUUUGCGGUUGGUAGCGGUUGUCGGCGGUUUGUAACAAUCACUCAAAUCGUUCUAAACCGCUUCAAACCGCUCAGAAUCUCAUAAAUUCAAAAGCUGGCUCCAGCUAGCGUUUGCGGUUGCGGACGGUUGCGGGAGGGUAAAAUUUUUUUUCUUUUUUUUAAAACAAUAUAUAUACAAAAGUAAAAUUAUUUAAUAAAAUUUUAAAAUUGAAAUUAUGAAAAUAUUAAAAUAUAUCUAUUAUAUUUUAAUUAAUAUUAUAAAAUUUUAUAAUAAAAACAAUUUCAAUAAAUUUUGAAAAAUUGAAAUUAUAACUUUCUAAAUAUAAAUUUUAUAUUUAUUAUAGUUUUAUGAUUUUUGAUAUUUUUAUAAUUAUAUUAAAUGUAAAUAUUGUUAAUUUAUUAUUUGAUUGUUACCGCAUUUGGUAGUUAACCAAUCAUAAGUCACCCGCAAACGCACCAAUUUUUAACCGCAGUACCAGUCGUACAAAUCUCUUAAAACCUCUAGAAACCGCAACCGUCCGCAUCCACAAACUUCCGCAACCGCAACCGCAACUGCUGCGUUUGAACCAGUCAGGCCCUUAGUUGUCAUUUGGGUAAAUUGGAUUGCAUCUCUGAAUUCAACUGUAAUAUCUUUUAUUCUAAAUAUAUUAAAUUUUGAUUAAUUUCUUAUUUUCAUUUAGGUGAUUUUUGUCUUAGAUAUGUAAAUAUAUUUUAUGAAGAUUAUGUAUAACUUAAGAUAUAUUGUGAUUGUAAUAAAUUAAAAAAUUAAUUAAAGUGUGUGAUUCCAAAGUACAUAAAUUAAUGUAUCGAUAAUAUUCUGAAGUCUCAUGCAUAUAUAUAAAAUUUUCAAAAGAACUAAAUUGUAACCGUUGGUUAUUAUUUUAUUUUUAUUUUUAAUAUGUUUAGAGUUGUCUUUUGAUUUAUAUUUAUAUAAGAAAUUACUAUUCUUAUAAAAUUAUAUAUUCGAUCGUAGUUAAAUUUUUGAUUUUAGAUAUAAUUUGGAUUAGUCGAGUCACUCAUGUUCUGAGUAUAUUUACUUACAUAUAUUCUUUCAAAUUCAAAAUGAAGUAUAAUUAUUUUUUAAUAUAAUUAAGUCAAAUCAAAUCAAUUUUAUUUAUCAUUUUAAUGUUCAUGUAUUUUCAUAAUAUUUUUCAAAUUAUAUGUAGAUGUUUUUAAAAAAAAAGAUAUUAGAAAAUAAAGCGAUGAUCAAUAGGAAGUUACAUGCCUAAGUAGCUGAUACAUUUUUGGAAGCUAAUGAACACUUAUCAAUAUCUACAAUAAUUAAAUAUUUUAUAAAUUCUAAAUAACUUUAUGCCUUUGAUUUAUUGAAUGAAAACUGAAAUUUAAUUUAAAUAAUCUUGAAAAUGAGAAUUCAGAUUUGCUUUGGUAUUUUGAUUAUGAUUAUAUUAAUUCCACAAUCAUAAAAGAUAAAAUUUAAAAGCAAAUCUAAUAUUAAGAAAGCAAAUAAAUUAAAUAAUAAUAAAAUAUAAUAUAUCUACCUCAUUAUACUAUUUUAUAACUAUUUGAUCAAACAUUGUUUAUUUUUAAAAUUUAUUUUUAGCUUUUUAAUAUCUCUUAAAAAUAAGCAGUCAAAAAAUUGUGAUUGUAUUUGAAAAUAGUACUAUAUAAAUAAAAUAAAAUUUAUCAAUAUUUUUUUGCUGUAAUUGAAAGAUAUUGUAGUCAAUUAAAUAUAUAAAAACUAAAUCAAACAUUUUAAUAAUAUUAAUUAUAAACUAUUUUUAGUCAAUUAUAAAUAAAUCAAUUUAUGUAAUCAUCUAAGAAAAUAGAUAGAUAUAUAAAAGUAUUUCUAUUACUUUGAAUUUUUUUUAUUGUUUAUAAUUAUGCUUUAAAAGAAAUAAUAUUUCUUUUUCUAAUAUCAAGAUUAUUUGUGUAAAUGGUUACUAUUUAAUGAAAUCACAUUAUAUACUAAUUUAUAUUUUUCAUCUAAGAAAAUAUAGAUGUAAAGAAAGUAUUUUAAUACUUCAAAAGUAUAUUUUAUUUUAUUUAAAAUAAUUUUUAAUUUUAAUAUUACUAUUUUGUGAACUUUCUUUUUUAUGAAAUCAUAUUAUAUAUAAAUAUAUUUUUCAAUUUUUUUUUAAUUUAUAAAACAAUUCGUUUUUUAUUAUAUGUUGAUUUUUUUUUUGAAAAUUUUAAAAAGGAAACUAAAUAAAAAUAAAUAACUGUAUUUGAAAUAUAAUAUUUUAAUUCAUUAAGGAUAUCAAUGUAAUCAACUAUCGUGGGAGUUAACGUAAGAGCGACACAUAGGAAAUUGACUUCUCAAAUAAUAUUAUAGAGAUGUUCCUGUUUUAAUAGAAUAGAUGUCAAGUAACUCUUUAUCAAAACAUAUAUACACUUCGUUGUUUGAUACAUGAAGACGUAAUAGGCUAAUAGCUAAUGAAUUUUAUAUAGAAACAAUAUCGACUUGACUAUCUUAAAUAAUAAAUGUAAUCCCACCCGCUCUAAUAUUGAACAGUUAUAUUAUUGGUGAACUGCAUAUUGAUAACAAACGGUUACAUUAGGGUAGUAGUCGAUAAAUCUAUACUAUAUUAAAAAGGUUAUAUGAGCAUCAGAGAGGAUGUCCACGUCAGCUUCAAAAAUCGACCAAUAGGAGUGCUGCUUUACGCCACAUCACAGACGAAACUGGACUUUUAUUUUUAAUCCGUAAAACACAUAUCAUGAUGGGCUUUAUUCGUUUGUUGUAUGUUUAGGCUGUGCGUUUGUUCAUGUAUCAGGGCCGGAAAGAUAGUGUUCACCCUCUAAACCUAAUUCCGCUCAAACAGAAGAUCACGGGUCGUCUCUUUCUCUUGCUGCGACUGUAGACGUCUGAGCUUCCUUUCUCCAUCUGAAACGGCCCGAUUUGUGAUUCAGUGAUUAAUCAUAUUAAUUGCAUCACCCACUAUAAGGUCUUCAAUGCGUUGUUCAUCUCCAAGUCGGUGUGAAAUCUGUAUAAAUAUGUGAGUAUUUCUCAUUUCUGACUCAUUCUCUCUUCUUAUCUCUUGCAACAUACCGAUUCGAGUUGUUAUGGCUAAUUUGAGAGUUUUCUUCUCCGAUCCGAAGUCCGACAGGUGCUCCUCCGUCGUCGAGGCUAGGCUGCUGCGGUUCUGGGAGAGGAGAGAGAUGAAAAGGCCGGUGAUUGAUUCCCUUAUGGUCAUAAAAGAUGCGCUAGGGUCAUUCUGAAAUCUGGUAAGAUUCACUGUCUUUCUUAUGAUUAUGAGCUAGAGUAGUUUAAAAGAUCGGGUAUUAAGGUUCGAAAUAAGUGUUUGAAUGUAGAGCUCAUAUCUUGAGUAUUGAUUUGUGAUCAUGUGAUCUCUAUUCUACAGUGACCACAUAAACAUGAUUCGUUUCUUUGUCGCACCAACUCAUGUGCUUUGUUCCUUACAUUGAUGGGCUUAGUCCUUGACUUUAAUUAUCUCACCUUGAAUCUUUUCCUCUGCUAUGCCUAAUGGUUUUUUUGGGUUGUUUCACCUUGAGUCUUUUCCUCUUGCAUUGCUUUCCAUGAUGAAGAGUGGGGAGUUCCUGUCCAUGACAACAAGUACGUGAUGAUAUCUCUUUUACUGUUUAUUUUUGCUCAGUCUGGGAGAUGCUAUUUGUGUAUUAUAAAUGCUCUUAUUUGUCAAACUGCUUGCAUGAAAAUUUCCAAGUUAUUAAGCCUCUCUGGUGUUCUUUCCGAACUAUCCUGGAAAUAUAUUCUUUUCAAAAGACAAUCAUUCAGGUAAUUAUGACCAAUGCGUUUUUUGUAACAUGAUCUUCUUAUGAGCCAAGUUUUAAAGUGCAUUAUCUUUGUUUUAACAGGGAAAUUUUCAUGGAAUUUGAUUCCUUUCCUACAUCUUCACAAAAAAAAGAGAACAUCCCCUGAGUUGCAACCACUCCAUUACUAUCCAUGAUCCAAGGCUUAAUGGUUUGCUUUCUUUUUUUUUUCCCAUUACAGUAAUUAUCUGGUUACUAUACGAACUUUGUCACUACAUUCUAAAAGCUUUGGUAAACAGCAUAGUUUUUAAAUAUAUAUAAGUGAUUAUGCCUUAAGUAACUGUGCAACCUUUCUUAAGAUCUCAGUGGAUUGACUGUACAUGUAUUGCUUUUUUUGUUCGUGUAGGAAAAAUAACACUCCGCCAGACUUGAAAACGGUUUCAGUCAACCAGGUUAAAGUACUUGACUGCUUGUGAUAGACUUAUCAAGUUAAGAAUUAAUCUGGUACAGCCAUUUGAACGUAUUUAACACAAGUAUCGUGUGCAUGUAAUCUUUGUGCAAUCAAUUUGCUUCGUUGGCUGUUAGUAGAACUCAGACAUGCUUCACUCACAGCUACUUGGGAUGUUUAUUGAUCAGAAUUCUCUCUUUACAGGUUAAACACAGGUAUAGAGUUGCACAUUCCCAUCUUUGGCUUCCCAUAUGAGAAGAAAUUUGGGAACAUCGUCUGGAAAUCAUAGAAUUCUUUCUUUACCUUCACCUAAAACAAACAGAGAUGAUAGGAGUGUUCAGAAAAAUAUCCAGAUUAAUACAGAGUUAGCCAGAAGACUAUGAACGCACAUGAGGCAGAAGCAGCUGCAAAACAGGCAGUUUCACAGGUAGAAGCUGCCAUGACAGCGGCUGAAGAAGCUGCAAAGGAAGCAGAUGCAGCAGAAGCUGCUCAAGCUUAUGCCUAAGAAGCUUCAAAGACAUUGAAAGGAAAAAAACAUCUGCAAAGUGGUAAACACACUUUUCUUAUAUCACACAACACAUGAUAAAGAGAAUACUUUAUCAUGGUCGUAUUGAAAAUUUGAUUAAACAGAUGGUUUGUAAGUGAGGUGACAUAGAAGAAGAAGCUAAAUGUGUUGCAGGUGACGAGAGAGUGAUGCACAAAAGUAGUGUGUAUGUGUUGAUGAAUUUCGACUUAGAACAUUUUUUGUUGUAAAGAAGAAGCUAAAUGUGUUGCAGGUGACGAGAGAGUGAUGCACAAAAGUAGUGUGUAUGUGUUGAUGACUUUCGACUUAGAACUUUUUUUUGUUGUAAAGCAGUAAUUUUAGAUUCACAGCCAUUUUAUUAUUGCUCACAUUUACUUUACGGCCAAAAUAAGUUAUAAAAACUGAAAACAUCGAGAAAUAAGUUACUAUCUACCAAUUUAUUAUAAUCUAAAUUUUCUUAUAUGGUUGAGAGUCUUGGAGUAUUGAACAUGUUAUUCCAAGGAGGAAUAUACCAGCAGAUGCUAUCGCACAAAGUGUCACGUGCGUUUCAGUCACAAUAUCAUUCAAAAUUGUCAUUAAUAUAUUGGAAACUAGAACUGAGCCUACCAUUUUUAUUGUUUACUAGAUUGUCCAGUUCAAAAUUUGAAAACUAUAUUAAUAAAUUAGGAGAAAAGCAUUUUACAUUAAAUAGGAUAAGAAUAUUAGGCCGUAAGAAAAAAAAAAAAAUAUAUAUAUAUAUAUAUAUAUGUAUAUUUGUUAGAUUGUAGAAUAUUCUUAAUGGAAAUAAAAAUAUGAAAAUAAUGUUUUUGGAUCAUAAUGUUGGACUGAAUAUAUUCAAAACAACUUAACAGAUGCAUUAAUACUUAAUACUGUAAUCAAAAAAUAAAAAGUCAAAGUUUAAGUUAGAAAGUAUAUAAAAUGGUAUAUUUAAUAGAAAUGUAAUACCAUGAUUGGUACUUAGAAAAGGUAGCAAUUGCAAAACAAAAUAAUAUUUUUCUUUUUCUGCACAAAAUAAUAUAUAAUAAUAAAAAUUAAUUAAAUUGUGCAUAUAUAUUAAGAAUAUUUUGAUUCUCUUUUUACACUUAGAUUUAAUCUUUUUUUUUGAAACCAAACUUAGCUUUAAUCAAGAAUUAUAUUUAACUAUAAUUAGAUUUUAAUAUAUUGUUUUAUGUUUAUAGUUUAACAUAUAAUAUGGUUAUAAACUUACUCAGACAAGUAAACUAAUAUAUUAAUUUCAAAUAUUUAGUUUUAUUAUCUAUUAAAUCGCUCUUUUCAAUUCACAAAAAAAUAGUGACAGACAAGUAAAUAUACAAUCUAUAUAUUUACAUCAUAUUCCAUUUGGGUGAGAGGUUUGUAUUCCUAUAGAAGGAUACCGCUUUUUUUUUUUUUUUUUUGUCGUCAACUUUACAGACUCAUAUAGACUCUGUAAACCAAGCCGGAAGAUAUUGAUCCAUGUGAACGACGAAAGACGGCUGAAUCCUAACACUGCGUGCUAGGCUAUCCGCCUUUGUAUUCUGCGCUCUUGGUACAUGGACGAUCUCUGAUUGUAGGAAACUUGCUCUCAGACUUUUGAUGUCUUCCAAAUAACUUGCAAACGCUGGCCACUCUUCUGGUUCCGAAACCAUCUUCACCAAUUGAGAACAAUCCGUUGCAAACGUAACCUGAGAUUGACGUAAAUUCCUCAUACAUUCCAUAGCCCAUAGUAGUGCUUCCAUCUCCGCAUGUAGAGGAGAAAGGCUAGCCCGAACAUUCCUCGCCCCCAGCAACCCAGCGAAGCCUUCUAAAGUGCUGUGCCAACCCUGGCCGGAGAAAGUAUCUUUCUCUUUCCAGGAACCAUCUGUGAAACACCAUCGUCCUGGAUUUAACAGUGAAGACCUAAUCUCUUCCUGUGGGACCAUUCUCUGUUCAUUCACUAGUUGGGCUUCAGCCCAAAGGGUUGAUUCUGUUUCCGCCAAUUUGAGCGUAUCCCUAGGAUCAAUAUCCAGAUUACUAAAAACCUUACUAUUCCUUCCUUUCCAGAUAUACCAUAGUAUCCAUGCGAACUGAUGAUCAUCUAACUGCGGAAAGACUCUCCAGAAAAGAUGAUCCAUAUUUGCAAAAAGGGAUUGUGUGGGAAAUGUAGUUGGAUUUGAUGGUAUCUUUGAGAGAGCCCAAACCUGAAGUGCUGGAGGACAUUCGAAAAACACAUGAUUUAUCGAUUCCUCCUCAGCUCCGCAUCUUGUACAACAUAUAUCGCCAGUUAUCCCUCUCGCUUGUAAAUUUUUCUUAACCGCUAUACACCCUGUCACCAACUGCCAGAGAAAAUGUUUAAGCUUUGGUGGACACCUGACUUUCCAGCAGAAUGAUUUCAAACCAUCGACCGUAGGUCCAAAAAAUGCUGGUGGUUUUGCUCUAUCCGGGUAAACUCGUUCUACCUGAUAUCCCGAUUUAACCGUGUAUUUCCCAGUUGUUGUGAAAUGCCAUCCAUCUUUGUCCUCCAACUGAUAUCUACUCAGUCGUAUACUCUCGAUAAUUUUCACAUCCUGUGGAUCCACUAGAGCCUGAAGUGCCUGCGAGUUCCAAAUUCCCAAAGUGGGGUCUAUAAGAGAAGCCACUGUGAGGUCAGGGUAAAGAUUGUGUUGGUUUUUAUUUGCUGGUCUCGGGCGAGUGGUUGGGAGCCAAGGAUCAUUCCAUACAGAGAUAGAAGAUCCUGAUCCCACCCGUUUGAUUAGUCCUUUGCUAACCAGAGAUCUAGCUGAUGUAAUACUCCGCCAUCCAUAUGACGGAGAGUAUGAGCGAAUCGGUUCCAGGGGUGAGGCAUUCCUGAAAUAUCGACCUUUAAAAACUCGAGAAAAUAAAGUAUUUGGCUUCUCGAUCAAUCGCCAAAACUGUUUACCAAGCAUCGCUGUAUUGAAAUCAGUGAUGUCUUUAAAACCCAGUCCUCCUUCCUCCUUGCUAACACAUACUUUAUCCCAAGAUUUCCAAUGCAUACCUCUCGUACUUCCCCCGGGGCUCCACCAAAAUUGGGCUACCGCACCUGUCAGUUUCUUUACGGUUGCCUUAGGCAAUCGAUAGCAAGACAUCACAUGAUUUGGUAAUGCCGUAAUCACCGAUUUAAUAAUCACCUCUUUUCCUCCUUUUGUAAAGAACUUAAAAGUCCAACCAUUAACCCGUUUGUUUAGUCUAUCCUGCACAAAACUAAAAACCUGAACCUUUGAACCCCCAAGAUUUUCUGGUAAUCCUAGAUAAGUUCCCAUUCCUCCAUGAUUCUGAAUGCCCAGGAUGUCUCUCAUUUCCUGUCUGUUGGACUCUUCAAUUUUAUGUCCAAAUUGGAUCGAAGACUUCUCAAAAUUAAUGAGUUGACCUGACACCAUCUCAUAUUCCUUUAAGAUUCUGAGAAUAGUUUGACAUUCCUCUCUCUGGGCUUUGCAAAAGAAAAGACUAUCAUCCGCAAACAGUAGAUGUGAAAUGGAAGGACAUGCUCGAGCUACCUUCAUUCCUGUCAAUUGUUUCCCAUCCUCCGCCUUUUUAAUAUUUGCAAUCAAAGCCUCAGUGCACAAAAUAAAUAAAUAAGGAGAUAACGGAUCUCCUUGCCGUAACCCUCUAUUCGGAAUAAUAAGGCCUCUUGGUUGUCCAUUUAGUAAAACCCGAUAUUGAACCGAUGAUAUGCAUUCCAUCAUUAAUUUAAUCCAAUGAAGAUCAAAACCCAUCUUCUCUAGUAAAGCUUUAAUAAAGUCCCAUUCCACUCUAUCAUACGCUUUGCUCAUAUCCGUUUUAAUUUAUAGAAGGAUACCGCUAAAAAAAUUGAAACAUGUUAAAAUAUUUAAUUUUGUUGAAACAAGUAAUUCUAAACAAUAAAAAAUAUUGCAAUAAAAUAAUAAUAUAGAUUGAAAAAUAUAUCUAAAGCAUUAAUAAAAUUUAUAAGAACAAUAAUUCAGUCUUUAAUAAUUUUAUAAAUAUCAAUCAAUAACAUAUAGUUUUUAAGUCAUAUAAUAUCUUUUUCAAUAUUAUUAGCAUUUGCACUCUAAUAAUUUAAAAUUCAUUUUCUAAUUUAUAUUUUGUAAAAGUCAAUAAAGAUAAAUUGUAUAUAUUCAAAUAGUAUUAUGACAUAUUAAUAAAAACAAGAAAAACAAGAACAUCAAAAUCAUUUGGUACAACAAAUUUAACAAUACAAACUUACUUUCCAAUACAUUUAACAUAUUAUACAAUAUAUGAAAACAAAGUAUUAAAAUUAUUUAUACGUUUAUAGUUAAUAUGAUUCUAUAUGGAUUAAAACUAUUAUAUAUACAUUUUUACGUUUAGUGGUUGAAGAAGUGUUUAUAAUGCUUAUGUUUUAGAUAUAUAUAAUCUAAUUUUCAAACAUAGAGAGCAUAGCCAAUUAUGUUCUUGAAAAACAUCGUCAAUCUCAUGUUCUUGAAUAAAGAAUUCAAUCAAAGAGAACAUAGCCAAUCUUCACCUACUUCUUGAAUUAUGUAAAAGUUUUAGAUCAGUAACCAAACUUAAUUGUUCGAACCUGUCACUUCCGUAAAACAAAACAUAUUAUUUUUCAAACAGAAACAUUUUAUUUUGUUCUAUAACCUCUGAUAGCUUCCAUCAAGAUUAUUUGAGUAUUUCAAAUAGGAAAAAGACUGCAUGAAGUUUUUAGCAAAUGGAGCUGGUGUAUAUAUCAAUUGUAAUAAACAUCAUCGAAUACAAAUGGUGAUGGGGUAGAAUGAUGGUGAGAACUUACCAUAAGAUUAUAUAAGCAAAAAUAUAUUUUUUACAUUUAUACAUUAUAAAAAAAUUAUAUGAUCAUUUAAGUUUAGUUAAAAUAUAUGAAAAAACCCGGGCGUAGCCCGGGAAAAAUCUCUAGUAUAUGGAAAAAGAAGUGUAUAUAUGACAGUAGACAUAUGUUUAGUUAUUAAUAGGACAGUUAUAUUAGGGUUAUAUGAACAGGCGAUUAUAUUAUAAAUUAUAUUAUAAAUUAUCAAUGAAAGUAUGUCAGCCACUAAACACCUCAUAUGUCCACGAUCAAACAAAAAUGCAUCAUAUCUAUACUAUACUAAAAGGGGGAUAUAAGCCAUGGAGAGGGUGUCCACAUAGGAUAGAAAAAUCAACCAAUCAGAGAACCCGAAAUUGCCAUGUCAUCUCAUUUUUUACUAUACUAAAAGGGGGAUAUAAGCCAUGGAGAGGGUGUCCACAUAGGAUAGAAAAAUCAACCAAUCAGAGAACCCGAAAUUGCCAUGUCAUCUCAUUUUUUUCGUAAAAAAUAAAAAAACAAUGCGAAGGUGAGCAUCGAACCCGGGUUAGUAUGAUAUAUAUAUAGGACAGUUACCACUAAGCCAUUGAAACUUUCUUGGACACAUAUACAAGAACCACUAAGUAUAUAAUCACAAACUCUUAUGUACAUUUACAAUAAUAUGAAUUCAACUUUCAAGACUCCGAUACUUUAUUUUGUAAAAAAAAAAUAAGUAAGUGACUAAGCUAAUAUAUUCUUAGAAAGUGUGAGAACGUUGACAAGUAUGAAAAAGCAUAGAUUUUUGUUUUCGUGACAAAGUUAAGAAUUUUGUAAAAGUAAGUUUAACAUAUAAAUUUUCGUGACAAAUAUGAAAAAACAUAGAUUUUUGUAAAAUUUUGACAAAACAACUCAUAACAUACUUCUCUAAUGUCUUAAUAAAAUAUUAUUUAAGGGUGCAAUAAUUAAAUAUAUUAAUUCAAUAAAUUUUGUAAUUUAUAGACAAAACAAUAACACAACAAAUUUUGAAACAUUUGUUUAACCUAUCGAUUUUUUUUCAUGAGAAUCCAACUAAACAAGAUAAAAAAAAUAAUUAGAUUUACAAAUAUUUAAUUACCAUUUUAUUCAAUUUUGAUUAAUUUCAAAUUAUCAUAAUGUAUCUUUUUGAAGUUACAAAUAUGAAAAAGCAUAGAUUUUUGUACAAUUUGACAAAACAACUCAAAACAUAAUUUUUCUAAUGUCUUAAUAAAAUAUUAUUUAAGGAUGCAAUAAUUAAAUAUAUUAAUUCAAUAAAUUUUAUAAUUUAUAGACAAAACAAUACCACAACAAAUUUUGAAACAUUUGUUUAACCAAUCGAUUUUUUUUUCAUGAGAAUCCAACUAAACAAUUAGAUUUACAAAUAUUUAAUUACCAUUUUCUUCAAUUUUGAUUCAUUUUAAAUUGUAAUAAUGUAUCUUUUUGAAGUUACAAAAAAAUAAUGUUCUUUCUUUAUUACACUAGAAUUAUAUAUAGAUUCUAUAUACACAAAAUAAAUAUAAUAUAACAACAUAAAUUUACUUUCCCCGAUUCAUAUGAAAACUUUUUAAGUUAUCCACCAAAGCAAAUUAAUUAAAUCAAUGAAAUUGUUAAAAUACAGCAAAUUAAUAUAUAAUUUUAUUUUAAAUUAAAUUAUUUAAAAAGUGUAUUUUUGUUAAAACAAAAUAAUAAAUAAGUAAAACUGAUUUGAUGGUAAUUUUUAUGAUAUAUAUAUAUAUAUAAAUUCUGUGAAAGAAAUAGAAGCUUAAUAUGGAAAAAAAUCUUAAAUACAAAAACCUCUAAAAAUUAACAAAAAAACUAAUAAAUUAAACUAUGAUAUCACUUAAAAGCUUCUUAGACCAUAUUAAUAAAAUAUUUAAGCGAUAAUUAGACAAAUUUGAUUUUUUUUCCAGCAAAAAAUUUAUUAUUAAUUAGCAUCAGUUAUUUCAAGAUGUUUAAGAAAUGGUGUACAAAAAAAUAGGAUGGACAUUAAUGAUAUAUGAACUAUGAAUAGUACUUUGCGAAGCAGACUUUGAUAACAUAUAUGCAUAUACAUUUUCAGUCCUUUUUGAUGCCUAAAUUCAAUUUCUUCAGAGUAAUUAUUCCACAAAUAGAUCGUAUGAGAUAUUGUUUUGAUAUGUAGAUUUGUUUUUUCAAUGUUAAGAAGAUUGAUAACUGUAAAAAUGUCUCAUUCGUAUAUGAUAUGUCUAUAACCGAGUCUCCAACAUGAGACAAGUUUGUUUAAAAAGUAAAUAAUUUUAUUUUUCUUAUAUUAUAUAAUAAAUAUAUAUUAUUUACUGAUAAUAAAAAUAUAAUUAUUCAUCUAUCACAAAUAUCUAUGCAAAUAUGUGAAUCAAGUACAACAAUCAAGCAACAUAAUGAUUUCCACAAAGAAAAUUUAAAAAAUAUAUUUAUGUUAUGUAGUCAUAUUUUAUAUUUUUUAAAUAAUAUAAUACAAUAUUAUACAUUAUUUUUUAGAAUUGAGAAAUACAUAUAAUAUCUUAUCCGCGCGUAGCGCGGUUAAAAAAUCUAGUUGUAUGUAAUAGGAGAAAACGGUUAAUUAGGAAGAAACGGUUACGUAAAAAUGAUAUAUAUAUAUUUUGUUUAUCUUUAAAUAAAGAAAAUAAAUAAGUGGACAUAACCUUACAUCAAUUGGUCAUGUUGCUGUUUUAAUAGAAUAGAUUUUCGUUUAAAGUACUUUUGAAUUUUUUUCGCUUCAGUUUUUCAAUAACACGUGUGUCUUAUUUACAAAAGGAAACAAUUUCACUGAAAUUAUAUGAUGAUGUAAUUAUUAUUUAGUGUCAAAAAAAUAGCUGAAAAGAUAUAUACUAAAAUUUUAGAUAAGUUAAAAAUAUCAAUAACGACAAAAUUGUGUUCCUCUCCUUAAAUCGCUCUGGUGUUCCUAUAAGUAGUUCAGAUUCUUUGUCAACACAAUUCAAUCUAGCAAAAAUUUAUCUAAAAACAAAAAUCCUAAUCAAUAGUACAAUAAUCAUUUAAAUAUUAAUAGAGAGUAGAAGAAAAAAUCGUGCAAACUAAAAUGGAAAAAGUAAAUUUCUUUGCAAUAAUCUUUAUGGUGUUGUUGGUCGUGACAAGGGUUUCUGCGGAAGAGCCACCGGUGAAAGUGACGGCCAAUGAGGUGACUCUUGCGGCGGAGGCGGCAGCAUCGAGUUUCAAAAGCAGCGCCGGAGAGGCUGCUCAAGGGGCCAGAACAUGGGCCGAUUGGGCUACGAGCAAAUUCAGGUAACAUUCGUCUUAUUUCCUUUUUCUGUUAUUCUUUAACGUUAAAAAUUUUGGGAGAAAAACCAAUUAUCAAUUAAGUUUUUGGUAGUAUUAUCUUCAGACGUUGUUAAAUUACAAUCUUUCCGACUUCGUUUAUGAUUUCAAAAUUCGUCUCGUUAACACAAAGAUUUAAAGAACAUGGGUCAAUCAGUGCACCAUUCGUUACCAUUUAGCGUUUAUCAUUAACCAUAUUUAUCUUCUGUUUUUGUAAGGAAUGCUGGCGUAAAUUUUGAAAAAGCACCCGAUUCAGAGUGAAACGUAUGGAAGUCUCAAGUAAACAUCUACCUUUAAGAAUAUGCAUAAAUGUUUAUCAAGAAAAAUAUGUAAAUUGAGCAAGCAACAAUAUAGUUGCAUUCUCUUGUAUCUUAUUGUAUAAGAAAACUUUCCAUUAAAGCUAACACGUAAUUAUCAAUAAAAUUUGAUAAUAUUAUGUAAAACCAAUACAAAACUUAAAACUCAUGGUUUGAUUCAUAGAUGUAGUUUAUGUUUCUAGAGAACACUAAGACUCAUGGACCUCUCUGACUUGACACGGAAGACAUGUUUAUUGCAAAAAAAAGAGAGACCAAAUCCUUUCUCCUCAGGUGAACAAUAUGUCCAAAGUUUCUUCUUCUUCUAAAUGCCAGCAACUUAUAAAUAUGGAAUACCCAAAAAAGCACAGGGAGACAAACUUAGAAAUCAAUAAGAUAAUUAUAACUACCAUUUGACCCAUCAGUCUAUGGAUAGAACAAGAUCCAUAUGCCACAUCACUUUCUUCCGCGGGUUAGCCUCUGCAAAUGGUAAUUGAUGUUUCCCCACGACUUGGACUUCUCCGCCUACAAAGCAAAAGAGUUUCAAGUAAACAAAAAGUUCACCGGCAAAGGCAGAAGAAGACAAAAGUAAACACGCAAAAAAAAGUUAUUUACAUGUCCGUUCAUACAAACGCUCAGGAGGUUCUUCUGUUUCUCGCAGUUAUCAUCUUUGCAUUUGUUGAGAGCCAUGCAGUUGAGGAACGUCACCAUCUCCUUCAUACAUGGUUUCGCUAUACCACCGAGCUUUUUCGGGUUUAUGUACAAAUUUCCAGCCUUUCUCCCCAUGGCUCACUCAAGUAUAAAGAAACACCAACUGAGGAACCACAAGCCAGAAAAAAAAAAACAGGAAUCAAUACUAACUCACAAACAUUCCGACAAACCUUCCUUCAACUGAACUUAUCCUAAAAUACUCACUUUUUUAUACCACUGAGAAAAGUUCUAAUCACAUUUAUGAGAUUAAGAACAUUGUAAGCAUCUAAAUUACAUAAAUGAAUAAUACUGUAUCGCCCUUGUGAUUCAACCAAUGCAGAUUUAAUAUACAAACCCAAGGACCCUAAGCUAGAAAUCAAAUAAAAAUAACUUGGAUUCGAGUAGCAUCUAGAAACGGUGUCAGAUCCGAGAGGUAGAACGAAACCAAAAAUCGAAAGCAGCAGGGCAUGAAAUUAGAUUGAAUCGACGACACAUUUUGAGAGAGGAUUGGAGCCGAAACAACUUACAGUGUUGGUAGAAGCGGAAUAAAGGAUUGAUUUCUGAGGGAUACGCUGGAGAAAUGGCGAAGGAUCGCAGGUGAGGAAAAGAUGCUGAGAAAGAAAAAAAAAAGUAGAAAACCCUAUGGUUAUUUCAGGUAGCCCAUGGACUCUUUCCCACCAUGACCCGGCCCAGUGAUGACUUUACCCAUUGAAUAGCGGAUACUUGAACCGAACCAAAAUUUAAUUUAUUUGGUAAAGCAGUUAUCUUGUGGAUCGUGCCGCUGUCUAUGUCCAUUUGUUUCUACUUUAUAGGGGUGGGCGUUCGGGUACCCGUUCGGGUUCGGAUCGGGUAUUUCGGAUUUUCGGGUAUUUCGGUAUAGAGGUGUAGAACCCGUUCGGGUAUUUCUGUACUUCGGGUCGGGUUCGAGUAUUUUAAGUUCGGUUUCGGUUAUUUCGGAUCGGGUUCGGAUAUUUAGAUUUUGAAGAAAAAAAAAUGAAAAUUUUCAUUUCUCAAAUUUCUUGUAUUUAAAUAUAUAAUUUUUCACUUAACUAUUUUUUUAUUUUUAAUAGAUUGCAUGGUUAAUAGAUUUGGACAUAACAUUUUCAAACUAAAAAGACAUUAAUUUGGUUAUUGUUUUUAAAUUUUGGAUGUAACUUUUUGUUAAUUGCUGAAAUAAAUAGUUUGACAUGCAUUUUAAGCGAAUAGCAAAUCAUCUUCUACGUAAUUGUAUGUAUAUCAUAUGAAUUUAAAGUAUGUGUAGUAUCAAUAUAAAUAUUUUAUAUAAAAUGAAAGAUGUAAACUAUAAAUAUAAGGUUAAUUAUCAUAUGUUCGGUUAUUUUCGGAUAUCCAUUCGGGUUCGGAUAUUACCCGUUCGGGUUCGGAUAUCCAAUCUCUCCUAAUUCAAUACCCGUUCGGAUAUUUUGCUACUUCGGUUCGGAUUUCGGUUCGGGUUUUUCGGAUCGGGUUCGGGUGCCACUUCGGAUUUCGGGUAAAAUGCCUACUACUUUAUGUUUUUUUUCUUUUUUUUCCGUAAACUCAUUCUCUAAACAUUAUUUAAAUUUUGAUUUACAUAUGUCAUGGUUCAUUUUAACAAAAAUUGACAAGGCUUCAAUUUAACUGGUACACGUAUAAUUCUAUUUUUUAAUAAAAUUUAUAUUUUUGACAAAAAAGUUUUAAAUAUGAUAAUGAGUUUGACUGAUAUAUCACCAUUAAAGUAUCAUUUCUUAACAAAUAAUUAUUUUUGACAAAAAAAUUAAAUAUAUUAAUAAAUAAUAAUUCAUAUAUCUUCAUUGAAACUAUAUAUAUCACAUUAAUUACAAACAAACUAAUUAUAAAUAUAAUUUUGAGUAACUUUUUUUUAAAGAAGAGUUUAUACUCUAAGAUUUUUUUCAAGAGAUAAUUGGGUCAAUAUACUCCAAUCGCUAGAAAAUUAAAAAAGUACCCAAAAACAAAAAGAACUUGUUGGGCCCGUACCUUUUUGCGUCCCCCUUUCCAAAAAUGCCCUUAUCGCCUCGAGACGUGCGGCGAGUAGGUGAAAAGUUGCGAGUCAGCGUGAUCUUCAGAAGUGCAAACAAAAGAUACUAUUCUGAUAUAGCUUUCCGGCUGACAUCUUUUCGAGCGACCGGUUUCUUUAGGUUACUCUGUCAAGUACAAACGGAUCGAAACAAAAGCCCCUGGAAACAUCUGUGGAUCGUAAAAAUGGGGGGGGGGGGGAAUUACAGGUUAUCCGAAUUUUUUUUGGGAUUUUGGUAGUGUAUUUAAUGGAGGUCUGGGAAAACAUAAAUGUAAAGCAUAAUCGAUAGAGAGAGAAAGAAACAUGUUAGAGUGAGAUUGCUCUAGUGGCGAAGAUCCUUUUACAGUAGUCGUUAUCCCUUUGUGUUCGAGGUAUGUCUCUAAUAUUUUUUAGAUUUUACUUUCUGCAUUAAAUUUCUUAACUGCAAACAAGUUUGAUACUACGAAAUAGGUGUUUUGGUCCAUUGACAUUUAUUUUGACUGUCAUAACUAUCACAGUAUUUUAAUUCCAGUGACAAGCAUCUCAAAUGUCACAUUCCCCACGGAUAUUUCAGAAAAAAUUUCCUACUUGCGUAUCAUCUCCACAUGCUCAGGGAUAAUCCGAGGAAAGUGUGAUGUCGGGAUUAAAACACAAGAGGUAAAAGUCAGACACACAUACUUCAAACGCAUCUCUCUGUCUUUUAUUUUCUUCUUCUGUAGCAUUUCGAUGGUCGUGUCGACUAAGCAGAACUUGAGAGAUCCAAUUAGUUCCCUCCAGUCAAGCUUUUCCUUAAUGGGGUGCUUCUUCCGUUUGCAGUUUAUCUUCGGAAUCUUGCUGCAAUUGAGGCUGGUGACUUGUGCGAACUCGUGCAUUGACAUCCUGAGCGGCUUUCAGAGAAGAGAAACCAAGUCUUGUACUUUUUUCACGUGGAGGAUUCGGACAAUCACGAACUGGCCGAACCUUCCUGAAAAUGAAGGAUUAUCUGCUAGUGAAAUGAUCUUCCCAAACAUCGUCUGCUGCAGGAAGUGAACCUCUUCUGGCUCGAGCGCAUCUAAUAUAGAUUCAAUUCUCUUCAGUUUGUGGUAAGUGUUUACUCUAUCUCCGGAUGGUUCUUCACCAGCUACAAACAUCCGUUCAUGCAGUAUUGCUUGCUCCAUAGUGUCGCUCGGAGAUAAAGAAAGCGUCUUGUUUCUCUAAAGAAAUAAAAGUAGGUCUGGAGAAAUGAAGAUGCAAAAAUUGGAAAAGAGUGCUAUUUCAAAAGGAUCCCUUACACGUAAAUGUAAAAGCUGACUUUUCAUUUACCCUUUUCGUCAUUAAAGUAAAAAUAUUAGAAAUAAUCUAGAGAAGCCUCGAAACCUUAAGUGACAUGCCGUGUAAUAGUGUGUUCUACUAAUAGGGUCUGACACCAAGGCGGUGAAGACUAAAAGAUAAGCGUGUUAGGAUGUAGGGGCGAAAUGGUAUUAAAAUAAAAUAGAUCAAUAGGGUGGCAUUUGGCAAAUUUCGAAUAUUUCCGUAUACAUACAUCAUAAUUUCUCUUUUUCAAACGGGUUCUCAUUUCUAAGAGGAAAAGAAAAGGAUUAUUUUUAUGAUGUACUAGAUAUAUAUAUAUAGAUAUGGUUCUGUAAGUUGCACAUCUGUUAUUUGUUAUAUUAGUUUUAAAAAUUACUAUCAAAUAGAUUUUAAAAUUUUAUUUUUAUUAGGAUUUUAUAAAAUAAAAAUAUUAAAAAAAUCUUUUUGUUUAGGAUUUAAAAAAAUGGAAAAUUACUAUCAAAUUUUCUUUUACAGUUUUUAAGGGAUUUUAGAAAAGUAAAUUACUAUCACAUAAUCUUUUGCAAUUAUAUUUUUUUAGAAUUUUAGAAAAAAAAUUACUAUCAAAUACUUAUUUCCAAUUAAUAUUAAAUAAUUUUACAAUUUUACAAUUUGAUAAUUUAUUUUUGUUAAUAUCAAGAUUAUUUUAGGCUAUACUUUUAAAAAAAAAUAUCAUUUCUCUUUUAGUUAGGAUUUAAAAGGGAAAAUUUCUAAUUUUUUUAAGAUUUUAAAGCAGAAAAUUAUUAUCAUAUAAUUGUAUGUUAUUAUUGUCACAUGUAACAAUUUUUUAUUAAUAUAUCUCACGAUCAUGUUAAUUAAAAAGCUUAGAAAAACAAAAUUUUGAUUAUCCUCGAUAAAAGAAAAUCCGUGAGAUCUAAGAGGCUAAAUUUUUUUUUUUUUUUUUUUUCUAAGAGGCUAAAUUACAUAAGACUAAUCUGAGACACACGUAAUAGAAUGUUGACUGAAGAAUGAUCUUGACUUGGGAUCAUAGAAAAUUAAACAGAGGCUAAAUUACUUAUUUUCACAUACGUAAACAACUUUCAAACUUUACGUUUCAAAUUUACACUACGUCAUUACCUAUGGUUUGAUCUGAAACAAAUUCAAACUAUUAAAAAAAAAAAUAGGAAGCCGAAAGAGAAAGAAAAAGAUAACAAUUAGAAUUCUUCCAGAGGAGACCGGAGAAAAACUAGAAGCCUAUUGAAAGACGAUAAAAGAAUCGGGUUGUGUGAAAUUAAAUUGACAUUAUGCCCUAUCACCAUUUACGAUCAAUCGAAAUUCAAUAGUUCUUAUCCAAGCCGUAUUUAAUGAUAUACUCCUUUCAUUCCAUGAAUAUAAUAGUUUUGAGAUUUUUAUUUGUUUCACAAAUAUAAUACUCUCUGUGUUCCUAAAAAUUAAUGUUUUCGAAUUUUCAUACUUUUUAAUGUAUUGUUUUUUGUAAUUUUAUAUUUUUUAUAUUUUUAAAUCAAUAAAUUUAAAAAAUGCAAUUGAUGUUUUUGAAUUUCACAAUUUUCAUUAUUAAUUAACAAAAAUUACAUUGUAAAUAUAAAUAUGUAUUUUUUUGAAAUAAUUUUUUUUCUAGAAUAUAAAUUUUUAGGAACGGAAUGAGUAGUUUAAUGUGUGUUUAAUAUAAUUCAAUAGCUUCGCCUUCCACACACCUUACAACAUGUUUUGUUGUUCUUCAGUCUACAUUUGGUCCAUUGGAUGUAUAUUUUUUUAAAUGUUCUUAAUACUAUUUCCUUGUUACAAACAUAUGAUGAUUCAUCUUUUCAUUGAUUCUAUCAUGUCUUUUUGGACACGAUCUUCCCAUCCUCAAAUCAUAAUUUCUUUAUUUUGAAUUUCCAUAGCUAACACGUGAGAUAUAUAUAUGCUUUACUUGUUUGAGAAGAAAUCAAUAAAAGGUUGAUGUCUAAGAUAAGCAUACUAUGCAUACAGUGGUGCUAGAAUGUUCGAGCCACAAUCCCAUUUUGAGAAGAGUAACCAGAUUUUCUCUCUAGGUACCAAAUACCAAUAAACAUAGAUAGAUUUGAAAAAAAUAAGAAGCAAUUAACAUAAUAUUUUUUUUGUCGGCACAAUGGCAUUAUCAUCUUCACGUAUAUAACAAUCCAAACUAUUCUUUAAAUGUGCCUCUGUAGAAAAUUGAACUUAUUUCAGACCGAAGAAUUCAGCUUUGUCCACUUCCGGAAAAUUGUCAUAAGUAAGAGAGAUGAGGAUUGGCUAAAUAACCCACAUAUCAAACCAAUCCACAAACCCUGUUUUCACCAAAAUAAUAGCUCCAAAAUAAACACAAAACCAUAAAUUUUUCUUUAUCAUCAAUCAAUUCAUAAGAGAGUAAUGCAGUUACCUUGGCAUAUAACUUCAACUUGAAACCACAGAAGGCUGCAAUAGGCAUUCCAAUGAAGUAGAAUGUUCCUAGAUUUACAACCGUGACUACCCUUUGCCAUCCGCAUCCUCUGGCCACUCCUGUAAGCAAUAAAAAGGGAGGUUUCUUUUUGCCUUCGAUUCAUCGAGAAAGAAAGAGGCUUUCUUGGAUCUUUUAUUGGGCCCUCUUUUAUUACCUGAUAGAACACCUUGGAUCGAAUCAAGAGUUAUAGAGGCAGCAAGGAAGAAUCUCAAUGAUGCAAACUCAUCUUUAAUUAAAGGACUAUUGCUGAAUAACCCAACCCAACCAUCAUGACCUACAAAUAAAGUAACCACUACGCCAAGAGCAAGAACUAACGACAACUUGGUGGAAACAGAAGUCGCCUUCUUUGCACCUUUUACAUUUCCUGCUCCAAGUUCGUUCGACACACGAGUACUGCAGCAUUUUUAAGUUUUACAUUUUCGAAACAAUAUAUUAAUGAGAGGAAAAUACAUAAUUUUCAUGACUCAUGAGAUUACUAACCUUGCAGCUGCGCUAAGUCCAUAUGUUAACAUGUAGCUAAUUGCUUCCGUGUUGACGCUGAAUUAAUUUAAUAUUUACGCAGCAAUAUGCUACUUUUGUUAGAGUGAAACAGAAAAUUAAUAAACUAAAUAGUAAUAUAAAACUUACCAUAUAGCUACCAGAGAGGUGGCUAUUUCCGGGUUCGGCAUCAGUCCUGCCAAGACCACAAGGAUCUCGAACGCCCAAUAUUCCAAGCUGUUGCAAUAACAUAGUCUCUUUAGAUUUAAGAAGCAUAUAUAUGGAAUUAUAAGCAGAUGACAAUAAUUAUUGAUCCGACCUACCACACCAUAGCAGCAGAAGGGAGACUUAAUGUCAAGUUUGUUACUACAUAACGGAUUGAUUCCAGUGAAAAUCCGGUCCAUGUAUCCUUAAACUUGUCGGAACAGAUCACAUAAGUCCCAAGAGAAAGGAAAGCUAUCCACAAUGAAAUAGAUGUAGCUAUUGGAGCACCAAUGAACCCAAGGCUAGUUAAAUAAACCAGAACAUAGGAUAUGCCGAUAUUAAUCACCAAGGGAACAAAUGAGAAGACAACUAAUGGAGUAACGAUUGAUUGUGUUUGGCAAAAUCUCAGUAUGUUUUGUAAGAAUCCGUAAGCGAGUAACCCGGGAGCUUGGUAUUUCAUAUAUAUUGCAGCUUGUUUUGAGAUGUUAGGAUCUUGUCUGAUAAGUCCGAAAACUGAUUCUGUGAAGAACCACAAGAUGGAGAUGAAGAUGGUGAAGACUAAUGAGACUAUGCAAGAUGAUUGUAGAUGAAUCCCUAACAUUCUGUAGCUUUUUGCACCAAAGCCUUGUCCACAUAAUGUCUCCAGUGCUCCACUUAAACCAACCUGAAAAAUAAAGGACAUUAACUUCUAUUUUAAACAAUCCACAUGUAUUAAAUCACCAUUAGUGAUUUCUUUCGUACAAAAUCCUCCACAUGUCACUUUAAACGUCUUAAAUAACAAGAAAACUGGGUUAUUAGUUUUUUUUCACAUCACUUACGACGAUUAAUAUGUUUUAUUAAAAUUGCCAUAAACAACUAAACAAGAAAGAAAUAUUUGUAAAUUCGAAUAACUAAUCCUACAUAAAUGGAUGAAGUGGGUUCUAGUCAUUUAUGCAGCUAAUUAAAUAUCAAUACCAAAUGUUAAAUAAGGAGCUUGAGGUGAAGAGCGGAAUGGUACCAUGAACGCAAAACCGGUGACGGUUGUCCAAGAAUUGGCGAGGGUUGCAGCGGCAAGCUCGAGCUGGCCGAGGUGAGAAGCGAACAUCACAGAGGUUAAAGGGAUACAAUAGAAGAAAAGAUUUGUGAAUAUCAUUGGAAGAGAGUAAACGAUUUGAGCCUUUGAUUCUUCCACGUCGAUCAAUUUUUGAACCCAAGAGAAGCUUAUGCUUCCUCUGUCAUUUACAUUAUCAUCCAACAAUGGAGAGCUUGAUAUGAUGGGAUCAGCCAUUGGAACUUCUUGGUGAAAGACUUUGCUUAAUUUAGUUGCUGAGAAAACUUGAAAAUGUGUAGAAGAAAGCUAUAAUUUGUAAAGGGGAAGAUUUGAAUUAAAUAAGGAGGGUAAGUAGCAACACGUUAUUAAAUAUAGUUGGCACAAAGACAGGCAAACAUUAUCUAUUCCAUUUAUUGUCACUCAAUGAUUAAACUGUAAACUACAAGUGUUUUUUUUUUUUUUGCUUCUCUCUCAUUUUCUCCCAAAACCCUAAAAGACCACAGUUAGUAGGUGAAAGCAUUGUAUCGUAAUGUUUAAGGUUUAAAGAUUUUUACAUCCAGGUCUAGAGUUUAAAUCUUAGGCUAUGCAAUUUUUAGAUCUAGAGUUCAAAUUUUAGGCUAUGCAAUUUCUUGCAUAUUGUACAUUACAAGAGAUCCAAGUUGCAAUUUCCGGAGAAAACAAUUUAUUAAACAAUUAUGUAGGCUACUAAAGAAAAGCUUACAAGAAAAUUUCAACACUGUGCAUGUAAUUCUGGGCAGGCGUGGAUUUUCAUAGGAUGACUCAUGUGAUAUGAAAAAAUUGAUUUUUCAGAAAAAAAAAUAAAGCAAAAAAAUCGUGGGACAUAGAGUAUAGGUUUAGGUUUUUGUUUUUUUUUUUAUUUGAGGAUUUUUAAUGUUUUCUUUUAUUUUAAUUACUUUAAUUAUUUAUCAUGUUUUAAUAUUUAACCAUUGUUUUUUAAUUGUAAUUUCGAAAUUAUAAUUGAAAUUAAGGCUAUUAUUUUCUUUUUAAAAUAAUUAGUCUAACGGAAUAUAUAGUAUAUGAGAUUAGUCGAAUGAGACAUUGUUACCAUUUUUUUUGCUUAAAAAAACAAUUUUUCCUUUUUUGUCAUCAUAAACACUCAUAUACUAUUUUUUAUUAGAUAGAAAUCUGACAUAAGCAUCUAAAACUAUUAUUUAUUUAUAAAUGUCAACUAGAUUUUGACCCGCGCUUUUCAAAAUUUAAAAAAAAUCUUAUUAAAAAAUCUAUAUAUAGUGUAUAAGUUUGGCCACAUAUAUCCAAAACCGAGAAUUAAACCGUACCAAACUAAAAAAAAAUCGAAUAGAACUGAAUUUCAUAGAUAACCGAGUAAAUAGUAUAUUUCUAGAACCAAAAAAAUUGAAACUAAAAAACCUAAACCAAAUGAGUACCUAAAUUUUUAAAAUAGAAAUUAUAUACUUACAAAUAUUUAUUAUAUCUAAUUUCUAAAUAACUAAAUAUCCUUAAAUAUUAUUUAUAAACCGAAUUAACCAAAAAAAAAACUCAAUUACUGAAUAUUUUAUUCAAACUAUUAAAAAUUAUCUGAAUUAUCUGUAAUUUGAUAUUUAAACUGAAAACUCCAAAUUAUCUGAUAUUUUUAUCUAUAAAUAUGUAAUUGUCUGGAAAAUAAGAAUUGAGCCAGAACAUAAUUGGAUCCAAAUGUUUUUGUAUGUUAGCCAGUUCCAACUUUACUACUGAACUGAACUAAAAACCGAAAUAACCAAGUUGAAAAAAUAAUUUUAUAAAUACAUGAAUGGUUCCUACGUUUAUAAAACCAAAAACACCAAAACAAAAAAACCUGAACCGAAACCAAAUAUUGGGGAGUAAUAGUCGAUCUACAUUUAAUUGGUACAAAGAAAAAAUUAUAUUUUUACAAAUUAUUUAACUCUUAUAUAUGGGAUACAUAUGCAAUUUAUAGAUAAAUUAAGAUAUAAGCAGUGUUUUUAUAUUCGAUUGGGACAUGCGGUCGAACCGGUAAACCCGGUGACCGUAUAUAAUUUGGAUUGGCUUAUGUUCUUCAUAGAACCCAAUUUAUAUGUUUCUACAAAAUUCAAAUUUAAUGAAAACCUAUUAAUUAAAAAAUUGAUAUAAGUAAAAACAUGUCAUUAACCCGUGAACCAACAUCGUUUAACCGAUAAAAAUCCAGAAAAAUCUUAUUUUAAAAAAAAUUGAUAAAUAGAGUAAUGAAAGUUAUAUUGCUAAAAAUUAUAUCCUUUAAAAUUAUAAUGGCCUAUUUGUAAUAUUUUACGUAGAAUCUAAAGCUAGGUUUAAACCGUAAUUGAGAAGAUUAUAAAUUGUUAAUUAAAAUAUAUGUUGUUUUGAUUCUACAUAGUUAAAAUUUAGGUUGCUUGAUUAUUGGGUUUGAGUAUAUUUAAAAGGAAUAUCUUAUGUGCUGAUGUGCAUAUAUGUUUUGAAGUAUUAGUCUGUUAGUUUGUUGAUGAGAUAUUUUAAUGUAGAAUAUUUGGUUAUGUCGAUCAGUCAAGAGAGAUUCAUAAUACAAAGAUAUUUUGAAUUUCAAUGGUUGGUUUCACGGAAAUAGAAGCAUCAUUUAAAAGAAAGGGAAAACGACAUAUUUCCACACCAGAAGUAUCAUAUAGUAACAGUUACACACGAUUUUUCAACCUCGUCUUAAUUGCAUACAUGAAAACUUAUCAAACUGAUUUCCCCCCGAUUUGAAAGAUCGAAACCCGAAUCCACAUAAAACUUUCGUCGGAACCAAAACCUACACCUAGCCGAUUUAAAUCGAUUUACUAUUUAUCUAUUUGUAAUCUAAUUAAUAGAUAACCUAACUAAACCAAAAAUGACGCAAUUAAAAGUGCUAAACCAAAAUAUAUAUAACCUGAUUUACUAACCGAGGUUUACCCAGAAAACUGAAGUCACAUAAUGUUGAGGAAGAAGAAGAAGAAUUCGAACAACAGCACAAGAAAGAGAAAACCCAGAAAAAAGUUCUGAGCUUUUUGUUUCCCCCAAAUCAUUCUUCUGUUUUAUUGGAAAGACAAAAAUUAUGUAUGUGGCUGUGAAUCUCGUCUUCCUCCUUUUGAACAAUAUGAAAUCUGCAAAGCUCUACACAUUGUCUGAUGCCAUUGUUGAAUCUGACGAAUACCCUUCUCUUUCUUUCCUUAGACAUUGCUUGUUCUAACAGAGCUAGAGGUCCUCGUAGCCUCUUUUGUGUGUGUGUGUAAAUAUUGAGAGGUUCUCAUGGACAAGGAGACGCCAAGGGAGAAGACGCCAUCGUCGUUCGGAAGCCUCUCGGAUCAUCAAUUUUAAAAUGGCUUACUCUAUUCUCUCAAUUUUAAAAUGGCUUACUCUGUUCUCUAAACAAGGUUACUAUCCACACUCACUUGAUUCUAGUUGAGGAUUUGUCUUACGAUCAAACGCCUUCUAUGAAAGAUGGAUGUGAGAGGGUGAAAGCGCGUGGAGCUAGAGUGAUGAGUGUUCUUUGUUGUUGCAAACGAUGGGAUUAUCGAGUUUCUUCCAAGCCAAGCUGUUGUUGGUAUAGUAAUUUAUGAAGAAAACAUAAAAAUUUGGAAAAUCUUUCAUGUGUUUUCAACUAUUGUAUGUGUUCUGUUUGUUUGCAGGUAGGGAGAUACACAGAUCCGCGAGAUGGCUUCAAAACCGGGUGAACAAAGUCGGAUCCCUCUGGUCGAAUUGUAUUUUGUCUUUUGGUUCGAUUUACCUGUUACAAACCAAUAAAUCAAUGAAUAACCGAAGCUAUGUGGAUUCGGGUUUGGAUCAUUUGAAUCGGGGGGAAAUAGGUUUGAUAAGUUUUCAUAUGUGCAAUUGAGACGAGGUUAAAAGAUCGUGGGUAACAGUUACUAUAUGAUACUUCUGGUGUGGAAAUAGGUCGUUUGCCCUAAAAGAAAUGAUUUAAUAGAAUGGUGAAAUAUAUCUUGAUAGUUCUGUAAUUAGUAUAGUAGUAUACGUGUUCAUAUGCAGUGACAUUUAAAAAAAUAGGAGGAAUACAUAUGCAAUAGAGAUGUUGGAGCGAGCUUUCAAGAAAAAGGCAAUUCUUAUCAUAAAGAUGUUGGUUAAAAUACAUGGUUACCGUCAAUAUAAUUGAUCUAUUAAAAUGCUUUAAUAUAUAAUAGAUGAAAGUAUACUUAAAAUUGUUUAAAGAAAGUAGAUUACGUCAGAUAUUAUGUUAGUUAGUAGAUAUAAGGUAGACCAUAAUACUUAAUACUAUUAGUCUAAUAAAAGAGUCCAAACAAUUUUUAUAGGUAGAUUUUUUAUGACUGCUUCCCUUUUAAUAGUAUUGAUGGUAAUUGUAUAAUGUAUACCAAUAAUGACUUUUAUUGGGAGUAUAAUUAUUUAGAUGUAUUUUUUUUUUAAUUUUGUUAGAAAAAUAUUAUAUUUGUGUAAAUUUAGGUUAGGUUGUUAUGUUACUAAUUAAUGGUCGUACUAUAUAUGACUUAUUUAUAUUAGAUAAAAAUAAGAUAAUAAAUUAAUAGAUUAGAUAGAUGCAGCUGACUUGAAACAUCUUCGUAUAGUUUUAAAAUCUACAAAAUUACUUGACAUUGCUCUUGAUUGGCUUUAGAACAAAAUAAUUUGUCAUCCGAAAAAAAAGAUGGGAGAUAGCUAGAUUACCCCUUGAUAUUUUUAGACCUGUUAAAUGUUUCUCUCAUUCCUCACGAUGAGAGCUUUUGUACAAAGUAUUACAAGAAAAUUAGAUAAAAUAUCUAUUUCUUUUGGCACAACUUGUCCCCUCGGUUGACCAAUGAGGAGGACCUUCUAUUUAAAAGAUGUUAUCCAAGUAUAAUCUAAUAUAAGUGAAAAUCCCAUAUAUAUUAAAAGAUGAUUCUUAAUAAACGAGCACUCCAACUUAUCAUAGGUCUAUUUAUAUCUGUUUUGAUUGCAAGAAGUUUUUUUUUUGCAUAAAUUUGUUUGCAAUUCAUAAAAGUUUUAUUGACGAAUUAGUGUAGGACCGCGAAAAUACUAAUUAAAAAUCACGAAACAAAAAUUGAGUAAAACGAUAAUAACUAGUAGAAAACAUUUAUAAAACCGUUAAAAAAAUAGACGAAUUCGAGGAAUCAAGAUUUGAUCUAUUUUCUUAACUCAAUGAAUCGCCUAUAAUGUGAGACGGUUUGGAUGCGAUUAUGAAUCCCAUAAUACAACCACGAUGAGACUGUUUCGCUGCACCCGAAAAUAGAAUAUAUGUUAUACUAUGCUAUACUUUCGAGACUUAUUUAAAAGACGACUAGGAUUUUGCUGGAACUAGAAGCUAAUUGCGUUUUUGCGUGUGAAAUAAUGAAGAGGGUAGAUACUUAUUUAUAUGAGAAAUAUACUUGGCCGACAAGCCAAAGAUAACGAUAAAGUAAAGAAAAUUUUUGGAAUUAUUCAUGUUUAUCGUGCAAGAGAGGAUCGGGAAUUAUUCCAAUAAUUAUCUGGAAGUUUUCCCGUAAUUAUCUUGACAUAAUCUAAAAUGUUUAUAUUUAUCUCGAUAAUUUAGACUCAGUCCGUUAGGAUUUAUCUAAGAAAUUAUCCAAAAAUCUUGAUAUGUAUUUGCUCCCAAAAAAACAUCUUAUUGUGGGCGAGAGUCCACAUUCACCAAGACCUAAGACUCAAAUCCAGCCUGGAGGCGGCGCGUGCGUGUGUGGUUUGCAUAAUGGGCCAUCUCACUCCUUCUCCAUAUUGUCCCCACAAACUAUUGAACCUUGAUAAGUGAGUACCAUAUUUAUACUACAAGAAUUUUCUUGUUAUAUGCAAUGUGAGACUCUUUACUCUUCCAUUUUAUUUAAGUGAAAGACUUUUCAUUUAAAGCAUCUCCAAAAAUAAACUCUAUUUUGAAGUUUCCACACUCUAUAUUUGAAGUUUAAAUGUGUUCUUCUCCAAAAUCAAAACUUCAAACUCAACUUCAAAACUAUUUAUAUUUUAUAAUAUGGUCCUUAUAGUUUUCAUAACUAAUUUAAAUCUAUAAAACUUUUGUAAAUAACUAGCACAUAUAUAAACAUAUUACAACAAUAUUAAUUAAUAAAAUAUUCUAUUAAAUAUAAAAAUUUAAUUAAAAAUAACUUAAUUAAUAUUAAACUUCAAACAAAAUACCAUAUUAUUUCAUAAAAUGAUUUUCAUAUAUGCAUAUAUGAUCUAUUAGUGCAUUUCGAAAUAAAAAUAUCUCUCCUCAUUUUUACUUUGUAGAUUACGAGCUAAAAGUUAUUGAAAUCAGGUAAUAUUGAUACUUGUAAAUACAUUAGAUCGGAACAAGAAAGUAAAACAUAAACGUACAAUAUUGCUUAAAGACUAAUUUCUUUUCGAUGAUAUUAAUACUCGUGAAUAUAUUUGAUAUGAACAAGAAAUAAUUGUACGAAAAAGACAUCAAAACAACAACAACAACCAUCUUCAAUUACACACAAAAUAUUGGAUAAUAUUUGAAAAUUUGAAGGUUUAGGAUCAAACUUACGUGACUAUUAGUGUUGUUGUAAUAUUUAAAUUUGUGUAAUAGUUAUGUCUUCAUGUAAUUUCUUAAAAUCUUUUUGUUAAGCUUUUUUGUAUAUUAUUGUUGUCUAAAUCUAACUUAAAAUAUUUUAAAUUUUAUUUUAAAGUUUUAUUUAAUUUUAUGUGUAAAAUUUAAAAUCUGUAAACAAAAUUUAAAAUAUUUAUGAGAUAUAAUACUUUUAAGGAUUAAAACAAUAAAUGAUAUAAUAUUUAUGAAUCAUAAAGGGGGUGUGUGAAUAUAGAGACCAAAAUGCAAACAAAAAUAUUAAACUUCAAAUUUGAAGUUUUGAAUAGUGAAACUUCAAAUAUAUAGUUUCACUACUCAAAACUUCAAAUUUGAAGUUUUGAAGUUCCUUUUUGGAGAGCAAAAAACUUCAUAUUUGAAGUUUCACUCUGAAAACUUCAAAUUUGAAGGUUUCAUAUUUUUAUUUGCAUUUUGGUCCCUACAAUUACACAUCACAUUUAUAAUUCUUAAAUAUUUUAUUAUUUAUCGUAUUAAUGCUUAAAAAAAUUAUAUCUAAUAAAAAUUUCAUUUUUUAAUAAAUUUAAGUUUUACACAAAAAAAUUAAAUUAAAUUUAAAAUAUUUUAAAACUAGAUUUAGACAACAACAAUACAAAAGAAACCUAACAACAAAAAGCUUUUAAGAAAGUUACAUGAAGACAUAACUAUUACACAAAAAUAAAUAUUACAACAAUACUAAUAGUCAGUUAAUUUGAUCCGGAACCUCCAAAAUCUUCAAAAUAUUGUCCAAACAAAUUUUGUGUAACCGAAUAUAGUUGCUGCUGUUGUUGUUUUAGUGUCUUUUUCGUACAAUUCUUUCUUAUUAAGAUCGAAUGAAUUCAUUGAAUAUUAAUAUCAUAUAUGCGUUACGAAAAUAACUUUAUGGAAUAAUACAAUAUUUUUUUUGAAGUUUAGUAUUAAUUAUGUUAUUUGAUUUAAAAUUUAUAUUUUAAUAUAAAAUUUUAUUAAUUAAUAAUGUUGUAAUAUUUUUAUGUAUGUGCUUAGUUAUUUACAAAAGUUUUAUGAAUUUAAAUUAAUGAUGACAAGUAUAAGGACCAUAAUAUAAAGUACAAAUAGUUUUGAAGUUAAGUUUGGAGUUUUUCUUUUGGAGAAGAACAUCUUGAAACUUCAAAUAUAGAGUUUUUGAAACUUCAUAAUAGAAUGUCUUUUUGGAGACGUGUGCAAAAGAUAUUUUCACAUAUUUUCAUAUUAUAGCAAAACAUUAUAUAGUCCAAAGACUUAUAAUUUUGGGUUCCAACAAUUAGCCGCCCUGCGACAAUAGUAAAAUGUGUCCAGUAAUAGAUUUGGUAGGAAUUUUUUUUAAACUUUCACACAAUACCUUCGAAAUUAUCUUGUAGAGAACACCACACGCAAUUAAAUGGUCUUGAUUUCGUCAUACGAGUCAGACUAGCCAUUUUUGGUAUUAAACAUAUAUUACACCCCAUGUUCAAAAUUACGCUAGGCGUGAGUCGGGCGGCUGGUCUAAGCUUAGCGAGUUAUCGAAAAAUCGGAGAUUAAACGGGGAGUACGCGGAGCCUAAUUUUCAAGCCUAUUACAUGUACAUUUCAAUAUAUAUAUAUAAGGGUAUAUGUAAUAUGUUACUAUAUAAGCAAUGUGGCGUAUUAUAUAUUAAAUUUUUGUAAGAUAACCGAGUUGUAAACGUGGUGUAGUGGACACUAAUGUGGUUUGAUUCAAUUUAUCUAGAGUUUGAAAAGUGUUACGUUAAUUUUUUUAUUUUAUUUAAUAUUUCUUUUGUUUUUAGUGGAUGGUAGACUUGUAAAUAAGUCUUCUUCUUCAUCAGUUUCGUGAAACAGAAGAAGAUAGACGAUGCAGGAACAAGAUUCAACUUUAUUUUGUUUGGAACUCUCAAUCCCCUUUGGAUUUUGUCUCCACCUCUCACUUCUUCUCUUGAUUUCGUGACAAAUGCUUUGAUUAGGAUUCAGACCAAAGGAUCUUGGGCUUAAUUGCGUAAAACGUUUUGGAUCUAGGCGCCCGCGUUUCACAAAUACCCUGGAUAGGCGGAAACAAUUCGUCUUACCGCACAGAGCACCCGAUCAGACCUUUUUCGCCACGGCCAUGCUCCGCUUACCGUAUACGCGUCCGAGUAAUCGUCAACUCGCCCGCGUUUUCGAACACGGAUUACACCAUUCAAGAAGGACACUAAAAUAUUCAGAAUAAUUAUCUAUCAUCUUCGGAUACACUAGCAAGCAUCAGAUCAUGCAAAUCAAGUUAAAAAAUCAAUUAUAUAUGAUUUGGUAAAACAUUAGCAUAAACAUUAUACUAUUUAUUAUCCAAUCAACAAUUUUUAGAUUAGCAUUUAAAAAACAUUUACAAAAUGCUAAUGCUCUCUCCUCAAUGCUCUCAAAUGAAGCUUUUAGCAGAGCAUUUACAAAUAAAAUAGAUAGAAAAAUAAAAAAAGUAAUUACAUAUAAUUAAUUUAUUUUAUCAAAUAAUAUCCAAAAAUUAUGUUUAUAUCGAAAAAAAUAAAUUUAUAAUUUUAAAAAUAAAAUUUUCUAUUAAAAUGUAUUUAAUUUUUUUGAAAUAAUAAUAUUUUACAUUUAAAAUAUAAUAUCAUUUAUAUAAUUAUAUAUGAUUCACAAUCUAUAGUAACAAAACAUAGAACAACAUAUAUUUAUAUAUUAUCAAUAUCUAUAAUAUUAAUUUAGAAAUAAAAAAAUUAUAUACCAUAUAUUAAUUUUUAUGAUAAUUUUAUAUAUGAAUCAUUUACUGCUCUACCAAUCAUUUUAUUAAAUAUAUAAAUGAAAGCAUACUGCUUAUAUAUCAUACUACUAAUGAUUUAUCAUCACUUGCACCAAUCAAGGCCUAUGUGAAUAUUUUUGAUAUAUUUCUCCAACGGCCAUCUUUCCAUGAACCAGCAACAAAGCUUGGAAUCUCUUGAUCAUCUUGUGAUCUUAGAUCUGGUGGAUUUUAAUCUUAUAUCGCAAUGAAAUUACCCCUAAACAUAGUUUUUCGAUAAAUUGUUUUUAGAUGAUUCUUUGCAAUGCUCGCUUUAUUAAAUAUUUCAGAAAUUUCAAUUCAAGAACACAAUAGUGUAAUGCUCUCUAUAUUGUAUAUUUCUGAAAUUUUGAUCCAAGAACACAAUAAUGCAAUGAUUUCUUUGGGUAAUUCUUUGUAAUGUUCUCUUUGAAUGAUUCUUUGAUUUAAGAACUUAUGUCGAUUAUAAAGGAAAAAAACUGGUUUUUUAUUCUUUAAAUAUUUUCAAUCAGCAUAUUUAAUAUUCAAAUUAUUCAGCUUAUUUAUUUUUGGACUAAACGUUGACUAUACAAAAUUAAGAUAAAAUAGUCCACAAUUAAAAAGAAGGAAACUAUUAAAUUAUUUUCGUUUAUUAAUGGUUGACUGUUUUGUUUCUAUAUAUGUGCGGUCAACAGUUAAUUGAAAAAAAAUUACAGAAGUAAUACUUGAAUAUUAAAGAUUUUUUUUUUUGAUAAACAAAUACUUGAAUAUUAAAGAUGCAUAUUCCAAAUACUAGGAAUUAAAAGCUCAUUUUGUCCAUAAACUGCAUGUAUACGUACGUCUUUGUAUCAUAUAUUGCAUCGAAUGUAGAAUUUAACCAAGUCUUAUUAGAUGGAAGUCAUUAAGUAGCCAUCGAAACCUAAUACUAAUAACGCUUUGGUAUAAUAAAUAGUUUAAGAAGUACAAUUUUGAAUUAACCCUAUUUGUUUUUUAAUAUUUACCUCUGUUCGAAAAACGCGCCCGUGGAACCCGAUUACGCAGCGCCGAUACGCUCGUCGGAGGUCCACCGUGGCGAUUUCAUCAUCCUCGGCCAAGAAAUCGGAUUGAUCAAAAAAUUCAUUCUUUUUAAAGUUUUAGGUGUUUAAAUCGCAUGCUGGAAAGUAGAUCUAUGAGUUUGAUGCAUAAACAACAAGAAAAGCUUAUAAAAUUUGUGGUUUUUGACAAAUCUUUGUUGAAGGCGACGAAAAUAGUUUUGCAGAAAACCUAAAUAAAACGCAAGGAAAAUAUGACUUUAUUACAAUUAUGCCAUUCACAUAAAAAACGCACAAAAAUAUCCAAAAAGUACCUUAUGGGCUUCAAUCACCGGUACAAAUAAACUAACACCUGUCCAUUUACCAUGGGGUUACAUUACUUUUACUUGUUUCUUUCCCUAACUUCACAUAUAUAUAGCUAUAUGUAUUUAAAUUUUAAAAUAAUAAUUAAAAUUACUCCCCGCGUAUACCUCGCUUAAUCUCUGAUUUUUCGAUAACUUGCUAGAUCCGGAAUUACCGUCCGACUAACGCCUAGCGUAGUUUUAAACAGGAAAUUUACAGCCGAAUGUCAUUGACAAUAACAAUGCUCCUUCAAUCAAUCAUUAAAAUCCAUUUCGUAUUUAAGUUUGUGGCCAGAAUUUUCUUCAUCUACAUAAAAAGGUAAUGAUUAUUAAUUUCACCAGUUCUGCAUAUGUAAUCACACGAAAUAUAAAAACAUAAAAUUGAAACCAAACUGAAUUCAUUUGCGAUUACAUUCUAAUGUACUAUAUAACGAACCAUGUCAAAUAAUUAAUUUGUUUUCAGUUUUAUGUAUAGUAAUAAUAUUUACAUAUAAUUAUUAACCAAACCAAGUCAAGUGUUAUAUAUUAAUUGUUUGGGAAAAUAAAAAAUCUCCACAUGAUCUUAAUUAGCUCAACUAAAAAUCAUUUUGUCUAACAAAAUACUAAAUUAACUAUAUUUUUCUUAAAAUAAAUCGUUAGAUUGAUACAUGCGGACUGUUAGUAAUAUGUAUAGUAAUAGUAUUUACAUAUAACUAUUAACAAAACCAAGUCAAGUGUUACAUAUUAACCAAACCAAACAAUUGUUUGGAUAAAUAAAAAAAUCUACACACAAUCUUAAUUAGCUCAACCAAAAAUCAUUUUUUCUAACAAAAUACUAAAUUAACUAUAUUUUUUCAAAAAUAAAUCGUUAGGUAGAUACAUGCGGAAUGUUAGUAAUAUAUUGGAUUGAAGAUAUAUGAAUGCUUAAUCAGCUCCAAAGAAUAUUGCAAUGUCAAACACUUUACCUCUAACUUAGCUUAACACCACCCUAAUUUUUGGCUGUCACAUAAAACAAAAAGACUUCGAUCUAUAACAUAUAUAAUCUAGAUUAACAACCAUAAUAUUUAUUUCAUAUAUACUAUCACAUAAAUGGAAAAGAAAUUAGCUUUCUUUUAAAGAAAUUAUAUUAGCUUUAAAAACUUUAUACAACAUUCCUAUUUAUAAGGAAGAUAAUCGUUUAAUAGGAUACAAAAUAAAUAUUCUAUCGAUUAAACCAAUCAUAAUCAAUUUUGUAAAGUAUUUAUUCAAAUCUAAAAAUUCUAAGCUUAACUAACCAAAUAUGAGAUAUUUUAAAAAUUGUCAGAAUCGGUAAUUUAUUGUAUAUAUUCUAUUAAAAUUGAAGUACAAAAUAAUAUUUAUAUAUUUGUAAUUGAUUUUUUCAAUCUUCUUCCUUCAUUUUAACUAAUUUAAACCAAUUUAUUUAUUGUAUUUUCCAAAUAAUUCUACUUCAUUUAUAUUUAUUAUAGAGUACAAAAUAGAACUUACAUACUCUUAAGUGUUUUUAUUACAUCUUUUGCAACUCUUCUUUGUCACUCUUCCUAAUUACUUCAUCAACUAUAUUAAGCAUAAUAAUUUGACAACACUUAUUUUAAUUUUUACCAAAAUAAUUUCACAAGUUUGAAUGAAAUUGAUUAAUUCAUGACAAGAAUUCAAUCGAUUAAUAAUUUUUUUAUUUGUAUAAAGAAUCAGUUAGACAUGAGCAUUCAGGUAACUGUUCGGGUACAGAUCGGUUUUUGAGUAUCAGAUUUUAGGGUUUAAAAUUAAAUUUUGUUUGGAUAUUAUAAAUUUUUGGACGAAGUUCGGAAUCGGAUCAUUUUGGAUUAUGAUAGACUUGUAAGGACCUAAAAAUAUCUAAAUAACCUAUGUAUUUAUAAUGUCAUUAUAUAAUUUAUAAAAAAGUAAAAACUUAACAUCAACACAGACGUGCAGGUCAAGCUCUAGUUUUGUUUUAAUUAAAAAAAGACAAUACCUAGGUUAAGGUGUAGUUUUGUUUUAAUUAAAAAAAGACAAUACCUAGGUUAAGGUGUUUGGGUAUUUGUGUAAAUCUUUGUGAAAUGAUUAUUAAACAUGUACCUGAUUUAAUACCCAAAAUAUAUCAAAGUAUUAAUAAUUUUCAAAUAGAAGUUAAAAAUAUCUAAAAUUCUUAGAAAAAUCUUAAAAUUUUAAUUUAAUUUUAAUUUAAUUUUAAAUUUUAGAAAAAGUAAGUAAAGUGUGAUAAUCUUAAAUUGUGUAAUAAAAGUUUAUUGUAAAAUUUUAGUUUGAAAAUGUAUAGAUUGAUAGAUAUGAACUUAAUAUAUUUUUCAAUACAUAAAUUUAUAUGAAAACAAUGAUCGUAUUUAUUUUAUAAAACAAUAAUAAUUAUUAAACAUAAAAGUUGGGUUAGAGAAUUUAUAUCAAAAUGGACUAAUAACUGAAUUUUUUUGGUUAACUACUAAUUGAAUUCUAAAAAGAUCAAAAAGUCAUUCUUAAUAUUUUGGGCCAAGAAAAUUAAAAAGACUGCCAUUUGUUAUUAUUCUGUUAGGUUUUUAAACUCUCUAGGAAGAUAAAGAUUAAUCGUUUAUGUUUUUUGUUAGCAUAAGUUUAGGAAAUAUUUUGGUUGUUUUAGUUAAUAUUAUUAGCAUGCCAAUCGUUUGUCACAUUCCCUUUAUUCAUGAAUAUAUUCUAAAUUUUAAUAAUACGGAAUUUGUUAAUUCUAAAUUUUAAUACAUCUACUCUACUAAUUAAUACAUCUGCAAUAUUUCGUAUAUAUAUACUUCAAUGUUUUAUAACAUGUGUCAAUGAUAAAUAUGGAUGGAUUCUAUCAUCCACAUAUAUAUUGUCCAUUACUGAAAAAUGCAUGAUGAUGAUGUAUGCAGGGCCGUCUCAAACUUUACGGAGACCCUGUUCAAAAAAAAAUAAGACCCUUUAUAAUAAUCUAAAAUAAUUUAUGUUUUUUCUGACAGAAUAUUGUAAUAUAUAAUAAAUACACCAAUCUAAUUUAAUUGGAAGAAGCAUUUUUUUCUUUUAUAAUUGAAAACUUAUGAAAAGCAUCUUUUCGGGACUAUGAAUUUUUCAGUUUUUUUUUCUUUUGAUUCUUUUUGUAUCUACAGUUAAGAGUUAUAAUCUAUAAAAAAACACAAACAAAACAAUAGAAUCUUGAUAGUGGUUAGAAAAAAAACCGUGGACUCUUGAUUUGAUUAAACAAGAAAUUGGAGACUCCUCAGUUUUAUUCUUUGAUAGAUGCUUAGACUAAUGUUUCUUUUUUGUGUUUACUAUUUUUUGUAAAAGUUGCUGAAAAAUUAUAUAUUUCCCUCUUUAUUUACAAUCACUAAUUAAUAUAGUUUCCUAAAUAUAAUCAAAUUAGAAUAUUAACUUUCUAAAUUUACAUUGAAUAAUAAAUCAAACACCAACAGCUAUUUUUUACUUUCCAAAAUAUAUAAUUGAUAUAAUGUUAAUUUCUUCCUGACUUAUUGCAUUUUUGUUGGUUAUGUAAACAAAAUCAAAUUUGUAAUUUACAUAUAUUGUUUAAUAAAUAUGAAAAUUAAAUUAAAUAUAGUUAUCUGAUUUUUAAUAAAUACAUGAUUUUAAAUUUAUAGCUAUUACUAAAAAAAAAUUAUGAGUCCUCUAAAAUUUUGGACCAUGUUCGACCGCUCCACUUGCACGUGCUAAAAGACGGCCCUGGAUGUAUGUGUAGAUUUGUUUUAUUAGUGUAUUGUAAAGAAUAAUAAAUAAGAGUCCAAGAUUCAAAUGCAAAAGUAAUUGACAUAAUUUUAUUUGGACAGUCGAAGAUUCAAAUACAAAGUUAGAGUUAUGAAUAAUCCAAACUCGUAUUAAUGUUUUCACGUAGGAGAAGUAUUGUUAUCAUUGUAUAACCGUGAAUAGACUUUAUUUGUAGAAGGAGAGUUAUAAUGUACUAGAUACGGACCUUUUUUGAUGUUUUAACUUUACGAAAAACAUAAAAAGAAUGAAAAUAUUUUUCACAUUAGUUUUUAAAUUUUUUUAGUAUAUAUUGGUGUAAGACUUAUUUUAGUAUAAUAAUCAAUUUUCUUACAUAAAUUGUGAUUAGUAUUACUACUUCAGUAAUGGUGUUUUAAAAUAGUCUAUUAAUUUUUUUAUUUUUCUAUAAAUAGUUCACUUUAAAUUAUUUUUAAUAUUAUAGUUAAUUAAAACAUAUAGAAUUGAUGUAAACUAUCUAUAUUAUUUAUAUUGUGUAAGAAAAUUCAAAAAAAAUCAAAAUUAAUGUUAGACGAUACUAAUACUCUCAAAAUUUUGCACAUGAUAUGCUAUCAAUAAAAAGGCCUCACUCAAGCAAAAUAAUGUUGGCUUCAAAUAAUGGUGAGGGUUAAAGGGUAUGAGAGUGCUAUUUGGGUAAACAAAGAUAUAGGUCGCUGCAAAGACCCCCUCUGGUGCUCUUUCUCGCCCAAAUGAUCACUUUCCUACUCCUUUUUUUUUUAUCCCAAAUGCCUCCAAAUACUUCGAAGAACUCCAAUGGAUACUCCCACACCUAAUAAAAACUUAUGCAAUGCAAAAGGGACCUAAAAAAUGCCUCAAUUCUAUUCUAAAUGAUCAAAAUGUAUAGGAAUGAAUGAUCAAAACAAUGUAAAUAUGCAAGAUAUUAGACACCAAUCAAUAUGCAUUAUUGAUAUUCAGCUAAAUAUCAAAUAUAUUGCUUGAUAACCAUCAAAUUUGUUUCCCGCUAUACCCUACCUUAGCAUCAAUAGUGUGACUAUAACCUCUUUCUAUAUAUCAUAUAUUUCUGAAUUUUUUUUGAUAUACAAUAUUUUGUAGAACACUAUUGUCGAUAUGUUUUGUGUCUACUUUAAAAAUUCUGAAUUCAUGCAGUUGUUGUGACUCUUUGAUAGUGAAGUGUACAAUUGUCCAUGAGAGAUCAUCUUGCAUCUGUUGAUGUGAGACUUGUUUUAGGAAUAAGAAUCUGUUGAUUAUUGAUCUCGGUUAGGAUUUUUCUGCUUCAGUAAUCAUGUUGUCUAGGCUAGUUAUUAGUUAAAUUUUUACAUUGCAAAUUUCUUUUCGAUGAUUUAAAUUCCUUAAUAACAUGACUGAAACAUCUAUUUUGAGAUCAAGUUCGUGAUUUGGAAUCCCUGAAAAAAUUAACAUAUUUAAAAAUCUGUGGGAUAUAGAAUAUGCUGAUUUAUAACUUCUUCUUUGUUGUUACCAAUACUAUCAGAACUCAAAUGUUCCUUUUGCUCACCGUCUAAGCACUUUAACAUAUAGUUAUCUAUUUUACCAACCCUUUCAUUCCUUAUUCUUUGGUGUAAGCAUUGCUUUUUUGAUGAGAUAAUUCUUGUCUUCAAAAGUAAAUUUGGAAAUCUUGAUAUAUAGACAUUGUAAUGCAUUCAAAAGGAGCUGCAUUCUUUUGCAAGAGCAAUUUGUUGUCUAUCAAAGAAGGUAAAUCAUGUGAACAUCAGUUUAGAUGUGAAAGGACAUGCAGAAAAUCUCACCUAAAUAGAAAAGUCGAUUAUUCAUAAUAAAUUAACAUUAACUUAACUACAACAAUAUAACGAAUUUAUAUUGUCGAUAAGAACAAACACAUAUAAGCAUAAUAGUCACAUUAACUUUUGUACAGCAGAAUAACUGCAUAACAUCUAUUUGACUAUAUGUACAAACGCCAAAGUGUAAUUGUGGCAAUAACUAACGUACAUCAUCAUUACAAUUAUGACAAAAAAAUCAACAUCAGUUUAAGAAGAAAAAAAAACAUGUGAAGAUCAGGAAACCUAGUUAUUUCAAUCAUAUGUUACAAUGCUAAAAAAAAAAUCAUCCUUUGUCGUUCACAUGGAUGCAGAGUUACCGAUCUGGUUUACAGAGUCAACAUGAGUUUGUAAAUUCUUUGCUGUCAAAAAAAAAUCAUAGUUUACAAUUAUUUUUUCUUUAGGAUUUUAGAAAAGGGAAAUUAAUAUUAAAUAAAUUAUUUUAUAAAUAUUUUUUUGUUUAGGAUUAACAAAAAGGAAAAUUUCUAGAAACAGCUACUAUUAAAUAAUUUUUGAAAUUAAUACUUACUAUUAAAUCAUUUUUAAAAUUCGUUUUUAUUAUCUUAGCAUAUAUAUAUUUAAUCAUGAGAGAUUUUAACACAUGUCGAUAUAUUAAAAGGAAACCCACUAUCACAUAAUUAUCUGCUUAAGAUUUUUAAAAAGAAAAAAUAUUAUUAAAUAAUAUUUACAUUUACUUUUUUACAAAUUUUUUUUUUUGUUAUUAUCUAAUUAUAUAUAUUUUUAAUUAGGAGAUAGUUUAACACAUAUCAUAAUUUUGAAUAUAUAUUUGCUACAUGUCACAAUCGUGUUAAUUAACAACUUUGAAAACCAAACUUUAUAUAAUAAGAUAACCAAAAUAUAAGGAAUGAUAAUUAUCUCUUAUUUCUCACGUUAGGUCCAAAUUUAAAUAAUAACUAAAUAAAAAGUAUGAUUCUAAAUUAAUAGAUUAGAUUAAGUGGAUGAAGUUGAAUGGGAAAAGAUCUGACUGUUUGCUCCAAGAAGGAAUGUAUGUACAUUCAUUUAACACACAAUAACUGCAAAUAGAGAUCAUAACAUUGAUAUGUUCCAUUUGUUGUUCAUUCAUCGAACAGGCUUUGUGUCGAAGCUGCUUAAACAAAUGGCAAAAGCUUGGAAUGCGGAGAUCGGGUAACGAUAAUCCAUGGUGAAUGUAUCUUUCCCUAUCUUCCCAAACUGCAGUAUCACUCUCUCUUGUUCCUCUUCAGGGAUGUUCAUGUCCUUCCCUGCUUCUGCAGCAGCAGCCAUUAGCUGGAAGUUUUUCACGGAGGCAACCGUGACUCGUCCUUUGAAGUUAAGACACCAGCACUGAAGCUGCUCGUGCCAUCUGGGCAACUUGUUUUUCAGGACUAAUGGUUCCUUCACGACGGAUUCUCCUCCCAAGUUCCCUGACCAGAAAUCAAUCAGCCCUCUCUUCUUCUUGCUUCCUAGGUUUGACAACUCGGUCGGAGUAUGAAUCUGUCCCCCUUCUUGAAUAGAAGAAACUGGGAUAGUGUUCAUGAUACAUUGCAUUCUUCUUGGACCUCUGGUUCUAAGGACAUUCAGCUCAUACAAGAUCGAAGCCAUGCUGUAACUGUGAGUAGAUGAAGUUACCCAUGGAGACACACGCAUCGUCUGUGAUAGUUUCUUGUUAAAUGAUCUUCGGGAAUCAACCGGAGAAGGUUGGUUUUCGUAAACCGUGAACUUAGUUCCAAGGAAAUUCGAUCUAUCCACCCAACAACAAGAAGGAAAGUUAUAAAUGUCAUGGCGAUAUUAAACGAUCAAAGAUGACAAAUAAGGUACCUUAGUUUCCCAAUAUAGUUACUGCUACUUCUUGAGAAGUCCUUUCCAGACAAAGAUACAAUAAACUCAACACCAGUCGCCCUCCUUACCCUCUUAGCCGAUAGCAAGAGCUUACUCUUGUCCCCGGUAAGCGCUGAAACCAUACAGACAUUAAGAUGACAACACAUAGUCCCAAGACUCACAAGAAGUAAGAGAAGUUAAAACUACCAGGGCUUAAACCAAGAUAGAGACGGUAUAUCCCAGUGGCUCUCUCCCGUUUGAUAAAGCAUUGAAUCGGAUCAUCUCUAGGGCCAGGCUGAGACAAGAACCCCCAAUGUCUUUUAGCUCAUCACUUCCAACGAUUACAAGAACGUUCUAGAAAGAGUAUAAACCUGUUUUAAUGAAACUGGAAAAGUGAGGAGACCAGAGAUCUCAGGAACCUUAACAACUUCUUUAGUCAUCUCCCUCCAGGCCUUACAAACCGAGGCGCAAGCAACAACGUCUCUCCUCCCCGGCCAUGAGGUCUGACCAGACUCGAUUCGAUGGAUGAUGUCAAGAAGCAGCUCCGGAGGCAAAUCAACCCAAACGCUCUGAUAUAAACAAUCAUCAGCAGCUGAUGGAGAAGGAGAAGAUCCUUCUGGAGCAAUGUGAGACCUUCCUCGUCUACCAUUGGCUUUGUUGUUACGACCCCUAAGCUCGCGUACUAUGUUCUUCAACGGCAUUUCUACAAUUCAACUUCUCCUACGGACCCCCAAAUCGAUCAAACGAAGCAAAAAAAAAAACCCUAAUUUGUACCUUCAACAAACGAACAAAGAUUAAAUCAUGAAAAGGGCAUUAUCGUGUAAUGAAAACGAGAGAGAGAGAGAGGGGAUGUAUGUACCUAGAGAAGCGACAAAUCCAUGGGGAAUCACGACGAUCGGGGUGAAUUCCGAUUAAGAAAGUCUCGAAUUGAGAAAUUUUAAAACGCUCCUUGAAAGUAAAUAGAGCCGCCACCACCACAACUCCUCCGAUGUUGUUAACCGUCGCCGUCGUUAGGUUUGAAUCCCGACGACGACAAUGAUUUCGAGGAGAAGGGAGAGAGAAAGAGGAGACGGGAAAGUUUCCGUUUUCUUUUUUAUUUAUUUAUUUAAUUAAUAAGAGUAGGCGCGGCCCCAUCUCUCCCUCCUUUCAAUUGAAAUUAGUAAAUUACUCAAAAUAGGUUUUUAUCUCUUUUUUUUAUUUUAUUCUCUUCCAUUUUGGUCAAAUUACUUUCUCACAAGUUUUUGUUUAAGUUAUUAACAUAAAAAGAAACUUUCUGUCUUUUUAUUACACCAUUAGACAGAUUUCACUACUGAGAUAGUUUGUGGAAGUAAAAUGACAACACUAACCCUAACAACACUCACCUUUUGUAGAUUGUGAAAAGCACACUAUCUCUUUUAUUCUUCUUUUAUUUACAGUCAUACUUUUUUUUAUAAAUAAAAUUGUUUUCUUCUUCUUUAUCUCUUUCAUCAUCUUCUUUUCUCUUUUCCUAUGUCGAUAAAGUGGUUAUGGAUCAAAUUAAACUGAUUUGAAACAAAGAAACAAAAAUCUAAGCGUGCAUACACCUCUCAAGUUCUGAUGGUGGAUUUUCUGAAUCAAAGUCUUAAUUCGUUGGUCUAUCUUAUUCUUCUCCAUCUCUACCUUCAUCCUCCACAAGAAUAACCACCAGAGAAAUAUCAUUAAAACGAGAUGUAGCCAUAAGUACAAAUGAAGGCAAAGAGAAAGUGGCUAAGAAACCCGAUGUAUCUCCACCUCCUGUUCAAUCUCCGUCUCAGCCGUAGAGGAAGCUAGAUGAUGUAAAUCCAGAGAGAUUGGAACUAAGUUGACCGCAGCUUGGCGAGGUAAGAUUACAUUUAAUAUAUUUGUUUUCUCCUGCUUAAUACUGAAUUUCAAUUAUAAAGUUGAUCUCUGAUUCCAAAAGAUGCAGCUUGCUUCCUUUAGAUUUGUUUUUUAUUUAUUUAUAUCAACUCAGCUUAUUAUGUAUUACCUUUGAAACUUAGCUUUAGAUGAUUCACAAAGUAUAUAUGAUUUUUGAAUCUAGUAUUUUGAAAUGACUUACAAAGCUAAUUCAGAUCUGUAUGGAUCCUAGAGAAACAUAAGGUUCUGAUUUUAUGUUAUAUUGUUAUAUGAUGUAUUUGUUUUGUUGGAAAUGUUGGUUUGAACGAUGUGUCUUGAUUGAAUUAUCUAUUAUUCUAUUUUUUUGUUCUUGGACGGACAACUCCAUAAUGUGGACAAGUAUUGGCAUGGAGUCAAAGACAAGAAGCUAUUCAUGUGUACGCCGCGUGUAAGUUGUCAAUGUGUACGCCUUGUGUAAAUUGUCCAUGUGGACAUCUCAGUUGUCCAUGUGGACAUCUCAGUUGUCCAUGUGAACGACAUUUGGUGGGAAUGUCUUGUACUAAGUAAUAUUAUUAUAAUUUUUUUGAUUGUGAAAGCCAUGUAUAAGAAAUAUCAGAUGUUGCAUUGUCCGUACAUAUAUUCUUGAACACUUGUUUGGUACCACAAAUGCCAGCUGUGGCGCAUCGACCAAAAAACGGGUACCCAUUGUGUAUGAGAGAUAUACAACAUUGAAGCUGGCUUAGUAAGAAGAUUUGGUAUGUUUUAGAGGAGAAGCAUUGUCCAAGUAAAAUAAACACUCGCAUUUUUUGUUUGCAAGUGUUUUACAUGUACAUGUACUCGUAGGUGUCCACAUGUACGCAUGCACGUUGAUGUACACAUGUAUACUGAUGUUUAGUCUUCAAGACUUGAUUCAAUCAUAUUUAUUUAUGGUGUAAUAGUUGCAAAUAACUUAAUAAAAUACAAAUCUUUCCAUCUGAUUCAUCCAAUUUUCUUUUGAUAUGGAAAGUUUGGUAUCCAAUUCGAUCUAUGUUGCUAAGAAGGAAAAAAAUUGGAGCUUUUACAUACGUAGUGAGGACUUUUUUUUUUGGACAAACCGUAGUGAGGACUCUCUUUGCUUCAUAUAAGUGAAAAAUUGUAAUGAAAGUUUAAGAAGGAUUAUUAUCAAAGAAUUUAUAUUUAUCUUACGUCUCUUUUUUAAACUGAUGUACACGUGGACAGUCAAACAUUGUGUACACAUGGAUAGUCAAAUAUAUAUUUACACGUCGAUGGUAUUUGUCAGUAUAUAUGUAAAACAUUCAAAUGCUUUCAUAUGUGUGUAUUAGAUUACUAAAUGUUAAUAUUCAUUGCAACGGCAAAUCAUUGUCCAUCUUUUACUCUUUUGUACACAUAAAUGUACAUGUAGAUACUGAGAAUUAUGCGUACAUGUGGAAUACUAUUUUGUAACAGUAUAUAUGUUGAUCAGUGAAAACACAUCAAGAGACGUAAGAUAAAUAUAAAAUAUUUGAUAAUAAUCCUUCUUAAAUUUCAAUUACAACUUUUGACUAUCUAUGUGUACACAAUGUUUGACUGUCUACGUGUACAUCAGUUUAAAAAAUGUACAUGUACACUGAUUACAAACCAAACAAUGAUCUGUGUAAUUCACAAAGACGAAUAUGUGCAUUCAAAAAUUACAAAUCUUUACACCUUUAACGAUGACAACCGGAGUCGUUGUUCAGUUCAAUCAUAACCGCUUCAUUGAAAUUAUAAGGAAGCAGCCAUAUGCACAAACCGAGUUCAUCGAAGUUAUCUAUCCAUCACCAGAACGAUGGUUAAAUCCACAGUGGAAGAUGAGACGAGGAUUCCAAACGUUGAUGUUGAUGAUUCCAUACAAACUUGAUAUCUCAUAAUCAUACCUCACAUUUACCUUCGUCAUCCUUGUCGUCGCCGUCUUCAUCAUCAACUCUGUCAUCCUCUAUUUCCUCAUCUUAUUCUUCUACUGGUUCUAUAUGAGGCCGACUAAGGGUUGUAAAAUCGAACUCCAUCGUCACGUGUUUUUCAUCUUUAUCAUAAUCUUCAUCUUCUUCUCCACAUGAUUUGUUUUACAGAAAAAAAAUUGUACGAGAAAGACAAGAAAAGAAUUUAAGAGAUAAGGAAAGAGAAAGAGAAAGAGAAAAAGAGAUUGAUUUAUGGCCACAUAAUUCUUUUUUUUGGUAUUUUUGUUAGAUUUAAAAGAAAAAUAAUGAGAAAGGGUAAUAAUGAAUUUUCAUACGCUGAAAAGAGGAGAGAAGGUGUUGAAAUGAGAGAAAAAGUGUGUAGGUAGUUGAAACUGUCCUAGAGUGAAAUAAUAAACUCAAAAACUGCCUUCUAGUGUAAAUCUUUCUUUUUGUUUUUGUAUUUUAUUCUUCCAACAAGAAAAUACUUUAAAGCAAAUCUCCUAAGAAAAACACCGAAAACCUUUUUUGACCAAAAAGACGCAAAAGGAAAAUGAUUUUAAAUAAAUUUAUUAAAGAGGUAAAUGACAAGUAUACCAUUACUUUAUAUACGGUAAAACUCUAUAAAUUAAUAAUGUUAAGACAAGGAUAUUUUAUUAAUUUAUAUAAUUAUUAAUAUAAAAUAAAUUUUAUUGUAUUAUUUGGUGUACAUAAAAUAUGUUUCAUAUAAUUGAAGUGUUUUUCAAGAUGUAAUUUUACUAAAUGUUAUCAGAAUAUAUUAAAAAUGUUAAGAAAACAUAGAUAAAUUCUAUUGCUGAUAUAAAAUAAACAAUAUAUUAAUGUGUUUAUUAAUUUACUGAGUAUUAAUUUAUAUAGUUUCUACUGUAUAUAAAUAUAAAUAAAUAAUAAAAUAUUAUUUCCCAAAAGAAAUUUAUUCAAUAUUCAAAAACCUUUUUCAAACACAAAUUUCAAAUUUUCUUCUUUUUUCCAAAUUUUAUAUCGAAAUGUGAAAAUUCUUUAUUGAAAAUUUAAAAUUAUUAUUUAAAAUUUUAAAUCUUAAACUUUAAAUCCUAAACCCUAUCCCCAAACAUUACCCCUAAAUUUAAACCCUAAGUUUAGAUUAUUUAACCAUAAGGGUAAACUUAUCUAUUACUUCUUUAAUAAAAUAUUUGAUUAUUUUGAUCCUUGUAAGCUAUUUUGUGAUUAAAAAAUUAAUGCUAUCAUAUGGUUUAUCUAUUGGCCAUAUUAAAAGAGUAUUUUUAUUAUAAGAAAUUGAGAAAUACUCUAUGAUAAAUAUACAAAACUUUAUCACAAAAAUAGUUCUAAAAGUCAAAAUGAUCAAAAUAUGUUUUAUUAACGAGAUAAAAGAUAUUUUUACUGUUACAGUUAACUAAGUUUUUUAACACUGGUUAGUUAUGCUAUUACAAACUAUGAAAAACAUUACAUAUACGAUAUUACAGCCGACAAUUAUGUUUGUCUUAUGAGGAUUCAUGUCUGACUACAUCACCUAGAGUCGCCCUAUGAGAUCCAUUCCUGAUGGUACUCUUUGCGCCAUGUCGAAGAUCUCUUAUAAGCUUUUUCUCUAAUAUUCUGCAUAAUUUGCCUUCUACAGAAAUUGAAACUCAGAUCUCCUGAUUUAAAAACAUUAAUGAACCUUUAGUUAAACCACUGGUUCAAAGGGGCUUACGGUCAACUAAUCUAGACUAGGUUUUAGUUAGGGAGAUAGGUUUAUAGUGUUUAUAAAUUUAAAAUAAUAAUUUUUUUAAAAAAUAGGAAAAAAGUUAGGAAAAAAAUAAUCAUAGAGAACUGAUGUGUGGCGUCUAGAACGUGCACCUUGAAAACCAGCCCUUCAAAAAAUUUCAAUAAAAUCCAUGAGUCCUUCCUUUGCCUUGCAACAUCUUCUUCCACAGGUCAAUAGUUGAAACUCUUUCCGGAUGAACGUUGAAUAAUGCUUGAGAAACUAGGUUUACACAUCGGGAAAAUGUCGAUGGAAUUCUCUAUGAGCCUUGAGAACCAAGUCAAAGCCGGUCCGUUAAGAAUUUCCACGAACAAUUAAUAGUAUACUGCAUCUUUCUCUUCGACGGUAAAGUGUGCUUGUCCCACGGUUAUAUUGGACAUGGUCAUGUGAUCACUAGGAUCAGAUUCGCCUGAGAAAGAGGGAUCUUUAGCAUAUAUGUAGGACGAACUCGGCCAUUUUUUGGCAAGGGUGUCUUCUGUUUUUCUUUGAGGACACGCUCUAGCUCAGGAGCCGAACUCGUUACAGGUGAAAUUUUGACGAGCCAUCCAGUAUUGUGUCCCGAAGAACUUUGAUUUUUUGAAUCGUUGCCUGGUUGGUUUGAUGUGUCUGUUGAUUAAGAUAUUCCAUUAGUUUUUGCGUCAAUGUCAUCGUGGUGGUGACAUCCACAACCGGAAGGAUAGUGCAUGUCCCUCUUCGAUCAUCGUCUCCAGCCAUCUCUGAUAUUUCCUGGCAUUGCUUUGUAAUUCCACUCAAACGACGCCAAUCGUUUCAUCUCUUAACAUCGCCCAAGAAACACUUUCUAUCCUAUUCAUCAUCUCCCGCAACACUCCUCUCUCUCUCUAGCAUCACCUCUACACUCCUCUCUCCGGGCCAGGAUUGCCCAUAUGUCUCCUUACUCCUCAAAGGUGCCCAUACCUCCUCAUAACUCCUCAGCAUCACCCACUUCUCCAUUUGUCGUGUUCUUGCUCGAAUCUUGAUCGUUCUUCGUUUUAUCGCAAUCGUAGUUGUUGUUGAGAUUUUUUUCAAAAAAGUUAAUUUGUUUUUAGUUUUUGUAAAAUCUAGCCAACUGUAGAGUUGGAAACUGUUAUUUUAAACAUCUAAUAUGUUUUAGACAAAAUAAAAUGAUUUUUCUCUUUGUAAACUAACAGCACAAAAAAUGCAAUUCGGAGCAAAACGACGAUAUUUCCAAGAAUAGUCAGCGAAACCUUAAUUCUCAAAACAGUCCAAAACAAUCUAAAGCACGAAACAGAACUUUUCACUUAACGUGUAAAGUAACCAAAUAUUAAUGACAUUUUACUUUACUUAGAGAGGAAUAAAGAAGAAAUUAAGAUAAUGAAAGAUUUUCGAAAGAGAUAAACUCGACUCUCGACAAAGAAAGGAAAAUAUCAGAGGAAAUAUGGAAACAAAGCAGAUGUGGAUCAAUGGCAAUAUGGUCGGCCUUGGAAGAAUAUAUAAACAAGGCUAGGCCAGAGAAAAAGGGGGCAAAAAAUUAGCUCUCGAAAGUCUAUGCACUAAAGAAACCUUAAGUUUUAUUUUUGUCUGUUUGCUAAUGAGCUGCAACCCACCUAGGAUUUCUAGGCUUAUGUGGUUAGUCUAGCGAACUUAGAUAGAUUUCGCUACUUUCGCUUAUUCGACUUCCGUUGUAAUUUUGCUAUCCAGAUCUCCUAGUAUAUAAGCAUUAAUGAUAUGUGAUGUCUAAAACGUGCACCUUGAACAAAAUUUUGGUUUGGGUUUAGUUUGGGUUUCAAGUUCAGGUUUUUUUGCUGAGGCCUAACCCUACCAACAUAAGAGAGUUUAAGUGAGGAAAUUUUAUUUAUCAAUUUUGUUUCCUAAGAUUAUCAUAUAGUUCUUCAGACAAGUGUAGAAAGGGCAGAAGAAAAGUAAAAUUAAUUCAAAUAUACAAUAAGCAUCAACUAACAUCGACUUAGAAACAAAAUUCCACAUUGACUUAGUGAACAUAUGCAUCCCAAUCCUAAAAUUGUAAACUCUAUGUUUCAUACGUUUACGAUUAGAUUAUAGGUCAAAUACAUAAGGACAAUAAUAUUUAUGUAUAAAUAUAAACUAGGUGUUUGCCCGCAAUUUUGCGGAUAGUUAUAUUAUAUAAAGAUAUAUAUCUUAACUUUACACUGUUAUAUUUUUUGAAUAAUAAUUAGAAAUUUAAAAUAUUUGGAUAAUCAAAUAUUUGGAUAAUCAAAAAUUUGGAUAAUCAAAAAUUUCAGUAUAUAUUUUUAGAAAAUAUGUGAAAUUUAAAAUAGUUCAAAAACAUAAACCUUAGUCAUUAAAAUUUUUUCUCUUACAGAAAAGAAUAUUAUAAUUAAUUCAGAUAAUUGGUGGUAAAAUUACUUUAUAUUUUAGUUUAACACAUGAAAAACCGAAAAUACUCUAGCUCUCAAGAGAGAGAAAAAAAAAGAGUGCAUUUUUUGUGUAACUUCAAUAUGACCAAUACAAUGAUCGUAGGCUUUUAUCAUGAAAGAUCUUUUGUAAACAGUUUUGUGUGGGCUUUAAAAACAUAAAAUUUAUAAUAAUUUCUUACCUACAAAUAUAAUUCUUUUAUAUAAUAAUAUAUAACCAUUGAAUUUAUUUUCUAUAAAAAUACUAAAGUAGUUUGUUUAAUUAUAUAUAACUAAUUGAUAAAAAUAAAGAAAUUGAUAUAACAUACAUAUAUAUAUAUAUAUAUAUAUAUAUUCUUUCUCUAAUUCUACAAUUAGUUACCAUAAAUCAUUAUUUGUACUAUCAUUUGUGUUAUUUGGUAAUUUGUACUAAUUAGUUCUAGAGUUACCUUUUAUUUUUAGAUCUGAUUAAAAAAAUAACUAAUAAAUUUUAACAACCAAUCAAAUUAUAACUAUUUUUAAAAAAUAAACCUAUUAAAGACACAUAAUCAAAAGUUUAUUAAAUGACUUCUCAAUUAAUAUAUGGUAGGAUUUAUCUCUUUAAAACCAAGGAUUAAUUUGGUUAAGUUAAACAUAAAAACAUGUAUUAGAAAAUGGUAGUUUAAGCAAUUUUCUCAUAAUUUGUCCCAAAUCACACUUUCUCACUCAUUAUUUUUAAUUUAGUGUUUAACAUAAAACUCACUAUUUUAUCAAACAUUAACUCAUUCAACCAAAUGCUUUUAAUUAAAACUAAUCAUAGUUUACAUAUCUUUUAAAAUUAUUGUUUUAAUUUAUUUUAAAUUAAAUUAAAACAUAUCUAUAUUAAUUAAAUCUAUUAACUAAUAAAAAAAAAUAUUUCAAUUUUUAAAUAACUAAAUGUCGUUAUUUUAGGCAUAUAUACUUAAUAUUAAUGUGAGAUCCAAUAUUAUAUGAAAUAAAAUGUUUUUUAUUUGUAUACAUUUUGUUAAAAUUUUAUUAUCGUACAUUUUAAAAGUUUAUUAUAGUUUAAAAAAUACAUCUCACUAAUAUUUUAAAUAAUUUUUUAUUACUUUCAAUUUACAUUAUAUUUUUCAUCUUUGACUUUAACAAUUGUAGAGAUGGUCAUUUUUAUUGAACUUCCUUAAUAAAUUUAUAUCACAUUGUCUUUAGAAAAUAAUUGGAAUUUUUUUAGAAUUAUAUAUUUGACUGUUUUGCAUUCAUUUGACACAUUUUUAUACUAUAUAUAUAGUGAAUAAGUGAAUUUAAUUAAUAUUAUUAAGUUUAGAUUAAUUAGUUUUCUAAAAUAUAUGAUUUAUUUUAUUCACUGCUAAUAUAAAGAUAAUAAAAACCGUUUUUCUAAUUGUUUCUAUAGUAUCAUAUGUAUUUAUAUGUAUCUUAUCAAUUUAUAUAAUGUAAUCUAGAUAUUUAAUUAUUUCUAUAAAAAAAUUAUGUUAAUUCAUCUAUAUUUAAGAUGCUAAAUUGUAUGUUUGGAAAGAUAGAUUAGAUUAGAUAAUUCUAUGAAUAUUUUCAUUUUAAAAACUUUCAUUAAAUAAAUUAAAAAUUAUCAACCAAUCAAAUUAUAACAAUUAAUCUUAUAUAUUAAAAAAGAAGUCAUGACUUCUUUCAUGUGUGAUUUUUUUUUUUUUUGGACCAUCACUUAGAAAUCUUAUUAAAUGUAUUUUAUUAAGAAUAAUAAUACAUAGAAUCUUUAAAAUACUUUAAUCAUAAUAUCUUUUGAUAUCUUUUUAUUUAAAAUAUAAAUAUAUUUAUUUUAAAAAUCUAACAAAUCUGUUUUAAAAGAUUUUUACAAGAUCUUCAUUUUCGAAAUUAUAUUUAAAUAUUUUUCAUUAAUUUCGAAAUUAGUUUGAAAUAUUAUUAUACAUUAAUAAAUUCACUAAUCAUUUAUAAAAUAAAAAAUAAAAAAUUCUGUAAUAUUUUAUAUAUUAUAUAAUCAUGAUCAAUCAUAUUAAAAGAAAAUUAUUAUAUUGAGCUAAGUAUAAUAAAAUUGUAUUAAAUUUAUAAAUUUUAUUUUCAUAAGUAUAAAAUAUUUAUGUUCAAAAAUAAAAUCUAAUAUGUUGGUAAGAUGGAUUAAGCAAAAUAUAUAAUACAUGUAUAAAAAUUAACAUGUAUUUCUUUAAAGCUUAUAAUAUAAAAUCUUUGUCACUACUUUAAUCAUAAUAUAUUUUCAUUUUAAAUAAAAUAUAUAUUUAUAUAUUAUAUUUAAAAAUUCUAAUAAAUCUGUGUAAAAUUAUUUUAACAAUAAUUUAAUAUAUUUUAAGUUAUCGUUUAUAAAAUAAAAAUAAAUAAAUUAUAUCCUAUUUUACCCACUUUAUAGUCAUGAUCAUGUUAAAAUAUAAUUAUUAUACUUAAAUAAAUAUGAUAAAAGUAAAUUCAAUUGAUAAAUUUAUAAAUUUUAUUUUCAUAAAUAUAAAUUAUUUAUUUUAAAAAUAUAAUAUGAUGAUUGAACGCCUUAAAAUUAACAAACCUUAUAAUACAUGUCUAAAAAUUAACAUAUCUUAGACUUUUGUAUAUACAAUAAUAUAUUAUCUAAAAUGAAUAAGCAUAAAAAAUAUUAGUAAAAAGAAAUACAGCUUUGAAACACGGAUCAGAAUUUAGCAUAAAUUAAAUACAAAAUAAUUUUCAAAUAUGUUUUCUCAUGAAUAUAAUAAUUUGCUUAAUAACUAAAUGCAAAUACAAUAAGAUAAAUAUAUAAUAAGAAGUGAAAAUACAUACGGUUUUAACCAAAUGAUUAAUUAUAACAUGUAAAUUAUAAAAUUAUUAUAUUUGAAAUAGUUAUAUAAACAUUUAAGUACUAGUGGUUGGCCCGCCCUACGGGCGGGUUAGUUUACGCUAAAACUAUUGUAUAUGAAAAUAUAUAUUAAUUUUAUAAAUUUUUUAAAAUUUACUUUAAAAUAAAAUAAUAAAUAUAAUAUUUUUUUAAAAAAAAUCAAAUUGUAUUUAUUAAUAUUUUUUAGUUUGAGUUGAAAAGACCUCUACCAUUUUUUGGUUAUAGAUUACAAAAUUAUGAAAUUAAAAAAUUAAGAAAAUGUAAUGAUUUAUAUUUCUAUUUUAUUUCUAUUUCACUUUGAUAUAGUUGAAGAAAAUCUAAAGUAAGAAUAACAUUUUUAAAAAAAAUUCUAAGAGUAUAAUUAUAAUACUAUUACAAUUAAUUAUCGUCUCCCGAUUAUAAAUUAAUCCACUUCCAAGCUAAAUCAAUUGAAAAUAUAAUGUAAUGUAAUAAAAUUAUAAAAUGUUAUAUUUUAAUGUAAUAUAUAAAUAGUUUCAAUAAUUUCACAAAUAACAAUUAAUCUAUAUUAUUUAACAACAAAAUGAUGUUUUAAAACAAACCAAACCAGAACCAAAGUGGACCCAAUAUUUAUUAGUCAGUUUCUACUAUUGUUGUCCAACUGGAACAAAAACAUUAACAGACAAAUUGAAAUUCAUAAAUAGUCAGUUUCAUUGUUCAUUGUCUAAACACAACAUGAAACACUUUGGUUGCCUCUAUACCAUUUGGUUUUCGGUUCGAUUAUGGUUUUUGUUGGUUUUCCGGUUCUAAAGAUAUAGGUUACCGUUCAAUUAUUUAUGAAUUUCACUUUCGCUAUUUUGGUUUUUGUUCCAGUUUGGAUAACAAUAGUAGAAACUGAAUAAUAAAUUUUGGGUCCAUUUUGGUUCUGGUUUGUUUGUUUUUUCGGAUAAUUCUAGAUAAAUCGGGAAAUUGGAGAUCUUUGUAUUUUUCAGAUAAAAUAUCAGAUAAUUAAAAAAUAUUCUACAUUCUUUUGGGUUAUUCAGAUAUUUUAGUUACUUUGGAUAAAAAAUAUUUGAUUUUUUUCGAGUAGUUUGAUUUAUAUGUAAUAUUUUUAGAAUAUUUGGUAAUUUAUAAACUUAAUGUAAUUAAUAUUUUAAGCAUAUGAAAUGAAAUUUAAAUUUUCUGAUUUGAUUUUUUGAUUCAAUUCCGGUUUGGUUUUCGAUUCUCGUUUAUAUACCUAGACAUAGUUGCUUUAAGCUUUUACACAAACACACAAAAGAGACUAUUUGAAAAUAAAUAUCUAGAAAGUAUAACAAUAAUCUGUAUGCAAUGGGUAUAAAAAAGAAAUGCGGGCUUUCCUCCCUCAUGAACUAACAAUACUACAAUAACUUAAAGACUCUUCUUUUGGAAUAGAUGGAUCUGGUCUUCCUCAAGUACUUCAAGCAUUACCCAAAAGAGUAAACAUCAGACUUCCCAGUCAAUUGUUAUCUUGUACUGGUCUGGAUCAAGAUAAUGAAUCUUCCUAUACCGUCAUACUCACACGUGUCUGGUCAAGAUCUGGACGUCUUAAACAAUCCAAAUUCUGAAACUUUGUCCAUGAAAUUCUCAUCGAAGAGAAUGUUAUCAUACUUCAUAUCGCGGUGGAUGAUACCUCUUGCGGAAUCUGUAUGGAUAUAGUGCAGGCCUCUAGCUGCACCAAGACAUAUCUCAAGCUUCUGUCUCCAGCUCAACCUUGGGCGAUCCAAGUCAUGCACAAUAGUCCUCUUAUUGUUCUCACUGCAAUGCCCGAUUAAAGAAACCAAAUGCAUGUGUAUGAACUGGGACAACAUUUCGAUCACUGUCCUGAAUUUAUUGAUGUAAAGCUAUAGCUGGUUAGUAUAUGUAUUUGAAAAAACCAUUACCUACUGUGGUUGAAGAUUCUUACGGUCCAAUCAGAUUGAUUGCUUCUGGUGGUAGACCAUAUAAUUAAAAAGCCUACUUUCCUCGUUUGCCUUGUAUCUCAAGGACCUCCUGCACUCAAAAACAGAGAACAGUUCGAUUCAAUUAAUUUUUAACACAUUGAGUCAUUCGUUAAUGCAAAAGUGGAACUUUUUGUGGAAGUAAUUCUUGAUUGUAUUACUGAUGAAGCGCUCAGGUGCUUAAUUUCAUUUUCUCCACGUCCCUAAUACUCGAUACCACAUCAUCAUCACACCUGAAAAAAGAGGAAACUUAAAAGAUUAAUAUGUGCCUCCAAAAAUUCAUAUAAUUCAGAGACUCAUGAAGAAACAAGACUUCAAAUGAUGCUAGCCUUCUUUUGACACUAAACACAGUUGGAGUGUUGUCAAGCAGUGGGUUUCCUUUGGGAAGUUCCUCUUCUUUGGCGUUUAGCUCUUCAUUUGCUGCUGCUUUUCCUGGAAAAAUGUAAAUAAUAAAUAUUAAGAUACAACUUUCAUAUGUCAAUGUGUUUAGAAAAAACUAACGUAGUCAUUUUGUUAUAAUUGUAAUCUGAAAUCAUCUCACAGACAAGAACACAUACCUUCCUGAGCCUCUUUAUUUAUUUAUCUGGUCUAGUUCAGCCAUAAGAGAUCCAGUCUCAUCCUCAUCAUCGUCACUUUCUUUAUAUUUAAGAAAGACAACCAGAUCGUAAGAUAACUCAAAGGAAAUUACAAGUCUCAGUUGAUAUAAGUCAUCAAAAACUCUCAAAAAGGAUAACACUGAAGCAAUUGCAUAUUCCCAAACCAGGGCUCUGAGGAAAAGCAUUAAAUCUCAAGCAAAGAAUCUUUAGAAGUUUAAAGCACAAAAGAUGAACUGCAAUAGGAAGGAAAGAAUGGAAAAUAGGUACCUAUCAUCAUCAUCAGAAUCAUCUUCAGAGUCCCUUUUAGAGCCUAAAAGCAGGAUAUCAGAGUUAGAAUUUAGAAAACAUAUAAUCAAACUACUUGUAUCCCGUGACAUAUAAUCAAAUAAACAUAUAAACCUUCGAGUAAUAGCUGAUUCCCUCUCCUGUAGUAGCUUUCAACUAAUGACAAAAAAAAAACACAUUAGUGAAACGAAGGAAGAAUCUUUACAAAAUCAUAUUGAAAAAAAGGUUUGAAAUUUAUCGUCUCACUCAUCACAGUGAGAUUUUUCUUUGGAAGAAAAGUUUCUCCUCUCACGCUCUUCAAGUCAUCACGAAGUUUCUUCUUCUAUAGAACAUCAAGAACUGAUCUCGGUGGUGUUUGAGCAACGGCCUGCUUUCAGAUUUGCGAGAAGAACGUAGGAAGUCGACAUAGUGGGCGGUGAUGCUUGGCAGAGUAUAAUCUUUGAGAAAUCUUAGCGGUGGAGCUGUUCAUGGCAUCUAACGGAGACAUUUAUAGUCUGAAGUCGUACCGAACUCAAACAUGCAUCGCUUACCUUCGUCGCCAAUUAUAAUACAUAAAUGAGGCGGAGUGGGAGGAGAUGUAUGGUGGUGUUAAAUGCUCAUUUUAAUGGUGGACUUAAAAAACGAAUCUGUUACCCAAAGUUUUCAUCGGAUGGAAGAGAAGCGAAAGGAUUAGGGCGUCUCAGUCGAGGAUCAUAAAAACUUAGUCAAACACGGGCCCACGCAUCUGAUACUUAUAAAGACCAAAUUAAAAUAAAAGCCCAUUCACCGAGAGACGAAAAUUUUAGGAGUCGAAGGUUAAGAUGCCACGUGGUGCAAAACGCCCACCUCUAAAAAAAAGACGUGGAGGGCUAAGGUGAGAGAAAACUCUGUUUUUAGGAGUCGAAGGUUAAGAUGCCACGUGGCGCAAAACGCCCACCUCUAAAAAAAGGACGUGGAGGGCUAAGGUGAGAGAAAACUCUGUUUUAUUAUUAUAGAUAUGAUUAAUGUUAAAAAAAUAUCACUAAUGUUUAAAAAUAAUAAUUUAUGUAUAAAAAAGUAAAAACAAACACCCGCGCGGUUGCGCGGAUCAAAAUCUAGUUAAAGAGUUAUUAUAUGAGAGACACGUUAUCAGAAAUCACUAAAGUGACUUCUCAAUUAAUAUAUAUGAAGAUAUUAAUCUACUAUAUAUUAAUUUUGGAGCAUUACAACUUUUGAGUGUAGCCAUAUUGACUUACAAUCCUUCGCAUAUAUAUGACAAUUAAUGAUUUUGAAUAAUAAAGAUUUGAUAAUAUUUUUUGUAUCCUCAAUAAUUUUUGUUUAAUUUAUAUUAUUAAAAAAUUUAAACAAUCACAGUAACCAUAUAAUAAAAAAAUCUAGAUUUUGUUUCUUAUAUGUUAUAUUUAAAAAAAUUUAAAACGAUUAUAAAUUACUAAAACUGUUAAAAGUCUUACAAUGAAAAUUUUGUGAACAACGGUUUUAGUUUUUUGUUAUAAAAAGAUACAAAUGAUCACAAAACAUAUCAAUAUAAAGUAUCAUUUAAAUAGAUAUUCAAUCUGAAUAUCUAUUACCGAGCUUAGAACUUUAGGGUUUAGUUAUAAUCUGAACGAAACCAAAAUCCUAACUAUAAUCCAAAGAUAUCAGAAAUUAGUAUAAUAUGUUAAUGUUUUUUUUAUAUAUGUUAAGGCAAUUUAGAUAUUUUAUAGUUCGAAAGAUUUUUGUAGUUUAUUUUAUUUGUUAUCUUGAAUAUCUUUUAGUUAAUUUAGAUAGUUUAACUAAUUUUAAUUAUAUUUAUGAAUAAUUUUAACAUUUUGAAGCUUUUUUCAAUUUUUGAGGUUUAAAAAUAUAUUUUGGGACGAUUCAGAUAUUGGUUACAAUCCGGUCCGAACCGAACCCGGCCUAAUUAUUAGUAAAACCCGAGUGGGACGUAUAAGCAUAAUAUCAAAAUUUUGAAAAUCUGAAUCAAUUGAACCGAAACCGACGGACCCCGAACGCCCAGACCUAUGAUACAUUUAUAUACAAACAUUUGUAUUCUUCAUUUUACAAUCGAUAAAGAUUAUAAUAUUGUAAAAUGUUAUAACCAUUAAAUAAAUAAAUAUUAGUAUAAAAAUCUUACUCCGCGCCGAUUAUCAUCUAGUAAUAUUAUUUGCCAAAAUCAAUAUACAAGGACAUAAAUAUUAAUUCAUAAAUAUAUUAUAUUUAUGAUUUUACCCUAAAAAUUUUUAAAACUAAAAUAAUUUUCUAGCCAGGUUUUUUGUUAUUUUCGUGUUAUAGGGGAGAAAAUGGUAUUUGAGAAUAUUUUAAAAAAUAAAAAAAACAGCAGAAAGUAGAUAAUUGGUUCGAAAUGUCGUUUUAAUAGGUUCAGCGCCAACAAUCAGUCAGGAAACUAUAACUUCACCUUCCAUUCUCUCUAUCUUCUUUUCAAUCAUCUCCAGAAUGGAAUAAACAAUUAGGUAGUUUCGAUUCGAUGCUGCUCAGCUCAUGUCUUCUUACACCAUCAAAGAAACAAUGGCGACUAAAGAUGAAGUCCAGAACGACCCACUGUUGCAGGCAUCAGAAAGUGACGGUCACGAAGAGUUCAACGGAGCUUCUUUCACCGGAGCGGUACUCAACCUGGCAACAGCGAUCAUCGGUGCUGGUAUCAUGGCUUUGCCCGCCACGAUGAAGAUCCUCGGACUUGUUCCCGGAAUCGUGAUGAUCCUUCUCAUGGCUUUCUUGACCGACAAGACUAUUGACUUCUUGCUUAGUUUUAGCGGAGUCGGGAACGCUAGAAGAUCGUACGGUGGUUUGAUGGAAGAUUCUUUCGGCAAAACCGGAAGGAUUGUGUUGCAAGUUGCUGUUCUUGUUACCAACAUUGGGGUUUUGAUCGUUUACAUGAUCAUCAUUGGUACUUGAUCUUUGAUACUAAUCAGAGCUUUUGAUCUUUGGCAUUUGUUUUAACUCUUGUUUGGCUUGAAGGUGAUGUUUUGGAGGGUAUGCUUGAAGGAUGGUUUGGAGAAAGCUGGUGGGACAAGAGAAGUAUUGUUCUUCUCUUUACAACUCUUUGUGUCUUUGCUCCAUUGGCAUCCUUCAAGCGCAUUGGUUAGAACAAUGUGUUGCAUACUUCUCUUAAAAUGAAAUGGAGAGUGUAUCCGGUUGAUUUAUUAUGGCUUCAUUGCAGAUACUUUGAGAUUCACGUCUGCCCUAUCACUUGUUCUAGCGGUUGUUUUUCUAGUCAUCACUGCGGGAAUCGUCGUUACAAAGUUUUACAGAGGUGGUUUGAUGAAGCCAAGACUCUUCCCAAACGUCACUGACUUGUCAUCGGUCUGGAAACUCUUCACCGUUGUUCCUGUGCUUGUCAACGCAUACAUUUGUCAUUCUAACGGUAACGCUUCUUUCUCACUAAAAGGAUUAAACAGGAACUCAUGGUUUUUUGAUGUUUUCAGUCCACAAUAUACAGAACGAGCUUGAAGACUCCAUUCAGAUCAAAGCUGUUGUGCGUUCAGCUCUAGUGAUGUCCUCCUCUGUUUACGUAAUGACAAGCUUGUUCGGAUACCUCUUGUUUGGUGAAUCUACUCUUGAUGAUGUUCUUGCAAACUUUGAUACCGAUCUUAAGAUCCCUUUCGGUCCGGUUCUCAGUGAGGCAGUCAGACUCAGCUAUGCAGCUCAUCUCAUGCUUGUGUUCCCUGUUAUCUUCUAUCCUUUGCGCGUUAACCUGGACGGUCUCUUGUUCCCUACGGCUACUCCAUCACUUACUACCUCUAAUAUGAGGUUUGGCUCCAUCACUGCCGGUCUCAUUGCUGUAAUCUUUGUUGGUGCAAACUUCAUUCCAAGCAUCUGGGAUGCUUUCCAACUCACUGGAGCUACAACUUCUGUCUGCAUCGGUUUCAUAUUCCCUGCUGCUGUCAUCUUGAAGUAAGUCCCCAUUGUUUCUCAUAACAGACUGGUUUUGGAACCUAAUGGAUCAUUUUACCUGAGGGUAUCUCUUCAGGGAUCGUCAUAACCGAGCAACAAAGAUGGACAAGACUAUAGCCAUUUUCGUGAUUGUCCUUGCGGUUUUCUCCAGUGCAGUUGCCAUUUACAGUGACGCUUACGCCUUAGUCAAGAAGAACAAAUCCACAUUUCCAAUGUGAGCAGAAUGGUUUUGUUUGGUUCUCUUACUCUAAGAAAAAAAAAAAACUUGACAACUGUAAGAAUGACCCCUGUGAUUUUGAUCUUUAGAUCUUGUUCAGCUCUAGAUCAAAUAAAAAUGUCAGAAGCGUCCAUGUCUAGAUCAUAUUUGGCCCUAGAACAAUAUCCAAAUUAAAAUACUGUGUUGAACUGAUACAAUUUGUCACUGUGAAUCUUUAAGAUACAGACAAAAAAACAGCAACAAGUGUCUAUUAGGAGUCGUUGGGACAACUCAAAACAAAACAAAAGAGUUAUAAAGAAUAAAAGGUUUACUUUUAGGAAUUUGACUUAUCUCCAUCGCUGGAGUCAGCCGGAGAAGGGAAGCAUUGGCAAUAUCCAUUAAUGCUAUUUCUUGAACUGCUCUGAUCUGAUCACUUUUCUCAAACUCUUUCUUCUUCAGUGCAGCGAAGAGAAGUUAAACAAAGAUGAGAGAUGUUACAGUCACAAGUGAAUAUAAAUCAGUGCAAAAGCUAAAAAAAAUGUUAAAAAACAUAUCUCAAGUAAGCACUGCACCUGAUAAACAUAAUAGAAAGCUUCUGACUAACUGUCUAGCUAAGAAAACUCAGAGGAGACGGGUAGUGUGCACUCAUCAAGAAGUGCCUCAGAGCCAAUGGAUGGUAACUUUCUGUGAUCUACACAAGAUUGAAACAAAAAGACGGAUCAGAACCUGUCAACAAUUCUGCGUUUAGGCCAUGCGAACAAUGAGUUACUAUAUUUGGAAAGAAAAUAGAACAAUACUCAACGGGUUCUCCACACUCUCAUUAGCACGUAUGAUUAUAAGCAAAUUAACUUCAUAACCUAAAUGCUUCAAGUAUCAACGCAAACCCAUGAUAUGUGCAAAGGCUCAAGCUUUCUUUUCUACGAAUCUAAGUUACGAGAGAUGGGAGAAUUGAAAGCAUGCAUCUAGACCUGUAGAGAACGUCGAAGGAGACGACGGAGGCGCGAGCAUGGCCGACUUUUCGCGUGCCCCAAUGUGAAAUGUAGAAUCUCCUAUGGAUUCCUAGAGUCUCAUAUACCCCUAUUUCAUAAUUAUUUUUUUGAUCAAAAUCCAAACUUUCAAAUCAAAUCCUUCCAGGUCAUCAAAACUAAACCCUAACCCUCCCCUAUAAAUUAGUGAACCCAUGGACAAAUAUUUAAAUUCAGAAUAAAAUAUUUUAAAAUCAUUUUUAAUCAUAUUUUGAUGAUUUUUUUGAAAAUAUGGAAAACAACGUUUUUGGAUUUUUGAAAUAUUUUUAUCAAAUUCUAUAAAUCAAAUAAAAAAUAUUAACGUUUCAAUUUUAAUUUUAUGAUUUUUAGUUUGACAUAUAAAAUUAAAAGAACAAAAAGAUCCUUUUGAGAUUGUGUUAUGAGAUAUAAGGGUAUGAGAAGAUUUGUCUCUCUUUGCGGUUAGAAAAUGUAGGAACUGUGACCAAGAUCUAUAGGUGGGAUCCACUCUGUUUCUCCUUGAGCCAUCUUUUUUUUAAUGCUAGUUUAUUAUGAUAUUACAAUUAUGAAAAAAAUUAUAUAGACGAUUCGACAACCAACAAUACUACUUGCCUUAUGAGGAUUUAUGCAUAACUGCAUCAUGCCUUAUGAGGAUUUAUGCAUAACUGCAUCACCUCAGCCGUCCUAUGAAAAUCCACGUUUGGCCGAAUUUAUUUGCGCCAUGUUAAAAAUCCCUUGUAAGCUUUUUUCCGUAAUUUGUAUAAUUGUUUAAUAAAUCGUUUUUUCCGGGAAUUGAAAGUGGACCUCAUGUAAUAUGCAAAAAUUUGCAUAGAGAUUCGAACCCAAACAUGGAUGUAGAAACCUUUAAACAUUAACCAUAUGAUAUAGUGCUUCCACUAAACCAUCUAUCUAAGAUCCUGUUUCAAAGAAAAACUAAAACUUUAAAUAUUUGAUUUCAAUUAUAUACUCCAACAAAAGUUUAUAACUUUAAAUUUUAAAGUUUUGAAUAGUUAAACUUUAAUUUGAGAUUUUAUAUUUUAAAGUUUUAAAAAAAUUAUCUGUUUUCUAAAUAAUCUUGUUAAGUUUCAAUAUUAUCAUUUUAGUUCUUAUAAUUUCUAUAUUUCAUUAAUAUUUUACAUAUAAAAUACUGAUUUGGUUUGCAACUUAUAUCUAACUAAUAAAUAAAUUUAUAUGUCAUUUUAAAAUUUAUUAACUGAUCAUAUAUAAAAACAUUACAAAAUAAUUUUAUUGAGUAGUUUGGUAUUUUAUUUGUAAGUAAUGAUUUAAUUUAAGUUUUUCAGUUAUCAUUUAUCAUAAGAUAGCAUUUUUCUAACCAAUAUUAUAACUAUUAUAACUUUAAUCAAUUUUUAAUUAAUAUCGAAAACUAAAGUGAAUAUAUAAUAAGAUUUAAAAAUACAUUGUAGGUUUUAAUAUUGGAAAGUAACACCCCAAAUCUCAAAUUUAGGGGUUUUCCAACCUUAAAAAUAUGGCUCCUCUUGAAAAUGCUCUAAGUUGGACUAUGGGUUUGUUCAUGGAUAUGAUCAACUGGAAAAAUAGACUGUUUUCAAAUAUCAAAAUUGUAAUCUCGUUACAGAAUUUUCUUCUUUUUUUUUUAAAUUAGAAAUUUUGUUUAUGUUGAAAUAACACUGUCAAGAUAUGUUAUAGUUUACUAAUUAAAUACAGGAUUAGAGUGAGCUUUGGGUUCUAUAUAGAUUCAGUUGCUCCACCACGUAGACCAAAUUGUUUAAAAAUUGCCUCAAUUUUUUUUUUUUUUGGUGUAAAAUUGCCUCAACUUCUUGUUCAUUCUUUUAUUAGAAAUGAUAUAAAGGAGUGGGAUCUUCAAUUUUUACGAGAAUAUAUGCACCCCGAAGAUUUAACUUUGAUCUUUGGUGUUUCCCUAUGUCUGACCGAUAGGGUUUUGUAAUCUGCGGUUUCUAAUUUUCUUAGUGGUAUAUACUCUUCUGCUUUGGUGUGUUUGCUUUGUUCUAAAUUUUCUCAGUGCAUUACAAAUAACAAUCUUGGUUUUGUGGCUUCGCUUUGGUUCGGGGAGUGCCAAUUCCGGUUUUGAUUGGUUGGUUAAAGCAACAAUUGCAAAGUUUUGGUUUAAGGCAAGUCCUUUAUGUUGCGUGACAGUGAAUACUUUUGUGUUGAGUAGUUUAGUAAUGCGUUCUUUCCAUGGUAAUUUAUUAGCUAUGUGCUCUUUUUAACGACGCAAGGCAACAGCUAUCUUUAAGGAGAAUCUUCACACCACUAUUCUGGUGUUUCUCCUCUGGUGGGGAGGUUUUGGCUUUGCUUCUCUUCUCUGAAAUUGACACUCUUUUUACAGCUGAACCUUUCGUUGUCUUUAACUUGGUAGUCUGUGGAACUCUUGUGCUAGCCUCCACGCUUUAAGGAGAAACAAAAUCUAGAGUCACCUUUAUACUCUUAAACAGUUUGCAUAACAUUUGAUGAGAUGUUUCUCAAAAGUCCAUGGCUUUAUAUCUGUAUAUGGAAAAACAUACAUCGACCAUAAGCAAAGUAAAUAAGAUAGAUUUUGAAUAAGGGAACUCUUUUGUUAGGUCAUAGAGCUUGUUCCAACGUCAAAUUAUGAUUCACAUUGUCUGUCUUUUAUGCAUUUUGGUUUGUUUUGUUUUGUUGAAGAUGAAAGUGUAAUGAGCAUUCGUCAAUCGUUUCUUCUCACGUAUAUUAUGACUAUCCGAGUUAAAGAUGCUAAUUAACCAGAGUAAAACUUUGAAAGCUGAUUUAGAUUUUUCAGAGAAGAGAACUCUGUGUAGUAAGAAGCAUUUGAGAUUGAAGAAAAGAACUAGUUCAUUAACAGUUUUGGUUGCACUAGGAUUCCCAGAGUUAAAAGAUGCUUUUUGGUUGCUUACCACAGUAAAAAGAUUGAGACUUGAGUUUGCAAGAGAAAAGAACAACUUUUUAACAGUUAGAAACAUACAGUAGUAAAACUUUGAAAGCUGCUAUUCAAAUGCUAAAUUAACCGCAGUAAAACUUUGAAAGCUGGUUUAGAUUUGAGACCUGAGUUACUAAACUUUAUAAUGAACAGAAACAACAUAUACUAAACAGAGACUUUAAACAGGAGACAUACUAGACCUUCAUGAAUAUAAAGUACGUACUAAACCUUAAUGAACGGACACUAAACUGAAAGAAGUCUGUCGAUUUCUUCAACCCCAAGACUUUGGUCAGAGUUCUCUUAACGGUCUUUGUCUUCCAGAACCUCAACUUCAAAGGCUUCUUGUCUGAAACAGCAACAUCAUCCGUCGCUAGUUUCUUCUUGGAACCUCUUCGUCUGAUUCUCAACUUGAACAGGUUCGACAGAAACGAGUUACUUGUCUUCUCCUCUGUUGUCUUCUCAUCCUCUUCUUCAACUUGUGGACGAGGCAAGAAGGGAUGAAGCAACAACUCAUGCGCGCUUCCUCUCUCCUCAGGGUUCCUCGAGAAACACGUUUGGAUAAAGUCCUUUGCAUCACAAGGAACCGUUUCAGGUAUCUCUGGAGAUUUACCAGAGAGGAGACGAGUAGCGAUCUCAUCUAGUUCGAGGCCUUCCCAUGGAAUCACGCCCGUGUACAUCUCCAGAACCAAACACCCCACCGACCACAAGUCUAGAGACACGUGGGCGAUGCCGUCACGGACCGACUCGGGCGACAUGUAGAUCGCAGUCCCAAGCCACGGGAAAUUAAUUUCCCAACACAGGGGAACCUCUCCUAUCUCUAACGCGUUGCCGAAAUCACAAAUCUUGACCUCGUAUGAAUUUUGUCUCAAAGAGGAAGAAGGGAAGACGAGUAUGUUGUCUGGUUUGAUGUCGCAAUGAACGUAGCCAUGGUCGUGAAUCGAGACCAAACCUUCGAGAACCAUCCGUGUGAAAUCCCUGAUCAACGGUUCAGGCAACUUUCUGUCGGCGUAAUUGUUCAUGAAAGCGUGGAGACUACCUUCGGAAGCAAACUCGAGUUGUAGUUUGUGGAGUUUCUCCCCGAAUCUGCUGAAACUUUGUUGGAGAGAGUCUCCGAGACAUGUGACGAUCCUGGGACAUCCCUUGAGUUGGAGAAGAACGUGGAACUCUCUUUGGAGAGCGUUGUAGUCUUCUUGGUAAGAGUUCUUUACGGCAGAGAGGUAGAAAGAGUUGUCGUCGGGAUUAUUGUAGCGGACGAGAUUAACAAAACCAUAAGCACCUUUGCCUAGUAACUUGACGAAUUCUUCUUUCGUUUGCAUCUUUUCAAUCGGGUUUUGACACAGAAUCGUUGUUCGGAAACGUUGAGAGAAUUAAAAAUAGGAAACUGUGGCGAAGGAGAAGUGAUUUCAGAGUGUUAUAUAGAGAGUUGGGGUUCAGUUAAGUCGGUGUUGCAGACACACGGAAAAAGGAAAAUUGAAUAACAUAAUUUCCUUUUCUGAGAUACUUCAAAAAGGAAAUUCGAAGCGCUGGCCAACGGUUGAAAAAAGGAAAAGAAUUCGAAUUUUUGGUCAUUUAUAAUUAAAAUGUCCAAAUUUAUAACAAUAAAGAAUUUGUCCACGAUUUAGUUAAUGCUUUCAUAUAAAUUUUUAUUCAUGUCGUUUAAUGCUUAAAAUGUAGUUUGGAAAAAUAUAGGAUUAUAUUUAUUUUCAAAAUUUUAAAGCAGAAAAUGGUAUUUGUUUUGAAACUUCCUCAUUAAACAUAAAUGCUGACAAUGUUAAAAGAACAUAGUGUAUUUGUGACAUCUAAAAAAAACUAUAGAACUUCUAGUGGAAAAAUGUUUAAAAUAGUGACUAAACUUUUUGGCUAUAAAUUUGUUAAGCAUGACAAUUUACCUGAAUUCAAAAACAUGUUCACUAGAUCAAAAUAACCAAAACCGGACCAAAACUUUCAAAUAUUUGGAUACUUCUUAUACUUUUAUAUUCAAAAUAAUCAAACCAAAAAUUAAAUAGACAUCUAUAUAAAAAUAAUUUGAGUCGUUUGAUAUAAUUCGAAUCAUCCUAAUUACUCAAUAUUUUACUGAAUCAAACGAGACCUCGGAUCACAAACAAUUUCUAGUUUUACUAUCUAAACUAGUCCAAAAACGAAACUAUCCGAACUUAUUCAAACCAAGAAGUUGGCAGUUCCUAAAAAUACCUGUUCAAAAUAUCUGAUACAUGUAAUAUCUCACACGAGCCGAAUCGACACCCGAAAUGCCCUAGUCUAAUUUUGUAUUUGAUUUAAAAAAAUCUAACUUUUAAUACACAAAAAAAUUCAGGCUUUGUUUUAGAAAUUUGAAAGAUUUAAUUAAAAAUUGUUGCUAUAACUAAAAAUGUAGUAAUAUUAUAUAUAUAUACUUAUAUAUGAUAUGUAUUAGUUAAUAUUUAGGAAAUUAACAAAUAUGAUAAAGCAAUAAACUGAUACAAUUAAUUAGAUUUAUAAAAUGAAAAUAAAAAUAUCUUAUGUUAAAGAUUUAUUGUUAAAUAGUGUUUUUGGAAUUAUUUUCAUACUUUAGUAGUAUAUCAUGACUCAUUUAAAUCAUAAUGGAGAUGAUGUAAGGGAAAUUCUAUCAAAUAGCUAUUUUUAAGUUUUUGUCACAAAAAUAGUCCUCACGAAAGAAAAUGAUCAAAAUAAUCUUUUUUUUUAUUUUAAAAAUUUUAAUAUUUAUUUUUAUUUUUCAAAAUUUGAAACCCUAUUCCCAAAACCUCACCCCUUAACUCUAAACCUUAAUUCUAGAUUAGUUAACCCUAGGAUAAAAAUACAUUUUUAUCAUUUAGUAAAACUUAUUUCGAUCAUUUUCUUCGUUAGAGGUUAUUUUUGAAAAAAAAACUUAAAAUGACUAAUUUGAACUGAAUAUAUAAAAUAAAUAUAAAAAACUUCAUUAGAGGCUAUUUUAUUCAUGAGGAUUUUUGUGAAUAAACUCAAAAUAAAGCUAAAUCGAUAUCAGUUUGAACCUCAUGAGUCCCUCUUAAAGUGUUUUUCAAAUAUCAAAUACCUUAAAAUUUGUUUGAAUGUGGUAAGAUGAUCCAGUAUACUCCUCUUAGUGUUUUGUUAUCAGUGAAAUCACUGAAUGACCAGAUAAUAUCGUAAUUUGUUGGCUGGAGUCAGCUUAUUAUAAGUUUUGGUUCGAUCCUUUUAGAAAUAGUAAAUGUCGGUUCGGUUCAGAUCGAAUCGGUUUGGUUCAACAAAACAAAUCAACACCUGAGUCCCCCCCCACCACCACCCAAACGCCUCCAUAAACCUCAUGUGCUUUGUUCAGAGGAUCUCGUCUUCUUCUCUUUCUAAUCGAAAAUGGGAACGUUGGGACGAGUAAUCUACACUGUGGGUAACUGGAUUUGCGGGUCUGGGCAAGCUCUAGAUCGCAUCGGUUCUCUUCUUUAAGGGAGUCACCGCUUGGAAGAACACCGUGAGCCACAUUCAAACCCUAGAUCCAAAUCCACAUCUCUAAUUUGUCGCUUACAAGAAAAGAUCUGUUCAUAUUCGAGAAAUUGGUGGUCUAAUUUAGGCUCUCGUUUUCCAUUGGUUGUUGAUGAGUGUGUUUGACAUCUUAUGUUACCUGCGGACAAACAUAUAUCAAUUACCAUUUCGAUUAAAAACUGUUGAACCAUGACAGAGAUCAACAUUGCAAUACUCUCGGAUUACAAUAGACAAUAACAACCGUAAUUUUCAGAAGAAAAAAAAAGAAACUGAAAACGAAGAUGGAGGGCAGAGAGAUAACCAUUUAGGGAGCUUCGGAACGCGAGUAUGCUAUUGAAGCUAUCAAAGUAACUUCUCCAUUACUCUAAGCGACUAUGUGAUAGAUUCCCUAGAAAUUAUCUGCAUAGAGCAAGACUCAAAGUUGGAGUUAUACUUCACUUGUCAUUAUGUAAUCAAGACAGGAGGUGUGUGUUUCCAUUGAUUCUCGAGGUUCUACAAAAAAAUGGUGUAAAGACAAAUGACGGAGUUGUUCUUGCAGUCGAGAAGACUAUCACGUCACCGUUACUGGUAAACUCUCCAUGUGAGACUUUUGGUGGGUUCUGCUCUUUGCUUUUUUAAAGUCUCUCCUUCUUUUUUUCAGAAGCCGGGCAGUCUGGAGAAAAUCAUGGAAACUGAUGACCAUAUAUGUUGUGCAAUGACUUGUCUGAUUGCUGAUGCAUGUAAUACUUGUUGAGCACGCACGAGAGGAGACUGAAGUGAGACCGCUCUCUGUUCCUACUUCCUAAUCAGCUCUGCCUAAGAAGGGUCAUAACUUUUUCUUUUUCUUUUACUUCAGACUUAUGAUUUUUAUGAUGGGAUCAUUUGUAAACACGAUUCAGAUUCACAAUUGAAUUGAACGAAAUGAAAACAUAGUUUUCUUAAAUUGACACUUGUCCUGUUUUUUAAACCUGAUCCCCCCUGCACAAAGUUAUGUAUUGAUUUUGGCCUUGUGAGUUGUGGCAUAAUAUGAGUUAGACCACUUAACUAGUACCACUUUUAGUUACAACAGUACAUGCGGCACCAAGCAAGGAUUGUGUCUUUAAAAGGAGGCGUUAUGAAUUUACCUCUUGAUAGAGUUAUAAGCGCAAUGACAUUAGAGUUUGGAAAGAUUUGUUUUGGUGAGAAGAAUAACAAUACAUGCAGUUUGAUAGGAAUAGUUAACAUUUUCUUAAGGAAUACAAUAUUACAUCAAACCAUUUCAUAAAUGUUAAAGUAAAGAUAGAACUCGGAUCAGACAUAACGGUUGUAAGGGAUACAAAUCAGAUCCAUCCAACCAUUUCCGUUGAUAAAGGUAUAAACCGAGUACUUCUGAGCUUCUUCGUCCGUCAUAUUGGGUUUGUACACAGUCUACACGGUUGCUAAGACCCAAACCCCAGUUCCAGUGUUCUUGUACUCUCCAUACCUCAACGUCCUAGGGUUCCAUGUGAUCCAACCCCUCGGCUCAACCAUGUCUCCUAAAAACAUCUUCAUAACAAGAACCGUUGCAAACGGCUUCCAAGGUCAUCCAAGUUACAGAGCCGGCUCAGAGGACAAACCACACAAACCAUCGUUUAGUGCAUACAAUACGAGAAAACAUAAUAUAUUUAUUAAUAAAAGUUAUAUAAAUAAUACUAAUAUUUUUAUGAUUAUUAUUAUUAUUAUUAUUACUAUCAAAUAAAUACAAAUUAUGUUUAUAAACUUAAUAAAAUUAUAUAAAAUAUAAGUAAAAAUUAUUAAAAAUAUAAGUAAAAAAUAUAUAAAACAUAAGAAAAAAUAUUAUCUUUUAAAUGUGAGAUGUUGUAUUAACAAAUGAUUUUAGUAAUUACGACUGAUUAUAGUUAAAAUGUUGCUGAUAAUAUUAACAAAUAUUACUAUACAAUUAACUUUAUAAAAUUAUAUUUAAUAAUUAUUAAUGAAGUUGAAUUAGUUUAAAGUUUUUUGUGAUAUCUUAUAUUUUACAUAUAUAUAUAUAUAUAUAUUAGGAAAAAAUGUAAAUAUAUGUUGUUAAAAGUUUGUAAGGCAUCUAAAAGUGUUGGACCUUGUUAUGGCAUGUUCGUGCUGUUGAAAAUCACGAAGCCUGGGAAAUAAUUUGUAAGGCAUCUAAAAGUGUUGGACCUUGUUAAACGAACAGAGGUAGGGGUGGACACUUUACCCGAAAUCCGAAGUGGCACCUAAACCCGAUCUGAAAAACCCAAACCGAAAUCCGAACCGAAGUAGCAAAAUACCCGAACGGGUAUUAAAUUAGGAGAGAUUGGAUAUCCGAACCCGAACGGAUAAUAUCCGAACCCGAAUGGAUAUCCGAAGAUAACCGAACAUAUAUAUAAUUAACUUUAUAUUUCUACUUUACAUCUCUCAUUUUAUAUAAAACAUUUAUAUUGAUAUUACAUAUACUUUAAGUUCAUAUGAUAUAUAUAUAUAUAUAUAAUUAUGAAAAAAAUGAUUUGCUACUCACUUAAAAUGCAUGUCAAGUUUUUUACUUCAAAAAUUAACAAAAAGUUACAUCAAAAUUUUAAAAACAAUAACUAAAUUAAUGUUUUUUUAGUUUUAAAAUGUUAUGUCCAAAUCUAUUAACCAUUCAAUCUAUUAAAAAUAAAAAAUAAGUUAAGUGAAAUUUAUAUUUUUAAAUACAAGAAAUUUGAGAAAUUAAAAUUGAAUUUUUUUCUUUCAAAAUCUAAAUAUCCGAACCCGAUCCGAAAUAACCGAAACCGAACUAAAAAUACCCGAACCCGACCCGAAGUACAGAAAUAUCCGAACGGGUUCUACACUUGUAUACCAAAAUACCUGAAAAUCUCAAAUACCCGAUCCGAACCCGAACGGGUAUCCGAACGCCCACCCCUAAAGAUGGAUAUCGUAAUUUGAUGGCUGGAGUCAGCUUAUUAUAAGUUUUGGUUCGAUCCGUUCAGAAAUAAUAAAUGUCGGUUCUGUUCAGAUCGAAUCGGUUUGGUUCAACAAAACAAAUCAACACCCGAGUCCCUCCCCCCACCCAAACGCCUCCAUAAACCUCGUGUGCUUCAGAGGAUCUCGUCUUCUUCUCUCUUUCUAAUCGAAAAUGGGAACGUUGGGACGAGUAAUCUACACUGUGGGUAACUGGAUCCGCGGGUCUGGGCAAGCUCUAGAUCGCGUCGGUUCUCUUCUUCAAGGGAGCCACCGCUUGGAAGAACACCGUAAGCCACAUUCAAACCCUAGAUCCAAAUCCACAUCUCGAUUCGAGAAAUUGGUGGUCUAAUUUAGGCUCUCGUUUUCCAUUGGUUGUUUUGAUGACAGUAUCGAGGCAUCGGACGUUGAUGAGUGUGUUUGAUAAAUCACCAUUGGUGGAUAAGGACGUGUUCGUGGCUCCGAGUGCCUCUGUUAUUGGUGAUGUUCAGAUUGGGAAAGGCUCCUCUAUUUGGUAUGGCUGUGUUCUUCGAGGUAAAGGCCUUUUCUUUCCCACUAAAUCCUUUAAAAUGUUUUGUCUUUGGUAGCGUUAAGGCAAAGCCAAAUGAUAUUUGGUUGUUGGGAAUAGUAUGUCCCCCACAAAGACUUAAAAAACAAGAUUUGAUAUAAAUUGCAAGCCAAGUAUCAAAUUUGCAGCAUUAUACUUUGCAAGAUCGUGUGCAUUCGUUACAGUUUAGAUCUUUGCUGAUUUACUUGAUUGUCCUUUUCAUUUGAAGGUUCUAGGUUUAGUGUAUUCCUGAUGAGACGUUGUGAAAUAGCUGGAACUCAUUGUAACUUUUGUGCAGGUGAUGUGAAUAACAUCAGUGUUGGAUCUGGGACCAACAUCCAAGACAAUUCUCUUGUACAUGUUGCAAAAACCAACUUAGCUGGGAAGGUUUUGCCUACUACAAUUGGGGACAAUGUCACAGUAGGUAAACUUCUAAAACUGAUUUAUCAGCUUUUGAGAAUCUGUUUUAUGUAAUGUGUUCUGUUGCAUGAUUCUUACUUAAAAUCUUUGUGUGUAAAAAUUAAACCGAGCAGGUCAUAGUGCUGUCAUACAUGGUUGUACUGUUGAGGAUGAGGCUUUUGUUGGCAUGGGUGCUACACUACUCGAUGGUGUAGUGGUUGAGAAGCAUGCCAUGGUUGCUGCUGGUUCCCUUGUGAGAGAGAACACACGAAUCCCUUCUGGAGAGGUUUCUUUCUAUUCUCUUUUUCUUUUCUGGUUUACUUUCUACUGCGUUUGUGAUAAACAUAUUGACAAGUUAACAAACAAUUCAUGUGGCAGGUAUGGGGAGGAAACCCAGCAAAGUUCAUGAGAAAGUUAACAGAUGAAGAGAUAGCAUAUAUCUCAAAGUCGGCUGAGAACUACAUCAACCUCGCACAUAUUCACGCAGCAGAGAACUCAAAGUCAUUUGAAGAGAUCGAGAUUGAGAGAGCGCUUAGGAAGAAGUAUGCACGCAAGGAUGAGGAUUACGAUUCAAUGCUUGGGAUUGUCCGUGAAACUCCAGCGGAAUUGAUUCUCCCCGACAAUGUCUUACCGGAGAAAACUACCACCAGGGUUCCAACUACUCAUUACUGAUUCACCCGCCUCAGGUUGUUUUGCAGACAAAGAUUGAUUAAGUCAAGAGAGAUAUUAUCUUUUGGUUUUGCCCUUUUUUUCUUCCGAGUAAGCAUGGGAUUUGUUAUAUUCUUGCUCAAUAAAGCCGAAAAGAACAUGUACUGUUGCAUUAUGUCACAUUUGUUGGAUGAAUAAUUGCAUAAAGAAAAACGAUUUGCAUUCAUUGUGUUCUUCUCUUUUGCUGAUGAUGAUGAAAAUGAGUUUGGUUUCAAGGAUGAAUUAGUGUAUAGAGAUCAUGAUUUCUGAAUCCAAGUUAUAAACUAUUAGGACUUGGUGUUUUGGUUUAGUUUUUUGAGUUCUUAUUUUGCUAUUAAGACUUGGUGUUUUACUAUUUAAGCAAGGUUUUUUUUUUGCAUUGGUGUUGCUGUUUUGGACUAAAAUGUGGUUGAUUUGGUGUGUUUGGUUCUAGCAUACAUAUUUUACAAAGAUGCUGAUGAACUUAAAGUGGGACUAUAAGAUGGUUUGAAUACGUUUUCUAUAAUGCAUACGCAUGGCAUUUGGCUGAGUCUCAAGACCAAACCAAGCAUUGCGUGACUAAUAACAGAGACAUCACUGGAAGCUGACAAACAAUAUUUGGUCAGUGGAACGAGCAGGACCUGUGUUGCCUUGUCCCAUCCACAGACCACCGCUUAUCAAUAAUCCAGACAGUUCUCAGGGAUAUACCGAUUCGUAACAUCUAAUAAGAUGGCACCAGCAUAAAUUCUAAACAAAACAAACCUGAUUCAGUUUGCUUAGGUAAAAACUAUUACUGAAAAUUGUAACCUCAAAAAAAACACACAAAGAUUUCACGCUGAGUAAAAAGCAAAAUACUUGGGACAUAGACUGAUUUUUAAAUUCAGCUUGGAACUUUAACACCAAAGAGCUAAAGACGGACACAGUUAUAAUUCCAAAGUUAUUUGUGAUCAAACUCUAACACUCUCACUUUCUCACAUUUCCAUUGGUGCAACAUCCUGAUCACCUGCACCACCUUGUUCUGCAGCAGCAGCUUCAGCCUCGGCCUCACCACCAUCCUCCUCUUCCUCGGGAACGUUCUCAAACGUAUCAAUCACCUUCUGUAUGCUAUCCUGGUCCAAGAAAUGGAAUGGUUCAUCGACUCCUAGAACAGAAACGGUGCAGAGCGAGCUCUUGAGUGUCUCCCCUUGCAAAGUUUCCCUUAUGGCCAAAAUAGCAUCUUUGAUCAGAUCUUCUCUUGAUGACUCAUUGAAGCUCUCGAAUCUUCGUUCUAGAUAAGUUUUCGCAGCUUGUGAACGUGACCCGAUGGCGAACGCUUGGUACUCAAAGUAGUUUCCGCUGGGGCAGUUGUAGUAGAGGUGGGCUCCUGACUCGUCCAGUCCCCCUACCAGCAAACCCACACCAUAAGGUCGUUUCCAUGACCGUUGGGUACAUACCUGCUCAGAAAAAAAGUAUGAAGAGGGUAAACACAAGAUCAACAAACAAGUUCAACGAUCAAUAAUACCAGAGUUUUGUUCAAAGUACAAGAUUAAUAUAUGAGGCUUAUGGUCAGAAAUCAACCGAGAAAAAUGUCAAUAGAGCAGCUAACUAGACCUGUUGAAGCUGUGAAUACAUUAUUAAACUUAGAACUCUAAAUUAGACGCCAAAGUGAACAUAUACCACAAAGUUUCUAUUGCAAUUGUAAAACAAGAUCGUACUGGACGAGCACAAGAGAGGGUGAGUACACACCACAAGUGAACACACACAAAGUAGCGCAAGUUGAAACCACAAAAACCAAAAAGAGAAGAGCGAAGACUGUAUAUCCAAUUUUGCUUACAAAAUUGAAGAUAACAAAAGAUGCAAACAGCAACAAACACAACUAAAGUAUAAAAGCAGGCACAUUCUUAUACAGUUAUAUUGCCUCAAGUUGAUAACUUGUACAGCAUUCCCUUGUUAUAUUUUUGUUGGUAAAAUUCAAUAUUCGAACCCAUGACCUCUAGCACAAAACUAUGUCACACUGUCUAAAGUCAAUCUCUUUUGUUGUAUGUAAAAUUCAAUAUUCGAACCCACGAACUUGAGGUUUGGAAUGUUAAAGUGUUCUUAUCACAAAGCUACUAUGGUCACAUUGGUCUAAAGGCUAUGUAUGUCUUUUUUGUAAAAUUCAAUAUUCGAACCCAAGACCUUGAGGUUUCAAACGUUAAAGUGUUCCUACUACCACAAAGCUACUAAAAAGGCUAUAUCUUUGUAACUCAAGAGGCGGCGAGAGGAGGGAAAGGAGUAAACCUGGGCCUUAUCAGCAAGACGAACGACGAGGCGGCCAACAGGGAGAGGAGACUCAUAGGUGAAAGAGUGAUUGAUGGAUUCAGAUCUCAUGUAACGCGAGAGCACACGGCCAUCGGCGGUGAGUCCAGCGAUGGCGACACCGAUGUGGUCAUCGACUUUGAAGAUCUUCCUUUGGUGAGAAGAGAGCUCCGACUGGGCUUUAUUGACGGAGGCGAGGACGACAUGGGAGCGAGAUCUGAGCCCGAUUGCGGCGGAGCCUUGCUUGACGGCUUCCAUGGCGUACUCUACUUGGAAAAGACGACCGGUGGGACUCCAUGUUGUCACGUCUGUGUCGUACUGGUUCCUGAACAUCCUUGCUUCUUCUUCUUCGUCUUUGUUCGUCAAAAGAGUGUGUAUAGAGAGAAAGACGCAGUGAAAGAGGAAAAGCUUUUCGUUUGGUUUGGUUUGGUUUCUCUUUGAAGGGACGUAGAUGGGCUCUUAUAAGACCUAGAUGGGCUUACAUAAAUCUAAAAUGCCCAUAGAAAAUAGAGCAAUUGGCGUGCAUUGCAGAAAAUCAUGUAAACAAAUGCUCAAGUCUUAUUUGAAACUGAGUAUAAUUGUGGUUAUUUACCAUUUAAUCAUUUCUCUUUCUUAUCGCUACUUCCUACUCCCUAGAGUUUAACUUAUAGCAAGAGCCGGCCUUGGAAACAAAACGAAGCUUGUGUUUCUGGCCGCCAAAUAUUAAGAUAAUAACCAGCCACAUAUGGACAGUAAAUUCUCAGUAGCAUAGUGGUUGGCGUGUGGUUACAAGUAUUACAGGGUAGCAUAUUACUUGUAGUUGGCUUUGCUUAUAGCAGACUAGUAAUAUUUAUAUAAUAUUUUAGUUAUAUAUUUAUCUCAUAUUUCAUUUAUAACUAGGUGUUUUUAGCACUAUGUGCAGUAAUAAUUUUUAAAAAUUUAAAUCAUCUUUAAAAUAAAUUUUAUUAACAUUUUAGAUUUUAUUAUUUUUACCAAUAUUUUAAUAUAAAUUUAAUUUAAUUAAACAUAAAAUUAAGAUAAAAUACUGUUUUCUUUAUUUUAAAUUAUAUUUAAGAAUAUAUAUAUAUAUGUAUAUUUUUAAAAUUUUAACCUUAGAUAUAUUUUUCACUCUAUUUUUUUUUUGGUUAAAAAUAUUAAUCAACUAUAAAAUUAAUAAAAAAAUGAUAUAAAAUUAUAUCAUUAUCAAAAAUUAAAACUAAACAGUAUUUAUAAAAUUUAUGGGUAUAUAAAAGAAACUAAUGAUACUAGGAUUAAAAAAUUAUAAGUUUUUUAAAAAUUGUAGAAAAUUUUACAAAAUUUAGUAAUAAAAAUUAUAUAAUUCUAAAAAGUAAAUUACAUAAUAUUAUGCAUAAGCCAUGUCAUCAACUUUAGUAGCUAUGUCUCAUUUUUUAUGUAAAAAUGAUUGUAGAAAAUGAUUGUACGUAGAGAGAACAUGUGAUAAAUCACUUCUAAAAUAAUGUCUAUGGGAUCUAAUUUUCUCUUUCUUUUUCAGGUGCUUUUGUUCGACAGAAUUACAAAAGUUAUAAUCACUACUGAAGGAAAAGAUGAAGAUGUUGUCCUUAAUAUGUAUGUAGUCAUCCUAUUUUUCUGCUCAUUUCGAUAUUUUUUUCUAUUCUCUAAGUAAUUUUCUUUCGCACCUCAUGUGAUCUUAGUACUUAUAAAAUCAAAUUUGUGUCUAUUUGAUAAAGACUGGAAGCAGUUAAAGGAGAGAGAGGAGCUGGCUGUGAAAGCCAAAAGGUUUGAUGAUAGUAAUGAUAUCAUAAAUUGUUUUGUUGAGUUUGAAUUAACUCAUUGUGCCGAAUUGGCUCAAUUUGUUUAAAAAAAUGAAGUCAAUAUAUUUUAGAUUUUAUAUAUAAGAAUGUUUAUUUUUACCAGGUAUGUGUUUUUAAUAAUUGAAGGUUGUGUAAUUUUAUAAAAGGAUAUCACUUACAUUUUUUAGUCUAAAUUACAUAUAAAAAUGAUGAUUAGGUAAAUUUGUUGAAAAAAUUAAGUAUAACUUGUAAGUUAAUAUCAAGUUGACAUGAAAUACUCUGAUUUAACCAUAUAUUCUAUUUAAAUAGAAAUCAACAUAACCUUUACUCUGACCUCAGUGGAUUCUUUCAUCAACGUAACUUCACGAACAUGGAAUACCAGACAAUUCUGUCUUUGGUAGAUCCCUAGGAUGUGAAUAUUAUUGAAAGUAUACCAUUGAGCUUGACUCGUAUAACAUACAGAGAUGGAUGUCAUUUUACCAAUAAUGGAAAAUACACUGUGAAAUAUGGAUAUCAAGUGGAACGAUUUUUUCCCGACAGAGAAAAAGCGCACUGAAGGCUUUUUGUUGGAAAGUAUGUUACUCCCUAAAAAUAAAACACUUCCUUUGGCAACUAGUAUCAGAAUGUAUAUAUAGCGGUUAAGAAAAACUUGAGAGCGAGACAUAUUCAGUGUGAUAUAUAUUGUGUCAGACAUAGAGCAAUUGAAGAAACAAUAAAUCAUGUGUUUUUUAAAUGUCCUCCAGCGGUGCAAGUUUGGGCACUUUCAUAGAUCCCAUCAAAUCAAUAUAUUUUUCCGGUUCAAUCAUUCUUUACAAAUAUGAAUCAUCUGUUUUGGAUAGUUUCUCCGCAUAUGGAAAACCAUAAACUUGCUUAGGUUUUAUGGUACAUUUGGAGAGGACGAAACAACAAAGUUUUUAGUAAUUUGGAUACUGAUCUGAGGGAUACUCUCAAAUUGGCAGAGACAAAAUCAUUACUUUGGGCAGAGGCUCAAGAUACUCUUACUCAGAGGGUCGUCCAAUCUAGGGAUGUAGAAGACUCAAUUUUACCUUCCAUACCGAGAAGAUGAUGUUUUACGGAUGGAUCAUGGAAAGAAUAUGAAAGUCAUUCGGGACACAGUUGGUAUAGCAUGCUUGAAGGCUUUCAUGAACUGAUGGGAGCAUGCAAUACCAGGGCCAGUCUUUCACCCCUUCAUUCGGAAAUAGAGGCGCUUAUUUAGGCAAUGGAAUGUGAGAGGAAUUUAAGGCAAUAUCAUGUCAGUUUUGCAAUGGAUUGUUCUCAAUUGGUGAAGAUGGUUUAUGAACCAGAAAAAUAGCCAGCCUUUGCAAGUUAUUUGGAAGAUAUCAAGUUCCUAAAAUGAUGUUUCAACCAUUCAGACCUCAUUCAUAUACCUAGAACACAUAAUACCAGGCCGAACAGCCUCACACACAGUGCGAGGAGACAACCAUCGUUCGUCGUUCAUAUGGAUGCAGAAUUACCAGCUUGGUUUGCAGAGUCUUCAUGAGUCUGUUUAUGUCGAUGACAAAAAAACAUAUUUGAAGAUGAUAUUUUAUUUCAUUUCACUUGAUAUUAGAACAAAUUAUAGUUAUAUAAUCUUAUAAAAGGAUACCAAAAGCAUAUUCGACCUAUUAUAUAGAAACAUUGACUUAUUUUGAGAAGCUUAAAUACAAAUCAUAGUAAAUAUGUACGUCAAACUAUCUGUACUCUGACAUUUCUAGAUCCUCCAUAAGUUAAUGUCGUUGUACUCCAACUUCUCUAGAUAUUCUACAUUUUUUUAUUUAUAAAUACCAGUUACUUGAUCAGUUGAUGGAUAUGUUAUUUUAUUAAAAGAUAUUUCUAAAAGUAUAGUUAUGUGAUUGCACUAGUGAUUAACCAUUUUUUAGAAAGCUUGUCAUGUAUGGAUUGUUGGAUGUAAAAAGUCUACCCGUACAAGGAAACAUAAAAGUAGCUCUCUAAAAAAUCACAACAACAUAAUAUUGAAAAGGUUGUUAGCUGGAUAAAACUUUCUAAGUACAACUAAUAUUAAUUUUAAUUGUACUUAAAAGGUUUUAUCUGGUUAACAACCCCUUUCAAUCUUAAUAUAGUUUUCAUUUGAAAAUUGUGUCAAUUUGAACAUUUUGAUGAUCAAUCAUGCGCAUUUAUUAAAAGAAGGAAAGCUCUAGAUGCAUGUAAACUAUUAUUUUUAGUAAAAAAUAGUUACAAGGAGAAAACACUUUGAACAUGUGAAAACCAAAUGUUUUUCUGUAAACUAAUACUAGUUUAUUAUAUAUGCAUGUAACAUAUCAACCAAUUUUUGUGUGCAGAAAAAUUGUUAGAAUUAGUGUAAGCAUCAACUAAAAAUAGUUUUAAUAAUCAUGGUCAUAUCCACGAGAUCUAACAUCUUCAUUAGUGGCUUCUCAUGUCAACAACUUUUCCUAUGCCACAAUCACUGGAACCACCCACCACCACCACCACCCAUUUUAAUAAAGCUAUCAUCUUUUUACAUUCUAGUAAGGAACCAAAAUUGCAUCAGCUUCUCCAUUCCCUUGAUCCCUUUCACUCUCAUCAAAGAGAUCUUGUUGCGGAUUCCCUUAUCAAUCAUCCUUUUAAUCACUGGUAGUGGCAAUAACUUAUCACCAUGCAUAAGCUUGUUACGCUCUCUCCAUACUGCAUACAGAACUUCUUGGAAAGCAUAUCUUAUACAGAAGAGGCUCAUCUUUUCUCUUUUCUCAUCCAAUAGAAUAGCCAAGAUCUCAGACCAGAUAACUGUAUAGGAGUCUCGUAAAAUACCUUUGGCUAUAAACUCCCAUAUCUGUGCAUAGUAAUCACUUUCGAAGAAUAAGUGACUCCUCGUUUCUGCAGCAUUUUUACAGAGCACACAUGUAGUGUCCAGUCCCUGGCUCCAUCUUGAUGCUCUGUCUAAGGUCGACAUUCUAUCUCUUAUCAACAACCACACCAUGAAUGCAAACUUUGGAGUUUCUUGAGAAAACCAUAUACCCCGAGCCCAAGAGCAUUGUGUCUUACUCUCUCUGAGCAACAACCAAGUUUCACUAGUUGAAAAUCUUUGUUUAAAUCCUGAUUUCCCUUUCCAUAGACUCACAUCCUUUCUCUCUUGAUUUAGCUUUCCCCCAAUAAUAAUCAACUCCUCCUCUAUUUCAAUGAGUAAACUCAUACGGUGUCAUGCGUCUCCUUCUAGUAUUUAACACAGCUUCCUCCAAAGUCGCAACCCUACUCACUCCCAAGUCGAUAAUGCCUCGAGGCCCUAGCAAAUCAAAGAGAGCUCCCUUAUUCGACCAGUUAUCAAACCAGAAAGAUAUAUGUCUUCCAUUACCCAGCUAUUUCUUGUGAAACAUCUUUGCAACUUCUCUAAGUUUCAAUAUUUUACGCCACAUCCAAGAUCCAUUCUGAGUAUUGACGCUUAAUUUCCAGAAACUUUUCCCUUUCAGAAAAUUUUCUUUGAUACAUUUACCCCACAGCGAGUCACCCGAUAACAUUAUCCAUAUCAACUUAAGGCCAUAUACCUUAUUAACUUCCUUUAGAUCUCUUAGUCCCAGACCACCUUCACUCUUCAUACUACAGACAUCUCUCCACGCUACUUUGGCAUUUGACGACUUAAGUAUUGGUCCUGUCCAAAGAAAUGUUGCGCAUUGCUCCACCUCUUUAAUACAAGCACUUGGGAGACUAAAUACUACUAACCAGAAGUUUGAUUAGACUCAUUAAAACUUGUUUUAUUAACUGCAGUCUACCGGCAUAUGACAAGAAUCUGCACGUCCAAGAGCUUAUUCUGCUUCUGAUAUUUUCCAGUAGCGAAAGAUAGUCUUGCUUCCUCAUCACUUGGGUCAUAAGGGGGAGUCCCAGAUACCUCACUGGAAGUUCACCUUCAGCAAAUGGGAAGUUAGUUAAGAUACUCCUUUUCUCUGCCUCCGGUACUCCUGCCAUAUAUAUUGUAGAUUUCUCUAGGCUAAUUUGUAACCCUGACCACUCUUCAAACUCAUCAAACACAGAAAGGGGCUCCCUCUAUAGACUUUUUAGAACCUUCAACGAACACCAUUAAGUCAUCUGCAAACAAAGAUGUGUUCUAGAAAGCUUCUUACAUCCCGGAUGUAGUUUGAACUUCUUAUCAGCCACUGCUCUAUCUAUUUUUAAAGAUUGCACGUUCAUAUAGAGAACAAACAAAUACGGAGACAGAGAACAUCCCUGACGAAGACCCCUCGAGCUUUGGAAAUAGCCAGCUAGAUCACCAAUGACUUGCAGAGAACAGGAUGGGCUUGUGAUACAUAGCUCAAUCCAAUGGAUAAACCUUUCCGGGAAACCCAAUACCCUCAAACUCUUCAGAACAAACUCCCAUUGCACCGAGUCGAAUGCUUUAGCAAUGUCAAUCUUCAUAACACACCUUGAAGACACUGCAUCCUUGUGAUAACCCUUAACAAGCUCAGAUGCAAGCAGCAUAUUCUCCAUGAGAAGUCUACCUUGUAUAAAAGCCGGCUGAGUCUUUGUUAUGAUUCUUGGAAGUAGCUUCUUCAGUCGAUUUGCCAAAAAAAUUGACACAACCUUAUAGAGUACGUUACAGCAUACAAUAGGAUGGUAAUCUUUCAUCUCCAUCGAAUCAAAUUUCUUAGGAACUAACGCAAGAAUUGUCGAAUUAACACCCUUUGGCAAAAACCCAAAUCUGAAGACUGAUUGUACCGCAACAAUGAAAUCCUGAGAUAUAACCGACCAAGCUGUUUUGAAAAACCCACACGGGUAGCCGUCUGUCCCUGGAGCCUUGUUGUUCGGCAUAGCAAAGAGAACUUUCUGAAUUCCAUCUUCAGUAACUUUUGCUUCAAGAAUACUACAAUCCUCAGAUGAGCAACGAAACUUUAGCAAUUCCUGUAACUCCUCCUCAGAUGCACCCUUGUAAUUCUCUGGCUUGUGAUUUAGAAAUUCUGAAAAAAAAAUUCUCUGCCUCUUGCUUUAUCUCUGAAUGUUUAGUCACCACUCUUCCAUAUGUACAUCUUAUCUCCCUGAUCAUGUUCUGAGCUUGUCGGGUUUUGAUAGCUCGAUAAAACGUCUUAUUAUUCUUAUCUCCACUAUCUAGCCAAUGUAGCUUCGCUUUCUGCUUUAAGUAUUCUUCUUCUAGACUUGCCACAUGUAGGCAUUUACCAUAUGUUUAUGCCUCCUCUUUGACAGAUGCUUCGCUCGGAUUUGCUAGUGUGUUACUCUGCUUCACACAUAGCAGAUCAUACGCCUCUUUUGCUCGAAUUGUUAAGUUGCCCAUCUUAUCUCUUCCCAACUCACGAAUCAACGGCUUCAAAUGCUUUAACUUCUUUGAGAAUCUGAACAACGCCGAGGUAGAGUGAAACAGUCUUUUCGUUGUAUCCCAAUACCUCUGGACCAUAGGAAGAAAGUCAGGCAGGCUACCUAUCACAUUGAUAUACUUGAAGGGUCUUUUGACUUUCUCACUCGGAGGAAACAGUUGAACUUUGCACCUCAUGUGAUCCAAACAUCCCCCUGCUUCAAAAACUGCAUAAGCAUUACUAAAUCUUUGCAGACCCUCUUUAUUUAGUAAUACCCUGUCCAGCUUCUUGCAAAUUACUCCAUCCUCCCUCUUAUUACUCAUGUAAACUGUGGCCCUUGAUAAUGUCAGAGAGCUGACACUGAAGAACCAAACUCUGAAAGUCUCUCAUUCCACACGGGAUCCUACUCAUGUUAUCAAACCUCGAACUCUCAGCUCCAUCAAGAAUUUCAUUAAAGUCUCCCAUGAUCAUCCAAGCUUUAUUUUUGAAGCUAGGAGAACUAUGAUGAUGCACAAGAUCCUCCCACAAUUCCUUCCCACCCUCUACUUGAUUACUCACAUAUAUACAUCAGCAAUAGAACUUUUCUUCUCCUUUCAUCUCCACCAAACAAAUGACUAUCUGAUCAGAUUUAUAUACAGGCAUCAUACGAAUCGUAUCUCUCCAUAAUAACCAUAUUCUUCCUCCUUGGCUAUCUUCGUAAUUUGUUAUUGAUGACCAAUCUCCAAACAGUACUCCUCUUAAAAUCUUCCAUGCUUUCCCUUCCUUAACUCUAGUUUCCAAUAUACAACCAAACUUCAACUCCUUAUUAUAUUUACCCACUCUUUUACUAUGGAAUGCUUCAAAUCUUUAUUGAAUCCACGAACAUUCCAGAAAAAGCACGUCAUUUUUAAAGAUUUCACCGAGAAGACCUUUUACUCUUCGGCUGAACCUCAUGAGCCUUGGUCUUCUGAACUCUUCUUCCACCUCUUAGUUUUACUACCUUGUUUUUCUCUUCCAGGAUCUCAUCCUCCAACAAAUCUCCUUCCAAUAUAUUUGUAUUCUCCGCUUCCUCAUGUUCCUCACUCUCCACUUCCUGUGAUUCUUCUAGUUCACCCUCCUCAACUUCAUCUAUUGAAAGAACAUAAUACUUUGACGCCGAGAUUUGGACUUCACUAGCAUCUCUCUGCAGAGAAUUUUGCACUCUCCCUAUUUUAUCUGGUGAGACAAGUGACCAACCACUACCUCUCACCUGUUUUUCCCCAGUGCCUACCAUUUCAGCCUUAUUAACUUCUCCAAUAGAAUCAUCCUCCGAAAUGACUACCUCCCGGUUCUGUAACUCUUCCUCCUGUUUACUAUCUUUCUCCCUCAACCCUACUAUAGCUUCACUUCCCACUUUAUCACAAUUCUUCUCACCAGUUUCCUUCCCCUCUAUCUUCUUAUCUCUUUUCUUCCUCACACAAACCUUGUCUGUAUGUCCCCAUUUCUCGCACAAGUUACAUCGAGAAGGUAACCAUGUGUAAUAAAAUUCAGCAGUGAACUCCUUCCCUCCCAUUGUGAAAUCAAUCUCCUUAGGCAACGUCUUCGAAAUAUCAACAUUCACAAACACUUUCGCUUCUUCAUAUUUUGAACAAGACAUUGUCUUUGGGUGAAGACGAACAGGAAACUCCACAGUACUCGUCAUGAAGCUUCGAGCCUCCCAUGAGAACGUGUUCAGAGGAAUCUUUCUUAAAUGCACCCACAUUGGUAUAGCUUCCUCCUCCUGCUUAUCCUCUUCUACCUUAGGCGUCCAUUUCUUCACAACCAUAGGAACUCCAGCUAUAUUCUACAUUGGUAUAGUCUUCAUGGCUUUAGCUUUUGGCUUUUAUUAUUUCCUCUGUUUCUACGAUAGUUUCUUCUUUGCUUUCAACUGACCCCCAUAACCUAUGUUGCUUCCUGCUUAAUUAAAAAUCCAAUCAAUAUCCACCACUAAAUAGUCAAACUCUUACCGAGAUUGUCUUGUUGUGAACCUCAGCAACCAACCCAUGUGCUUGAUACCAUGUUAAAGUUCAUAGAAAGAACUUUAAAAACCUCAGCCUUCUUCUUAAUCGACAUUGAAAGAGCAUGAAAUAGUGUGUUGCAAGAGCUUAGCUUAAUGUAAACUUGAGUAGUAUCUGAGUUGAUGAAAAGCUGCACAUUUCUCACUUUGGUUUCUCUGACAUCCAAAUCAGUUGAGACCAAUAUAAAUUUCAAUGUGGUAUUAGUCAGGUAAUUGAAACCUAGAGAAGAAUAACACAUGAAAGGAGUCCAUCAGAGACAGAUAGGCUAAGAAUAACACAAAUGUUAAGUGUAGGCACAAUUCACACUACUUAACGCUUACACUUUGUAGUUCACCUAAAGGAUAAAAUAGGCUAAGAAGUGCCUCGUUGAAUGUUGUACCAGAUAUUUUCGGAUUAUUAACUGCAUAAAAAAGUUAGACACAUUUCCAAAGAGGAAAAGAACAUUACGAUGUAGUCUCUAUAUAUAUUUACAAAUGUCGUAUAUAGUAAAUACCAAGUAAUAUAGACAAAAACGAAACGGAAAGAAAAAGUUCUUGCGAUUCAUUUGGAGAAACAAACAUUGACACUAAGAGAAAUGGAUCUAAUAAAGUAAGAACCCUUAUCAUACAAUUUUGUUUUCCCUUGAAGUUCGGAAUGUAUAAACGGAUCUACGAAACCUUCAUGGUUAAGCUUCCCGUCCACCUUGAGGCGACGAAGUAGCAGUUCGUAAUAUGGCAUUCAAUCAAGGUUCCCACUACAUUUUCUUUAGUUCAAGCAACCGAUGUUAUUGGAUAACACCAACACAGAUUUUCGAGGUCUCUCAAAAUUGAACCUUUACCAGUUUUUCUUCUAAUAUUUUAUUUCAUCGAAACCAAAAAGGAAAGAAAAAGUUUUUGCAAUUCAUUUGGAGAAACAAACAUAUACAUGAAGACAAAUUCUAAAUAGAAAAAAAAACAAUAUUGGAUAAAAUAAAGGACCUUGAGAGCGUGAGGGGAUCACCAACAUCUGUCAAGCUCUGCAUCUAAGGUGGAUUGUUCUGUGUGGAUCCUAGAUCAGAGACAAUGAAUCAAAUCCAAAAAUCGGUGAAUAAAGUCAGCGGUUAAUCUUGAGAGCGACAACGACGGAUCUGGAAGUUCUGAUGUUAGAGACGACGAAUGGGCUUUAUAAAACAAAAACCAGACAUCGAAUAUAAGCAAAAGCCCAAAAAAAAUUAUAAACCUAAACAAAUAAAAUGGUGAGUUUUGUUAAAGCGGACAGGUGUCGCUCCCAGAACGCACGACUUAGUGACAUGGCAGCACCAGGAGGGAGCAAACAUCUUUUUAUAUAAUGGAUAAAAGAAAGGACCUUGAGAGCGUGAGGGCAUCACCAACAUCUGUCAAGCUCUGCAUCUAAGGUGGAUUGUUCUGUGUGGAUCCUAGAUCAGAGACAAUGAAUCAAAUCCAAAAAUCGGUGAAUAAAGUCAGCGGUUAAUCUUGAGAGCGACAACGACGGAUCCGGAAGUUCCGAUGUUAGAGACGACGAAUGGGCUUUAUAAAACAAAAAGCAGACAUCAAAUAUAAGCAAAAGCCCAAACAAAUUAUAAACCUAAAUAAAUGAAACGGUGAGUUUUGUUAAAGCGGACAGGUGUCGCUCCCAGAACGCACGACUUAGUGACAUGGCAGCACCAGGAGGGAGCAAACAUCUUUUUAUAUAAUUAGAUAAUUAGAUAUGCAGAUUCACUUAUCCACAAUAUGAUGUACACACAUGUUCAAACUCACUUUCCACUUUGUUUUAUCCAUGCUCAGGUGUCCAUUUUGUUUUGUCCACUCUCACUCAAACUUCAAUUUUAGACUAUCUACAAUGAGCUAUUGAAUAAUAAAAAAAAAUCAAUAGUUGAAAAGACAAUGGUCUAUUGAAAAACAAGUUGAAUCAUACUUAUAUUAAAUAAAUUUGAAAGAAUUUAACAAUGUUGAAUCGGUAAAGUGGAGCCAGAGUGAAGCCAUCAAUGACCACCUUUCAUGAAGUUAUUGGCUAUAGAGAUUUCUGAUUUGUUUUUCGUCUGAAUUAAUUGAGAUAAAUUAUUUCAUUAAAUAAUUUUGAAAAAAUAUAUUUUUACACCAAGAUUAUCAUGUUUCAUAUUUUAUAAAUAGAGACUUGCUCCAUUUAAUUUUGAAACAAAAAAAACUUAUCUAUUUCUACUAUAUUUUCUAGUAGACUACAAUAAACUCUUGUUUAUAUAUUUUCCCUUUUUCAGUGAAAUGAAUCCCAAAAAUAACUUUUUAACACCCAAAGUUCUACUAAUCAUCCUUUUAACUAUCCAAAUCCAACAACUAUCAGUUUUAAAAUAUUGGAGAAAUGAAUUGGUGCAUACGACAACGCUAAGUGUAUGCAGCAAGGUAUUAGUCGAAAAUGAUAUAUUGGCGCAUGAGCUAUAUUAGAGUGAUAAGAAUGGGCAUUUUAUUUAAUGUCAGAAUGAUGGCUCGCUGUCUGUGAUCAACCACGUUAUGGUAGUCAAGUAUGAGGAAAUACUGGUUUUGGAAGCAGUGGAUUUAAGAGAGCCCAUGAAAGUGAUGCUCGAAACUCCAGAUCUGUAAAAUUUAGUGCUCGUCCAAUGGGGAUGAAUGCAUAUAAGAAGAAAAAAAGAUAAAAAUAUGGGCUCUUACCAGCCUUGGAUGUGGUCAAUGAAAAUUUCAUUGAAUUCAAACAAAUCAAAGGGCAAUAGUUGUAACACUUGAAAAAAUUAGUCAUGUUGCAAAAGAAUUGAAACCAAAGGUGAAAAGAGGCAACCCAAAGGAAAGAAGAAGCAAACAAAUUAAUGAAAUAAAAGAUUCGGUCUACGAAUAUAAAGAUGUGGUUGAAGUCAAGUGAAAAGGUACAUCUCAGUAACAAGAGCAGAGAAAUGUCCCAACAGUUGAGCCACAAAUUAUUUGGAAAUUAAUUGUAGUCCCAAGUGGAUGUUUAUAUCAUGUCACUUCAUGCUUGUUUGUAUCAUGUCACCUCAUGCUUUAAUAAUGUUUGUUUGCUACUUUUUCUUUUAAUAAUGUAACAUGUGACUUUUGGCUUUUAUUGAGAAAAUCUUAUCCUCCAAUCACUCAACAUGCUUUAAGCAUUGAAUGUGGGGCAUAACAAAAGAAGAAAAAAAAUAACAUGCAUCGGACUUUACAUUUAGUUUUCAUUCAAACUUAAAAACGUAGAAUCAUUAACAAUAAUAAAAUAUAAAAGUACUUGCAUGAAGAAUAAACUUUUUUAUAAAAAUCUUUCCUACAGGAAAUGGUAAAAGAGUGGGUUGUCGACUCUGGGCACCAAUGCAUGUCUAUCUUUUUUUCUUUUUCUCUUUGUCUAUAAAAAUACUACACACUCUUCAUUUUCUUCUUUCAAAGGGCAUUCAUUUCAAAUGACAACUGCAUCUUACUAUUGCGAGAACCUUGCAAGAAACAACCCCCAUCCCCCUUCCGCCCAAUCAAGUACCAGUUGCUUCGCAGCGCGGGUAGCCUCAAAUCAAAAAUCUUCUCUACUCAUAAUUUUUUUUUAUUUUCUUGUUUUAUAUAAAAAUUUAAGAUGAAGUUUUAUAUUAUGUUUAACUGAUUUUUCAUAUUUUUUAAGGUUGUCUCAUAUGCUUCUUUCCACCAAACAAUUCAAAAAUCAGAUACAUUUUUUUUGUUUCUUCAAUAAAUUAUGAAACUUCUGAAUUUUUUAAAAUAAGUUAAAUUUCUAUUCGAUAAUACUCAGUAAAAAUCAACCUGUUAUUUACAAAUAUAUUAUAACAUAUGCAAGCAUUUCAAUCAUCUAUAUAAUUUUAAAUAUUAUCUAUAUAUAUAUAUAUUAGUUUUAUGAAUUUAUGCAUGUUAUUGAUAUAAAAAUAUUUUUUUAUAAUAAAUUUAUAUUUGUAUAGUUAAUUAAUAUUUUACAAAAUGAAAUAGUAAAUAUAAUUUUUAUUCGUUCAUAUAUGUACUAUAACACAUGCAUGUAUUUUAAUCUUAUGUAUAAUUGGUUUUUUAAUUUUUUAUCUUCAGUUUUCUCUUAUAUUAAUAUUUUAUUAAAUAUUAUGGUACAUAAUUAAUUUCUAUAGCGAAUUAUAAAUACUUUAAUAGGUAUAACAUUUGUUUAAAUCUUAUGUAUUGCAAUUUAAUUACAGUCAAUAAUUAUUACCCAUCCGUUUUGAUUUACUUGUUAUUUUAGAAAAUCACGCAGAUUAAGAAAAUUAAUAUUUUUUCUGUUAUACCCUUAUCAAUCAAAUUUAUUUACAAGUUUAGUUAUCUAUUUAAUAUUUUAAAUUAGUUGUAAGAAAUAAUUUUCUUGUCGAAUAUUUUGGCUCUUAGCAUUCUUCACCAAAUUAUCUUUAACUAUUAGUUCAAUGAAUUAAUUAAAUUGACUACAUACUCCUGUUAACAUCAAUAUAUUUAGAGGGAAACUAAAAUUUUUACGUUUAAUUAUACGCAAAAACAAAACAUAGUGGAGGCAAGUAAACAGUUCAAAACUUUUGACAAUCAGUAUAUAAACAAAUCGUGCGAUAACAAAAGUAUCAAUGGCUAAUUCUGGUCAAAACCUUUUUACAUUCAACAAAUAAAAAGCAUUAUUUUGAUUUAAAAAAUCGUGUGAUAACAAAAGUAUCAGUGCCAUUUUCUGUCAAAAAUAAUUACUGAAAAAAUAUAAAUAGGCUUGUUAUCUUUAGAUUAUAAACAGUCUGGGCAAUUUUAACAUACAUGUUGACCACAUUGGAAAAGAUAAGAAAAAUAUUUCAUUGUAGAAAAUGGCGGUUGAGAUGAUGUUAAACGAAGAUUUUUUGAAGUAUAGUUAGUUAAUUUAAAACAUUUUGUUAUUUUAUAUUAAAGUUAGAAUAGUUAUUUUCUUGUAUAAAUCAUAUUGAAAAACGAGAAUGACGCUUAAUUUGUGACAAAAAUCAAACCUAAAACGACAAGUAAAUCGAAAUGAUGGCAGUAAUAUAUAAUCAGAAAAAGAAACAUAUAAGAACGUAAAAUUAUGAAAAAAAAAUUGUAGGGUAUUUUUCAACAAACCAUUGUGAAAUAUAAAAAAUGAGUGGGUAUUGAAUUAUUAUGUAGACGAUAGAAACGAUGACGGGGAAGAGAGAGCAGAUAAUGUUGAGUGUAUGAAAUGUUGAAAUCAUUGUGGAUAAUGUUAGACUAUCUACAAUUGUGGGUAAAUUUACCACCCUCAUUUUUUUUUAUUUUUUAACACUCUAUAUCAUUUUCUCGUUUUUCCACCUAAUUAUUCAACAACAAUUUCAUUUUUAACCAUACAAUAGUUUUGUUUAAUAAAAUUCAACAUCAUACCCCAUAAUUUUUAAUUCAUAAGUUUUUAUUGUUUAUAAUUUAAACUAUAUUAAUAAUUUGAUUAUAAUUAACUUAAAUAAUUAAAGUAUCAAAGUUUUUACUAAUUUUUAUUUAUAUCCUUCACUAAGUUUUGAAUAUCAAUAGUACAACUAAUACUAUUAAAAUUCAACUAUGUUCUAAUUAACACACAAAAAAAAACUGCAAUAUAGUGAAAACAAUUAUUUUCUGGUGUCCAAAUCAAGGAAACCAAGUCUUUAUCUAUAGAAUAUAAAAAGUUAUGAAUUUUGAUAUAACUUAUUUUAAAAAACAUAUUAUUUGAUAUACAAUAAUUGAUCUUAAAAACUAUGGUGAAAUAAAAAUCUAUAAAAUCUAAACAACUACUAAUAUAAUGACAUGUGUACCAAUUCACUCAUUUUAAUUUUUUUUUAAAAACUAAAAAUUCAUUUUUGAUAACUUUUUAUUUAUUUAAGUGUGUCUUAUAGUGAUCAAGAUAACUUUGUGGGUUCUACUGUUGGCUCUUCCAACAGGUUGAAUCCACAUCAUAUUUUUAAGUUUUUCAACAGAUUCAUUGUGGGUAGUUUUACACCAUUAACAAUGAUUACAUGAUUCAACACCCUAUUUUCAUCUUUUUAACAUUCACAUCAUCUUCUCUCUCUCUUCCACACAAUCAUUCAACAACCACUUUAUUUUUGUAACAUCUACCAUAUUUUUGUUUAAUAAAUUCAACACUUUACCCACUAUUUUUUAAUUCAUAUUUUUAUCCUUUACAAUAUACUAACUAUUUAUUAAUAAUUUUUUAUUAUAAUUAAAAUAAAUAUUUAAAAGGACAAAACAAAUUACCAUUUUUUUCAAGUUGGAUAUUCAUAUAUUUUAAAAAAUAUAUUAUUAAAACAAAUGAAAUCAUUAAAAUUACUCAUACCACCAAGAGGUAUUGGCAUAGAUAAUUUAGAAAAAUCAGUUGCUACAAUAAUAUUUCAAAUAGAAAAAAAAUAAGGUGUUUGAGAAAAAUAAAUCAUCAUUGAUCGAUGAUAUGGAAGAUAGUUUGGAAAAAUGAAGACAUGAAGAAAUUUGGUGAAAAACCAUAAUUUGGUAUAUUUUUUGGUUAAUUGAAAAUUUAGUUUUGAAAUUGAUAAUUUUGGGGAUUUGGGUAAUUACAAAGAAAAUUAGAAGAAUUUCAGAUGUUAAAAGAAUUAUUAUCUCGAUCCAUUUAUCAAAAAGAAGAUUAAAAAACCAAAAUAGUUUAUUAGAGUGAAAAAUGACGUUUUAUUUUUUAUACCCAAAUGAAAUGAAAUUGAUCUCUAUUUAUAGAUCAUAACAAAUCACGAGUUUUUGUACAAUAUUUUUUAAAUGUUAUAACACCAAAAUAGUUGAUUAUAGUGAAAAUGACGUUUUAUUUUCUGUACCAAAAUUAAAUGAAAUUGGUCUCCAUUUAUAGAUCAUACAAAAUCACGAGUUUUUGUAUAAUAUCUUUUAAAUAUUUUAGUAUAAAAUAAAUGAGUUCAAAUUAUUGGGUAAUAUUUUUGAAAAAAAAAAGAAUCUGGAAAGCCACUGAGAAUCAGAUAUGUGUCUCUAUCUAAAUACAUCAUGAGUGUUAUACACGCGUCCAACAUUUUUUCUAAUUAAAAUUUAACAAGUGUCAAAGCUGCCCCAGAAAGAAAAAAAUUGGUUGAAUACUUUCAACUUUUAUGAAUCCACGUGUUUUAUUCCCAAAAUCAACACUCUGGUUGCACGUUGUUCAACAGUUGAAUUAAUAACUUAACAUGUUCACUUUGGAUAUUCUUAUAACAUUGGUUUCAUAUCUUGUUCUACAUCGUUGAUUCAUCACUUAUUCAAUAUUAACUUCCUGGUAGUCCAUUAAAUUAAGUCUCUAGUUUUUUUUGCAUAAAAUUUGAUAAAAUUUUGUGUCUAGUUACGACACAAUGUUCACAAAACUUUAUGAAUGUAUUACACAUACGAGCACAUUUAUGUUUUUCUUACAGAUAAAGACACAUUCCACUUAAGAAGCACAUUGUGUUUUAAUCAACGAGAUUUUUGACAUAUUUACCCUUGUUCUUGAAACAGAGUGUAGACGUUCCGUUAAUAAGACUACCUUUGUUUUAUUCCCAAAAUCAACACCCUGGCUGCACGUUGUUCAACAGUUGAAUUAAUAAUUUAACAUGUUCACUUUGGAUAGUCUUAUAACACUGGUUUCAUAUCUUGUUCUACAUCGUUGAUUCAUCACUUAUUCAAUAUUAACUUUCUGAUUAGUCCAUUAAAUUAGGUCUCUAGUUUAUUUUGCAUAAAAUUUGAUAAAAUUUUGUGUCUAGUUACAACACAAUGUUCACAAAACUUUAUGAAUGUAUUAAACAUACGAGCACAUUUGUGUUUUUUUUACAGAUAAAGACACAUUCCACUUAAGAGGCACAUUGUGUUUUAAUCAACGAGAUUUUUGACAUAUUUAUCCUUGUUCUUGAAACAGAGUGUAGACGUUCUGUUAAGAAGAAAUGAGAACAAUAAGUAACUAGUUAUAGCACUUGGGUAUUAAUAUUUUAUAUAAUUAUUAUAUACUACACUGUUUUAUGUAACGGAAAACAAACCAAAUGAAAAAGACAUAGUUUAUCUUUAUUAUUAUCAUUUAUUCUACCUCUUUAUAUUUUGUUUUACUUUAUUUUAAAUUUAAAGAUAUAUAAAAAAUGCUUGAUGUAAUAAAUUAUGUUCUUUAUUCUCUAUAAUUUGUCAUCAACUUUGAUAUUUUUAUUUUAAAUUUAUACAUAAAAUAGUAUGGACUAAAACAUGGACAAAGGAGUUGUGGAUAUGAACAUUCUGAUUGUGUACAUUCCAAAAAUGACUAAAUAGUUUUAUAUGUUAGCAAUUUGAAUAUAUAAAAACAUAAAUUUUUGUUGGAGAAACCAUGUGAAGUGAAUUACGUAUUUUAUGGAAGAGAAAUAUGGUCAUAUAUGUUGUGGAUAAAUAAAGAAUAUGGGUUCAUACAUUAAGAAGACCAUUCUGCAUAUUUAAGAAUUUUGAGGUAAAAGCUUAAAUAAUCAAAAGACAAGGGACCAACAAUGCAAAAAGAUAAAACAGCACCAUUGUUGGUCUCGAGACCUCUGGCUUCUAAUCAACUUGGGCGAGUGAGGCAGGAUGGACUCCGACUCCUUUCACCAACAUGUUAUCUCGGCUAUACUUUUUCGUAUAAACCGCAAAUAAAAACCGAUGUUGUUCUCCGUUAUCUCUUUCUCUCUCUUGUUACAGAUAUGGCUUCUCGCCACUGUUUCUCUCUUUCUCUAGUUUCUCAAUCUUCAACUGAAGCAAUCUGAAAAACCAUAAUAUGAAGAAUACUUGGGUAAAUGAUAUCUUGCAUAUUUACAUUGUCUUAUCCAUUUAUUCAUGUGCAUUUUCAUCAUAUAGAUUAGGAUUUAGCCAUGUCUAGGUUGCAUUUUGCAUACAUAUGUCUCUAUCAGGUAUUUGAGUACCACAUGGAGUUUCUGGAGACAUUUGGGUGCAUUUGGAGCUCAAAGGAGGUGAUUAGAGUGGUCUUUGGACGAGCACUGCCUGAAGCGACUUCUCGGAGCGACGGCAUGAGGUCGCUGUGCACCACAUCCCGGAGCGACUCAUCCAGAGCGACUGCACAAAGUCGCUCGCGUUUUCACAUUGAGGUUGUAGAAAAAUCCCUUGUAGAUUUCAAAAAGAAAGAGUUAAAGUUCUUAGGAUCUAUUGGUGAGAGAUGUGAGUUGGGUUUGACAUUUGGGAAUGAUUGUGUAAUUGUAUGUUUGGGAAAAGGGUAGAAUAAUGGAGAUUGAGCAUUGUAUGCAUGAGUUGGUCCCUUUCUUAGAUAUAUUAUGUGCAAUGUCAAGGCUACUUGUUUUGAGAGUAAACCACCUUAAAGAUCAUAUGUUUUGAACCUCUUGAAUCACUUGAAUAAAAGCCUUCCCUUUCCCAACCAAAUGACUUGGACCAACGGACCAUUUGCAAGAAUUCACCUGAUGUUUUCUGCUUAAUGAAUGUGAGAGUUGGUUGAUUUGAAUGUGUGGAUGCUUGAUGAUGAGUGUAGGGACAAAAGGAGUUGAGAUAGGCCUAGAGAAGCUAGAGUGUAAUAAGAGAGUGUGCUAAUUAUGUUUGCUAGUUGUGUUUCUUUUGGCUAUGAGCUCCCACCUUCAAACCUCUCUCCUUAUGAGUUCUAGAAAGUUCACUUGAGGACAAGUAAAAGAACAAGUUUGGGGGAGUUGAUAUCUUGCAUAUUUACAUUGUCUUAUCCAUUUAUUCAUGUGCAUUUUCAUCAUAUAGAUUAGGAUUUAGCCAUGUCUAGGUUGCAUUUUGCAUACAUAUGUCUCUAUCAGGUAUUUGAGUACCACAUGGAGUUUCUGGAGACAUUUGGGUGCAUUUGGAGCUCAAAGGAGGUGAUUAGAGUGGUCUUUGGACGAGCACUGCCUGGAGCGACUUCUCGGAGCGACGGCAUGAGGUCGCUGUGCACCACAUCCCGGAGCGACUCAUCCAGAGCGACUGCACAAAGUCGCUCGCGUUUUCACAUCCGGAGACACACAUUUUGAUCUCGGAGCGACCUUCCAGAGCGACGUGCUGAAGUCGCUCCCGAAGCUUGGAGCGACCUUACCAGAGCGACAGGGAGAAGUCGCUCGCCAUUUUGGUUCUCGGAAACACGAAAUCGCUCUCGGAGCGACCUCUCGCAGCGACCCAGCGAGGUCGCUCCCGAAGCCUAGAGCGACGUGCUGGAGCGACUUGCCGAGGUCGCUGCGCGUCGCCUAUCUGCUCGAAUUAAUGUUUUCUCAAGGGCCUUUUUGUCAUUUUAUUAUGCACGUUUUUUAUUCUGAAAACCUAUGUUUUAAUACUCUGUAAGCCACCAAGAGGGGAUUAUCUUUGUUCUUAGAAAAACCACCAAAAACCUUUGGAAAGUCAUCUCUUUGAAUCAAUUGAUCAGUUUAUUAUUGAGAAUUCUGUGUUCUUAUCUAUUUUUCCUGUGUUUCUCUACAUGAUUAAUCUGAAAUCCAACAUGGGUUUAAGAGGAAUCAUGGAGAUUAGUGAGUAAUCCCUUUUGAAUUCAUGGGUUAGGGAGAUUGAGGGUGAUUAGGUUAGAACUAGGAUGUUUUAGUGUAGAUCAUUCAUAUUUCCUUGCUAGUUGAGUGAGCAUAAUGCAUCUUCUGAGUUGGCCACUCAGUAGUUGAAUCUUAGGCAUUUCCCCCCGAAAGGUGUUCGAGGAAAUGCCCGAGACAACUCUUUUUAGCUUUUAGCAUACUUUGCCAAAGACAUUUGUUGUUAGAGGUGCUAAGAUAGCCAUUGGACUUGCUGGUUAUGAUUGCUUUCAUAUUAUUCAACCAAAGACAUUUGAUGUUUGAAUUGUGUUAAGUAAAUGAACAUUCAUCUAGACAUAGAGUUUGUUUAGGAUUGUGUCCAAGCUUAAGGUUAAUAGAUUGAUUGAUCGUUUGCCAUCUUUAGUUCGAAACUUGAUCACCCGAGGUCUAAUCCCUAUAUCCAUGAGUUCUCUUUUCCAAUAGUUAAGAAAGUAUCAUUUAGUUAUUUCUUUUAAUUAGUCAUAGUUUAAAAACCCAUCUAAAUCAUUGAUUGCACUUAGAUUAAGUGAUUACUUGCAUUCUCGGUGCUUUGAUAUCUCUCAGAACUGGUUCGACAAUCAUUUAUACUACAGCAUUUGUCUUAGGAGCCUUGAAAACUCCUAACAUCAAAUUGGCGCCGUUGCCAAAUUCUGAGUAGAUUUAAACAUUGAGAUUUAGUCAAUUGCUUGAGACUAAGUCAUUUUUAUUUUCUUUUGUUACUGACUCUUCUUCACCUCCCUUUAAUCUACAGGUGUAUGAACUUGCGGAGCAGGGGUCCAUCAAACCUAGUUCCAAGAGCAGCAGACAUCAGAGCUUUAGAGAGAGAGUGUGCUAAAAGAGAAGAGAAGAAGAACAUCAGGCUCAAUUGCAGAGACUGAACACUGACAUGGGAGACGUUCAUCAAGAAGAUGCAGGCGUCAAUGGCGCUAACAACAAUGGUCCACCUAACCAACAGCGAGCAGCUCGACCCAUUGGCACUUACGACCGUCCAAACAUUCAUGGUCAUAGAUUGGGAAUCCGAGCACCCGCUGUGGCAGCCAACAACUUUGAGAUCAAGUCAGGACUCCUCAACGUGAUUGAGAACAACAAGUAUCAUGGCUUGGCUCUAGAGGAUCCAUUUGAUCACUUGGACAGGUUCGACAGCUACUGUGGGUUGUCAAAAACCAAUGGUGUGUCCGAAGAUGCUUUAAAGCUCAAGCUAUUCCCUUUCUCUUUGGGGGAUAAGGCACGUCAGUGGGAGAAGUCUCUACCCAGCGACUCCAUUACCACUUGGGAUGACUGCAAGAAAGCAUUCUUGGAGAAGUUCUUCUCUACUUCAAGAACUGCUAAGCUGAGAAACGAGAUCUCCAGCUUUCAACAGAAGGGCUUGGAAGGUUUCAGUGAAGCCUGGGAGAGAUUCAAGGGCUACCAAGCUCAAUGCCCACACCAUGGUUUCUCUAAGGAGAGCUUGCUGAGCACAUUCUACCGUGGUGCUCUCCCUAAGUACAGGGCCAGACUGGAUACAGCUAGUAAUGGGUUCUUCUUGGGGAGAACUGAGGAGGAUGCAGAGGAGCUGGUUGACAACAUGGUUAAGAGUGAUGCAGUCUACAGUGGAGACCACGACAGAGGCAGUAGAACUGAUGAUAAGCAGACGAGGAAGGAAUUGAAGGCUCUACAGGAUAAGAUAGACAUCCUCAUUGCUGAUAAAGCUACCCAAGAGCAGCUGCACUUUGUUGGCAACCCAAGCCAAGAGACACCAGUUGUUGUCCAUGAAGUUGAGGGUUUGGAAGGUCAGGAAGAGCUGUGUUUCAUCAACAACAAUGGUAGCUGGUACAAGAAAGAACCCAACUUUCAGUACAACAACUACCAACAGAAAUCCUAUUCCAACAACCAACAGAGUGGUUAUCAGCCUCGGAACAAUCAGCAAGGCAGCUAUCAACCUCAGCAAAACCCUCCUCCUGGAUUCAACAACAAGGGCAACCAUUCUUCCCAACAACAAUCUAAUCCCUCUACCUCCACUCCUCAAGUCAGCAGCACUGAUGCUCUACUGAAACAAAUCCUGGAGUCUCAAACAAGAAGUGAGAAGCAUGUUGGCUAUGAGUUGAAGAAUCUUCACUCAAAGAUUGAUGGGAGCUACAAUGAGCUCAACAACAAGUUCAGAGCUUUGGAGAACCAGUUUGCUGCCAUGAACACUCAACAAAAUCGCCAACAAGGUUCUCUACCUGGAAAAUCUGAGCAAAACCCCAAGGAAACCAUGAAAGCUAUCACUCUCAGGAGUGGUAAGGAGUUACCUCAGAGAACUCUCACCAAGGAUGCUGAGAAACAAAGUGAGGGGGUUGCCAUCACCAUAGAUGAUGAAGUGGUGAUUGUUGAUGAGAAGAUCAAUGACGAGAUCUUGGAAAAGAUAGUGGAAGCAAAAGGAAAAGGAAAGGUUGGAGAAGAGAAGAAAACAGUUAAAGAUGGUGAAGUUGUCACUCCUGCAAGUGAAAACUCUUUUGUUCCUCCUGCCUAUGAACCCAAGCUUCCAUUCCCAGGUCGAUUCAAGAGGCAGCUGCUAGAGAAGUACAAAGCUUUGUUUGACAAGCAAAUGAGUGAAGUCCAGGUCACAAUGCCCAUUAUUGACGCUUUCAUGCUGAUCCCUCAGUACAGCAAGUUCCUCAAAGAUGCUGUAGCUGCAAAGAAGAAAGAGAUGGAGGGCAUGGUGAUUCUCACUCAUGAGUGCAGUGCUAUCAUUCAGAGACUGGUCAUUCCAAAGAAGCUAGAAGAUCCAGGAUGCUUCACAUUACCUUGUGCUCUUGGACCUAUGGUAUUUGAUAGAUGUCUCUGCGAUUUGGGAGCUAGUGUCAGCUUGAUGCCCCUAUCUGUUGCUAAGAAGCUGGGUUUCACUCAGUACAAGAAGUGUAGACUUUCUCUGGUAUUGGCUGAUCGUUCAGUGAAGUACCCUGUGGGUAUCUUAGAGGACCUCCCAGUGAUGGUUGGAAAUUAUGAGAUCCCUACAGACUUUGUGGUGCUUGAAAUGGGUGAAGAAGCUCAAGAUCCUUUAAUCCUUGGAAGACCUUUCUUAGCCACAGCAGGAGCUAUUGUUAAUGUUAAAGAAGGCAAGAUUGAUCUCCAUCUGGGUAAAGGGCACGUUCUGCAUUUCGACAUCAAGGAAGUAAUGAGGAGGCCAACAGUUCAAGGACAAGUGUUCUACAUCGAAGAGAUGGAUGCCCUUGCUGAUGAACUCCUUGAAGAGUUGUCACUAGAGGACCCUCUACAGCAUGCUUUAACUGUAGAGAAGGAGACUGAGGUGAUUGAGAACCUGGAGAGUACUGCCUAUGGGAUGAUGCUGGAUUCACACCAGGCGUUUUUCAGUAAGGACCAGUACGAGGAGCUUCCACAGAUGGUUCACCAACAAGUCUCAGUCACUCAACAAGAGGACAACCAGCAGGAUGACUGGAGUGAACUUAAGGCACCUAAAGUGGAGCUUAAACCUCUUCCCCAUGGUGUAAGGUAUGCAUUCCUUGGUCCUAAUGAAACUUACCCUGUCAUUGUGAGUAGUGAACUUACUGAAAAUGAGCUAUCUGAACUUUUGAAAACACUUAAAAGAUUUAGAAAGGCAAUAGGUUACUCACUAGAUGACAUCAAGGGGAUAUCACCCUCUUUGUGCAUGCAUAGGAUACAUCUUGAGGAUGAAUCAAUGACUUCUAUCGAGCAUCAAAGAAGGUUAAAUCCUAACCUGAAGGAUGUUGUAAAGAAAGAGAUUCUUAAACUCCUAGAUGCUGGUGUUAUUUACCCUAUCUCAGAUUCUAAAUGGGUAUCACCUGUGCAUGUUGUACCAAAGAAAGGUGGUAUCACUGUGAUCAAGAAUGACAAGGAUGAAUUGAUACCAACAAGAACCAUCACAGGUCAUAGAAUGUGCAUUGAUUACCGAAAACUAAACUCUGCAUCUAGAAAGGAUCAUUUUCCACUACCAUUUAUUGAUCAGAUGCUUGAGAGACUUGCAAAUCACCCAUUCUAUUGUUUCCUUGAUGGGUACUCAGGAUUUUUCCAAAUCCCCAUACAUCCCAAUGAUCAAGAGAAAACGACAUUCACAUGUCCCUAUGGUACCUUUGCAUAUCGAAGAAUGCCAUUUGGACUAUGUAAUGCUCCAGCCACCUUUCAAAGGUGCAUGAUGUCAAUUUUCUCUGAUCUGAUUGAGGAUGUUGUGGAGGUAUUCAUGGAUGAUUUCUCUGUCUACGGAUCUUCGUUUUCUGCUUGUUUGUCAAAUUUGUGCAGGGUCCUACAGAGAUGUGAAGACACCAACCUUGUGCUGAAUUGGGAGAAGUGUCACUUCAUGGUCAAGGAAGGGAUUGUGCUAGGACACAAGAUUUCAGAGAAGGGGAUUGAGGUGGAUAAAGCCAAAAUCGAUGUUAUGGUUGGUCUGCCUCCACCAAAGACAGUGAAAGACAUCCGGAGUUUUCUUGGUCAUGCUGGAUUCUACAGGAGGUUCAUCAAGGAUUUCUCCAUGAUCACUAGACCUUUGACCAGACUGCUGUGCAAGGAAGCUACCUUCAGUUUUGAUGUAGAAUGUCUACAAGCUUUCAAGAAGCUGAAAGGUGAACUCGUUAGUGCCCCAAUUGUCCAGCCACCUGAUUGGGAUCUCCCUUUUGAGAUCAUGUGUGACGCCAGUGACUAUGCUGUGGGAGCUGUUCUGGGGCAGAAGAAAGAUGGCAAAACCCAUGUGAUCUAUUAUGCCAGCCAAACCCUCAAUGAUGCCCAGAUGAAGUAUGCCACAACAGAGAAGGAGAUGCUGGCAAUUGUUUUUGCCUUUGAGAAGUUCAGGAGCUACUUGGUUGGGUCUAAAGUCAUUGUCUACACAGAUCAUGCCGCCUUGAGACACCUUUUGGCCAAGAAGGAUGCAAAACCCAGGCUUUUGAGGUGGAUCCUUUUGCUCCAAGAGUUUGAUAUGGAGAUCAAGGACAAACCUGGAGUUGAGAAUGGAGUAGCUGAUCAUUUGUCCAGGUUGAGGGUAGAGUCUGGUAUCCCUAUUGACGAAGGACUUCCUGAGGAGCAGAUCAUGGCUAUCGAAGCAGUGAUAGCAGUUUGUGAGACUGGUAGGAAGCUGGAAGAAGUCAAAGCAACAGAGGAGAAGGAACCUUGGUAUGCUGAUUUGGUGAACUACCUAGCCACAGGAAGAGAACCUUUGAAUCUUGUAGGGUAUGCCAAGAAGAAGUUCUACAAGGAUGUGAAAAGAUAUUACUGGGACGAACCCUACCUCUACAUUCUCUGCAAAGAUCAGCUUUAUAGGAGAGUGGUUGCAAAUGAGGAGAUUGAUGGGAUCCUUGCACAGUGUCAUGGAUCAUCCUAUGGAGGUCACUUUGCCACCUUCAAGACAGUUGCAAAAGUAUUACAAGCUGGAUUCUGGUGGCCACACAUGUUCAAGGAUACACAAGACUUUGUUUCGAAGUGUGAUUCUUGCCAAAGAAGAGGAAACAUCACCAAGAGGAAUGAGAUGCCUCAAAAUCCAAUCCUUGAAGUUGAAGUGUUUGAUGUCUGGGGUAUUGACUUCAUGGGACCAUUUCCAUCAUCUUUUGGCAACAAAUAUAUCCUUGUGGCUGUUGAUUAUGUCUCCAAAUGGGUGGAAGCCAUUGCAAGCCCCACCAAUGAUGCUAGAGUUGUAAUCAAGAUGUUCAAGAGCAUCAUCUUCCCAAGGUUUGGAGUUCCAAGAGUUGUAAUCAGUGAUGGAGGUUCCCACUUCAUUAACAAACUGCUUGAGGGACUUCUCAAGAAGAACGGUGUGAAGCACAAGGUGGCAACUCCUUAUCAUCCCCAAACAAGUGGCCAAGUUGAGAUUUCUAACAGGGAGAUCAAAUCUAUCCUGGAGAAGAUUGUGGGGAUUACAAGGAAGGAUUGGUCUAAUAAGCUUGACGAUGCACUUUGGGCUUAUAGGACAGCGUACAAGACACCACUGGGUACCACACCUUUCAACCUAGUGUAUGGGAAAGCUUGCCAUUUGCCAGUGGAGCUUGAGUACAAGGCACUAUGGGCAAUAAAGUUGCUGAACUUUGACAUCAAGAGUGCCAAGGAGAAAAGGCUCUUUCAGCUACAUGAGCUUGAUGAGAUAAGAUUGGAUGCUUUCGAGAACUCAAGAAUCUACAAGGAGAAGACUAAGGCUUUCCAUGACAAGAACAUCCUGAAGAGAGAGUUUAAAGAAGGAGACCAAGUUCUUCUCUACAACUCUAGGCUGAAGUUGUUUCCAGGAAAGCUUAAGUCAAGGUGGUCCGGUCCUUUCAAGGUCAAGGAGGUUAGACCAUAUGGAGCAAUAGUUUUGUGGAGCACUGAUGGAAGAGACUUCACAGUCAAUGGACAAAGGGUUAAGCUCUACAUGGCUACUGCACCAGAGGAAGAUGGGGUUUCAACUCCACUGUCUGAUCCUACCCCGGCCUAAUCUAAAAGGAGGCAAAGUCAAGCUCGGGACUUAAAACAAGCUCACUUGGGAGGAAGUCCCAUGCGUAUCCUUGUACAUAUUGCAUUGGUAUUUCCAUUUUUCAUCUUAUUGCAUAAAAAAAAAAAAGAGAGAGAAGUUGUGUGCAGGUGCUUGAUCGGUUCAUUUUGAGCAGGAGUCGUGCGUGGGAGCGAGGUCUCACAGCGACACCUCAAGGUCGCUCCAGCUGGGAGCGAGGUUUCGAGAGCGACACUCCAUGGUCGCUCGCGUUUUCGUCGUCGGAUCAAGAAAAAAUCGCCUCAGAGCGAGGUCUCGGAGCGAGGCCGAAGGGUCGCUCCAGCUGGGAGCGACAUUAUGGGAGCGACACCUCGGAGUCGCUCGCGUUUUCGACGAAACGGAGCUCAAAAACUGACCCGGAGCGACGUCCUAGAGCGACACCUUGAAGUCGCUCCAGCCCAGAGCGAGGUUUCUAGAGCGACACUUCAAGGUCGCUCGCGGUUUUGUCGAAACACGACGCGAGGAAACGACUCGGGAGCGACCUCUCCCAGCGACACCCUCACGUCGCUCCCGAACCGGUCCAGGUAAGUUUCCUAACUCUAAACCCCGGUUUAAUUCAAGUAAACCGACCCUAACCACCCUAAACCGAACCGGACGACCCUAAACCUACCCCAACCCCCGCGACUCCUAUCUCUCUCACUCUCCCCUCCUCUCACAAACUCACAAACUCUCUCAAACUCACCCACACCAAAAAUCCCAAAACCUUCUCAAUUCUCACCCAAAUCAACUAGUUCUUGUUUCUAAACCAAGCUUUCGCCCCUGUAGCCUAUUCCUCACCACCCAUUCACCAUUUCCUUUCAUCCAGAGCAAGGUAUUGAGUUUUUAAAUUCAAAUUCGUAGGUCCAUGAACCCUAGAAUUUGAAAGUCGAAAUUUGGUCACUUUCUUGCUAGAUUGUGGUGAAAUAGACUAGGGAAAGUUUAUCUAUCAAGUUGGGUUGUUGAAUUAAUGGUGAAAUUGAGUUUAAUUUGCACUUUGGCAAAAUUAGGGUUCAUGGAAUUAGGGAUUUUCGAAUUUGACCUUAAUUGGGUGAGUUUGUGGGUGAACUAGAUGUGUUAAGGUGUUACAAGAGUGAGAAUUGUUGCAUUGUGUUGAACUUGAGUUUAAAUUGAUAAUUCAUUUGUUAAGUUCACUUUUGCAAUUUUCUCUUGCAAAAUCCUGUUUUUCUUUACUUCCAACUACUUAUCCCUUUUCAAGUUUUUACUUCUUCAGGUGAAAAUGGUUAAGAAGACAAAGGGAAAGUUGGAAGCUGAGAAGCAAGAAGCUGAAAGAACAGAGUUUGCAUUAAGAGGAAAAGCUUUAUCCUGCGAGCCAACUGGGUCAGGGACGCAGAGAACCGUUCGACAGCAGACUUUGGCUGCAAGGAAAUCGCAAGAACAAGAGAAGAGGGCUGGGAAAAGUGUAGCAGUUCCCACUCAUGAGGAGAGUGAAACUGAGAGUGCUGAUGAGCAGGCACCUACGAAGAAAGCCAAGAUGUCCAAAGGAAAAGGGGUUGCUGUUGAUCGAGACAGGGCAAAAACUCCAUCUGUGGAGGAGCUGUAUGAUCACUUGAAGAAUGGGUCACUUGGGCUCCAACCAGGUUCGCCGACCUCGAUUUGCUGAAGGAGUUGGGCCUAGAAUCCGAUAUUGAGGCGAUGCUGGGACAUUUGAAGAUGCCAAAACUCCUCACCAUGGCUUAUCCUUUCUACAAGGAUGUCACUUGUCAGUUCCUAUCCUCUCUUGUGGUCACUUACCACGACACGGCGCAUGUGAGGCAAGGAUGGGGAAAAAUCACGUUCAAGGUCAAUGGAAGGGAAUACAACAUGAACUUCAAGGACAUUGGGAGGGUCAUGGGGUUCCAAGACCUAGAAGACCACUCACUUCCCAAGUGUGAGAACCUCCCCACAGAGCUUUGGAAGUUGAUCACUGGAAACAGGCACUCUACCGGGGCUGACAAGAACUCACACAUCCGACACCCGUCUGUACGCUACCUCCACAGAUUGCUAGUCCAUGCUUUCUACCCACGGAAGCAAGCUGGUAAUGUUACUGAGGAAGACAUGCGACUGCUCUGUCCGGCUAUCCGUCCUUACGCUCAACCUGGAGUGUUACCCCUUCCCAGCACUGAUAUCUAUGCUACCUUUGGGAUGGUCAGUUUCUUUGUGGGCCGUCUCGAACACUACAGAGACUGGGCGUGGUACACCACUGAUUCGCGCCCAAAGAUGGGGAUAGGCGGAAUGAUCACACCACUGCUCCAAUUUCUGAAUGUUCCCUUGGGAAAGGACGCAGCGGGGCCUAGGUUCAUUGAUGGCACCUACUUGAGGAUUGCCACCUAUUUCAGUGGGAUGUAUGGGAAGGACUACGUCUACCACUACUACUUGCAGGGCAAGCCAGUCGAGGUGGUUCUUCCAAACCGGAACCUGACGAGUUUAGAGAUACCAGGAGCUGUCAGCUUCAACAUUCCCCAGGAGUACUUUCUCGGAGAACACGGGCCUCUCGAUCCAAUUCAAGCAGCUUCAUCAAGGAGAAGGAGUGUCCCUACGCAACCUGACCCGCCUGUUGCAGACACGUCUGAGCAUAUCUAUGGACCUCCGCGCUACUACUUCAAGCCCCAUGACGGAGUCCUUCCCCCUGGAGCUCUCCGUGAUGCUCAUGACCACAUUGGUCGUCUCCAGAGGUGGAACAAAGCUCAGGACAGAACGAUAGAAAAGCUGAAGGAUAAGUGCAAGGCGCUCAGCAAGACUGUGAAGAAGCAGGCAAAGACUUCAGCCAAGUUCAUGAAGAAAGUAGCUGAUGUCUUAACUAGGGGAGGAAUAGCUGGAUGUAGCUCAGCCGAUUUCGCUUUCGCGAACACCUCAAACCCCCAGCCCCCACCCCCGCCUGAUGCUCUUGGCUUCCCCCUCACUGCUGCGCAGCUUCAGCGUAAGUGGAGGAACCCACCCACUCAACCUUCCACUUCCGGCAACAAAUCCCCAUCCCUCGCUUCUUCUGACAGUGAGCACGAGAUUGACGAGGUUGAGAGCCAGCCAUGGUAUGGAGGCUCCGGUUCAGCAUCCGGUGGUUACUACACCACCUUCCCUCCUGACGACGACGAUGCUGGGGCAUCUGCCCCCACCUAUUAUCCAUAGGAGGUACUUCUUUCUCUCCCUUGUAUAUACCAUCUCAUUUUUUUUUUUUUGCAUAUUAGUUUUCUUCUCGGUAUCUCCUUCUUUCUUUGACAACACAGAGACUGUGUAACUCAAGUUUGGGGGAGGUACCAAGCAUUUGAUCACGUUUGCUUUGAUUGUGUUUCAUUUGAGUCAUGCAUUGCACACCUAUUUGCAUAAAAAAAAAAAAAAAAAAGAUUUUUCAUUUAGUUUGCAUCAUUUGCACCAUUAGGAGAGUCUAGAGCAUAUAGGGUGCAUUCACUUGCAUUGGGAGCAAUGAUUUUAAAUGCCUUGUAAAGAACACUACGUUGCACCAUUGAGUAGCCAUGCACCUCUCGAAAAGACUUGUAUGUUUCGAGCCUUGAAAACUCUUCUUGAAACUUGUUGAUUGCUGAAACUCAGUCUUUGAAGCCAACUACAACCUUAUUAGAAAUGAAUGAACUUAAUGCUUCUUGCUUAGGGUCCCUUGUGUACUGAGUCAUGGCUAUACACACUGGAGUUGUCACAUCUUUUAUGCCAAUCUUUUUGACAAACUCUAGUGGUAGACCACUCCCAAAACCUUUCCUUCCUUUUAAGCUUUCAUUGUUUGAUGAGUGAGGCCUUCUUCGGAAAGUCUUACAUGCGCAUAAUGUUGAGAGUAUCGGGAACGACAAUGCUUGAUCUUCAUUUUUGCUAGAUUGGACACUCUUUUGUCUAGCUAUAGGUGGGAGGGUGAGUGUUGUGAUCAUGAUUUGGGAGAAAUGAAAAAUAAAAAGGAUAGACUCUUUGUGCUUAAGUGAAUUGAUUUUCUGGGAUAAGUAGAGAACCUCUAGCUCUAGUUUCGAAAAGUCUUGGCCCCCAACCUAAAAAAAAAAAAAAAAAAAAAAAAAAAAAAAAAAAAAAAAAAAAAAAAAAAAAAAAAAAAAAAAAAAAAAAAAAAGGGGGCUAGCAAAGUUGUUAGGAGCUAAGAAAUGUUUUGAGGUUGUAGAAAAAUCCCUUGUAGAUUUCAAAAAGAAAGAGUUAAAGUUCUUAGGAUCUAUUGGUGAGAGAUGUGAGUUGGGUUUGACAUUUGGGAAUGAUUGUGUAAUUGUAUGUUUGGGAAAAGGGUAGAACAAUGGAGAUUGAGCAUUGUAUGCAUGAGUUGGUCCCUUUCUUAGAUAUAUUAUGUGCAAUGUCAAGGCUACUUGUUUUGAGAGUAAACCACCUUAAAGAUCAUAUGUUUUGAACCUCUUGAAUCACUUGAAUAAAAGCCUUCCCUUACCCAACCAAAUGACUUGGACCAACGGACCAUUUGCAAGAAUUCACCUGAUGUUUUGUGCUUAAUGAAUGUGAGAGUUGGUUGAUUUGAAUGUGUGGAUGCUUGAUGAUGAGUGUAGGGACAAAAGGAGUUGAGAUAGGCCUAGAGAAGCUAGAGUGUAAUAAGAGAG
This 305127-nucleotide long non-coding RNA is filed under the name Brassica rapa (field mustard). The record is from RNAcentral. Lineage: Eukaryota; Viridiplantae; Streptophyta; Magnoliopsida; Brassicales; Brassicaceae.